CGUGCGCCGCUUACCAAGAUCAUUUUUGGGCUUCCAUAAAAUCUGGGCGCCCAGAUUGCGCGCCGCCUGCUGUCAGAACUUUUUGGGCUGAUAUGUAACCUGUCAAGUCAAAUAGUCUCGGUGUUUCUGGAUCACCCGAACAGCAAACAGGCAGGAUCCAAAAGGUCUCAAAAUAUUCGGAUCCACUUUAGGGCGCCCAGAAUAGGGUCCAGAAAUUUUAAUUUGACAGAACACAGAAUUUGAGCAGUUUUUGAAUAUUUAAAAAUUCUAUUCACCUAAUCACAAGUUAGGAAUUUGUUUAAGUGAUCUAUAAGGUGAUAAAAUAAAUAGUUUAAACUUAGCUAAAAAUUUCUCACUCCAAUUAUAAGGCAAAAUAUUAAUUAAAUUAAGAAUGGAGAGAGUGAGUUUGUCUAUUUGACAAAGGAAGCAAAUACAGCUUCAAGUGGUGAAGCUUGGUGCUAGAAUAUUGCCCAUCUUGAAUCCUUUUUGAAUAUAGAGAGAUCUAAAACACAAAACUCAAGAUAAAAGAUUAGUCCAAUAAUUGUAAUUAUUUGUUAUCAUCAAAAUCUAAUAGAAGAUUAGGGCCACUUGGCCAACAAUCUCCUCCUUUUUGAUGAUGACAAAUAAUGUGAUAUCAUAUCCAAAAUAGUAGAAUACUCCCCCUAAAUAUAUGCAUAUAUUUAACAAGCAUAUAACACAAUCAUAGGCAUAGCAUAUAUUACAAUAAAAGAAGUAAGCAACCAUGUAGGCAAAAAUCAAAAUGUAAACAAGGCUAGCAUAGCAUAAUAAAACAUAAGCAGCAUAAUAAACCACAAUCAUAGCAUGGUAUAUCACAUAGCAAGUUCUCCCCUUUUGUCAUCACAAAAAAAAAGCAUAAAAGAAGACUAGCCAUAAGCUAAUCAUCAUCAUCAUCGUCCUCCUCUUCAUCGUCCUCAUGAUCCGUAGGUGAAACUGGUGGAGGCAUAGUGGAGGAGGAUGGUCGAUUAACGUGGGGUCCAUACGCGGCAUAAAAGGCACUAGAAGGUCCAAAGAGAAAGUCCAUGUAUGCCUUGAUGCCGGAAACAUCCGUCUGGAGAGCAUGCAUAUGGUCUUCCAUCCUAUCAAGUCGAUCAAAAACCUGGUUUUGAAAAUCCAUAGGUGGAGGAGCAUAGGGCGGAGGCACAGCAAGGGGUGGCUCAAAGGGUGGAGGAGAUGCUUGUGGCGGCGGCUCAACCGGUGGAGAAGGUGCUCGAUGUGGCGGCUCAUAAGGCAAAGGAUCAUCCUCGGCGUCGUCAAUGUCAUCGCCAUGCUCGCUGGGCGAAUCAACAACAUGCUUUCUUAUCCAAAUGCCAUGACGAUUUUUCUUGAAGCCUAGGGUGGAAAAAGUGGCGGUAGAAAUGGCGGAAGGGUACUUCAUCGGCCUCACGUCGGAAAGAUCAAACGACAUGAACUCGAGGAGAGCGGUGAGCAAAGAGCCAUAUGGAAGUGAGCGCGAGGGAUGAGAAAUUGCGACGGCCAUGUGGCGAAUGAUGAUAUACCCCAAAUUAACCCGGACGCCCGCAAAUAGAUGAUGAAGUAGAAAAAGAUCCAUUUUUUGAACAGCGGUGUGGUGACCGUCUCGAGGAAGAACUACUUUAGUAAGUAAAAAGUGGGCGAGGCGAUGAGGAAAGGAAAGAUGAGAGCAAUCUUCUCGUGAAGUAGAUUCUUCACAAAGAAAAUGAUUGCGGAGUUGCGCCUCAGAAAAUGCGGAAAAGUUUCAAGUGUUGGUUUGGUAGUAGCAAACACCGUCAUUAGGAAUGUUUAAAACUAUAUGAAGAAGGAUAGGAGUAAUGGCAAAAAUACGUCCCCGGUAGUAGGAAGUAAUAUUAGUAAAUUCGGGAUUAAAAGUGGCAUUUGCAUAAAAAGUCUUAAUUAGAUCCGGAUAAAAUGGUCGCGAAUUUUGAACAAAGAAAUCCCAUUCAACUUGUGUGAGAUUAUCCAAAAGUUCAUAACAAUCAAAAUUUAAAUAAUAAAUGUGAUGGCAAGGUUGAACGGGACGACCUGAAAGAAAUUUAUUUUGAGCUUCUCUAGAUACAAAGUUAAAAGCAUCAAAAUCUUCAUUUUGAUAAUCUCUAUGUGAAGAAGAGCCUCUAGAUGCAUUUUUAGUUCUAGGCAUUUUUUUUAUUUAUUUAUUUUAAUAAUAAAAAGCUAGGGUUUAUGCAAUAAAAAUGGAACAAGAUGCAAGAUCUAGGAUGAAAAGAUGUAAAUCUAGGUAGAGGACAAGAUUAUGGUGCAAAGCGUACAAGAAAUCUGCAAAAAAAAAGAUUUUAAAAAAUAAUAAUAAUAAUAAUGCAAGCUUAGGGUUAACAGCAGGAAGAAGAAGAAGAAAAAAAAAAUGAAAAAGGAGAGGAAAUACCACAGAUUGAGGAGAAGGAAGAAGAGAUCUGAGUGCUGGAGGAGAUUUGGGCGGUUCUGAUGAGGGCUGGGCGCAGGUACUGGGCGACCGGACAGCGAGGAGGAAGAAGAAGAGAAGAAAAAAAAAAUGAAAGGGAAAGGGUUGUCGGGCGGCUGGGACGAAGAGGGCCCGCUCGCGGGUUUCGGGCGCUCGUGCGAGUCGGCGUGGUCGCCCGGAUCCGCAACCCAGAACCCGCCAGGGUGGUCAAAGCGGCGCGGCGGUCAAAGAGGGUUUCGGGCGCAAGUGCGGCUCGGAUCGGUCGCCCAGAUCCGCAGCCCGGUAACCCGCCAGGGUGGUCAAAGCGGUGCGGCGUCAAAGCGUGUUUUCGGGCGCGAGUUGCGGGUCGGAUCGGUCGCCCGGAUCCGGAACCCGAUAACCCGUUUGGUCGGUCAGACGAGGCACCGCGGUCAACGCAUGUUUCAGGCGCCCGGAAAUUUUCGGACGACCGGAAAUUUUCGUCCGGAAUUUUUACAAAAUAAAAAGCAAGGCAAGCAUAACAGUCAAUCAAAAGGAGAAAAUCAAGCAGAUAAAUCAAUCAUUCCCAAUUCUCUUCUAAGUUGAGUGAACCUAUCCUCACUAAGUGGUUUAGUAAAAAUGUUCGCUAAUUAAUUAUGAGUGUCCACAAAUUCUAUAGUGACAUCUUCUUUUUGAAUAUGAUCUCUAAUAAAAUGAUAUCUAAUUUCAAUGUGUUUAGUUCAAGAGUGUUGAAUAGGAUUUCUAGAUAUGUUGAUGGCACUAGUAUUAUCACAUUUGAUUGGAACUUGUUUUUGAUGUACUCCAAAGUCCUCAAGGGUUUGUUUCAUCCAUAAAACUUGUGCACAACAACAACCCGCCGCGAUGUAUUCGGCUUCGGCAGUUGAAAGUGCAACUGAAUUUUGCUUUUUCGAAGACCAUGAGACUAAGGAGUAACCAAGAAAUUGAAAAGUCCCACUCAUACUUUUCCGAUCAACUUUGCAUCCGGCAAAGUCGGCAUCCGAAAAGCCAAUGAGAUUAAAAUUAGUGCCCUUGGGAUACCAUAAACCUAAGUUGAGAGUCCCUUUAACAUAUCUAAGAAUUCUCUUUACAGCCACUAAGUGUGACUCCUUAGGUUGAGCUUGAAACCGAGCACACAAGCAAAUACUAAACAUAAUAUCCGGCCUACUCGCGGUAAGAUAAAGUAAACUGCCAAUCAUACCUCGGUAGAGUUUGAUAUCAACAUCCUUGCCUUUUUCAUCCUUGUCAAGUCUAGUUGAAGCACUCAUUGGAGUGUUUAUCUCUUUCGAGCUUUCCAAGUCAAAUCUUUUGAUUAGGUCUUUUGCAUAUUUGGCUUGAUUAAUGAAUAUUUCAUCUUUUAUUUGUUUAACUUGGAGUCCAAGGAAGAAUGAGAGCUCACCCAUCAUGCUCAUUUCAAACUCAUUUUGCAUUAGCUUAGAGAAUUCUUUACAGAGAGAUUCAUUAGUAGCACCAAAUAUAAUAUCAUCCACAUAAAUUUGUACAAUGAGAAAAUCUUUAUCCUUAAUUUUGAUAAAUAAUGUGGUGUCAACUUUUCCUCUUGAAAAAUUAUUUGAAGUAAGAAAAGUGCUAAGUCUUUCAUACCAGACUCUAGGAGCUUGUUUUAAACCGUAAAGUGCUUUUGAAAGCUUAAAAACGUGAUCCGAAAAGUUAUGUUUUUCAAAACCGGGUGGUUGCUCAACAUAAACUUCUUUAGAAAUGAAACCAUUUAAGAAAGCACUUUUAACAUCCAUUUGAAACAAUUUGAAAUUCAUAUAAGAAGCAAAUGCUAGAAGAAUUCGAAUAGCUUCAAGUCUAGCAACCGGUGCAAAUGUUUCAUCAAAAUCAAUUCCUUCAAUUUGGUUGAAACCUUGGGCCACUAGUCUAGCCUUGUUUCGAACCACAACACCUGAUUCAUCUCGCUUGUUUCGGAAGACCCAUUUAGUGCCAAUAACGGUAUGAUCACUUGGCCUUUCCACAAGCGUCCAAACUUGGUUCCUCUCAAAUUGGUUAAGUUCUUCUUGCAUCGCAAUGAGCCAAUUUUCAUCAUUGCUAGCUUCAACAAAAUUUUUAGGUUCAAUUUGAGAUAUGAAAGCCAAGUGGUCACAAAGUAAUCUAAGAGAGGAUCUUGUUUUGACUUUUUGACUUGGAUCUCCAAUGAUGGAGUCCUUGGGAUGAUAAGUGGCGAAUUUCCACACUUUAGGUAAGGGAGUGGGUUCAAUCUCUUUAGAGAUUAACUCCUCACUUUUCUUAGAUGGUUCAACUUCUUGGGGUGUGGAGUUUAUAUUUAGCUUCUCAAAGUCAAGAAGAUCAUCUUCAUAAGAAAUAUCCUUUCCCUUAUAUUCUUCAAAGAGAAUGUGCAUACUUUCCUCUAUUAUUAAAGUUCGUCGAUUAUACACUCGAUAAGCUUUACUAGUAGAGGAAUAACCCAAGAAUAUAGUUUCAUCGGAUUUAGCAUCAAACUUUCCCAACUUGUCUUUUGUGUUUAAAAUGAAACAUUUACAACCAAAAAUUUUGAAGUAACCAAUAUUGGGAGUUCUAUUAUGCCAUAAUUCGAAAGGAGUUUUCUCAAGAAUUGGUCGAAUUAGAACACGAUUCAUAAUAUAGCACGCCGUGUUUACGGCUUCGGCCCAGAAGUAUUUAGGUAACUCCCCCUCAAUUAACAUAGAUUUAGCCAUUUCUUGGAGAGAUCUAUUUUUGCGUUCAACAACCCCAUUUUGUUGAGGUGUUCGAGGGGUAGCAAAUUGAUGUUCUAUUCCCAAUUCAUUGCAAAACUCUUCAAAGUUAUGAUUUUCGAAUUCACCUCCAUGAUCACUUCUAAUUUUGGAAAUUAUACAAUUCUUUUCAUUUUGAACACGAUAGACAAAGUCCUUGAAGGAUUUAAAAGUAUCAUACUUGUGUCUUAAAAAUAAUGUCCAAGUAAAUCUUGAGUAAUCAUCAACAAUUAUGAAAACAUAGUUGCUUCCACCAAGGCUAGAGACAUCAAUUGGUCCAAAGAGAUCCAUAUGAAUCAAUUCUAAAGGCCUAGUUGUUGAAACAACAUUUUUGGAUUUAAACGAUGAUUUUACUUGCUUAGCUUGAGCACAAGAAUUACAAACAUCACCUUUGGCAUAGUCUAUUUUAGGUAAACCUUUUACAAGUUUUUUUUUGGAAAGUUUAGAGAGAGAAUCCAUAUUAGCAUGUGCUAACCUUCUAUGCCAAAGCCAAGAUUCGUUAGUUUGAACUGAAAAAUAUUUUUCACCUUCAUGUGAGAGUUUGCCUAAAUCAACGGUAUAAACAUUCUUGGAUCUAAAACCCAUAAAAGCUACCUCAUUUGUAGAAGGAUCAAGAAUGCUACAAUGAGAUGCUUCAAACUUUACAAAAUAGCCUUUAUCACAUAAUUGACUAAUACUUAGUAAAUUAUGUUUAAGGCCAUCAACUAAAAGAACAUUGGAAAUGUUAACCUUUUCAUCACCGAUUGUGCCGAUUCCAAUGAUCUUUCCUCUAGUGUUGUCUCCAAAGGUGACAAAUCCUCCAUCUUUCAUUUCAAUUGAUUUAAACUUGGUUUGAUCCCAAGUCAUGUGUCUUGAGCAUCCGCUAUCUAAGUACCAUUUGUCACUUGCACCUUUUGAUUGGAGACACGCCUACAAAAACAAAUUAAGUUUUCAACUUAGGUACCCAAGUGAGAUUGGGUCCUUUUGAGUUAAAUAAACCUUUCACAACCCAAAUUUGGUUAAGUUUAGGAUUCUUCUUAUAUUUACAAGAGAAAAUAUGAUAUCCUUUAAUAUUACAAUAGGAACAAUGCAAAGUUAGGUUUUGGUUUGUACUUUUAAUAAAAACCUUUCUUUUACCUUCUGUCAACUUAACAUUGUUUGGAUUAGAAACAUAACCUAUCCCAAACUUUUUGAAGUUUACAACUUGAUUUUCAAGCAUCAUAUUUAGAUACUUGGUUCCUCCAACAAAUUUCUCAAGAGUUUUCUUAGUUUCACCUAAGCUAACUUUGAGUUGUUGGUUUUCAACUUGAAGUUUUUCAAGUUGUUUGUCAUAAUGAAGAAUUGGCUUAAAAUUUAGAUCUUCAAUUUUCUUCUUUAAUGCUUCAUUUUCACGAAUGAGACUACAACAUGUCUCAUUAGCUUGUUUAAGCUCUUUCGUGAGUAAAGAGUCCUCAUUUUCAAGUAUUAAAGAAGGAUUUGAAGUUGAAAAUUUUAAGUUGUUAACCUCCAUCUCUAAUAAGGCAUUUUGCUUUUUGAGAGAUGUAUACUUGGGACCCAAACUUUGUAGAUUAUCAUAUAAAGAAAAGAAAGCUUCUAAAAGUUCUUCAUAACUUAAAUUGUUUACCUCAUCUUCAAGAGCCAUAAGACAUAGGAUUGAGCUUUGCUCCUCGAGGCAAAUUUGGGCAACUUCGUUUUCCGAUUCAUCAUCGCUAGAUUCGUCGGGGGCGUCCCAAUUUAGUGCAUUGAAGGCUUUCUUUUUCUUGUCUUUCUUAAAGGUUUUGUUUGGAAGAGUGCAUUCAUUUUUCAAAUGUCCCGGUUUAUUACAAUUGUAGCAAAUGAUACCUUUCUUGAAUCCUUCACCUUUGAACCCGUCUCGUUUAGGUCUCCUCAAGUUGCGCUUCUUGAUUAGUCGAUCGAGCCUUUUUGAAAUCAUAGCGAUUUCUUCGCUCGAACCUUCUUCGCCAUCUUCACUCUCGGAAGCAAUGACUCCCUUAAGUGCAAGGCUUUUCUUUUUCUCAGGAGCCUCUUCGUUGUCAUAUUCUUUGAGGCGUUGUUCAUGCGCCAUGAGUGAUCCAACAAGUUCAUCAAUUUUUACUUUGUCCAAGUCAUGAGCUUCUUGGAUAGCCGUAACCUUAGGUAUCCAACUUCUUGGUAGUACACGAAGAAGUUUUCGUACCAAGUCCGAUUGAGGAAAAUCCUUACCUAAGGCUUUCAAGCUAUUUAUAAUGUUAGUAAAUCUUGUGAACAUAUUCGAAAUGGAUUCACUUUCCUCCAUUUUGAAUAGUUCAUAAUUUGACAUAAGCAUGCUUAUUUUAGAUUCCUUCACCCUAGAAGUACCUUCAUGAGUAACUUCUAAUUUAUCCCAAAUCUCUUUAGCCGUUGUACAUGUAGAGAUUCGGUGAAACUCUUCUCUACUAAGAGCGCAAAGGAAUGAAUUGAUAGCUUUAGCAUUCAAUUGAAAGCGAAAUUUUUCGGCUUCAUUCCAUUCCGCUCUUGAUUUUGAUGGAGCGAUAUAACCACUUUCGAUUAUAUCCCAAAUAUCAAAAUCUAGAGAUUGAAAGAAUAUCUUCAUUCUAAUCUUCCAAAAAGGAUAAUCGGUCCCAUCAAAAAAUGGUGGCCGAACAAUAGAUUGUCCUUCGAUAUUCUUUCCCGUGGAUGCCAUUCUCACUUAGAUUUUAAUCUAAAUAAUGUGAGACCUCGCUCUGAUACCAAUUGAGGAUCAAAAUGGCAACCUAAGAGGGGGGGUGAAUUAGGUUUCUAAAAUAAAAAUCCAAAUAAUCAAGCAAAUUAAAAACCCGAUGCAAAUAAAAGAAAUGCAAACUCGAAAAGCACACGAUCAAUUUGUUUCGAGGUUUGGCACUUUGCCUACGUCCCCGCCAACUUCUCAACACUCGUGAAUGUUGGAUCUCCACUAGAUGAUGCUUUUGCGGGCAAGCACCAAGCCUUCACUUCAGCUCCUUCUUAUUUCAAGCUUCAAAACUUUGCUUUUCUCUCUUUUUACAAGAUUAAAUCUCACUACAAGUUUCACUCAAGUUUAGAGAGAGAAUUAAGAGCUAAGAGUAUUAAGAUCACUGAAGUUUUUAAGCUCAAAUGAACUAUCAAGUUGCUGCUAAGAGAGGCCUCAAUACUAUCUAUUUAUAGCCUCGGGCAGCCUCUGUCGGUUGUACUUUCGGGCGCCCUAAACAUGUUUCCGGGCGCCCAGAAGUUGUGCACGCCAGCUGCCUGUCGGCCCACGUGCGCCGCUUUUCUUGACUUUGUAUGUUCGGGCCGUCAAAAAUUUGUGGGCGCCCAGAUCUCGAGGAACAGCUUUUCUGACACGCGUAGCUUUUCUUGACUUCGUAAGUUCUGGGCCGUCAAAAGUUGUGGGCGCACAGAAUACGAGGAACAUCUUUUCUGACAGGCGCCGCUUCCUCUGGAUUUGGGCCGUCAGAAAUUGUGGGCGCCCAGAUCUCGAGGGACAACUUUUUGACAUGCGCCGUUUUUCUAGAUUCGAGCCGUCAAAAGUUGUGGGAGCCCAGAAAAUCGUGCUUACUUUUCUUGCCAGACAGCCCAGAUUGCGUGCGCCGCUUACCAAGAUCAUUUUUGGGCUUCCAUAAAAUCUGGGCGCCCAGAUUGCGCGCCGCCUGCUGUCAGAACUUUUUGGGCUGAUAUGUAACCUGUCAAGUCAAAUAGUCUCGGUGUUUCUGGAUCACCCGAACAGCAAACAGGCAGGAUCCAAAAGGUCUCAAAAUAUUCGGAUCCACUUUAGGGCGCCCAGAACAGGGUCCAGAAAUUUUAAUUUGACAGAACACAGAAUUUGAGCAUUUUUUGAAUAUUUAAAAAUUCUAUUCACCUAAUCACAAGUUAGGAAUUUGUUUAAGUGAUCUAUAAGGUGAUAAAAUGAAUAGUUUAAACUUAGCUCAAAAUUUCUCACUCCAAUCAUAAGGCAAAAUAUUAAUUAAAUUAAGAAUGGAGAGAGUGAGUUUGUCUAUUUGACAAAGGAAGCAAAUACAGCUUCAAGUGGUGAAGCUUGGUGCUAGAAUAUUGCCCAUCUUGAAUCCUUUUUGAAUAUAGAGAGAUCUAAAACACAAAACUCAAGAUAAAAGAUUAGUCCAAUAAUUGUAAUUAUUUGUUAUCAUCAAAAUCUAAUAGAAGAUUAGGACCACUUGGCCAACAUACCAUGCCUUCAAUGAUAAGCAAUGCAUGCAAUGUCCAUUUUGCAAUAAUUUUACUAUUAUGCUAAUAUGAUGUCAUGAGUAUAUAUGCAAUAUAGUUAUGCAAUCUACCAACAAACACUAUGUCUUCUCAAGUAUGAAUGCAUAUCUACUAUGCCAUUCAUGUUCUUUGCCUAAUCUGCUUGGCUAACCCGAAGGUUAUGCUAUCGACUCACUCUCAAAUCUUAUAGGUGAGGAGAAUCUGCACUCGCACACCGAGACCGUCUGUCACGCCCCGCGACCGCCCACCUAUUUGGCCGGGUCGCGGCGCCGCCGACAGAUCGCCGAACGGACAGGGUUUCCCCUGUACUGCGGACAGAGUCUCCCCUGUACGUUCAAGGCAUAGCAAUCAAUACAAUGUGCGAAGUUCCAACCAGGAACACAUUUCAAUCAAGGAUUGCAUAAUGGAAGGUAUCAAACAACAUGAACACAUCCUAUAUUAUUACAUUCAUUCAUAUUCAUACAUUUUUACAUCCCAAAUACUUAUUACAUUUAACUUCCAAAUACAAUCCGAUUUAACAAUAUUAUUACAACUUGAUCCUUUUCAUUUUCUUGCAUCCCUAAGUAAGGCCGACUCAGGGUACCGCUAUCUCUGGUCUCGGUGGUAGGGCGCUAACUAUGGAGCUACGCCCUCGCCUCGCGCCGCCGCGCCGCUCACGUGCGAACCUGUAACACCCCAAAACCACGUGGGGUGAGAACCAACUCCAUGGUUCCCAGUGGGUACGGCCACCCAAGGGAAAAGCUCGACCAAUAGGUCCAAGGGAGGCAACUGCAAGUUAGUUCAAUAAACAGAUAGAUAUAUAUCUUGAUUAUGCAACGAAUAAAACCAUGCAUUGCCUCACGAAUGCAAUAAUGCAAUGCUAUAUGCAAAUCAUGCAAUAAUGCAACUAUGCAACCAACUAGUAGUUCAUUCGAUACUACUUUCAAUUCUGCUAACCAUAGCUCAUCCAUUUGAUAUCUAAGGUUUCCUCUAUCUUAGAUUCUUGUCAAUCACCGUUUUAAUCAUAAAGUUUCAUCUACCUUUACAAGGCUAACCACCCGACUCGGUCUUGAGUCAAUCGUCUGCGGAGUACCGCACUAGAACCAGGCUCGAGGCGAUGGACGUCUCACAUACACCUCAGCCCUAGAUCCUCUCGACUAGGAUACCAAAUCCAUAACUCAUAAUGCAUACUUGUUGUACACUCAUUUGGCUAUGACCCAAUCUUACCGGUUAACCAUGUUAACCCCAAUAACUCACUACCAAAAUCCCUUAAUAACGGGGGACUCGAACCUCCCUGGGGACCGUCAUCUGGGGGGACUUUACCACGCCCAGUGGUGACCAACUCCGGAGCGCACCGCCCGAGGGGGAGCUACCUCCCUCAAGCCAAGACGUAACGUGAGUAUCGAUCCAAUCCUCAACUUGAGGAUUCAUAGCCACUCGUCACAAUGCCAAUGUCAUGAUAGGUCUCUACCUAUUUAAUCAUGCCACUCUCUAUGUCAACUUGGACCAAUGUCAAUAUGGUUAAACUAUGUUUAACAAUCACUUUCUUGAUGCCAAUCAUGUCUCUAUUGUCAUUGUCACCCUUGUUUACUAAUGUUCAAGUCCAACUCUCACAUUUACACAAUAAUAGGGUCCUAACAUACAUGAAUGACACCAGAAUAUAUAUGAUCAAUCACCACAAGUGUUUGCUAGGUUCAAGAUGCUAGGUUUAAUGCCACUCGAUCUAAUAUAUAUAUAGAUUGUCCACUAUGUUCCACAACAUGGCAAUAUGUCAUCAAGUAUGUUUUUCUAUUUAACAUAAUCCACAAUAUGUAAAUUCAUAAUAUAUCAUCAUGCACAUAUACCACUAGCAUCACAUGAUUUGUCAACAUACAUAUAGUCAUUAUCCAAAAUAGUCCAUACUUAGCAUCUCAUGCAUUCUUUUAGCACUUAAUUCAUUAUGCAUUACAUUUAGCAUAUUCUACAACAUGUCAUCAUACAUUCCUUUUAUGAUGUUCUUAUAAUGCUAACAUUCAUACGCCCUUUAUAUUAUGCAUUCAAAGCAUUAAUCAUAUGCAUUUAUCUAGCAUUUCUAUAGUAUGUUAACAUGCAUUCUUUUCACAUUCUUAUAUUAUGUCAAUAUGCAUCAAUAUGAAAUCUCAUUUCUUAGACAUAAAGGGCGACCUAGUCGCUUCGGUAAGCACAACCCACCUCAUUUCGCAUUCCGAUUGCUUGUCGACACUUGCAAUCGGCCUCCCGCGGCACCCGGCACCCGGUUUGGCCCGAUCUCUCACGCGACCACCCGAACGGCCUCCAAUUCACGAUCCGAAAAUUAAAGGUCUUCGGUUAUGUGCCACGAUACUUCAAAUCCAUUUUCAUGAGUUUACGAUAUCGCCUCGGCCCUCCAGGCGAAAACGAAGCCUAAACGUCUAUUUCUUUAAUAACUUCGCAACGGCUCUACGAAUCGUCGAACCGUCUUCGCCAACGCGUUCGUUUACCUAGCAAUUUGGUUUACGGAGGGUCAAAUGAGAUCAAACCCAUAUAUUUUACAAAACCCCAUUCGGAGCCCUAACAUGCAAUUAACCUCUAAAUAAUCCAAAUUAAAUAGAGCAAACAUGUUUAGAAUGCUCAUUAGAGGCUAUUAGAACACUUAAAACUAAGGAUUAAGCCAAAUCCCAAAAGCUUACCUCAAUGUGAACGCCGCGACGAAAAUACGCCGCUCCAACGGGCGCACGAAAGCUCGAUCCGUCGCCUCCAAUGCGUUCGCAAGCAUCUUCUCCACCAACCCUCCAAUUUUUAGAGAGAGAUUUAGAGAGAUGAGGGAGAUAUCUAGAGAGAGGUAGAGGUGUUUCUCUCUCUAUCUCCAUGAGUGUGCGUGUGUGUGUGGCGUGUGUGCGGCUGAAGGAGGAGGAAGAAGCUUCAGCUUCUUUAUAACACACCCCAAGACACUAUUCACUCCCGGGCAGCUUGAAAUCUGAUAACUUUCGCCGGAGCUCCCUGAAUGUCCGUUUGAGCUCAAACUUGACAGUCAUGUUCGGUUUUACUUAACUUAACAAGCUGACGAUCGCUGGUUCAGUUUCGACCCCGUUUGGUCACUGAAAACUGUACCGAACUGUAAUCUUUAUCAGAUAACUGUCGGAUUUUAUUUCUCACUCUAUGGGUGUCAGAAAAAUAUGAAACCUUAAAUCUAGCCUCAUAAAAAUAUUUCUGACAUCUCUGCCAAUUUUCAUAAUUUUCUGAGACUAUGCAUUUUCUGCUAAUUUUUCUGUCCCGUUUCCAACAGAAAAUUCUAGAUCUUCUGUUUUCAUUCCGAUUUCUGUACAAGUCACUUCUGACUUAUGUUUUACUCCUACAAAUCCAAUAAAAAUAGUUUCUGACACUAUUUUUAUUUAUUUUUAUUUUUAUACCAAAAUCUGGUAUGUUACACCGUCUGUGGGACAACUACGUCUGCCCCUGUCGUGAAGUACUCCGGAGACCACUACUUGAGUGGAGCGACCAUCUCAAGUGUAAACAGCCUAGUGAGGAUAAUCCAAUCCUCACAAAAGGAUACCCUAUCUACAAGGGUCAUAGUGCCUCUGCUGCACAAUUCAUAAUGCAUAAUUCAUUACUCGGGAACUCUACUAUCCCUAGAAUCAUGUCAUUUUUACUACUCUAGAUUUGAUGCCACUCGUUCAAUCAUUGUAGUAAAUGUUUUCUACUAGUUAACAUGCCACUCGUUCAUGUUUAGUGUUUCUACUACACUAAUCCAAAUGCCACUCUUCUAGGCUAUUACUUGUCCAAGUUCAUCUUUUUAUGCCACUAUAGGAUUUCUUGUCACAAGACCCAAUCCUCAUGCAUUCCUAGUCCAUGUGUCAAGCCUACAAUGCUACACUACUAAGAAAGCAUGCAAGGAAUUAGAAUUGCAACUAUCUACUAAUCCUAUAAUGCAUAAUGUCAAUAUAUGAAUAUGAUCAACAUAUAGAACUUAGACAUAAAAGAAAACCCGGUUGCUUCGGGAUGGACAACCCCCACCUUCUUAUGCUACCAAGGGGCUAGAGUUCUUAUUUCGUGAUUUUUGGAAGCUUCCUCGGCGUUCCAGGUGAAAACGAAGCCAAAAACGCCUUUUUCCUCAAUAUCUCUUGCGUAGCCUCGACGAAUCGUCGAACCGAGGGCACGAACUUGUUCGUAGACCUCUACUAAGCUUCUUCUCCAAGCAAAGGAAGAAGACGGCAAUGGAGGUCCUCUCCUUGGUCUUUUUCUCCUUCCUUUUCCUUCUCUUCUUUUUCUCCUUCUUUUCCUUCUAGAGAGAGAAGGGGAGAGAGUGUGAGUAUGUGUUGGAGGGAAAUGAGAGAAGGAGAGAGAGGAAAUGCCCACUUAACCCUCUCAUUGCCUAAUUGCAAAAACACCCCUCCACUUUGCCUCUUUUAAACACCCCUCUACUUUGCCUCUUUUGCCAUGCCCAGACUGGGCAGAUUUCGGGUGCGGGGACCGGUGCCUCUACGGGAGGACCGGUCCCCGAGACUGCCUCACAUGCAGCGCCAUCAGGCUAGCCUUUUCACGUGUAUGAGAAUCGGUCCCCUGCUGAGAGAUUGGUCCUUGAGGGUUCGGUCCCCUGCCAAGAGACCGGUCCCCGAGAGCACAAUUCUGGCAGACAGCAGUCUGCCCACCUCCACGCGUACGGGGACCGGUCCCUCCCACCAGAGACUGGUCCGCGAGAGCAACAUUUGCACGCAGAGUCUCCCUGCCGCAUUCUCUGCUUACAGGGACCGGUCCCUCCCACCAGGGACCAGUCCCCGAGAGCAAAAUAUGAAAUUUGUGCAGAUUUGCACAACUUGCUCUCGAGACCAACUCUUAUGCACUUUUUUCCUUUUUGACACUUUCGGCCUUUUCGAAGCAUACCAACACGACCCUUGGUCGAUUUUAAACGAUGUCCAACUCUCGUAUUUUGAGAAUUCACUUUCUUACAUCAAGUCUAACGGAGCCGAUCGUCGAUUCGGAAGCUCUAUCAUCGAAAAUGGCUUCGGAGCACGGAGGCCUCUGUGCUCCUAAUAGCACACAAGACCUACUAUAUAUAUAUAUAUAUAUAUAUAUAUAUAUAUAUAUAUAGAGAGAGAGAGAGAGANAAGUAUUUUCUAUCAAAAUUUGAAGAAAUUUAGAUUUUUCUACACCGUUAAACUCCAAACUCGCCAUAAUAGCCAUUGAAAAUUGAUAAUUUUUAAAUGGUUUGAUCAUAAAGUAAACUAUGUCAAAAAAAUAUAAAAUUUUAUUUCUAAAAACUUUAAAUACCCUAAAUCAGUUUUAAUGGUGUGGAUCGUUGAUUUGAAUGCCCUAAGAUCGAAAAUGGGACUAUAGUACCGGAGCCCCGGUACAAUAAAUAGUAUAGGAGACUAGCUCUCUCUCUCUCUCUCUUUAUAUAUAUAUAUAUAUAUAUAUAUUAAUUACAUGUGCUAUACAUAAUUGGCUCAUCAUAUGCCAAUAGGGUAAGCAUAUGACUAAAGGGAGUAUCGAGAUUUUAUGUCUUUAGACAUGACGUAUGAGACCACGCUUGCUUACCAAUUAUGCUCAUUCGCAUAUACUUGGUAGGGUCGCGCUGUAUAAGCAAACACUCCAAAGAUUAGCCCUCGCGACAUCAUGCUUGUUUUUACGGGACGCCAUGGGGAAGGCUCAUAUAUAGGGUGGAUAUGUUAACAAGCACAAGACCAUGAGGUAUGGCAUAAGCCAAGACUUUACCUUAUGAAAGUUCCUGAGAGAUUGGGUAAAGAUUAAUUACACUUAACAUUUGAACAUCACACAUGAUUGAUGCUUACAUAGUAGUGGGACAUUCAUUAUAGUAGUAGAAUUACUUUUUUCCUAGUUGUCACAUAUAGAGUCAUUAUAGUAAUAGAGCUACUUUUCUUUCAGUUAUUUUAUUUAUGCUUUUACAUUUCAGCAAUUAUUAUAUCUAUACCUAAGAUGACUUAGUGGAGUAGUACGCCUUUCUCGCCAGCGUUACCCACUGGGAACUGUAUGUUUAUAGUUCUCACUCCCAUUAGUUAACGGUUUUUAUUUCAGAGCCAUCCACAACCGAAGAGAUCAGGGGUGGCAAGAACAUUGCCGAUAGUUAGAAUCAUCUCGACUGAGCUUUCUUAGAGGUGGACCCAAUAUGCUUUUCAUUUUGGGGUAUAGAUAUAUAAGAGGUCUACAUGUAUUACUACUAGGUAGACUUUGAUGAGGUUAAUUUAUGAGAUGUACCAUUUUGUGAUGUUGCAUGUAGUAUACCAUGCAUUCGGGAGUUGUAAUUGAGAUGAUAGUUACAUGAUGUACAUCUUUUUUAGUUUAGCUUAUAUUUACUUGCUCUUAUUAUCAUAUUUAGAAUAUGUAUGUCAUUUUGGUGGAUUAUAUGUUAUAGAUGCCUUGUGUACGUAUCGGGAGUUACCUUUUGUUAGGAUUUGAUUAUAUUUAUAUAUAGUUAAUUUUCUAGUUUGAUAAGAAUUAAUAUUUAAAUCUAUGAGAGAUAAAUUAAGAUUUAAAUAUUAAUUAGAGUAUAAAUUUAAUUAGAUUAGGAUAAAUAUUUAAAGCUAUUGGAGAAAAACUCAAUAUAAAUUUAAAUAUUAUUUGAAGUAGGAUUCCUGAUAUACUAAGAUUAAGGUACAUUUUAGAGGAUGCAUUAUAUAAGCAUUUAAUUUAUAUAAGCAUCCUUGUGGGUAGUAGCCUGUAGAGAGAGAGAGGAGAGUACAACCAGGUUAAAAAGUUCUUGACAAUAGUAUUGAAUGUAUCUAGUGCACGGGUGCAUAUAGAGAGUUGUCUUCUGAGAUUAUAGAAGACGAGAGAAGGAUAGGAGAGAUUUAAAAGAGGGCUCGGAUUGUAGCUAAUCUAUAUAGAAGACGAGUCAGGUGUAAUAUUUUUUUAUUUAAUAAAUUUUAUUUUAUCCGUAUAUUUUUUAUUUUGAAUUUUCUCUUUUUAAUAAUUAUACCAAUUUUUACUGAAGAGAAGAAUUUAUGAUAAAAAUCCGAUUCGAUAUUUCUAUUGCGAAAUUCUAACAAUCGGUACCGGAUCAACAACAGUCGGUAUUGGAGCGAGUUGUGAAUUUUUAAAAUUUGGUAUUAAAGCGAGUAUCAGCUUCCUAAUACCUUAUACAUUCGGCCGAUCUAUGUACGAAUUGGAUAGGAUUCUGCUAGCGUUUAGGAUGUGACAAUUUAGUUCCUCUUUAGGGGACGAAAAUUCUAAAAAUCAGGAAAAAAACAAAAAAACAAACGAAAAAGAAUAAAAAAGUUCUAAUUUCCACCGCGUGCGGUUGUCAUCCCUACUCGAAGUGUCCCUUUCUUCCUAUUGAACCGUAGCAUUCUGAUUCAAGAAAUUCUAAAGAGGUAUUUGUGCGUCAGCAGUGCCUACCUGCAACCAGAAAAAAAAAAGGCAGCAGGAUCUUCUGACAAAAAAUGAAAGUAUUUAAAUACAAUGAAAGCAAUAAUCCCUGCCCUCUAAUUAAAAGGAGCGGGAUAAGGACAACAGCCAAAAACCAUGCCACUCGCGUUACUCUUCCUCUUCAGUUCCCUGCCACCCAAGCAAAAUAUUAGCGCAAGAACCCGGUGCACCACCGUACAGGAAGAACUCUACAACAAUUUAAAGAUCAAAUUUACAAACACAUACCAAUUGUGACAUAAAAAAAUUGUUUAUAUUUAAGAAAGAAUUUAAUAAUUUUGAAAUUUUACAAUCUAAGACCUUGUUUGGAAAAAUUUUUUUAUUGUUAUUAUUGAUUAAUUUGAAACUCAUUAAACUUAAUAAUAAAUGAUAACAUAUUUUGUAAAGAAAUUAAAAUUAAAGAAUUUAUUUAAAAUUUCUAUUUUUUUGUUUUCAAAUAAGUUACAUUCAAAAUAAAAAUUAAUUCUUUCUUAUACUAUUUUAUAUAAAUACUCUAUGUAUAAAAGGGGAAAAACAGAGAGAUAACAAUACCAAUGGAGCCUAUAAAUGUUAACAUGUGAUUCAAUGUCUAAAAACAUGUGAUGUUCUUGAAUCGUCCAUACAGAUGGUGCAAGCAAAAACAAUUGCGUCCCCCACGCGGGAAGCGUGUUCUCCAAGUUGAUCCACCUCCCCGCCCCGAUAUCCCGUUUGAAAUUUCCUUUACAUCACCCCUUCCUUACACACUCCCUCUUUCAUUUACUUCCCCUUUCCUUCCCGCGCUUUCUCUUUUCUUACACACUACCCAAUCCUCGAUCAGAUCGCUGCCAGUGGUCUCUACGGCCACCUCGCCUGCCUGCCUGCCUUUCGGACAAAUAUUACCUGUCCACCGCAACCAAUUCCGGCCGAAUCCCACGCAAUCUGUGCCGCCUCUCCGUUUCGCUCUUGCUCCUAUAUAUAUAUGUAUAUGAAGUACCGAAGGUACCUAGUUAAUUAUAAGCACCCGCUCCGGCCAUACAUACAAUACAACACCUGCUCAUAACUAACUGAAAAUUGAGCACCAAGUAAUACCGACAGAAAUCACAGCAGAUAUACUUCUUGUACAUAACAUUACGUACUGGAUUCAUUAGGAUUUGACGUAGCAUAGGUUAGACCGAGUAAUUCGAUUCCCAAGAUCUAGCUAGAUAGCCGGCCGGCCAGUAUUCGCAGCAGCUAGCAGUUCGAUUAUAUAGAAUGGAAGGCGAAUUAGGCGACGGGAGCGUUCGUCUGCAAAUUAUGGAGCAGCCGAGUGAGGCGAGCAUCUACAUGUCCACCUUAUUUGAGCCGCAGCGCGAGACGCCACCCUCGUGCGACGGCGACGACGGUCAUCCUCGCGGCGGCAGCUGCCCGUCGAUGUACUCGUGCCACGACACCUAUGAGGCCCCCGAGAAGAAGCUGACGCUUUUCGCUCUGCGGCUGGCCAUCCUGGAGAAGGCUGCGAGCGGCCUGGGCGCGCUGGGCUUCAUCUGGGCCACCGUCGUGCUGCUCGGAGGGUUUGCCAUCACGCUGGAGAAGAAGGACUUCUGGUUCAUCACCGUCAUCCUACUCAUCGAAGGGACGAGAAUCUUCAGCCGCAGCCACGAGCUGGAGUGGCAGCAACAGGCUACGUGGUCCCUCGCCGACGCCGGCCGCUCCAGCUUCCGCGCCCUCAAAUCCAGCUUCCGGUCCCUCAGGCUCGCCUUCCGGCCCUUCUCCAUCGACAGCGCCAGGAUCGCGAGCGACGUAUGCAAGACCGGCGAGCCGCCGAGGGGUGUGCUGGGGAGGCGGCGGCGGACGUGGCAGAGCGCCGACGUGCCGCUCCUGCCGUACGCCGGAUGGGUCUUCCUCUCGCGGAACAUCAGCCGCGUCUUCUACUGGCUGCAGCUGCUCUCGGCCUCGGCCUGCGUCUCCCUCUCGCUGAUGCGGCUCAUCGAGCAGGACUUCGGGGCGGUGCGUGCCGGCGACACGGACAAGACCAACCGCAAGUCGGCGCUGAAUAUCUUCUACGGGCUGGCGCUGGCCGAGGCGCUCAUGUUCCUGGCCGAGAAGGCCUUCUGGGAGUACAAGGCCAGCCACCAGCGGCUGCUCGAGCGCGUCAAUGCCGAGUGCCAGCUGGGCCCCUCCGGCAUGGUGUCGAUCAAGCGGUUCUUCUACGACGCCUACUCCAGGUGCGUCAACGGCAGCAUCUUCGACGGGCUCAAGAUGGACCUCGUCGCCUUCGCGGAGCAGCUCCUCGUGUCCAGCUCCCGCGACGAGCAGCUGAUCGGCGCCCGGAUCCUCAUCAGCUUCGCCACCAGCCGCCCCUUCGCCGACAGCACCCUCCGUAAGAUCGGCACGUCCACGGCGGUCAUCGAGCGGCUGAUCGACAUGCUGAACUGGAAGAACGCCAACCCGGCGGAGGAGGAGAUCCGGCGGUCCGCGGCCACGAUCGUCUCGAAGCUGGCGGGCAAGAAGCAGAACGCGCUCCGCCUCGCGGGGAUUCCGGGCGCGAUGGAAUCCAUCUCCUCGCUGCUGUACACCGGACGGAGCGUUCCAAGGCCGGGGGAGAUAUGCGGUGCUGCAGUACACGCCGCCGCUGCCGCCGAAGACCGAGCGAGCUGCUACGACUUGUCGGCCUUCAAUCUGCUCGGCCUGCUGAUCCUCAAGAAGCUCGCGCACGACCACGACAACGGCGACAAGAUGGGGAACGCGCGGGGCCUGCUGGACCGGAUCAUCGACUUCACGAGCAUGGGCAAUAAUGGCUUGCGGACCGAGUCGCAGAUCAAGGCGGUGAAGCGGUCGCUGCAGGUGGUGAAGAUGCUGGCGAGCACGACGGGGCACACGGGGAGGGCGCUCCGGCAGGAGAUAUCGGAGAUCGUCUUCACGGUCAGCAACAUACGAGAGAUUCUGCGGUGCGGGGAGCAGCACAUGGAGCUUCAGAAGCUGGGGAUCGGGAUCCUGACGAGCCUGGCGAUGGACGACGAGGGGAGAGAGAGGAUCGGGAGCACGGGAGGGAUGAUCAGGGAGCUGCUGAGGAUAUUCUUCUUCCGUCCGACCACUCCUGCCCCUGCCCCUGCCCCUGCCCCUGACAAGGAGGAGAACGCGGUGACGACGGAAGCAGGGGAGGCGCUCUCCAUGCUGGCGCUGGAGAGCAGGCGCAACUGCGAGAGGAUCCUCAAGCAGACGGACGUCGUGGAGAGGCUUGUGGCGGCGUUGGACGAGCCGGCGCUCCGCAUCGAUGCUUCUAGGAUUCUGCACAAUUUGUGCGCCUACGCGGGCUCCCAAUGCUACCUUCGACUGAGGCCGGUCACCCACGGCAUUACCACGGUAAUUAAGCAGGAAUAAUGGUAUAUCACAAUAUAUAUAUUUUUUUUAUAUCUUUGAUCAAAUUUUCCUAUUCUUAUUAUUUCCGGAUGUUUGGAAUAAACUGUUCCAUUCGUUUGCCCUUUUGGUUUGAACUUUUAAGUUUAAGUUUUAUUAAUAUUUUAAAUUUUAAAUUUAAUUAAUGUAGAUUGUAUAGGCACGAUAUCUUACUAAUUAUUAUAAUAAAUUAUUAAUUAUAUUAUAUUAACACAUAUUAUUUGUAUUUUAAUAAAGCAUAUUUAAAUAAAUUAUUUUUAUUAAAUUUAAGUACAAGUAAAAUUUGAAAAAAAUAUUUUUUCUAAUAAAUUAUUAUUAUAAAAAAUUAUUUUUAUUAAAUUAUAUUUUAUAUCAAAUUCAACCACUGCUUUCUUUCCGAUCUCCUCUACUAUUCUAUAAAAUUAAUAAUUACUUAUUCUUGAAAAUAGCAAUAUUGUAAACCAAACACAAUUUUAAUUUUAUUUCUUACUAUUCCGUAAUAGUAAGUUAUUUAAAAAAUAAAAAAAUUAUUCCAAUGUUCAUUAUUUUUGAACCAAAAGGUGUCUGAAAAAAAAAAAAGAAAGAAAAAUAACUGCAAUAAUCGAUACAAAUUUUGGGGCAUGCACUGUGGAAUUAUAGCUAUAUAUAAAAAUAUAUAUAGCUGGGCGCUGAUUGAUUAUGUCCCUCGUUCUUUCAGCAAUUCAAUUUCUAGCAACAAAGAAAGCGUUUAGCAUACAAGUAAAACUUUAAAGGUGCAUAUCAAAGCAGAGUAGUGCAUUCAAUCUCCAUAAUUAUUAUUUUUUUUUUUUUCAAAGAGAAAGAUAGCAUGCUAUCAGUUUCAUUUAUUUUUUUUUUAGAAAUAAAACUUAGUUGAAAAUAUGAAUCAAAUAGAAUUCGAAUUUGAAAUCUUGAAUACCAAUCACAAAACUCUUUACUACUUGCGGUAGGAACGGUACAUCAAUCUCCAUAAUCUCCAUAAUUGUUAGCUCAGCUAUUUGGAGCCUCCUGGGAACGGGAAGGAAUAUACGAAGAUUGUGCGAGUACAUUUGAAAAACAUCAAAUGCGUAUUACUUGUAUCUUCAUAAUCAUUUUGUCCUUGGGGUGAUUAGAAGAGCUAAAAUCAUUGUUAGAACAUUUCUACGGUCGUCGAGCAACCCAUAAAUCGAUCUGCAGCUAACGCGGCAACUCCGUUUCAAAUUUUGACAUAAAUCCCAUAAUUUCCUAGUAUACCAUUUAUGCUUACCUGAUUUUGGUUUUCCUUAUUUUACCCUCUUCCUAGCUAAUCCGAGCAAUGAUCACUCCCACUUGUAAUCUCAAGUAAAACAUUAAUUGAACUCCCAAACUGGUCGACGCGUAGCUGAAUGCGUGUAUCUCUGCAGGUGCUUAAUGCAAUCAUGGUGGAGAAGUCGAAACUACUCGAGGUCUCUCUCGGUCUCACCUCUCAAAUGUGCAAAUUCAUGAGCGCCGAAGAAUUCAGCGGGCGAUUGUACAAAUCCGGCAUUUCAGAAUCCGACUUUGUGAUCAACCUGAUCCGCAUUCUAAACAAGUAUAACCAUCCAUCCGUAAAGGUUCCCAGGAUAAGGAGGUUUGUGAUUGAGCUGGCGAUUUGGAUGAUGAGAGCAGAUUCAAACAAGAUCAAGCUAUUCAUCAGUUCUGGGAUGGAGAAGGAGCUACGAUCUGUAUCGGAGACAACUUCGGAGCUCGAGUGUUUCAAUGUUUUCUCCGGUAGCGUGGGACUCAGUCCGCAUGAUGUUAGUCUUUGUUCUUUAGUAGACACGGCACUGCUACUGAUGGGAAAAAGCUAGCUAAAUGGAGAUAUUCGUUACGUACAGAAUAAAUGUAAUAUCAAUUGUUAAGCAAUUCUUUCAUUCAUCCUAUGUAUAAAUUUACUCAUUUUGGACACCGUUCGGCUUCGGCUUUAUCUAGCUAAUUUGGUGGCGCGAUAAAAGAGUCUUAUUUGGUAUCAUUUUCUAUCUAUUUUUCCAACCAUUUCAAUCGCCUAAGGUGUGUUUCCCCAGUUUAUGCAUAAUAGAUGUGUAGACAUGCAUUAAUGGACAAUCAAUCAUCCACUUAUGCAAUCUAUCACACAGAUUUGUCGUUUAAGAAAACAAAAAAUGACAAAAUAUUGAACGCGUUAAUGUUUGAUCAAUUUGGCCCUGCUAAUCAUAGUUAAAUUCAUAAUAAACCUCAACGUACUUUCCCUCUAUAUUUUAGCAUUUUUUUUUUAUUUUACCAUUCUGUGAUUUUAUUUUCAUGAAAAACAUUUGCCGUCAAAUAGAAUUGUAAAGUAAUUUUCCUUUGUUUGAAAGGAAUGUAUUGUUAGAAAUUAACCAGCACAAAAAAAAAAAAAAAAAAAAGAAANUAAUUUUGAAUUUUUAAAAUUUUUCGGAAGCCAAAUAUAUAUCACAUAUGAAAAUCAAAAAAUAAGAAAUCAAUUCAGUGCCGGAAAAUCACUCUUAUGUUACUAAGCAAAAAAUUUAAUUUAAACAAAAAUUCUUUAUAUUUAGAGAUUUUACCGUGGACCAAUUAAGGUCUCUUAAUCUACUGUACGGUUGGUUGGUAGUAUAUGCUUCGAUCAUUGAUCUGAAAUUUUGACAUAGCCGCACACGUGCCCGUCCUCUACGCGUAAUCCACACCGAAUCGGCGCAUACCCGAUUGUUUUCCUGGAAAAUGAACAACAAAAAAAUGAAAAGAUUUAAAUAAAUCAAAAGAAAAUGAUAUGCAUGGGAAUUUAUUAGGGGUGCAAUUUUCUUAAUUUUUUUUUCUUAUCUUGUACUUUUUGGACUUUAUUAGAGGUGCAAUUUUCUUAUUGUAUUUUUUGGACUAUAUAUUCUUAAAUAGCGAGAAAAGAAAUAUAUAUAGUACAACAGAUAAUAAUUUUUAAAGAUAAAAGAGUUCAUACUUUUCGGAUACCCGUAGGUACCCGGUUAACCACGUCCUCUCUAGUACAUUUAGACCACCACCGAUUAGGCUGGUUGUGAUUAAAAUAUCUCUCUUCCAAUUAGUUAAAAAAAAAAGAGGAAGAGUAAAGCAGUUAAUUACGGAAACAUAUAUAAAAUCCGAACUUAAAGCAACAUAACUAAGGCGGAGCGGGUGCAUGAUAUUUGCGGUUAAAACUUUUGUAAAUUAUUUAGGUAGGUUGAACUUUAAAGCUGAAAUUAAUCAUUUUUUUAAUUAGAAUAGAAAGUGAAAUAAAAAAAAUAAAAAAUAAAAAAAAAUGAAAAAGCUAGAAAUGCAUCAUCUGUAUGUGAAUAAGGUGCAAGACUUAGCAGUAGGAAGUGUUUGGGGGCCCACUUCAAUGUAGUGUAACUUGUGAAAGAUUAAUCGAGAUAAUAAUAUAGGCAUAUAUACCCAAAUCGUUAAUAAGUGCUUCUUAAUUUCUCAAAGAUGAAAAUUUAUAUUAAAAAAAAAAAAAACUUUCAAAUACUACUAGAAAUAAAGGGGAUCACAAAUUCUCUCUGUAUUGGAUUGAUAUUGCAUAUGCCCAAUAAAACCCAACAAACCAUGAAUGCAAAAUGAGAUUCAACAAAAAUGGCAUAACAUAACACUCAUUUUUUUUUUUUUUUUGAGAAAGAGGUAGCAAGCUAUCUGCUUCAUUCAUUAAGAAAAAUGAACUUAGCGUACAAAAUGAAGGCAACUAAGGCCUCCUACAAUACCGGGUAACAGAGUAAGAAAAACCAACAAAACGAAAAAAAACCACACCAACGUAUCGUUCUGCGAAUUAAACAAUUAAGUCGAGGUAUAAAGUAAAUACGACUAAAGGAGAGAUCGCGAAGGAUUGAACAGUCACGGCUCAAGAGCUUCAGUCCAGUCUUUCCUCAGCGAAUCGACUCGUUCAACAGCUCGGGUAGCAUUCAGACUCACCUCGCGGAAGAUGUUGUUGUUACGCUCCGUCCAGACGACCCACCAGAUCGCCGCCAAACGUGUGAGCCUAUUUGUUCUCAGCCGGACAUUGGGGUAAUUAGCAGUCUCUGACCAUAGACGCCUAACGUCACCUGUGUCAGGUUCCCUUGUAUCCGAACUCCCAGCAAAAAGAAGGAGGUAUCUGACGAAGACACAUCCUCGGAAAAGGUGAUCACAGUCCUCCAGUGCGACCGCGCAGAAAAUGCAAUACGGGUUCGCCGGGCACCCUCGUCGAAUCAAUCUAUCCGCCGUAAGUAAUCUCUUACGAAGUAGAAUCCAGAUGAAGACUUUAAUUUUGGCAGGAAUAUUUAAUUUCCAAAUGUGUACGCUACUUAAGUCUCUCAGGCCUGCAUCAGUGAUGAAAUCGUACAGGGAUUUAACUAUAAACAUUUGAUCGGUGGUCCAACGCCACUCAACUAUAUCCGUAGUGUCCGUAGGAGAGUAACUGGAGAGCAGGUUUUUUAGCAAGCCGAACUGAUGACGUGCAACAAUGUCUAUAGUUGUUGCGAGACCCUUGCCUAUGAAACGCCAUCUCUACCCUUUAUCGUUCCAACAUUGUGCUACCGUAACCCCGUUGUUCACAAUUCUGGAGUAAAUUCCUGAAAACCGAGUGAUCAGAGGGGUUUCUUCAAUCCAAAUGUCUGACCACAUCCUUAUAUUUUUUCCGUCCCCCAGCCUGUAGACGACCCCACAUUUGAACACAUCCCGACAUUUUAUCACACUUCUCCACCACUGGGAAUAAGGUCUGAAGGUUCUACCCUCGUGUAACGGCCUUCUUCUGGUGUAAUAUAAUGCCUUAAUCAAUCUCCCCCAUAGCGAUUGCGGCUCUUUGAAGAGGCGCCACCACCAUUUGGAUAAUAGUGCCAUAUUCAUAGCUUCCAUAUCUUUAAUCCCCAACCCCCCUUCUUUUUUGCUUUUGCAUAUCGACCUCCAACCAAUAAGACAUGAACCCCCUGAAAUUUUGGAACACCCUUUCCAAAAGAAGGAUCUUCUUAGUGCUUCAAUACGAUUCAGAACCCAUUGUGGCGCUUUGAAGAUUGCAAAGUAAAAUAAAGGUAAAUUUGAGAGCACCAAGUUGACCAGGGUGAGACGUGUAAGGAAGUGAAUUCUCGAAAUGUGAGGAUUGUACUUCAUCCAGGAUCGACUAAUUGUCGAGAGUAUACCCUUUGUGGGAGUUGGGAAUACCCAAAGCACAAAAAGUUCCUUGGAGUUGAGUCCGCGAGAGCAAAUGAGGCAAUUACAUCAUUGGGCUGAUGUUGCUCUCGGGGACCGGUCUCUACAGGUGAGAGACCGGUUCCCCUGGCUGGGUGUAGCGGGGUUGCGUGAUGCAACCGGUCCCUGGCAGGGAGGGACCGGUUCCCGAACGUGGUCCCAGUGAGAGAUGCCAAAAAUUGGCUAAGUCCUGAAAAUCGAGCUCUCGGGGACCGGUCUCCCAGGUGAGGACCGGUCUCCCGGGGAGAGACCGGUUCCCAAACGCGUGCGCUCGAGGGGAGGCCCUCGGGGACCGGUCCCAAGUCGGGGAGACCGGGCCCUCCGCGCGAAAACUGCCCAGUGAGAGCAGUGCGCAGGAGUGAAAGUUGAGGGGCCUUUAUGCAAAAUGGCUUAUAUUUGAGUGGGCUGAGCCCUCUCUCUCCCUCACACUCUCUCAUUUCACUCUCUCUCACUCUCUUGCUCUCUUGCUCUCUCUCUCUCUAGAGAUAACAAAGAAGGAGAAGAAGAAAGAGAAGAAGAAGAAGAAGAAGGAGGAGAAGAAGAAGAAGAAGGAGGAGAAGAAGAAGGAGGCUAGGAGCAUCUUCCUCUCCCUCUCCUCUUCCCAUUGGUGUAGCUCAAGAGGUAAGCUACAACCCUAGCUUCUAGAACUUAGGGUUUUUGGGUUUUAUACCUUGGAAUGGGUCAAAUGGACCCUAAGCAAGCUUCUAAAUAGAUCAAUCCCAAGAAUCUAGGGAUUUAUUGGGUGGUUUGCUAUAGGUGCAAAUCUAGGGCUCCAAAAUGGGGUUUUUGUAAAAGUACGAGAUUGAUCUCAUAUGAAGCCUUGGAAACCCUAUUGAUAGGUCUCAAAAUGUGGGGGUGAAGUCGAUUUUGGCAUUCGGCGAACCGACGUGAAGUUCUCGGCAAAAUCGGGCCGGGCUAGUGUUGAUUCGGGCGAGGAAGGCUAAAGCCUUUUCGUAGAGCUCGCCGAGAAGGAUUUUUCCAAGCCUCUACAUCGAUUAAAGGUAGGGGGUGUCAUCCGAAACUUUCGAACUCCUUUCUAUGUCUUAGCUUGCAUUUAAUCUCAUCUCUUCAUGUUGCAUUGUAGGAUUGCAUAGUAGCUCCAUUCCUUAUGCUUUCUAAUUGAUAACCUAGUGUACUUGGAACGCUUGGUAACUAGAUAGGUGAGGAUUGGGUCGGAACGUGGAUCCUAUGAUGCUAGAGAUAGAGAUGAACCCGAUGGGGGUAUUGAUGACAUAGAAAGUAGUGUUAUGGUUAAAGAACAAACGAGUGGCAUUAAUGUAGUGUAAUGACACUAGAGGUCGAUGGACCUAGGGAUAGGUGGAUCCCUUAGAAAAUGCCUUGUGAACAAUGAAUUUAGAAAACUAAAUAGCAUUGCAUGAAUGUCGGGAACCGAUGAUUCCGCGAUAGUCGUUGACCCUAGUGUAGGGCGUCCUCACUUGGAGAGGAUUCGAUUGGGUUAUUGACUCUAGUUGUAGAGCCUCCUCACUUGGAGAGGAUUGGAUUGGGUGUUGACCCUAGUUACAGUGUAUCCUCACUUGGAGAGGAUAGAUCUAGCUCACAGUCUGCGUUUAGGAUGGUAUAGCCAUCCAAUCCCCACAUGGAGGGGAUUGUCGUCGAGUACUCCGGAGUGUCGCGCGACUAGGACCACUUGGAGGUCCGGACCACAUGGAGGUCCGCAGACGGUCCCGGGCUUGGGUGCACUUGGAGCUCCCUCCCCACUUUGGGAUUUGAAGGUGAGUCAUGGGCGAGCCCUAGGGCCUCGCCACAGAUUGGGUAAAUGAAAAAGGUUAAAGGUUUAUAAAUGUCAUUGAACAUUACUAUUCGAACAUGGAUCGAAUUUGUUAGCAUGGUAGCAAACCUUUAUUAUAUGAUGCAUGCAUUCAUAUUCAUGAUUAUGGGCAUAGUAGCAUAGUUUUCCUACUACUGCAUUUACAGCUUUCAGAUACAUAUCUAUCUAUCUAUCUGUUGUUACUUGUGCCCACUUGGACCUAGUGGGGAGAUCGGCAGAGUCGGCGGCCGAGCCCACUGGGAACUAUGGAAGAUAGUUCUCACCCCACUCUAUUUCCAGUGGUAGGUUCAGGGCUGCAGAGAGAGGACCGCGGCAAGGGCAUCGCGCCCGAUCAGUGAGGCCGUGGUAGUGUAGUAGCUUUCCCUUUUGCAUUAGUACACCUAUGUAUUGAGAGUGAUUCAUGUAGGUGAGAUUGGAGAGCUAUGUAUUUUGAGGAUCAAAUGUAUUCAUUUUGGAAAAUGAUGUAAAGGUAAAGAAUGUAACUAUUGUAAUAGUUAGUAAGUACUCUCUUUAUUUCACUCGUAUAUCUUGUGGAUUGCUUGCUCUUCUUGUUGUUUGCACUGUUUGUGCCCUCGUUGAAUGUGUAUGUUUAGAAUUUAAAGUCCUGGGUAAAUUCUUGUACACAUUCCUGUCGUUGAGCCUUGGGCGGACAAGGGAGGUGUUGUCCGUUCGGCGGUUCGCCGCCGCGGCCGAGCCGUGCCAAAUUGGUAGUGGUUUCGGGGCGGGGCGUGACAAGACGACCCCCAUAUGAAAGAAGUUUAGCCUUCCAACCUUCAAUGCGCACCUCGAUUUGGCUUACAAUCGAAAUCCAAUCUUCCCUUCGAAGGGAUUUGAUGUGAAGCGGCAGCCCCAAGUAGCGGAAUGGAAGAUUGCCUACUCUACAACCCAAAAUAUCUGCGAGUCUAUUGGCUCUGCUUGUAUUGGAGCCCAGGUAAUAAAGUUCCGUCUUGUUCAUAUUUAUCUUAAGACCCGAGGCCCACUCAAACAUUUUCCAUAUGAACAGCAGGUUUCGCAUCGCCGAUUUCUUUGGUUCCGAAAAGAAUAAAGUGUCAUCCGCAUAUUGGAGAAUUACAGUUUGGCAGUCUACGGUUGGACCAAUUCCUUUAAGCAAGUUAUUACUCAUGGCUGCUUCCGUAAUCCUAGCAAGACAAUCGGCCACUAAAAUGAAAAGGUAGGGGGAAAGCGGGUCCCCCUGUCUAAGCCCUUUCCUUGUUUCAGCCAUGUCGUCGGCUCGUCAUUAACUAAGAUGGCGAUUUUAGCAUUACAGAUGCAUUGUUCGAUCCAGGACCACCAUUUGUUGCUGAACCCAAGCCACCUCAAUAUGCAUUUUAGAAAGGUCCAUCUGACAUUGUCGUAAGCUUUCUCGAAGUCCACCUUAAUGCUGACACACUCCUUUUCUGAUUUUGCGCACCAGUUGAGAAGUUCAUUUGUCGUAACAAACGAAUCGGCUAGGAGACGAUCCUUCAAAAAAGCCGCUUGUGCUGGAGAAAUGAUCGUCGGUAAAAUGAUCGCAAGUCUAUUUGCUAGUACUUUUGAGAUGAUCUUCUGAAUUCCAUUCAUGAGGCUUAUCGGUCGAAAGUCGUUAGCACUACACGCACCAUCCUUUUUCGGAAUAAGACAGACGUAUGCGUAGUCUGUUGGGGCCGUGUUGAGAGUGUUAUCCUGGAGAUCGAUGAAUAUGCUGAAUAUACUCUCCUUCACCGUCUCCCAGAAGUGCUGAAAAAAGAUAAGAGGGAAACCGUCCGGUCCAGGCGCUUUAUCGCUGCCUAGUUGGAAGGUAGCUUUCUUAACUUCUUCGAGAGUAAAAGGGCUAGUAAUGGAAUCCAGGUCGGAGAGCGAGUCCGCGCGAUACAAGUCGCUCCAAUCUCCAAUCGAUGAGGGACCCUCCUCCGCCUGCCCAAAAAGACGUUUGAAGGAGUGGAAAAAAUAAGUUCUCUUUUGUUCCUCGUUGUGGAUAAGUCUUCCAGAGUCAUCUUCAAUAGAUUCUAUCGCAUUGAUGCGCUUUCUCCCAUUGGCCACGGCAUGAAAAAAUUUUGUGUUGCUAUCACCUUCCUUGAGCCAGUGUUGUUUCGCUCUCGUUUUUCAGAGAAUUUCUUCCUCCUUAAGGAUUAGUUGAAGUUGUGACUUAAGGUCCACCCUCUUAUCCCGCACUUCCUGUGACAGAAUAGUGUGUUCCUCUAAUAGGUCGAUACCUCGGAUUUCGUACUGAAUGCACCUUAUGGCGUUAGAAAUGCUGUGAAAGUUCGUCUUACACCACUCCUUCAUUCUUCCUCUGCAGUGUUUGAGUUUUGCCGUUAGAGUAAGUAAAGCCGACUUCUUGUUGGAGACUUCAUUCCACCAGAUCGGAACCUUGUCGCAGAAGUCGUCCUUUGUGAGCCAGACCUUCUCGAACCUAAAUCUCCGCCGAUUGUGGCCGGUCCCCAAAUUAAGGACAAUCGGGGUAUGAUCUGAUGUAAUCCUAGGUAGCGCUGAUACCCUACAGUGCGGGAAGGUUUGGUCCCAUUCCGUUGAGACAAGAAAUCUGUCCAGCUUGGCUAGAGUUGGUGUUCGUUGCAUGUUUGACCAAGUAUAUUUUUGAUUCGAAAUAGGCAGAUCGAUGACUUCGAGAUUCGAGAUAAGGUCGGAGAACAGGGACAUUGCUCUAGUCGACCAAGGAUUUCCGAAUCGUUCAGCUUGAUUUCUGGUGAGGUUAAAGUCUCCGCAGAUCACCCAGUUGCUGUUUGUACAGCACCCGCUCAGGGAGAGGAGUUUCGAACAGAAUUCUUCCUUCCCAUCCCAAGUUGGUGGCCCAUACACAUUUGAAAGGAAAAAGGUCUUCCCGCUUGCAACAUGUUUCAAAUUAAUAGUGAGCGAGCGGUCGCGAACUAAAGCCUCCGUGCAUAAGAAGAUUUUGGAAUUCCAACAAGUAAUUAAACCACCCGAAGCCCCACUAGCAGGGAUAAAGUGACAUUUAUCGAAAUUUGCUCCGCAACAAGAGCGAAGAAAAGAUCUCGACACCGACUCUACUUUAGAUUCUUGGAAACAAACGACAGACCAAAAGUGCUUAGACACGACAGACUUGACAGCACGACGCUUGACUGGGUCAUUAAGACUGCGGACAUUCCAAGAAAUUAUGUUAAACAUGAGAGACAACAACACACACAAAAGGCACCACCACUAGGAAUCCAGCAGACUACUGAUCACUCGCGCAAAAGGAACUUUCGAAGCUUCUGAGCGUCGGCCACACUGAGUUUCACCCCGCAACCGGCACUCUUCGAAAGAACCUUCUUGAUGUUCCACUUACGAGCAGGGGACCUCGAGCUGGAGGUCUCACCCUCCAGUAGGAGCGCUUUCCUGCGCUUAGCCCAUUCCAUAACCGACAGUUUCGCCGAAACCAGCAAACGCGGGCUGGAUCUGCUUGACCCCCUCAUCUCGGUCAUAACGGAACCAACACCUCCACCCAAAUCAGAUCCGCUAGGCAAGAUACGAGAGGUUUCGGUUGCGAUUGCGUUGUCGGGAAAAGUUGCAAGGGGCCCAACUCUGUCGCCUCCGACCAUCGGCCCCGCCGAAGUGAGAGCUGGAGGAUUUGUCGAGAGGAGAGUGGGUUCCAACCGGAGAUGGGUACUGGAGGAGGUGACGACGUGCGUUGCGUCGAUCCCAGGGGCCUCGCCUCGAACAGUCGGCCCACAAGGAUAAUGAGCUCCAGGGGUUCUAGAGCUAAGAAGCAAACCACCCAGAAAUCCACUGGGGCCCGAGCCUUCUGAAGAAAUGAACUUGAAGUCACCAUAUGGCCCCUGCGAAACAGAGCACCACGGGGGCCCGCACUAACAAGAGAUCCACCAAGAAAUCCACUGGGGCCCAAACUUUCUGAAGAAUUAAACUUGAAUUCACCAAGUAGAUUGGGGCCCACAGUAGUAAGAUACUCACCAAAUCCCUGAUAAGAAAGAGCCGCAGGGGAGCCCGAAAUAAUAAGUGGUCCACUGGGGCCCAAGCGAGGUCUCUGCUUGUAGGUGAUAUGCCCGAGUGGGCCCCAGUUGACUAAAUAAAAGAGCCUACCAGGCUGUCGGGUGUAGCACAAAAGCGGCCCGGAUCCACCUGGACCCAGCAGGCCCAUUCCUCCAAAACAUUCACUAACCAGCGGAUCUCUUCCCAACCCCACUUAUAAAGAAGGAGGGUGUUGUAUGACAGAGAAAGUCCCCGGCCCAAGACUCAAGGAGGAUAAGCCGAUCUCCGCAUUAAAGCCGUCUAAAAAUUCCCCAGGCUUGUAAUGAAUGGCAUGCCCACUUUUAGCCAUCAACUUAAUUGGGAGCACCGUCCAAUACCCCAGCCAUAGACUUUCCAACCCUGGUUGUAGGGACAUCAUGAUCACAGGAGGACGAUAUAUCACCGUCGAAAAUCCGAAAAGGGGGGCGCCGCCUGACAAAAUAACACUACGUACCCCACCCUCGAGGAAAAGCACAGCAAAUGCAACGUCAGCAGCAGUGUAAUUCAAAAAUUGAUCCGUUUCUUCGCGCUUUCCGAUGAUCACCGGCGCACUCCUACGAUCCUUCUCCUUGAAUCCUUCUCCUUGAAUCGCCAGGUAGGGAGAGUCGUGAUGUUUGGAGACUUUCGACACGGGGAUCCGUCUUUUGAGGCCACCAACCUUCUCCUAUCCCGGAUUUCCGACGAAUUCCAUGACGCGUCAGAGCUCGAAGAUCCUCCGGCCGACGACCGUCGCCCCCGGACAGACCCCGCUGAACGGCGCUGUACAUCAAUAGGCCUGUGCUGAGGGUCAUGUUGGUCAGUCCGUUCGUUGGGGGGAAUGCCAGGCGCGGCUACGUCGCGCCGACCCCAUCGCUCUAAUUGGAUCAGCACCGACAACGACGAGUCACCCACAACGAUUUCCAGAUUCUCCGGUAUGUCGGAGAGGUGAUUGACGGAAAUGAGACAACGGUAUCCAGUAAAGUCGACCAUGCGGACCGAGAAGUCGUCGGCUCGAAUGAACCGGCCGAAGCCUCCGACGAGCGCCGCCACCGUACGGGAGGACCAGCACUCAUAAGGUAAACUUACGAGCCGAUCCACACAUUAUAUGUUAGCAGCGCCCUGCGAGCCCCGAGAAAAGGGUUCCAAGGAAAACAACGAAGACGAAGGCCAUCCAGAGAGAGGAUCUCCCUGCGGAUAAGUUGGUCGCACGACACCCACUCCGGUAGAAAGAUUAUGAAGUCUCGUUCGCUAUAUCGGGCGACGUGGAAAUCUGAGGGAAAACCACCAAAACGGCUCGCCAACUUAUUCGCUAUCGUUUCCUGUGGGAAGUGGCCGAGGGUCCUGGGGGGGAGCACAUCAACCAGCAUCGCGUUACGCCUCCUAUUCUGUCGCGUGAAGAAGUCGUCUGUCAGGGGGACAAAGGCACUAAGAUAGGAGGGCCGGGAGCGCAUUGCUCGAUACACUUCCAUAGGCAGGCGAUCCAUACAAUAUCGUGCAAUAUGGCCCGUCUUGCGACACCUUACGCACCGGAUGGGAGCUCGGCACUUGGCCGCCCUGUGGGAAGUGUCCAAACACCUGUAACACUUCCCACUGAAGGAGACACUGCUCGGGUAGGUGGAGUGGUGGAAGGUGUUGAAAAUGUGAGAGCGACUAUGUUGUCGAGGUGGUAAAGAGGUGGGAGUAAGAAGAGCUUCCUUAUAGGUCUUCUUCAAACCAGAAUCAACAGAAUGGGUGAACUUCUCCUGUCUUCUGUCACUCCUCCAGCUUUCAGGCUUCGACGUGUCGAUGAGGCGAGAGUUGGGCGUCGUCUCCUGAGGGUUGAAAUGAGCCGUCCGAGUUAAUGCGCGUCCCACCGUAUCAGCCCACCGCACCUUCUUUGACGAAAGGCCAUCAAAGCAAGCUUUUCCAAAGUAGGUGACUACAUUAACUCGAGCCUCAUUUACUCUAGCCUCCUUCAACGGGGUUGACCUCUGGAAACUCUUCUGUAGGCUGAAUCCCACUUCAUCUACGGCCGGGACGCACGUCGAAGUGGAUGCGUCGGAGAACCCACGAGCAGAUGCCUCCUUCUGUUGACAAGAAAGAUCACCUGUCUUCUUCCUUGACUUCUUCACUACAGCACUCUCGUAUACUUUCUCCCUUACUAUCUCCUUACUUUUACUCUCUCCUUUCCCUUUAUCCUUUCCCUUCUCCUUUCCCUUCUCCAUGGUUUUUUGUUGUUGUUGUUCCAUAACAUAACACUCAUUAAAAGUAUAGUUUGGGCUGCACCAAUACGUGCUUAAAGAGAAAAGAAAAAAGAAAAAUAAAAAAAUAAAAAAAAAAUAAAAUGCUUCACUGGGAUCGUUUUUGGCCUUCGCUACGGAGAUGGCUGCGGCUUCUGCCUUGUGCGAUGUCGCCGGCGUUGUUAUCCACGGCAACGGCAGAGUCUAGCACCCUAUGAUGAGCAAGGUUGAUCUCUUUCUCUCUCUCUUACAACUUCUUCUCUUCCUCUUUUUCUUCUUCUUCUUCACCCUCUAUUUCUUACUUCUCUCUCUCUCUCUCUCUCUCUCUCUCUCUCUCUCUCUCUCUCUCUCUUUUUUGCUCUGAGUGUGCGUGGGCUGCCCCUUCCCGCUCGUCCCACUCGUCUCUCCCCGACGCCAGUUUAUAGGGGCUCCGGAGAACUAUAUCCCCAGAUCUCCGCUGGUGAUCGACGGCGACAAGACAGCUUGAUGGAUCUCAUUGCUCGCAUCACGUUGCUGAGCAGUAUGCAGAAUGAUCUCUUGUGCGAGUGUGAGCAGUAUCCGAUUGCAUAUGACAUGUGGGAGGCUCUCAAAGCAAAAUUUGGUGCAACUUCGGCUACAAGGUUGCGCGGUCUGACUAUGCGGUUUGACAGUUAUAAGAAGCGUGCCGAUCAGACUAUGAAACAGCACGUUAGAACAAUGUCAAACAUGAUUCGCGAGUUAAAGUCGGCUGGCGGCACCUUAACUGAUGAGCAGCAAAUCCAAGCUAUGAUUCGUUUCCUUCCCAAUUCGUGGGAACAUAUGCAAGUAAAUUUAACCCAUAAUGACAAUAUCAAAACUUUUAAGGAUGUUGCGCGGCAUUUGGAGUUGGAGGAGGAGCGCCUUGAGGCUGUUAAAACUCCAACUGCCAAUGCUGCUGAGUCAAACUUUCGCAGGACAUCUGGGUUCAAGCGAAAGAGGACUACUGGGGCUCAAAAUCGUAGCGGAUCCGCGCCUAAGAAUGCGAAGAACACUAAAAGAAAGAGAAGCAAACGAGGUGGCAAGAAAGACAAGUCAAAGAUGACUUGUUUCAACUGUAAUCAGCUGGGACACUUCGCUCGUGAUUGCACUGAGCCGAAGAAGGUACAACUCUAUCCCGAUUCUCGCUCUUUUGUUUCUUCUAACACGUUUGUUGCUGAAUCUCUCCCUGUGUGGAUUGUAGACUCAGGAGCAACAGACCACGUAGCGAGGGAUCGGAUGGGAUUCGUCGAGUACCGUCGCGUGCCUGCUGGGAGCAGAAGAGUAUACAUGGGGAAUGAUUCAAGUGUCGAUGUGUUAGGCGUUGGCACAUACAAGUUGAUCAUGCAAGGUGGUCGAACUUUAUAUCUACAUGAUGUACUUUAUGCUCCAGGAAUUCGGCGGAACUUGUUUUCUAUUCUUGCUAUGCUACAGUUAGGCUUUUCUUUUCGUUUUGAGAGUGAUGUAGUUAAGAUUCAUCUUGGAACUAUUUAUUAUGGAAGAGGUUUUAUGUCGAAUGGUUUUAUGGUUUUGGACAUUGAUUAUAAUAUUAAUAAUAGUGAUUCUUUUUCCCUGCUAUCUUCUGUUGAGAAUGAUCACAAUGUUUCAAUUAAAUGGCAUGCACGUCUUGGUCAUAUUGGGCAGGAUAGAAUGACUAGAUUAGUUAGAGACGGGUUAUUGAGCUCGCUCACUAAAGUCGACCUACCCACUUGUGAACAUUGUUUAGCGGGAAAAGCGACCCGAAAACCAUUUAAUAAAGCUUCAAGGGCAGAAUUUCCUUUACAAUUAAUCCAUUCCGACAUUUGUGGCCCAAUGAGUGUGAGGGCAAGACAUGGUGCUUUUUACUUCAUCACAUUUAUAGAUGACCAUACGCGCUUCGGUCAUGUUUAUCUGAUCUCCCAUAAGUCUGAAGUAUUGGAUUGCUUUAGACGUUAUAUAAAUGAGGUUGAGAAUCAGUUAAAUAUGAAAAUUAAAUGCUUAAGAACUGAUCGAGGCCGCGAGUAUCUAUCUGAACAAUUCAAGAAAUUGUGUGAUGAAAAGGGAAUAAUCAGACAGCUGACAAUUCCUGGCACUCCGCAGCAAAAUGGUGUACCGGAGAGAAGAAAUCGCACCUUGCUUGACAUGGUUAGGUCAAUGAUGGCGCAAGUAAAUUUGCCUGUCUCCUUUUGGGGAGACGCAUUGUUAACUGCUGCCUACAUUCUUAAUCGUGUACCCUCUAAAACAGUAUCUUCCACCUCUUAUGAAUUAUGGACAGGCAGGAAACCAAAUUUGGAGCACCUGCGUCCUUGGGGUUCGGCAGGUUAUGUACACAACACUUCUCACAAGCAUGGAAAGUUGGGUCCUAGAGGAAGGAAGUAUAUCUUUAUAAGAUAUCCUGAACACUCUAAGGGAUAUAUGUUCAUCGGACAGCAGCCAGAUGGAAGUUUGACUGAGAUUGAGUCACGAGAUGUUGAAUUCCUCGAGGAGGAUUUUCCUUAUAGAAGUGAGGUUCGAAAUGAAACUGAGUUCCAUGAGAUGGAUGACUCUAGUAUUGGCGCUUCUAUUCGCUCAAUUGAGGCAGAGGAGGCAACUCCGAUACCUCCUAGGGAUAGUGGGAGCGACUUGCCUUUAGAUAAGGAGCCUCAACUUCGUAGGAGCGCACGUGUAGGCGUUCCCCGUCGUCGUUUUGAGAUUGAGGGGGAGGCCUUCAUGGUUGCUGCACAUGAUGAUGAUGAGCCUAGAUCUUUCCAAGAGGCUCUCUCAUUACCUACUCAUAAGGAAUGGUUGGAUGCAAUGAUAGAGGAAAUAGAAUCGACGAAGUUAAAUCAUGUCUGGGACUUGGUUGACUUGCCACCAGGGCGCAAAAUAAUCGGGAAUAAAUGGGUUCUCAAGAUUAAGUGCAAGACAGACGGUUCUAUCGAUAGGUACAAGGCUCGCCUGGUAGCAAAGGAUUUUACCCAACGAGAAGGCGUUGAUUACGAAGAAACUUUUUCUCCUGUUGUAAAAUUUGCUUCGAUCCGUCUGAUCUUGGCCAUUGUCGCAUACUUGGAUUUGGAACUUUACCAAAUGGACGUUAAAACUGCAUUUCUCAAUGAAUAACUGGAUGAGGAGAUCUAUAUGGAUCAGCCUGCUGGCUUCUCUGUAAAGGGUGAGGAGCACAAAGUUUGUAAGCUCCGACGAUCUAUUUAUGGAUUGAAGCAGUCCUCCAGACAGUGGUAUAUUCGAUUUCAUCGAGCCAUCACUGAAGAUGGGUUUACGAUGAUUGAAGAAGAUCACUGUGUGUAUGUUAAACGGUCCAAAAGAUUUUUUCUAAUUCUUUCCUUAUAUGUUGAUGACAUCCUAUUGGCCGGGAAUAAUAAGGAGAUGAUUGUCGCCACUCAGACGUGGUUGUCCUCUAUUUUUUGAAAUGAAGGACAUGAGUGAAGCGAAUUAUGUGCUCGGAGUUAAGAUCCUACGAGAUCGUUCUAAGAAACUUUUAGGUCUGUCUCAAGAGACUUACCUAAGAAAAGUUUUAGAACGAUUUCAGAUGCACAAUUGCAAACCCAUUGACACUCCUAUUGCUAAAGGUGAGAGUUUGAACCUUAAACAGUGCCCUAAAACUUCUGAAGAGAGGAUAAGAUGAAUCGGAUCCCAUAUGCUAAUGCGGUCGUAAGCCUGAUGUAUGCUAUGAUGUGUACUCGGCCUGAUAUAUGCUAUGCCGUGGGCCUGGUUAGCCAUUUUCCGUCCAAUCUAGGAUUGGACCACUCGAAGGCAGUGGCGCAGAAGAAAAUAAUCCUGGAACACAUAUCUACGAGUCGCGUGGUUGCAGAUUCUCUAACUAAGCCUGUUGUUAGAGAAUUAUUUUUUGGCCUAUGUUAAAGUCUUGGACUUCGUAGGAUUUGAUUGUGUAGACAGUCGAUUAUUUUUGAUUAUUUAAUUACAAAUUAUUAUUUUGAAAAAGAUAUUUGGUAAAAUUAGUACACGUGCAUUGUUAUUAAACUGAUUGAUAGUAUGUCACAGGCCGAUUGGCCCUCUCACACGGGCAAUCAUUCUUUUCGACGCUGUAGAGAGUGAGCAAAAAUUGAGGCAUUAAUGGAAGCCGCCUUGGUUGGCACCAAGAUGAGGUCAUUAAUGAGACUGUAUACAAAUAGUCCCACGAUUCGUAUGGCCUGUAUAGUAAGAGCCGGAUGUGAGCUCACCGUUUGACGCUUGAGAUAGCGAGCAAAUGGAGAACUUAGGCUAGACACUCCGGGAGUGACUGAGUUAAGAUCCGUAUGACAUUGAGAAAGACAUACGUUUAUUGGGAUUCUCUGUCAUAGCAUGUAUUUCAUACUACAUGUGCUGGGCGACUAAAUAGAGAAGAUGAGUGAAUGGAUCCCUGCUUCCUCAUCGUGUGAGUUCUUACGGACAUUAUUUUGAGACGAUGUCCUACAUAUGUUAGAUGCCCUUAGUGACUUUUGACUAUGUCAUUUAGUGAAAUAAUUGAUGUUGCUACUUUGGCAUGUUUCCUACGGCCAUGAGUGAUGCGGCUUUACGGGGCAUUGCUGGGAAAGCAAUCAGUUCUCAACUCGGUGGCAUGAGUGCUCAAGGAAGACUAGCUGAAUUACAUUCAGACACUUUGACUCAUUGUCGACAGAUUGUGUCGCUUCAGCAUAGCGAAACAAUCAUGAGUAUAGUGUCAUAAUGUGCGCAAUUGCGGUUAGCAUGGCUCUUUGAGGGGUUAGAGAUGCUGAACCUGAUGUAAUUCAAUGGUCUAGUGCGUCACGAGUCUAAUAUUUUUUCCUUUUGAGGGUUGAUGUUUCUAUGCUGGCCGGAUGCGGUUUCUAGUAUAAAGCUCCCAAAAUGCAGGUUGACUCAGCGGUCGCACUGUUCAUUUUUCUGUAUGAAUAGAAUUAAUAGUGGUGUGAUGUUGAGGAAGUGGUUACGAUGGCAUCGAUCCCGUCAUGUGCGAGUGGGAGAUGUUGGCAUUCGGUUAAAUCGAAUCGGGUACGCCCAUAAGCGGGUUCGAUCCGACGGAUGUUAUGUUAUCUAAUUGGAUUGGAAUUAAUCUCGCUUUCAAAUUGGAAAGUUAGUUAGAGCUAAAUCCUAGUCAUAUUAGGAUAACAAUUAAUAACCGAUUUGGCCUUAUCUCUAAUGCCAUAAGGAUUUUGGAAUCCCUUAUAAAUAUGCGGGCGAUCCCACAUAACGUAACAUACGAAACAAGAACGGAUAAAGAAAAGAGAAUAAGAAAAGGAAAGAGAGAAACCACAUCCUCCAUCAACCUAUUAUUCUAAGAGGGACUUGAACGGUGGAUUUGCGAUCGUGCUCGUUUGUAGUUCGAUCCAUCGCGAGUUUGGAACGUGAGAAGAUUUAAUCAAGGACGAUCAAAGGACACGUGAAUCAACCUCGACGAUCCGGGCUCAUCGAGUUGUAACGCGAAUCCGUCGUACCUUUUUGCGGAUCGAACCACUGGGAUCGGCAAUUCGUUCAUACCUUUUUGCGACAAUUCGUUCGUACCUUUUUACCGAUAGCUUUCCACCCGCUCAACGAAUCGAAAAUCUGAUUUCGGCCCCGCGUUUAGACACCUAUCAAUUAGGUUUACAAGCUAUCAAAUGAGAUCAAUCUCAUGAUUCAUCAAAAACCCCAUUUGGGUGCCAUAGGGUUCACAUUUUGCAAUUUGCACUAUAGAACCCUGGCUCCUAGCUCUAUUCCACCAUUAACGGUGCUAGAGGUCUAUUUGACCUCAUUUCAAAACCCAAAAACCCAAAAACCCUAAGUUCUACCAUUAGGGCUCAAGAGCUUACCUCUAGGUUAGCUCCAAGGGAGAAGAGAGGAAGAGGAAGAUGCUCCAAGCCUUCUCUAGCUUGAUCUCCUCCUUCUUCUUCUUCUCCUCCUUCUUCUUCUUCUCUUCCUUCUUUUUCCUCUCUUCUUUCUUCUCUUUCUCUUUUCUUUCUUUGAGAGAGAGAGAGAGAGCUGAGGGAGAGAGUGAGGGUGAGGGUGAGAGAGAGGAGAGGGCUCAGCCCCUCUAUACCCCUCUAACUAAUGGCAUUUUUGCAUAAAAGUCCCUCCACUUUAACCCUCUCAACUUACUCUGCCUGGGCAGAUUUCGCGCGAAGGGACUGGUCCCUGGUCGGGAGGACCGGUCCCCUAGGACCCUCCCAAUUUUUAUGCGUACGGGAACCGGUCCCUGCCCGAGAGACCGGACUCUAGGAGACCAGUCCUUGCCUAAGAGACCGAUUCCCGAAAGUAGGAUUCUCAGGACUUAGCCAAUUUUUCACUUCUCCCGCGGGUUUCACCUACGGGACCGGUCCCUCAGCCCCGGGGACCGGUUGCAUCAAGAAACCAUGCAACCACCAUCUACGGGGACCGGUCCUUCCCUGCCAGGGAUCGAUCCCCGAGAGCAGAAUCUGGCAAAUGCAUUUUUUGCAUCUUUUGCUCUCACGGACUCGACUCCAAAGCACUUUUUGUGUUUUGGACAUCUUUAGCUUUUCCGAAGCCUACUCGCUCGACAAUUAGUCGAUCCUGGACGAAGUAUAACUCUCGGAUUUCGAGAAUUCACUUCCUUACGGUAUAUCCCAUUGAUGCACGCUACAUGAGUUGAUUAAACUCUCGAAUAUAUGUGGGAAAGAUUGGGUCAAUGUAUUUGUAGCAUGGCAUCUAGUGCUGUGAUGUUUUUGAGCAUGUGAGGGAUUGAAAUAGAUUCUCUAGACCAUGCUAGGGAUUGGUAGAUCCCCUGUUGUUGCUACCCUGGCCAGUAGAGUGUCCUCGACAGGAGAGGAUUGGAUCAUACUCACAUAUAGUUUGAUUAGCUUGAGGGUGGUCACUCCACCUCAAGCAGUGAGCUCCAGAAUUGUCACAUCUGGGCGGUAACGGAAUUCUCCCCAGCAGACGGUCUCAGCGGGUUGUAGUGGAAUUCUCCCCGACAAAAAGGGAUUUGGUUUGGUGAGUUUGGCUUGACUUCGCGUGAGCCAUUAUGAUUAGGUCAAAAAGAAAAGAGAUCGGUUGAUUGACCAUAUUGUAUCCUGUGCUAGUUUGCAUUGUUGCAUCUUAUGUAGAGAGUGAGCAUAGUGAGAUCACAUGUUGAGUGAUGGGUCGAUCAUGAUGUCCUCGUGAGUAGUCUAUGGUGGAUGACAGAGCGGUAGCUAGUCUCCACGAGGCUGAGAGGGGUGAGUUGGGCUUGGUCUUGUGAGAAGCCCUAAUUGGGUCAUAAAUGAAUUUGGUCAAAUGUGUGUGAGGGACACUGUUGAACAUAUCGGACCAUGACAUUCAUUCCAUAUUGUAAGGCAUAGUAGUAGACAUUGUUGCAUGUUGUAUGAUUAGUAGUGGUAGACUACAUAUUCAGUUAUUUAUAUAUUACAUUGCUAUCUCCUUUUGUAUUACUAUGCCUUUAAUCAUGAUAAUGAAACCUACUUAUGCGACGUAAACUACAUUUACUCACUAGGUUUGUCACGCCCCGGGACCGAUACCAAUUUGGGUCGGCCCGAGCACGUCAAACAGACGCCGAACGGACAGAGUUUCUCCUAUCCGCCCAAGGCUCAUCACCUGUACAAUUUCAACCAAGAAGUGCACUAGCGGAAACAUACACAAACGGCUUAUACGAGGGUAAGCAAUAGCCAUGAGUGAAAGAUAGGAAACUAAACAUCCUGAAUACUAUGAUUCACUUUAGAUCACAUACAUUGCAUUUAACCUCAUAUUCAUAAUUCUUUACAUUGCUUGCAUCAUUUCUUUUACAUCACAUUUGCCCAAAAUAAAACUGUGCACUCUUUUUCUUUACUUUAAACAUCUUCAAAUACAAAAGAUGACUAUAGGGUAGCUACUAACAAAAUGUGAAAUAACCCAACUUUGGUGGCCUCUAACUAAGGUGCGAUACCUUUCCCGCGGUCGCUCGCCAGCUCGCUCGGUCCCGGCUCUAUGGAAUAGUGGGGUGAGAACUACAACAAAGUUUCCAGUGGGUUCGGCCCCAAUCUCACCGACUUUACCACUAGGACUAACUCAGGCAUAAUAGAAAGGAUAAGCAGAAUAGUAACCAAACUAUAGUCAUGAUGCUAAUAUGCCUAAACAAUAAAGUAAGAAAAAUGCUCAACGUAAAUCAUGCAAAUAUGCAAGUUCUUUGUUCUUUAAGCUUUGUUCUUUGUUCUUGUUCUUUAAUCUCACGGCUAACCCGGGGGUUUCGCCACAUUAACUUGCACACAUUAAGUCCAUCAUCGCGGGCCCUCAGCUGCCUCCCGCUAAGACCGUCCUCGGAUUUACUCCAACUCGUGAUGCAAAACUCCGGAGCGCAUCACCCGAGGGGGGAGCGACCGCCCUCGAGCACGGAACUCAUAGCAAGUAUGAUCGAUCCUUAACUCUAAGGAUAUAUAGUUCAAUCAUUGUCUUUACACUUACUCUAGUUGUGACGCACUGGACCUUUGCAAAUUUACAGUGUUUGGGUGUAUUUCGAGCUUUUCCACACUUGGUGGAGGGUUGUAGAAUGUUUUUCGACCUAAAAAGUUCGAAAACCUGAGUUUUGGUUUGGUCCUGAGAGUUUUCACUCUCGGGGACCGGUCCCUGGAAGGAGAGACCGGUCCCCCAAUGAGCAGUGUUGCGGCAGCCCUGAGGCAACCGGUCCCUGGCAGGCGAGACCGGUCCCCGAGCGCGUCUACGCAGUGAGAGACCGGUCCCGCACAGGGAGAGACCGGUUCCCGAACGAUGGUUUUUCGGGUUCGCAGCGAGAGACCGGUCCCUGCUGGGGAGAGACCGGUCCCUCUGGGCGAAAACUGCCCAGUUCGGGCUGAUGUAAAUUUGAAUUUUUGAGGGGCCUCUCCGGAUUUUGUUACACUAGAUGGGCUUAUUAGCCAUUUCCUCCUCUUCCCUCUCUCAUUUUCUCAUUCUCACCCUCUCCCUACACUUUCUAGAGAGAGAAGAUAGGAAGAGAAGAAAACGAAAGAGGGAAAAAAGACGAAUUGAGAGCACCUAUGGAUCUUGGAGACAUCUUCCUCACCCUAAUCUUCUUCCCUGUGCUUGGUGCUGGACUUGAGCUUACCAGAUGGAUCUCAUCCUUGAGGCUGAUUGGAGCUUCUUAAGGUUGUUGCUUUUCCCAGUCCUCAUUAAGAACCUGAUUUGAGGAUUUGGUAGAUGGAUACCAUAAUUAGAUUAGGUUGAUUUGGGCAUUUGAACCUAGGGCUUUUUGUUCUGGCUAGAUGAUUGGUUAGAACCUCCUUGCUUAGGUUGGAAGGUUCUACUCUCUUUGGAGCUUGAGGAAGAGAUUUCUUCUCUGAGGUAGUUUUGACCGCUUUUGCUUCUACGUUAAUAUCUGUUUAUAAGAUGGUCUAAUGCCCUCGAUCUCCGCUGAAUCACUUUUCAGGGUAUCUAGACUGUUACAACUCCGUUCGCGAAUGAAGGAAGCAGCACCGGUUCGUGUUUGACGUAGACUAUAUAUGGGAAAUACUCAUAUGCAAUAUAUUUCUGAAACAAGAAAUUCAUCGCAUUUUCAUUUAAAUGUAUUUAAAGAAUUAUUAAAUGUUAACAGCAUAUAUUAGUUAUAGGUAAUUAGACUCCUAUGCUGUAAAGAAGUGCAUGCAUUAACUAUAGCAACUAGUAUAUUGGGAACCAUGAUCCUAUAUAAAAACAGAUCUUGCCCUCUGCAUUUAACAAUAUAUCCCAAAUUGGGACAUUAGAAUUUUAGAAGGCCUAGAGAGGGCUUGAGAACUUGACUUUUGAGAAUUGGCCAGAUGUCAUAAAGAGGCAUGGCCCGGCAUAAUAGUCAUAGAAUUAAUUUUUAAAUAGAAAACAUAGAACAAAAUUAACUGAUCAGUGUGAUGCUUAAGUGCAUAAAGAGGCACUAACAAGUGAUUGUUGGACAUCCACUUAAGACAUGGCCAGAUCUGGGAUGCACUAGGACCUAGCAUGUAGAAGACAUGCGGAUAGAGUAUUGAGACAUUGACCUUGCUUGUUCCAUUUGGCUCAUUCGCACAUGCCUUGUAGGUCGCCCCUACAGCCGUACUCCGAGUUAGCCCUACCGACUUGUGUUCGUCGUGCGUAUUGAGAAGCCAUACGGGUCAGUGUGAACAGUACACAUUACAAGAGAGGAAUGUCGCUACACAGCACUUAGGCGCAUCAUACUGGAACUACCUAUGUAGGUCUUAAUUGGAAAUGGAUCAAUGACACGUUGAGUUUAUAGAUCACACUAGUCAAGAGUAUAUAGAAUACUUACUUACUUCUAGGCAUAGUUGGACAUUUGGUAUUCAUACAUACAUGUUAAUCUAGAGUGUGUUAUUGCAUUCCUUAAUCAUUAUAUCAUGACAAAGUAUUACUUUUAUAUCCAUAUAAAGUAAAAGCAUGAAUACUUGAAAUAUAACCAUGAUAAGAUAAAGUCCCAUUAGGAAAUCCAUGUCUAAUGCAGUAGCUUAGCACCUAAUAUUAUGCUUUCUAAUAAUGCAAUACCGUUACUCUAUUUAACUUACCCUUCUCUUGGGCCUAUGCACUGAGCUAGUCAGUAUUUCCCACUGGAACUAUAAAUACAUAAGUUCUCACGCCCCCCCUGUUUGUUUUCUUUCAGAGCUUCAGCGGGUGAGGCCAUGGACCGAGAAGUCAUUGCUUCCACUAGCUCUCAGCGAGGAAUCGAGUUGUUAGACACAUGUCCACCUCUCGACGUAUUCUUUUGCGAAAGUUGAAAGUUACCCGUUACUAAACCACCAGAUUUGUACCUGGAGACAAUAGGUCUACUUAAUGGAAUCUAUCUUGUUUACUACCUUAAAUUUCUUCUUUGGAAUGUAACAUAUCAAACUUUACUUAGCUCUGAUAUCAGUAAUGCAUUAUUUCCAUACUUUAUUUGUUCUAUCCCUGCUUACUCCGCUUUAUGUAGAACCCUAUAAUAUAGGUAGACAUAUGGCGGGUCUGACACGCUACCGGAGGCUUCUCCGCCCGUCCAACGGGCGUGACACUAGUGUUCUUUUCAUCACUUUAUUUUGCUAACUCUAGCAAUUAUUGUUCUUUAACUUUACUAGUUCUUUAUGCCACUUUCAUUUUCUUUACUUGUCUCUAAUCAUUAUCAUUGUUCUUUGCGUCACAUUUCUCUUUGAUGCCACACACUAACUCUAGUGUCACAUUACUUUACAUUGUCGGAUGCCACUCGAUCUAUGUUUUAUUAUGUCACUUUGUUCUUUCAUCUCAUUGGGUGCUCACAUUAUAUCUCAUGCAUACAUAUAGGGUGUUAUAGGUUCUCAACCAACUAGAAAUGCACGUGUACUCACAUCAUGCAACAUUUACAUAAUUAUCAUCACAUUUUACCCUACAAUGCAUGCAACAACAUAUACAUAAAUGCUCAAUUAAAUGACACAUUAGGCAUAGAGGGAAUUCCAACAAGUUUGGAUAGCACCACCCACCUCGUAGGUGUAGUAGGAUGCUACAAUGAUUUUCUUAUGAUAUUUAGACUCCUAGUUCGUCACCUGCGGCAAAACGAAGCCCUAUAAGGCCAUUUUUGCUCAUAUCUUUACAUUGGCUUUUCGUAACGUCAAUCCGAGCACACCAACGCGUCGGGAAUACCCCCAAUUAGGUUUCUAGAGGGUCAAUUUUAUUUUAGAACCUUUACAAGCAAAAGCCCCAAUUUGGGUGCCCUAGCUCAUAACAUAUAUCAAACCUAGGGUUUGAUCUCUAAGAGAAGCAAAAGAAAGCUUCAAAUCAUGUAAAGGUUCCAUUUGAACCACCCUUAGCUUAAUCAAAUCCCAUUUUAGGGUUUCACCAUGAGAGGGAUUGAAACUUACCUUCAAGCUUCACCACCUCCACCAAUCCAUGGUUUGAUCUCUAAAAGAAGCAAAAGAUAGCUCCAAAUACUCAAUAGGUUCCACUAAAAUCAUUUCUAGGUCACUUUGUCAGGUACUGAACUUCUGAAAUUAUGAAGUUACGGUUGGAUGUAAUAUACCGACUUUUUAAUAUAAAAUAAGUAUAAAUAAAAAUAGUGUGAGAUACUAUUUUUAUUGGACUUAAGGGUGUAAGGUAUAAAUUGAAAAUGACAUGUGCAAAAAUUGGAGCGAAAACAAAAGAUUUAGAAUUUUCUGUGAAAAGCAGGGCUGAUAAAUUAGCAGAAAAUGCACAGUGUCAGAAAAUUAUGAAAACUGAAGGAUAUGUCAGAAUUAUUUUUAUGAGGCUAGAUUUAAAGUUUCAUACCAUUCUGACGCCCGAAAAGUGGAAAAUAAAAUCCGACUGCUAUCUGAUAAAGAUUACAGUUCGGUACAGCUUUCGGUGACCAAACAUGGUCGAAACUGAAUGAUUAAAAUUUCUUUGGACUUAUUAAGUAAAACCGAGCCUGCCUGUCAAAUUUGAGCGCAAACGGACGUUCAGAAGGGCUCCGACGAAAUAUGUCAGUUUUAAACUGCUGAAGUGAAUAGUGUUUUGGGGGAGUUUACUUGGAGGUGAAGUUUCCUCCUAUAUAUAUAUAUAAGGGUGUUAUGUCAUUUCCCUCAUUCCUCUCUACUUGAGCCAACAUAAGAGAAAUCUCUCUCUCUCUCUCUCUCUCUCUCUCUAGGAUUGGCUCCAAAGUGUGGAGUUUGGUAGAGAAAAGCUUACUUAGAGGUGAAGCUUUCUUUUUCUUUACCAUUGGCUUGAAGAGAGCUUGGGUUUGAGAGGUAAGCUUUGAUAGCAACAAUGGUAGAUUGCUAAGUAAUGAUUUGUAUGCCUUAGAAAUGGGUUUAGUGAAACUCCUAGAUGCUAAAUAGAUGGUUGAUGCUUGAAUUUAGAGAUCUAAUGAUGAAUUCUUGCAUAGUUGCAUCUUAGGGCAUCAAAAGAGGGGUUUUGCUUGUGAGGGAUUUUGAUCUAAAUUGAUCAUGUAUAAACCUAAUUGCUAGGUAUUCUGACGCAUUGGCGAAGUCGGUUCGGCGAUACGACGAGGCUACGCGAAGAUAUUGAAGAAAAGACUUGUUUCGGUACAAAUUGUCGCAGCUUGCGGCGAAAGUUUCCAAAAAUCACGAAAUCGAAACCCUAGCCUCUUGGUAGCAUUAAAAGGUGGGGGGUUUCCAUCCGAAGCAAUCGAGCUUCCUUCUAUGUCCGAGUUAGAUUUUUGGUCAUAUUGCACAUAUUGUUCUUAUGCAUUAUAGGAUGUAUGUAUAGUUGCAUUUCUAUUUUCUUGCAUGCAUGUCUAGUUGUGUAGCAUUAUAGACUUGACACUUAAAUCUAGAAUGCAUGAGGAUUAGGGUUUGUGACAGGAGAUCCUAUAAUGAUAAGAAAACGGUGAACUCGGACUUGAUAAUGAAAACUAGUGACAUGCUAACUAGUGUAUAGAAAAUACUAUGACUUGGACGAGUGGCAUGUAAACAAUGUUAACAACAUGACGAGUGGCAUUGGAACUUAGUGUAAUAGAAACACUUGUGGCAUUGAGCAUAGGGAAUAGGUGAGUUUCCCUAGUCAUGGCAUAUUGCAUGAGAAUUAGUGUAAUUGAGACACUAUGGCAUCAAACAUAGGGAUAGUUCAAUUCCCUAGUGUGAGUUGAUUAGUGUGGUUGAGACACUUGACAUGGACCUAGGGAUAGGUGGAUUUUCGAGUGUUUGUUAACCUAGUUGACAGGGUAUCCUCAGUUGGCGAGGAUUGGAUCAUACUCACAAGUCUGUUUUGAGCUUGUGGUGGUCGCUCCACACAAGCAGUGCACUCCGGAGUUGUCACACGAGCUGGGUAGCUCACGAGCGGGGUAGCUCACUGGGUGGGAUACGAGCGGGGUAGCUCCUCACCCAUUGCCGGAGUUGUCACACGAGCGGGGUAGCUCACGAGCGGGGUAGCUCAUCGGGUGGGAUACGAGCGGGGUAGCUCCUCACCCAUUGGACUGGGACGUGAGUUGGGGCGAAGGGCGGGGUAGCCUUUCCCCUAUGAGAUUGAGCGGGGCAGCUCAUUAUCUAUGAGAUUAGAGCGGGGUAGCUCUUCAUCUAUGACCUUUGAGAUGUGAGACGGGUGAGAUAAGAGCGGGGUAGCUCCUCACCUAUGAGAUUUGAGAUAUCAGUCAGGGCGAAGAGCGGGGUAGCUCUUCACCUCUUCACCUACUAGAAUUGUGGUGUGAGUACCUAUGAGAUUUGAGAUCUUAGGCGGGGUAGCCUAGUGGAUGGGGUAAUGACAUGAAUAGCAUAAGUGGAUUUCUAUUCAUCCCAUGAUUAAAUAUAGUAUAUGAUAAUGGAUUGCAUAACUAUGUUGUAUUCGUAUUCAUUACAUUGUUGAAGCAUACUAGCAUGAUAGUAGGCUUAUUGCUAGAUGAUAUUUCAUGCAUUGCUUGCAUUUGAUGGCACAAUAGAUCAUAGUUGCAGUUCAAUAUCUAUCUAUCUCUCUAUCUAUCUAUUUGUGCCAGCUUAGACCUAGUGGGAAGAUCGGCGGAGUCGGCGGCCGAACCCACUGGGAACUAUAUUUAUAUAGUUCUCACCCCGUGUGGUUUUGGGGUACAGGUACACACGAGAGCGGACCGGCAGGGGAUCGCGGUAAGGGCGUAGCGCCCUAGCUAGCUAGUUGUGGCUUUCCUUUUGUACUAGAGUACCCUCGUGUACAUAGGUGACAUGGUUGUAUUUUGGAGAGUACAUUGUACCUAGAUGCAUGUGAGUGGAAUAUGUAUUCAUUUUGGUGAUGAUGAAAAUGUAAAUGUAAUCAAAGAUGUAAAAGUGGAAUGUGAUGUAAUAGCUAGAUGUAUCUCUCUUUAUGCACUUGUAUGUAUACUUGUGUUACUUGCUCUUGUUGUAUUGCACUCUUUGUGCUUCUCUCUUUGUUGGAUCGUGUAUGUAUUGAAUUAUCCCUGGGCAAAUUCUUUGUACAUGAUCCUGUGUUGAGCCUUGGGCGGACAGGGGAGGUGCUGUCCGUUCGGCGUCCGUCCGGCGCGCCCGAACCGGACCAAAUUGGUAGCGGUCUCGGGGCGGGGCGUGACACACUUAGUUCUCAUUCUAGGAUUUUACCAUGAUUAGGGUUCAAGCUUACCUCAAAGCUUUCCCCUCUUCAAGCUAGAGAUGAGGGAGAGGGAGUUUCUUCACUGCUUCUUCUUUUCCUCCACUUUUUUCUUCUUCUUUUCCUUUCCUUUCUUUGUCUUCUUCUUCUCCUUCUUGUCUUCUAGAGAGAGAAAGAGAGAGGAGAGGGAGUGUGCGAGGGAGAGGGAAUGAGAAAUAAAGCCCUCAAAGCCCUCCACUUAACCAUUGGGUUGCAUAAAUGCAAAUAGGCCCCUCAACUUUCAUUUUAUUGAACUGCUCAAACUGGGCAGAUUUCGGGUCCGGGGACCGGUCUCCCCGACUUGGAACCGGUCCCAGAGAGCUGCUCCCCGCAGCUGCGCAGGGCUCCCCGCGAUGCAACCGGUCUCUCCCAGGGGGACCGGUCUCUCGGGGACCGGUCUCUCCCCGCAGGGACCGGUUCCCGAGAGCUGAUUUUCUGGGACUUAGCCGAUUUUCCACCUUUCUCAUUUCUCACGCGUUCGGGGACCGGUCUCUCCCACCAGGGACCGGUCCCCGAGAACUCAAAAGUUGCAAUUUGCAGAUUUUUGAUUCUUUAGCUCUCAAAAACCUCUCACAAGGCACUUUUGAUUAUUUUAACACCUUUGGACUUUCCAGAGUGUACCAUCCUCGCACUUUGGUCAAUUUGACUAAAGUUCGAUAUUUAUUUUUCGAAUUCUCGGUAUAUUACAAGGUUCAUCGUUCUAGUCGUGCCACUUGACUCACUCUUGAGUCAAUCACAUGCGAAAUCGCCGCCCUCAUCUUGGCACUAGGGCGCGGAAUCGCCAUACUACUUAGCCAUAAGUCCACAACUCGUGGAAUUGCCACUUUCAUGGUCACAUCAAGGGUCCAUAUGUUCCACCCUAUGCUUUAACCUCUCUAGGUUUAAAGUCACUCAUGUCUAAGUGGUCAUCCUACCACUAUAUUCUCCACCUAUGUUCAAUGAUAGGUUCUCCAUGUUCACAUGUUGAGUUCUCUACCAACCCUAGAGAAUGUCUACCUAAAUUUUUAUCCAUAUCAUAGGAAUGCAAGAAGCCAUGCAUGCAUUUAUAUAAUGAAUGAAAAUAGCAUUUGAAUAUACAUUUAUCGCAUGCAUACAUUUUUACUCAUGCCACAUACAUAGGUAGUAAAAUUUAUCAUUUCAAGUAGCAUAUACCUCUAACAUGCAUAUCUAACUUUUAAACUAUCAUCCAACAAUAAAUCACUUGUUUUAACUAUUACUCUCUAGACAUGAGAGGUAACCAAGUCACUUCGAUGCAAUACAACCCACCUCAAAAUUAACCUAAUUGCUUGUAGUCACUUGCAAUUAGGCCUUCCCUUGGAAUACAAUCUUUUACUCCAAGCUUCCUUGCCCUAACACAAGAAAAAUGGUUCGUUAUCAUUUUUGAACUCUAAAACAAUUUUAUUUCUUAAAAUCUAGUUGUCCCACAUGAUCCUACCCUCUAAUUAGGGUUUUAAAGAGACAAAUAAUUUUUGAACUCAUCCAAAAUAAAAAUUCUCCUCUAAUCUAGGGUUUUCAAAGUAAUGGCAAAACCUCCAAAUCUCAUAGCCCUCACCAUUUGUGGUCUAGAUCUGUUUAGGGUUUGCUAAAACCCCAAAUCCAAGAUUAAAACCCAAAACCCUAACUCAAAAUAUUAAGAACUCACCUCUAACCUAUGCUUCCCAACCUACUUUUUGCUCCAAAAAGCUUGCUUUUCACUUCCAAAGCCUUCUCCAAGAUCAAUCCCUCACUUCUCCAAGUGUUGGUGGAGUUUUUAGAGAGAGAAAAAGAAAAAGAGAGUGAGAGAGAGGUGUUCUUGUGUCUUCACAAAUGGGGAAGGAGAGGGUCUGAGGUCCCCUUUGUGGGGUUCAGCUAAAAUUACAAAAAUACCCCCAAAACACACAUUCUGUGAGUGUAGGGUUUGGAUCCUGAAGCAAGGUCCAGACCUAGAAAGCAAUUUUAAAAUUUUCGCUGGGAGGGUCCGGAUCCUCCAUCAAGGUCUGGACUUUGAUACUCUUGUAUCAAAGUCUAGAUCAUCAAGUCAAGUUUUGGAUCCUGAGAGUCCAGCAGGUCAAAAAUAAAAUUUUUGAAAAUUUCCAUUUUCGCUCCUUGAAACUCUAAUUCACUUCUAAUCGUUCCGAAACCCUCGGAACUCAUUUUCAAAUAUGUCUAAAUCAUCUCUCAACUGUAUUUCACCCAAUUUGGCCAAAGAUAAGUAUAGUAUGCCAAAAUUUGGUACACCACAUACCUUCCUUCUUUAAAGGAGUUUGGUUUGAGAAACUAAAACAAUACCUCAACUCGAAGUAGUGAAGAGGUGAGGGAAACGAUCCUUCAUUGAGCUUUCCAAUUCCUAAGUGGCUUCACGCUCAUCGUAAUUGGUCCAUUGCACUUUAACUUAAAGAAUUGUGCAAUUCAGUAGUUUUUUCACCCCGUGAGCAAGAAUGCACACCGGGAACUCCUCAUACGAAUGUCCUCUUGAAGCUCUCAAGCAGCUCAUAUUGAUGGACAUAAGUCGAAUCAUGUAUAUAUUUGCAGAGUGUGGAAACGCGCAACACACUGUAGACUCCCACAAGCUUUGAUGGCGGUGCUAGUCGAUAUGCCAAAAGCCCCACGCACUCCAAAAUCUCAUACGAUCCGAUAUAUCGGGGACUUAGCUUAACCCCGAAUUCCAAAUUGCUUUACCCUUCUUAUGGGUGACACUUCAAGAAGAUGUGGUCGCCCACCGCAAAUUCUAAAUCUCGCCGACAGUUGUCUACAUAGCUUUUCUAUUGGGCUUGCGCCGUCAAUAACCGUUGACGUGCCAAACGAACCUUUUCUUCUGCAUCUUGCAAGACAUCGGGUCCCAAGGCCAAUUCCUCGCUGACCUCACUCCAAUGUAUUGGAGACCGGCAUUUCCUUCCAUACAAUGCCUCAAAUGGUGCCAUACCAAUACUUACCCGAUAGCUAUUGUUAUAAGUAAACCCCGCCAUAGGCAAGUAGGUGUGCCAUACACCCUUGAAAUUUAUAACACACGCUCAGAGUAUAUCCUCCAAAAUUUGGUUUGUCCUCUCCGACUGACCAUCCGUUUGAGGAUGGAAUGCUGUGCUAAAAUCGAGUCGUGUGCCCAAAGCCUCAUGCAAGCUCUUCCAAAAUUGAGAUUCAAAACGGGGAUCCCGAUCCGACACGAUCGAUGCUGGAACCUCGUGUUAACGCAUAAUCUUAUCCAGAUAGACUUGUGCCAACUUAUUCCUCGACCAAGUAGAGUGGAUCGGCAAAAAAUGAGCCGACUUCGUCAAACGAUCCACAAUCACACAAAUUGCAUCGUGACCUCCUUGAGAUCGAGGCAAUCCUACGAUAAAAUCCAUCGCUAUGAUCUACCACUUCCAUACCAAAAUCGGUAGAUUUUGCAAUUUUCGUGUUGGGAGCUAAUGUUCAGCUUUCACUUGUUGAGAAGAAAAAUUAUAGUUCAUAAAAUUUAUAAAAAAAUAAACUAAUUAUCAACUGAGAUAAAUUUUUAAAACAAGAAUAGAUAAAAUUAUAUGUCAGAUAUAUGUUAUAAAAAGAAAUAGUAGUUCAAAAUCUAAAUUGUAGAUCAAAAUUGUUUUAAUUAUGAAAAAUAUUAAUCGUCUUUUCAUAUAUAUUAUAUAAAUAUAGAUAGAUAUAGAUGGAUAUUGAUUGGUUCCUGUAAAAUGAAAAUGCCCAGAGGGACCACUAAGAAUAGAAAAAAACAAAAACAACAACAGUGAGAAAAGGAGAUUGUCCAAGUCAUUUAUUUUAAUUAGAAACUAAAACACAUCAUGAGAACCAAGGAUUUAAGUGUCGUGGGGUCGUGCUUGAAAUUUGCUGACAUAGUACGGCACGGUGCAUGCCGGACCGUAUCGAUGCGUGCUGAUAAUAAAAAAUAUAUAUACCGACACGUAAUAGCAUGAAAUAUUUAUUUUUUUUAGCAACAAAAUAUAUCAAUUAUUUAUUAUGUAUUUUUAUCAAAUCUUUUGAACUACAUUAAGAACAUUACUUACUAAUUUCAAGAAUAGAGGAUUUUGAGUUGUACCAUCAACACGGAGGUUGUAUCGUGCCGAUAUCUUACUGGCACGAUACGGCACGGUAAACACGGCUCGUGCCAAUGGGCACUUUAAUCUUUGAUGAGUACACUUCACAAUCACCUAAUCUCAAAACUAGCAAACUUGAUUGCUGGACAUGUGUUUGAAUAAGAAUUUAGAAGAAUCCCAAUUAAUUAAGCUAUUUAUCCUAAAAUAUUUUCAAAUGUUCUUGUCAAACUCAAUAGCUCUUAGUUUUAUUUGGAAACUCUAGGCUAACAAAAUUUACACAAUUCAUACCUAUAUAGAUAGAAGUUUGCCUGUUCAAUAAAGUCCAACUCCAAAGUUCCAAAAGAAUUGAAAUCCUCGCAAAGAAAAUGAACUUAAACAUCAAGAAAUUCUGAUACUACAGUAGUACAUAUUUGUUUAGUUGCUUAAUAACACUUUUAAAUACUCUUCUGCCCAUCUGAGGCUAAUAGAAUACAAUAAUGUGCCGGCUUAUCGGCUGGAUCAAGAUAAUUAACAUAACCCUUUUGGGAUUAUGUAAAGCUGAUGGUUUUCAGCUGCAACGUGAAAACCAUCCACAGCAAAGAGGAAGAACAAACAAAACUUACGAUGGAUUAGCUUUCGUGGAUUCGAAUUCCAAGUUGAACCUCUCCAGUCUAGACUGAAACAGAUCAUAUACUCCAUGCAAAAAAUGAGGUGAUACAACCAAAUGUGAAACCAGUGGUAGUACGUAGUUCCAUACACCAUCUGGACCAUUCGGGAUCGCUUCAUAGCCUCUUGGUGCAUCGGUAGGCUUUGGUUCAACUGGUAUGCAUUUCAAGAUAGCACCAGCAAUCAAACUGACAGCCCCAAGGCCGACACUGAUCAACCAUUGUUCUCAAGUAAGCGGUACCGUGCUUGCGAAUGCACCAAGGAAUUCUACUAUUAUCACUUGGAAUACGACAGUGGGAGUUAUAAUGGCAGCGAAGAUCCAGUUGCUGAAAAUUCUGCGAAAAAUGUUGAUCUUAUCCAUCUCCCUGCUAUUUAUUUCGUUGAACACCUGAUGAAACAAAAGUUUAGUAUCAUUAUUCGUUCUACGCUAUAUUGUUUGACACUCCGGAGAAAAUCAAAAGGAAUAAAAUCAGAAUUAAUAUCUGUCAUAUUAUGCAAACGAAAGGAAUUAACUGAUGCAUCUGAUGAUGUGUGGUCAGAGAAGUAUUCGGAUGCCCAUACUUUCUAAGUUAAAAUCAAUGUUAGGACAUCUUAUACCAAAGACCUAGAUGUGAUCAGGGCCAUUUAGAACAUUUAGAAACUAAUAUUCUAAUUUGUGGAACUCCCUAACCUAUGCAUCAAGUGGAGACAAAAGUGAGUACGCUUAUUAAACGGAGUAUCGGAUUCCCCAAUUCAACCAUUAUCCUUGGGUAUUAUACGACGAAAAUAAUAUCCACAUACAAAAGUCGAUGGCAACCAAAACACUACAAUGGGCCAUAAAUAAAACCUAAAGACAGCUAUCUGAAAGUUUCAUUUAACUGAAAUUCUGGGAUAUGUGCCUACCUCUGUAGCAGAGAAAAUUUUGGUACAUUUUUUUGCUGCUUCAGCAAAACAAAGAUGAAACCUAAAAGAGAUAGAACAAAGGAGAAAAGGAAGAAAAGGAAAUACAUGGGAGCUUAUCUCACCUAGAAGUAGAUUUCAUCAGAACAUCUCCUAAAUCCAAAAUAUUCUUACCAGACAUUCAGCUACUGAUAGAGGUUUCAGCCAGAUUCUCUUCCUUUGCAUAAUUCAAUUCAGCAAGAGCUGAACUGUCCGCCAAGACAGGAUUGUAAUGGUAGAUUAGGUACGAAUAACACCAAUAUAGCUCCUUGCUAAACUCCAGUAUAAGAUCAUGAUCGAUUUGUCGUCAAUAUCACUUUGACUACCAUUUUCUCAAUCUUUUCAAUAAUUAGAUUAUUACCCUGAAUCUAAAUAUUUGUAACCUCCAGAGCAUAAAAGAUCUUCCUUCCAUUUAUUGUCAAAAUGAUUGUCCUCUUGGCUAUGAAUUCAAUGCUCACUCUCCUCCAUUACUCGAUGAAAUGUUCUAACUAACCAAGUUUUACAACUUCCAUUAAUUAAAACGUAGAACAGAAAUAAUGCCAAACAUGUUUAGGUGUCAAUCUCGACAGCAUGACCACUUUUUCAAUAAAAAAUAAAGCAAGUUUGAUCCCAGUAGCCGCAAAACUAACCAAUGGGAUUUUUCAACACAAUACUAAACUAACGACACUACAAGGAAGCUUCAUUUGCACAAUGUUCGACAAUAAAAGAGGCGUCCUAUCUAUGCUUACCUGGCAAAACACAAAGGAGUUGAAUAUGAGUGUAUUGACAACAGAAUCAGCAUCAGGACCCCUCAAAUUCAGAAGCCUUUUACUAGCGAACAUGAGAGUACCAAGUAUAAGCAGCUGAUACAAGCUCUAACCAAUGAUAUUUCUCCACACGGUCCUUGUUAUAAAGUUCUCACCCCAUCUCACAGGUGGCCUUUUGCAUCAUCUCAUCAUUCAGAGGUUCUGUAGCCAAGGCUAAAGCACCAAGAGUAUCCAUAAUCAUGUUCACCCAAAGCAGCUGUACAGCAGUGAGAGGAGCAGUUCCUACAAGAUGCAUAAAUGAUGAUAAAUGUAUUAUGCCAGAGAGGAAACAAAAUUUCCUGCUAAAAGAGUACUCUGAUACAUGAUGAGAAAUAACAAAAAAAUGAGGGUCAGUUCCUACAAGAUGCAUAAAAAGUGAGAAAUACACUAUGCUGAAAAGGAAAAAGAAACAAAAUUUUCUGUUAAAAUAGUCCUCUGAUACAGGGUGAGAAGUAAUAACCAGAUGAGGGUCUCACGUACCUAUGAUGCGUGCCGAAACAAAAUUGACGAUCAAAGCAACAACGUUAACGGUCAACUGGAGCUGCACAAACUUUUGGAUGUUGAUGUAAACUGCACUACCCCAUCGAGCAACAUUUAUUAUAGUAGUGAAAUUAUCAUCCAACACAAUAAUAUAAGCACUCUCUUUUGCACCCUGUGUACAGAUACAAGUUCUUGUUAUGGCUGUUACAGCAGUGACACUUUAAAUAACAAUCUAAUGGAACAUUGCCUGUUCAACAGUUAUUCAGCAUUAACAGGUGGUCUCACAUCAGAAAGAGUCCAUCAUGAUGAAAUUGCAAAGAAGAAAAAGUAGACAUUGUAAUUCGUGGAUUCCCACUUUAAUUGGUAGCAUGUUGUAAGGAAGUGAAUUCUCGAAAUCAGAGAGUUGGACUUCGCUCAGAAUCGACUAAUUGUCGAGUGGGUGUCCCUCGGAGAAGCUAAAGAUGUCCCAGACAAAAAAGUGCUUUGGAGUCGAGUCCACUAGAGCAAAUAGUGCAAAAUCUGCACUUGACAGAUUCUGCUCUCGGGGACCGGUCCAUGACAGGGAAGGACCGGUCCCCGUAGCUGGUGGUUGUGGGGAUGCUUAAUGCAACCGGUCCCCAGGGCUGAGGGACCGGUCCCCGUAGGUGAAAUCAGCGAGCAGAGGAAAAUUUGGCUAAGUCCUGAGAAUCCCACUUUCGGGAACCGGUCUCUUAGGCAAGGACCGGUCUCCCGCGAAAAGCUAGCAGAGAGCUCUCUGCCCGCAUGGAUUGCUCUCGGGGACCGGUCCUCCCGACCAGGGACCGGUUCCCGUACGCGAAAAGCUGGCAGAGAGCUCUCUGCCCGCAUGGAUUGCUCUCGGGGACCGGUCCUCCCGACCAGGGACCGGUUCCCGUACGCGAAAAGCUGGCAGAGAGCUCUCUGCCCGCAUGGAUUGCUCUCGGGGACCGGUCCUCCCGACCAGGGACCGAUCCCUCCGCGCGAAAUCUGCCCAGGGAGGGCAUGUUGAGAGAAGCAAAGUGGAGGGGUUUGGCUGCAAUUGUUACAUUAGUUGAGGGGUAUAGAGGGGCUGAGCCCUCUCCUCUCUCAUUCUAAUCUCUCUCUCUCUCUCAGCUCUUUCUCUCCCUCUCUUGAAGCAAAGAAGAAGGAAAGGAAGGAGAAGUAAAGGAGAAGAAGAAGAAGAAGGAGGGGAACUUGAGGGAGAUCACCACCACCAUCUUCUCCUCUUCCUCUUCCUCUCCAUUGGAGCUAACCUAGAGGUAGGCUUCUCGACUGUCACGCCCCGGGACCGGCGAGGGCCCUCCCGGUAGCGCGCCCAGACCCGCCAUAUGUCUACACAUAUAAGGCGUCUACAACAAAAGCGGAAGUAAAGCAGGAGAUAGAACAAAUAAAAGUAGUGAAAUAACUAGCAACUAAUGAUAUCAGAGCAAGUAAAGUUCUAUCAUCUACACCAAAGUAAAAAAAUAAAGCUAGUUGAACAAAGGUAACCAUAAGUAGUACAAUAACCGUCUCUAGUACAAAAAUGGUGGUCUCAUACAUAUACGGGUACAACUCUCAACCUCUCACAAAAAAAAAACACGAGAGGUAGACCACCUAUCGAACGAUCCCUCGGUAAGAACGCUAGCCCGAGGCGAUACCCUUUCCGCGAUCCCUGGCCUCUCCCUGCGUGGAAGGCUCUGAAAAACAUCGAGAAAAAGAGGGCGUGAGAACUAUAAUUUAUAGUUCCCAGUGGGCAAUUACUGACCUCAGCUCCUGCUCCACUAGGCCCCAAAAAUAAGGGUAAGUAACGUUAAUAGCAAUAAGCAAUAAAAAGGAGCAUGUAAAUAAACUGCUGAAAGAGAGAGCAUAAAUAAAAUGCUAUACUACUAUAUCUCACAUAAGCACGAUGUCAAAGUGUUGUACAUCUAUUCUAUCAUAAGAAAAAGUGACCAAUGGCAAUAGUUUACUGUUACAAACCUUUAUUCAUACAUGAUGUAUAAGCUCUAUCAUGGCAACCAAGUAUACUGUGAUGAAAUAGGUAACUGUCAAGUAUACUACAUGUCUCAACCCUAUGCUAUAAGCAUGUAAAUGUAAUCCAACUACUAAACCUAUCUAGUAGUGAUUGUUCAUAUACAACUCCGUGUCGAUUUUCAUUUCCAAUUAAGGACCUACCCAAGGUAGUCCAGCUUGUGCCGCCUAAGUACCUGUGGUAGCCCAACAUCCCUACUCUUGGAAUGUGUCUGUCCCACUCGACCCCGUAGGCUUCUCAAUACCGCACGAGCAAACAAAAGUCGCGUAGGCUAACUCCGGAGUGCCGGCUUGUAGGGAGCGACCCUCACAAGCAUGUGCGAAUGAGCACAAAUGGCAAGCAAGCAUAGUCCAAGUCUCAAGUAUCCAACCCUCAUGUCUCUAACAUGGUAUAGUCACUAGCAUCCCGAAGAUCUAGUUUAAGUCGCAAUGUGAAGUUUCAACAUUUGCUACGCCUAGUGCCCCUUGAUGACACUUAGGCAAUUUGAUGUUCAACAUGUUUUUCAAAUCCCUCAAUGGCCCUAUCCACUAGGUUCACACAUGUCCUGAGCUCAAUGCCGCUUGAUGACAUUAGCUCUCUAAUUCACAUGAUAUCAAAUUCGAUGCCUAUAUAUAUAGCAAUUGUCAUCUUUCAUGUCUCAAUUAAACUUAUAUUUAAACGCAUGAAUCAUAGCUCAUUUACUCUAUAGAAACAUGAAACCAAAUCUCAUAUAGAAUGCUAUAAAUGCAACCAACUCUCUCUCAAGCAACUCUCUACUACAUAGAGGUCCAAAAUUUCAUUACAUACAACAUGGGCAUUUUAAGCACUCUAAAAUUCAUAAUAAAUACAUUUAAUAUGAAAAUGUAUGAGUUAUUAGUACACGAAGCACUUAUCACCAAAUAUGAGAUUUUCUCAUAUCAAAGGCUAGGUCAAACCCACCAAAAUCGAAACUUUCGUUUCGCCGAACGGAGAUUUCCACAAGCUUUCUAGCACCCUAGGAACAUAAAAAAUGGUGUCAUCCAAUCGAUACGAAGAGCAAUAAGCUCAAUCUUUAACCUAGAAGCAAAAUGGCCAAAACUCACCUCAAGAGUAGAAAUCUUCUCCUAAGCUCCAAAAGAGAGCAAGAACCCUUCCAAUCCAAGCCCUAGGAAGGUUCUAAACCAACCAAUCAAGCCUCAAAAGCCCUAGGUUCAAAAAGCCCAAAAUGAACCCUAAGUCCCAAAACUAGGGUUUCAUCUCAAAGAAAGCUCUAAAAUCCAAAACUAGAGGAAAGGAUCUUGCCACUUACCUCUUAGAAGCCUCAAAACCAGCUCAAGUCCUCAAACUUCAAGUAUCUUCCCUCAAUCAAACUCCAAAUCCAAGUUCCAAGCUCCAACAAUGGUGGAAAUAGCUCNNNNNNNNNNNNNNNNNNNNNNNNUAAACCCUAAGUCCCAAAACUAGGGUUUCAUCUCAAAGAAAGCUCUAAAAUCCAAAACUAGAGGAAAGGAUCUUGCCACUUACCUCUUAGAAGCCUCAAAACCAGCUCAAGUCCUCAAACUUCAAGUAUCUUCCCUCAAUCAAACUCCAAAUCCAAGUUCCAAGCUCCAACAAUGGUGGAAAUAGCUCCAAUAGGGAAAAAUAGAGGGAAAUCCAUCAAAAUCCAAGAAAUUGGAGAUCAAAUCCAAAUAGGGGAAAAGAGGGGCUCCUUAUCUUGCUCCUCCUCAGGUUCCAGCACAAGGGAGGCCCUAUGGGGCGUGGGUGCUGUUAUAAGGGUGCCACAAUCGCAAAUAAGCCCCUGCAGAACAAACUGCACGAAAUCAGCCUCCUUGUACCGGUACACGGGAUCUUGUACCGGUACAAGAGCUGCGAAAAUCCAAAUCCGAGGCUCGGGUGCGCAGUUCUGCGGCACUGUACCGAUAUAGGCCCGAUGGCUGUACCGGUACAACCAUCAACAUUGUACCGGUACAAGACCUGCGAAAAUGCAAACCCGAGGCUCGGGUUUGCGAGUUCUCGGCUCUGUACCGGUACAAGCACAACCUUGUACCGGUACAAGCCCGCCAGACAGCCAAUCCGAGAGCUGACCAAAAUCCAAAUUUUGGGUUUUGGUGCAAGGCUUCGUACCACACUCCUCGGGACAUGUGCCAUAGGUCGGAACACAGUCAACGACCUACCAGUAAUCUGAAAAAGCUCAAAACACGACCAAUCACUCGAACCUCGCAAUUUGCAAAGGUCCAGUGUGUUACAUUCACCCCUCCUAAAAAGGAGUUUCGUCCGCGAAACUCGAAACAAACAAGGUACCUCAAGCCUCCAUCUGAAAAAGAUGGGGAUAGCGCUCCCGCAAUGCGCUCUCUAGCUCCCAAGUGGCCUCGCGUUCGUCGUGGUUGCUCCAAAGCACCUUCACGUAGGGAAUUUCUCGGUUCCGCAAUCUUUUUACCUCGCGAGCCAAAAUCCUCAAGGGUUGUUCCUCAAAGCUCAAAUCCUCCCGUAGCUCCAUAGGUGUAACGUCCAACACAUGAGCCGGGUCGUGGAUGUACUUCCGAAGGACCGAUACAUGGAAUACAUUGUGUACACCCGAUAGGUUUGGCGGUAGAGCNUCCUUACUGUUGUUACGGUUAUCCUUAUUGUUGUUUAUUAUACUCACUCCUUUUCCUUUGGGGCCUAGUGGUGCGAUGAGCUGAGGUCAGUAAUUGCCCACUGGGAACUAUAAAUUAUAGUUCUCACGCCCUCUGUUUGGUGUUUUCUUUCAGAGCCUUCCACGCCGGGAGAGGCUAGGGACCGCGGGAAGGGAGUUGCUUCGAGCUAGCUUCCUUCGAGGACGAUUCGCUAGGUGGUCUACCUCUCGUUGUACUUUAUUUUGAGAGGUUGAGAGUUUUACCAGUGUACUAGUGACCACCACUUUUGUAUUAGAGGCUGAUACUGUAUAACUUAUGUUUACUUUUAUGUUCUAUUACUAUUAGUAUAGAUGUUAGAACUUUACUCGCUCUGAUAUCAUUAGUUGCUUGUUAUUUCACUUCUUUUAUUUGUUCCAUCUCUUGCUUUUACUUCCGCUUUUCUUGUAGAUGCCUUAUAUGUGUAGACAUAUGGCGGGUCUGGGCACGCUACCGGGAGGGCCUCCGCCGGUCCCGGGGCGUGACAUGCUGCGACCAUCCUCCCUGGAAGUCGAUCACGCAGGCUCGAAGCAUGCCCUCGAGAAUCUGUAUAGUACGCUCCGACUGCCCAUCACUCUGGGGGUGGAAAGCCGUACUGAAGUCCAAACGCGUACCUAGAGCGUCCUGUAAACUCCUCCAAAAGUGGGAUACAAAAUGGGGGUCUCGAUCUGAUACUAUGGAAGUAGGUACCCCGUGUAAUCGCACAAUCUCAUCCAAAUAAACCUGUGCGAGCCUCUCACCAGUCCAAGUAGUGUGGAUAGGUAUGAAAUGUGCCGACUUCGUCAAUCUAUCCACGAUCACCCAAAUAGCGUCAUGCCCGGCCUGAGAGUGCGGCAAUCCCAUCACAAAAUCCAUGGUGAUCUUUUCCCACUUCCACACUGGAAUCGGUAGGCUCUGCAACUUCCCCGCAGGAACUCGGUGCUCAGCCUUCACUUGUUGGCAAGUUAAGCAUCUGGCAACAAACUCACCCACAUCCUUUUUCAUCCCGGGCCACCAAUAAAGUAGUUUCAAAUCCUUGUACAUCUUGGUGCCUCCCGGAUGUAUAGCAUACGGUGCUCGGUGUGCUUCUUGAAGAAUGUCCUCUUUAAUGCCCAAGUCCGCCGGUACACAAAGUCGUCCGCGGAAACGCAUCAAUCCAUCACCGUCUGAAGUGAAGUCACCUGUGCAACCAUCAACCAUCCUAGCUCGAAUCCUUUGCAACUCCGAGUCGGAAGCUUGCUGUUCUUUAAUCCUUUCCAAAAGUGUAGGUUGCACCACCAAAGUCAUCAGCCUCAAGGGUGUAUCAGGAGCCACCACCUCCAACUCCAACCGCUUCAUCUGCUCGAUCAACGGCGGUUGAGUAACCAAAAGCAUCGCUAAGUUCUCCGUCGAUUUCCUACUUAGCGCAUCCGCCACCACGUUAGCCUUGCCCGGGUGGUAAAGAAUCGUCAAAUCAUAAUCCUUGAGUAGCUCCAACCAUCUGCGCUGCCUCAAGUUCAACUCCUUCUGAGUGAAAAGGUACUUUAAACUCUUGUGAUCCGUAUAUACUUCGCACCGCUCGCCAUAUAAGUAGUGGCGCCAUAGCUUCAAUGCGAAGACUACGGCCGCCAACUCCAAGUCAUGGGUAGGAUAGUUCCUUUCAUAGUCCUUCAAUUGGCGAGAUGCAUACGCGAUCACUCUCCCGUCCUGCAUCAAAACACAGCCCAAUCCAUUAAAGGAAGCAUCACUAUAAAUCACAUACCCUGCUCCAGCAGUCGGCAAGGUAAGGAUUGGGGCGGUCGUCAAUCGCUGCUUCAACUCUUGAAAGUUUCUUUCACACGCAUCAUUCCAAAUGAAUUUAGUUCCUUUAUGCGUGAGCCUCGUGAGGGGAGUAGAUAACUUUGCAAAUCCCUCAACAAACCGUCGGUAGUAGCCGGCCAAACCAAUGAAGCUCCGAAUCUUGGUCACGCUCAUCGGCCUCGGCCAAUUCUUGAUAGCUUCAAUUUUUCUCGAGUCCACGGCUAUGCCUGAUCCUGAAAUCACGUGGCCCAAAAACGCCAACUCUCUGAGCCAAAAUUCACACUUUUUCAACUUGGCGUGGAGCUUCUUUUCCCGAAGCACUUGAAGUACAAGUCUCAAGUGUUCCUCGUGAUCCACGUCACUCCGGGAAUACACUAAGAUGUCGUCGAUAAACACCACGACGAACCUGUCUAGGUAAGGUUUAAAAACACGGUUCAUUAAAUCCAUAAAAGCUGUCGGGGCAUUAGUAAGCCCAAAUGGCAUAACGGUAAACUCAUAAUGUCCAUACCGUGUUCUAAAAGCCGUCUUCGACACAUCCUCAGGACUGAUCCUCAACUGGUGAUAUCCUGACCGCAAGUCGAUCUUGGAAUAUACACAAGAUCCCUGGAGCUGAUCAAAUAGAUCAUCAAUCCUCGGCAAUGGAUACUUGUUCUUAAUCGUGACUUUAUUGAGUUCACGAUAGUCCACACAUAAGCGAAGUGAUCCAUCCUUCUUCUUCACAAACAAAACCGAUGCCCCCCAAGGUGACACACUCGGUCGCACAAAACCCUUCUCCAGAAGAUCCUGCAACUGUGCCUUCAAUUCCUUCAACUCCGCUGGUGCCAUCCUAUAGGGUGCAUUUGAGAUUGGAGUAGUCCCGGGGACGAGAUUUACAACAAACUCAAUCUCCCUAUCAGGAGGCAUGCCUGGAAGCUCCGCUGGAAACACAUCUCCAAACUCCAGCACUACGGGGAUAUCCCUAAUCCUAGGGGCGUCAUCCACACCCCGCAACACAACAGUAGCCAAGUAGGCUACGCAGCCUCUACUAAUCAACUGCCGAGCUCGAGAAGAGCUAAUCGUCAUCGCAAAAAGCGAACUCUGGCAUCCUCGGUACACAACCUCCGCCCGCCCUGGCUCUCUAAAAGUGACCGUUCGAUCCUUGCAAUCGAUAGUGGCGUAGUACCUAGUCAACCAAUCCAUGCCCAACACAACGUCAAACUCCCCGAGUUUAUGCAAAGCUAGCAAGUCCACGGGCAUGAUCCAAUCUCCAACUCGAACAGGGCAACUGGGGCAAAUCUCCCGAAUGUCCAAAGAAUGAUCGGGCACAACAACUCGUCCCGGAAGCAACAAGGAUGCAAGUGGAAUGCCAUGCAACUCGGCAAACAGCCGGUCUAUGAAUGAAUGAGAUGCACCGGUAUCAAACAAAGCUCUAGCUCGAAUACCAUAAAGUAAAAUGAUACCUGCGACCACAUUCUCGGCUGCCGCCGCCUCCUCAGUCUGGGCCGCGUACAUGCGCCCGCUCGGGGCCUGUCGUGACCCCUCCGUCUGCCGCUGGACAGGUGGCCGACCGGCCUGGUGAUGCGCAGAAGAUGUCCCCUGGCUGGGACCUGGUGAUGCUAAUGCAGAUGCCGCAGAUGGCGCUGGCAAUGGACUCCUCGGGCAGUCCGACUGGAAGUGUCCCUCCUGGCCACACAAGAAGCACCUACCCCGGCUGCGUGAACACUGCCGCAGAUAAUGAGAACCGCCAUAGAUCAGGCAAUGAGGGGCCUGGCGGCGAUCGGAUCCUCCUCGCUGAGUAGACUGGCCAUGUCCUCGCGACUGGCUCCGGCUCCUGGGGUGCCUCGGCGACCUCCGUGAGUGCGUCUGGCUCGCACCCUCAGCCGCUGGCCUCUUGCCCUUGCCCUUAUCUAGGGCCUCGCGUCGCUCCUGAAGAUCUGCCGCUCCUGCCUCCACUAUCAAAGCUCGAUCCACAACCUCCCGAUAAGUCUGGAGGUUGAAAGACUGCACCAACCAGAAGAUAGAGGGCCGCAAACCGCGCUCAAAGAUGCGGGCCUUGUCCUCGUCGUCCCUCGCAACAAACGGUACACAGUGUAGUAUCCGGAAAACUCCCUCUCGUACUCAGCCACUGACCGCUCAUCCUGGCGCAAGCUGCGCAAAUCCUGCUCCAUCUUUCUCUUGACGCUGGUAGGAAAGUGGUGCGCCAGUAGAAGCUCCUUGAAUCGUGUCCAAGUAAUCGCUGCCAAGUCGGUGUUGUGGUUGUCCUGGAUAUCCAACCGCCAACGAUAGGCCUCGCCGUCCCGGAAGUGAGUGGCGAGCCAAACUCUAUCCCGCUCCUCCACGAAGGUGUCCCUUAAGAGCUUCUCCAUGUGCAUCAACCACUUUUCGGCGAUCCAGUGGUCGACGUUCUCGCCAUCAAAUGUCCUCGGGCUACACCUCCUGAACUCACUGAGGCGAUCCAUAAGCCGAUCUCGCUCGGCUCCCUCGGCCAUCACGGGAAAAGCUGCCCCCGUGGCCGGUUUCUGAACUGGUAAUGCCGCAACCACCUCCUCCGGAGGUGCGGUCGCCGGUGCCGCACGCGAAGAACUGGGUGCUGGGGAGGGCGCUCUCGGCGCAACGUCCACAACUGGUGCAGGUGGUGUAGGGGCCUGAGUCUCCCUCGAAGCUGCCGCGUGCUGAAAUAGGAGGUCCUCGAGAUGCUUCAUCCGUGCCUCCUGCCGCUGGGCCACCUCGGCCUGUCGCUGCGCCGCUGCCGUCAGCUGCGCCAACAGAUCAGUGAGAACCGCAAGCUGGGCCCUCAAGUCACGGACCUCGCUAGAUUCGGAAAUAGCGGAGGUCUCGACCUCCUCGGGGUGUGCCGCAUCAUCCGCCCCGGCAGAUUGGGAGCGUGUAAUCGGCAUCGUCACUACAAAGUAUAAAAGCGCAAGUUAGUAACCCACGCUGUCGCAUCCCCGCUCGAAUAGAUAAAACCCCAAAUCAUGCGAAAGUAAGGAAGUGUCAUUCACUACUAACUCCCGAUGUUACGUUGUCGGCCGCCAACGUAACCCUCCGCGAAGUUAGUAGCCAUACACUCCGAUCCAACUCUAACUUUUUAGAGUUAUCAAGACACCCAAUCAGGAUACUUUCGCUCACAAGUCAAUUAGACCCCGUCUCUCACGAGCCUAAUUCCUAUAGUCCAACCGGCCUAAGGUUCGCUAGGUCCACUAAUACUCAACUCUAGGCUCUGAUACCAAAUUAAUCUGUCACGCCCCGGGACCGGCGAGGGCCCUCCCGGUAGCACGCCCAGACCCGCCAUACGUCUACACAUAUAAGGCGUCUACAACAAAAGCGGAAGUAAAGCAGGAGAUAGAACAAAUAAAAGUAGUGAAAUAACUAGCAACUAAUGAUAUCAGAGCCAGUAAAGUUCUAUCAUCUACACCAAAGUUAAAAAAUAAAGCUAGUCGAACAAAGGUAACCAUAAGUAAUACAAUAACCGUCUCUAGUACAAAAAUGGUGGUCUCUAUACAUAUACGGGUACAACUCUCAACCUCUCACAAAAAGAAAAUACGAGAGGUAGACCACCUAUCGAAUGAUCCCUCGGUAAGCACGCUAGCCCAAGGCGAUACCCUUUCCGCGAUCCCUGGCCUCUCCCUGCGUGGAAGGCUCUGAAAAACAUCGAGAAAAAGAGGGCGUGAGAACUAUAAUUUAUAGUUACCAGUGGGCAAUUAUUGACCUCAGCUCCUGCUCCACUAGGCCCCAAAAAUAAGGGUAAGUAACGUUAAUAGCAAUAAGCAAUAAAAAGGAGCAUGUAAAUAAACUGCUGAAAGAGAGAACAUAAAUAAAAUGCUAUACUACUAUAUCUCAUAUAAGCACGAUGUCAAAGUGUUGUACAUCUAUUCUAUCAUAAGAAAAAGUGACCAAUGGCAAUAGUUUACUGUUACAAACCUUUAUUCAUACAUGAUGUAUAAGCUCUAUCAUGACAACCAAGUAUACUGUGAUGAAAUAGGUAACUGUCAAGUAUACUACAUGUCUCAACCCUAUGCUAUAAGCAUGUAAAUGUAAUCCAACUACUAAACCUAUCUAGUAGUGAUUGUUCAUAUACAAUUCCGUGUCGAUUUUCAUUUCCAAUUAAGGAUCUACCCAAGGUAGUCCAGCUUGUGCCGCCUAAGUGCCUGUGGUAGCCCAACAUCCCUACUCUUGGAAUGUGUCUAUCCCACUCGACCCCGUAGGCUUCUCAAUACCGCACGAGCGAACAAAAGUCACGUAGGCUAACUCCGGAGUGCCGGCUUGUAGGGAGCGACCCUCACAAGCAUGUGCGAAUGAGCACAAAUGGCAAGUAAGCAUAGUCCAAGUCUCAAGUAUCCAACCCUCAUGUCUCUAACAUGGUAUAGUCACUAGCAUCCCGAAGAUCUAGUUUAAGUCGCAAUGUGAAGUUUCAACAUUUGCUACGCCUAGUGCCCCUUGAUAACACUUAGGCAAUUUGAUGUUCAACAUGUUUUCCAAAUCCCUCAAUGGCCCUAUCCACUAGGUUCACACAUGUCCUGAGCUCAAUGCGGCUUGAUGACAUUAGCUCUCUAAUUCACAUGAUAUCAAGUUCGAUGCCUAUAUAUAUAGCAAUUGUCAUCUUUCAUGUCUCAAUUAAACUUAUGUUUAAACGCAUGAAUCAUAGAUCAUUUACUAUAUAGAAACAUGAAACCAAAUCUCAUAUAGAAUGCUAAAUGCAACCAACUCUCUCUCAAGCAACUCUCUACUACAUAGAGGUCCAAAAUUUCAUUACAUAUAAUAUGAGCAUUUUAAGCACUCUAAAAUUCAUAAUAAAUACAUUUAAUAUGAAAAUGCAUGAGUUAUUAGUACACGAAGCACUUAUCACCAAAUAUGAGAUUUUCUCAUAUCAAAGGCUAGGUCAAACCCACCAAAAUCGAAACUUUCGUUUCGCCGAACGGAGAUUUCCACAAGCUUUCUAGCACCCUAGGAACAUCAAAAAUGGUGUCAUCCAAUCGAUACGAAGAGCAAUAAGCUCAAUCUUUAACCUAAAAGCAAAAGGGCCAAAACUCACCUCAAGAGUAGAAAUUUUUUCCUAAGCUCCAAAAGAGAGCUAGAUCCCUUCCAAUCCAAGCCCUAGGAAGGUUCUAAACCAACCAAUCAAGCCUCAAAAGUCCUAGGUUCAAAAAGCCCAAAAUAAACCCUAAGUCCCAAAACUAGGGUUUCUCUCAAAGAAAGCUCUAAAAUCCAAAACUAGAGGAAAGGAUCUUGCCACUUACCUCUUAGAAGCCUCAAAACCAGCUCAAGUCCUCAAACUUCAAGUAUCUUCCCUCAAUCAAACUCCAAAUCCAAGUUCCAAGCUCCAACAAUGGUGGAAAUAGCUCCAAUAGGAAAAAAGAGAGGGAAAUCCAUCAAAAUCCAAGAAAUUGGAGAUCAAAUCCAAAUAGGGGAAAAGAGGGGCUCCUUACCUUGCUCCUUCUCAGGUUCCAGCACAAGGGAGGCCCUAUGGGGCGUGGGUGCUGUUAUAAGGGUGCCACAAUCGCAAAUAAGCCCCUGCAGAACAAACUGCACGAAAUCAGCCUCCUUGUACCGAUACACGGGAUUUUGUACCGGUACAAGAGCUGCGAAAAUCCAAAUCCGAGGCUCGGGUGCGUGGUUCUGCGGCACUGUACCGGUACAGGCCCGAUGGCUGUACCGGUACAACCAUCAACAUUGUACCGGUACAAGACCAUCCUUGUACCGGUACAAGACCUGCGAAAAUGCAAACCCGAGGCUCGGGUUUGCGAGUUCUCGGCUCUGUACCCGUACAAGCACAACCUUGUACCGGUACAAGCCCUCCAUACAGCCAAUCCGAGAGCUGACCAAAAUUCAAAUUUUUGGGUUUUGGUGCAAGGCUUCGUACCACACUCCUCGGGACACGUGUCAUAGGUCGGAACACAGUCAACGACCUACCAGAAAAUCUGGAAAAGCUCAGAGCACAGCUAAUCACUCAAACCUCGCAAUUUGCAAAGGUCCAGUGUGUUACAUCGACCCUAAUGGUAGAACCUAGGGUUUGGGUUUUGAGCUUUGGAAAUGAGGUCAAAUGGACCUCUAGCACCAUUAAUGGUGGAUCAAAGCUAGAGGCUAAGGUUUUAUGGUGCUUUACAUAAUGCUAACCCUAGGGCUCCAAAUGGGGGCUUUUUGGAAAUUUAUGAGAUUGAUCUCAUGUGAGGGCAUCUAAACCUAAUUGCUAGGUGUCUAAACGCGGGGGCGAAGGCGGAUUGAGCAUUCGUCGAGCCGGUGAAAAGUUAUCGGCUAACAAGGCUGACCAAGCUUAGUUUCGACCUAGGAGGCCGAGACAUCAUCGUAACGUUCAUUGGGAGGCGUUUCUAGAACCUCUACAUCGACAAAGGUGGGGGGUGUCCAUCCCGAAGCAACUGGGCUUCUCCCUAUGUCUAAGUAUCUUUAUGUGAUUACAUUCCAUAUAUAGCAUCAUGCAUGGUAGGGUGUUUAGAUGUUACCUUCCUACUCUUGCAUAUUCCUUGGUAAUGCGACAUAGUGGGCUUGGCAUGUUAACUUAGGAAUGCAUGAGAUUGAGCUUUGUGGCAUAGAACCCUAUAGAGAUAAGUUAAACCAUAACUUAAUCUUGCAUGGAUGCGUAUAGUGAUAUAUGACUAGCAUAGUCGGGAUAAUUGCAUUAUGGUAAAUGACAUGUAUACCAAGUAUAUAACUUGAUGAGUGGCAUAUGUAUACCAAGUAAACAACUUGACGAGUGGCAUUAGAAUUUAGUGUCAAAGAACACUUGUGGCAUGGUAGUCCUAGUGACUGAAUCUCCUCAUUCGAUGAGGAAUGGAUUUGGAUUAUACUCACAUGUCUGUUCAGCACUUGUGGCGGUCGCUCCGCACAAGUAGUGCGCUCCGGAGUUUGGCACGUGAAUCGAUUGGGAUAGCCUAGAUGGGGUCCCAAGGGAUAGCCUAUGUGGGGUCCCGCAGACAACCCUCAAGUGGUUCGAGUCCCCCUUCAUAGACGGAUUUGAGAUGUGAGUUGAGGGCGCGCCUAUGAGCCAGCCAGAUAAUUGGGUAAUAAACUCGAGAGAGUUAUGCAAAUUGGGCAUAUUGUGCAUAUUGAGCAUGGUAGAAUUGUAUUCAUACUCGAUGUUGGUAUUAUCGCAUGUUAGCGAAUGCAUAGCUAUUUUGUUCAUUCUUGAAUCUCAAGGCAUAGUAGAAUAUUGCAUUUCUUUCAAUAUGCAUUAUUUACAGUUUUGAAUAUCUAUCUAUCUAUCUGCUUAUGCCUGCAUAGACCUAGUGGGAAGGUCGGCGAAGUCGGCGGCCGAACCCACUGGGAACUAUGGAAGAUAGUUCUCACCCCACUUCAUUUCCGGGCUAAGUGCGGGCACGCUGGGCGAGGAUCGUGGCAAAAGCAUUGCGCCCGAGCAGUAGCUUAGCAGCUUCCAUUUUGCAUUAGAGUAUCCUCGAGUACCUAGAGUUAUGAUGUAUUUAUACCUUGGGAGUUGCUUAUGUAUUUUGAAGAAACAUGUGUAUAUUCAUUUUGCAAGUUACAAAAUGUAAACUUGAUGUAAAAGAAUGGUUGAAUGGAUGUAAUAGAUGGACAUAUCUCUCUUUAUUUACUUGUAUGGCAUACUUGUAUCUUGCUCUUACUUGUUAGCACUAGUUGUGCUCCGUGCUUAUCAUGUAUGUAAUUGAAUUAUUCCUGGGCAAUUCUAUGUACAUGAUUCUAUUGUCGAGCCUUGGGCGAGCAGGGGAGGUGUUGUCCGUCCGGCGUCUGUUCGACGCGCCCGAACCGGACCAAAUUGGUAACGGGCUCGAGGUGUGACACAUGUGCUCUACUUUCCUUUUCAAAUAAACAACUUAAAUAAACUAAUAGCAAGCUAAAAGCCUUCUUAGAAACCCAUGGAAUUAAUAGAGUAAUUUGAGUAGUUUCAGCAGAAAAGGCUGGACUUGUAACUAAAUGCAUCGCUCUAACUGGUGCUGGGUAAUAUGUCCCUAGCUUUAAAGUGUGAAUGUUUUGGACCACAGCUUUCUCGGGCUAUGCUGGCCCUUAGCAAAGAUUUGGGGCUAAAAGAAGUACAAAGAUAAAUGGAAGUACACGUAUGUAACAUAGUAUUGAGUUGGGAAAAUUACUAAGAGAGUAAUAAAGCAUCAGAAAACAGAUAAAAAAAGGCAGGACAAACAGAUUUUGACAGGGGAGAUCCGAGAUUGAAUUGAACUUGGCGAUGAGAAGGGAUAGGUAGAUGAUACCCUGAGAAGGGCAAGCACGGAAGGGGUGUCGGUUAAGAACUUGACGGCCAAGGUCAUGAUGGUGGAGGUGGUCUCAUAGCCGACCACCAGCAGAGCCAACAGGAAGUCCACCAUCUCCUCCUCUGACAGGCUCCCACCUUCCGCCUCUAGCAGCUCCACCAUAUCCUUCUUAUACAUAUGCCUCCUCCCUGAGGCCACCGUCGGUAGGCCCUGCUUUUCUGCCGCUGCUGCUUCUUGGUCCUCUAGCCCUUUCUCAUCGCAUGUUGUCCUCUUCUUUUUCUUCGCUUCCUUCCUCUUCCUUAUCACCUCCCUCAGCGCCUCAGCCACCUUCUUCCAUGCCUGAGCGAGCGAAAAAUGAAACAGAGGCGCAUCGAGAGCCAAUCAGUUAGCUGACAAAGAAAGAAAGACAGACGCGUGCACGAGGCAACUUUUGAGGGACUUUUGAGGAUCGAUCGAACCUUGAGGGCACGACCGUAGGUGGUGAAGAAAAGGAAGGAAGGGAAGGGGAUAGAGAAGAAGCCGACGAUAAGGAGGACGUACUCGCGGCGAAGGGACUCAGUCCACUCCCCCGGGUCGAAGCUCAUCAGGUGCUUCACGGUGAGCUCGAAGGUGAUCUUCUUGGCCUGGUCCAGCAGGCGCACAGAGGCAGGGGUAGGGGUGGGGGUGGGGCCGCUCUCCUCCCCCUAGGAGCGGAGCGUGGAGCAGACCAGGGCGUCGAUGUGAGCGAGCAAAGGCCCGUCCCGGAUGGCGGCGGGGGAGGCGAGGUGGGUGAGGGUGAGGGAGUGCAGGCACUUGUGGAGCGGACCCCGCAUCAGCAACAGCGAGUGGGGGCCAGGCAGUGUGGAGAUGGAGGAGGGGUAGCUGCACUUCACCGCCCCGCGCCCCUCGCCCCUUGCCCGCCAGCACCAACCGAUUAAACUCUGGGUCCACCGAGAACACCGUGCGCUCCCCGAACACGUGCAUCGUGAAAAGCCGCCCAUGCCGCUGCACACACUAGUCGAUGAAGGGCUCCGAGUUCUCCGUCUUGUACGCCGCGAUCAACUUCAGCGUCUCCCCGACCAGCGGAAGCCCCAUGCGCCCCUGCGGCAGCCUACGCCUCCUGCUACGGCCGCCUCCCCCCACCUCGCGCUUCCUUCUGGCGCCCUUCCUCCUAAUCGCGAUAGCCAGGAGGCUUAGGAGGAUGAGGAUGACGAGGACGAGGAACAGAUGGGUCUCCGCUAGCACACCGAACUCAUUCCAUUAUUGGACCCAUACUAUGUCGAGAAGAAGCAUCAAUGUCCAACAAAGCCUUUGUGCAAGGAAAUCGAAAGAUCCCCUUCUUAAACCCACUUUUUGCUCGAGAAUGAAGGACGUAUCCCGAUUGAUCAGAGCUUUGGUUUGUUUCUCCCAAUGACUGAUGACAAUACAUAAAAAACGGCAUUGAUAGGCCACCCUUCUGAUUGCCAAAAUCGACAUAGGAUAGAAGGCCAGCUUUGCAAUCUAGCGAGUCUAAGUUAAGAGGGUGAAAAGAGUGGAAGCAGUAUUUUGAGGCAUCCAUCUCCAUGUGUGCUCAGUUCUUCAUUGAUUGCCAAUAUGCAGUACCAACAGACCCAUCAGCUAAUCCGCAAAUGCCUUUUUGCCUCCUCCGCCAAUAGAUUAACGAUUUGUUGCAUACUCUCCGUUCAUUCACCUUUAGCAUUCUUAAAACAGAAGAAGAAGAAGAAGAAGAAGAAGAAGAAGAAAACUGAAAGAAGCAUUGUGCAAGUACGAGUAAAAUUGAGAAGGGCGUCCAAUUUGUAAUUGACCUGCAAUCCAUGGGUGUCGCUUUCUUUCAUCAGGAUGAUGUUGAUGUAACACAGCAUACCUCAGGAGAAUCUUGCAUCCCACCACAAGAAGAAAAACAAAGUAUUUCAAGCUAUUCAUUUAUAUUAUAAUGCUAGGUGAUUAUAAUAAGAGUUUCUAAAUUGUAUAAAUUUAUUAAAUUCAGUUAUUAUUAUUAUUAUUAUUUUGAGAAAAAAAUUAAUUAUUAUUCAUUAACUGAAUUUGACUAUAUUUAAUGAAUUUGAUCACAUGUUAAUAUCACUAACCACAAAUCUGGCCUAUACUUAUCUUCAAGAUUAAAUUCUUAUAAACAAGCCGCUCCAGGUAGGUGCCUUCGAAGUUGGAAAUGAGGCUCUCCAUGAGUCUAUAACUCGGCUUAGGACAGCAAGUAACUCUUGAGUCAAUGAUGGCUUGUAGUCAACCAGACUACCACCAAACUCAAAACUGAUAAACAUCAUCAACUGCUAAUGAAAAAUGGCAGCGUGAACAACAGAGUUGUUAUCUUUGUAACCAUGGUCCAUGUGUAAGCGCAGAAAAUUCAAAAAUUCAAAGCAAAUCUCAAGCAUACCUUCACAAUUUUGAAUUAAGACCUGACUACAUAAUUCAGGGUGUACCUAUAGUUGCCCUCGACAAGACUCCAUCAGCGAGCAAGUUCCCCACUUCCCAAGUCUGCCUCUUAAUUACGAAUGUUUGGAAGGAGCAAGAGCAUUUAGGCCAAAGCAUACAUAAUCCCCUUCUGUUACAGUCCAUUAAUCCCCUCUCAGCCUCUCCCUUUAUGCUCCCUUGCACCAUGUACUCUCCAUUUCAUCAUCUACUUCAAAAAAAGGAAAGAAUAGAUAUGGUAAAGCGAACUGAACUUACAGGCAAGAUUGGCCGUCCGGUGGUUUCCAUGCCUUAGUGAUCCUCUCGAUUUCAUGAGGAAGCAGAACUGUUUAGUUGAGUAGGUUAAGCAUAAGGGAUUCAAUGAUUCGAAGCAAGAACUGAAAUUAUCUUCAAACCUCAAUGAGACACAAAAUUUGAGGUCUCCUAUCCAAUAAGCAUAUGAUGCAAAAUAUGCAGCGACUACAAAGAAGAAAUCAAGAAACACUUAUAACACUCCAUUCUUGAGACAGCAGAGCUGACUGGAUUAAUGUCACUCCUGCCAUUCCUUGCAAGGAAAUUAAGACCACUAAGAAACCCUACAAAAGAACGUCACACUAUUCGAGGCCCAACAUACAAAUAUGGAGUUUCUGACAUUCCAUGCACAUUCACUGAAAAUUAUGUAGGGGCACAAAAGGAAAGCAUCCUACCAUUCUAGAGAAAUAUGACAUAAUAUAUUUAAACUAUCCAAUGACACUUAGGGUCUGUUCAUGUCACCACUUUGUAACAUAUCAGAAACAUCAUAUAUUUUAUAUUUGAAAUGGUACAUUUGUUACCAACUUACUAUACUACUUGGGUUGGGAGGUUAUUAGGGACUUGUAUAUUGUUGUUGAUAGAUUACUCAUAAUUCUCGUCAAGAAUGGAAAUGACGAAACCUCCAAAUCCAUAGCAUUAUAUAAUAUGCCAAAUAAUUGGGAAUCAAUGAUGAUUCCACAACUUCACCAACACCUUUUAAAACAUUCCCAACUUGAGUUGCAUGGCAACAAUUUGAAUGUCUUGAAUAGAAAAUAUAAAUAUUUUCUAAAUAUUACAAAUCAUAAAACAAACCGCCAGUGAUUGUUGUUGUUGUUGUGGUGGUGGUGGCGGCGGUGCUAUUCUUAGAGUUUAUUACAUCGUAGGAAGAAUCCACCAUCCGCAAGAAUAACUCUACGGAAGCCUCACACUAGUUCCUUGUCAAGGAAAAAAAAAGAAGCUAACACAACUGCAAUUUAAACAAGAAAUAACAGUGUGGAUGCAUUUAGACAUGUACAUCACUAAAAUAGAAAAAGACACUUACGUGCACUUAUAUUUGCCAGUUGAAAAGAUACUGGAACAAUUGAGUUUGAUCAAGAGACGAAACGACUAAAAUUCUGAAGCAGCCGCAUAGAAAAACAAAGAGAAUAAAUACACAAUGAUGGCCCCACCAACAUUAUUUUGGGGAGAUGAAAAACACAAUGAAUUGCUACAGCGCUGCUACCUAGAUAGAAAAUUCUGCCACUAACAAUUAUAUGAGAAAAUGUUUGAAUCUAAUUCCCAAACUAUGCAUAAAUGCAAAUAGUUCAAAUUAAUAAAGUAAACAGCAUUAAUGCCCGGUCGGGUGAUAGACAAAUUGGUAUGCAUGUUCUUCAUCCUUAAAAAAUUAUUGAAGAGACCCUAUUGUCAAUAAGAACAAUGUGGAAAAAUCCAAGUUUGAGACCUGCGGAAUAAGUUGUGCAGCAAAUGGAAGCUGUUCAUGAACGAUUCUCCAGCAUCAUUGUCACUGCAGGACUUAGUAUCCAACAAAUCUAGAAUAUGCAGACUUAAGAGAAAACUUUAAGAAAUAAGGACACAAUGAUACAAGCAAUCAAACCUGAAAAUGGUAACGGAUUCCAAUGUAAUAUGGAGAGUUGUUUUGCACUGUUCAUCAAAACAUGACCAGAAAGAUUUAACUGUUUACUGAAGAGAGGAAGUUCUCUUAUUUCAAGCUAAAAAUGUCAGGUAAAAGUCAUAAUAUUAAGAUAGCAAGUAAACAAUACUGCAAUUUCAUAUAUUGCAUAUAGUUAUAACGCUCAUGUCUCAAAUCUUGUUUUAAUGCUAAAUAACAACUGUAUUUCAUUAGUGUCUUUUCGACCUUUUUUUUUUCCCAUUUGUUCAAGAAUAUAAGAGUUCUACUGCACAAUGAUAUUUCAAUAUUAGUUUUGAGCAACAAUAUUCACUAUUUGAACAAGCAAAACUUCUAUACAAUAAUUGAUGUGUAUCAUUGACAAACAUGUUCUCAAAGACGAAUGUCGAACCAAUUUCUCCACUACUGCCACAACCACCCCAAGACCUUCAAAACCAAAAUUAUUUACCAGUUAGAUGAAUUCAAAGUUGAGCAGAGAGGAUUCUUCGAAGAACCUUUCCAUGCUUGAUGCUCAGAUAUCGCAUCAAUACAGGUCUCCAUGAACAAGCAAAACUCAAACCAAGUUAGAUGUUGGGGUGACAGGUUGGAUCAGAGUAGCGAAUCGCAUUAACAAAUUUUACGGAGCCACCAGCCUUGAGAAGACACCAAAAUCACACCAACAAAUGCGCAUCUGCUCCUUAAUAAUUGUUCUGAACAAUUGAUACUUCAAAAUUAUUUCCCAACCUAAAAUAUUCAAACAGAAAAAAAGGUGGUGACAGUUUCAUUAUGACAUUGAAAAGCAACAACGUAGUUAGCAAGGAAAGCUUAAAAAUGUAGCAAAGCAGCUACUUACUUUGAUUAUCUAUCAUAUACUGGCAGAAUUUGCCACAUCAACGCCUCCUAGCUAUGUGGAUCUAUAAUUUUUAUACAACCCAACUAUUAAAUAGAUAAGAAGAGAAUAUGCCUUCAACAUCACAAGACCCAUAUGUAUAGCUAUCCAAUAGCUUGCAUUUGAUCAAAAUAGGAGCAAAAAAUGUUGAUAUCGAAAAAUCAUUAUGCAUAAUCUCACACAUCUCGUUGACCAAACCGCCUCUCCCUGUUCUGGAAAGAGCAUAAAGCCUCAAGAUAGUCAAUCUCCCCAAAGUCAGGCCACUGUGUCCUUGUAAAAAAAAGCUCUGUGUAUGCUGACUGCCAUAAUAAGAAGUUGCUCAACCUCAGCUCACCACUAGUUCUUAUAAGUAAAUCUGGGUACGGAUAAUCAGUAGUGCAGUUUGUUUCUAGCUCUUGUGCAAAUAACAAUUCUGUAAUGUCUUCUGGGUCAACCAACUUAUUUUUUACCUUGUCAGCAAUCCUUUGACAUGCUCGCACUAUGUCCCUUCGUCCGCUGUAGCUAACAGCCACAAUUAAGUCAAGUUGUGAGUUGUUUCUUGUUGCCUCCUCUACCUCUCUGGCCAACUUUUGUAGAGAAUUUGGGAGCUUUGAGGAGUCACCAAUUACACAAAUGCGAAUACCCUCCCUGCUUGGAACCAGCAAAGGAGAUUCUGUUUAAUGUCAUUCUUUACAGCAAAACAUCUUUCUUUUGAUACAUGUUAAUUUGCAAACAUUAAUCCGAGUCCAUAGAUCACAUGCUCGAUAGAAUACUAGUAACAGUUCUACGAAACGAAAGAUUUCCAUCAACUCAUGUAACAAGGAAAAAAAAAAAUUAUGCCACCAAUAUUGAUUCUCAUGCAGUUCUGCUUCAACAGAUACAGGAAAGCUGCCAUAUGAUCAUUUAUGACACAGACAUAUAACAGACUCACGCAUGCUAAAUGUACAAAAAGAGCAAAACACUGUUGUAUCCAAGUGGUAAUCAUAGCUGAGGCGUUCCAAGAAAAAUGACACUGCUAACACAAAAUUCUUAUUAGUAUAGAUAGUUGGAUCAUUGAUUCUUUAGAGAAAUAGCCUUAGAGAACAAGCGGACAACAAAGAGAAGAAGAUACUACAUUUAGCAUUCAGCGGCCACGAAGGCACUUAUAUGAUUACAUCCAUUCUGAGAUUAUGAGUAAGAUGAUAAAUAUACAUAAAUGCAUACAAUAGAAUUCUGCCGAAAGCAAUCUCUAAACGCUGGUAUAUAGAUCUGUUUCAACCUCAUUAUUUCAGGGUUUCAAAGCAAACUCUCCAAGACAAUCCUAAGAAAAAUCACACUGUAAUACCUACAAUGAAACCUAUCUACCCACCCAGCCAACCUUUCUAACACAGACAUCAUACAUGACAGGGAUUGCUCUAGAGUGCAAUUAUGUUCUUCCUUAUGUUAAUCACUCAAAACACUAUACUAAUGCACACUCCAAAAUCAAGGAACACCACCUCCAUCUCAAUAAAGAGUACCAGGGAAAUUUCAGUGAUGUUUCAUGCAUGCCGUCUACUCUAUUGCAUCCUCAUGUCUAACCUACUUGGUCUUGUUACACUGAAAUCAGAAUUCCUGCAUUAUGGUCAAAUUGGUGCUCCGCUUUCAUCUUCAACUAGAAACUCUUUUCGACGGACAUAUUAUAGAGAAGGCAGGCUUCAUUUUGAUCAAAGUUUCUGACAGAAUAUUGCAACAAGAUCAUGUUAUAUUUAGUUAUUAAAUUGAAAAUCUUCAACCUCAUUAUAAAUUUAAAUGCUACUUAGAUCAGAUUGAAAAUUUUCAACCUCAUUAUAAAUUUAAAUGUUACUUAAAUCAGCUUGUUCCUGUCUAUGUAUUUGAAAACUUUGGCACAUGUGCUGAGGAAAGAAUGUGUCAUUCCUAGAUGCAAUUAACUGUUUUAAGAUAAAAUUUCAUUUGCAGCAACCUUCAUCAAUACCAAUCUCUCAGCAUUAAGGAAACCAGCGACCGGUAUUCACAAUGAUUCAUCUCCCAUGUAGAACACCUUACAAGUAGUAAGUAUGGUUCAAGUCUUAUAUGGACACACCUGAAAAGGAUUAUUAGUUUGCGCGUUAGUAUGGUAAUGUGGUGGCUAAAAGCAUCAAUUUUUAUACUAUAGAUUGCCCAAAAAAAAUCUAAAGGCGUUUUCAAUCUUUUCUUCUUUUUAUUAUAAAUUGCAAUUGCAAUUGCAACCGCCGCUGGAGAAACAUGCAAGCGGUUGUAACCGCAAUUUUAUAGUAUAAAAAAAGGAAAAGUUGUAAGCACUUUUGAAUUUUUUCUUUUUUUCUUUUUUUUUUUGGUCUUCCACAGUAUAAGAAUAGUGCUUUUAACCACCACAUUACCAAACUAGGUCGAAGAGGAAUGAAAUCCAUGAAUCCGACCGCAACAGAUAGAGACACAUAGAUUCAAGAAGCUCUCGGCGCCACUCUUCCUGGAAAUCUGACUACUUGGGCUAUUUUUGUUUAAUCUAGAGUAUAAUAAGGGUCAAGCUUCUGGAAGUUCCUUAGUGGUUUCAUCAAUGUUAUCAAAGUGAAAUCUGCAUCUGCAUAGUACACUAAAACUGGUACCUCAAGAAAUCCCCAAUAUUCUCCCUGAGGACGCCCUCGAAAAGCAUCAUGAGAAAAUCCACCUCUGCCUGCAAAGCGAUGAUGGACCAUCAGUUAGUCAUAAAAGAGGGCUAUUAUGCGGAUGAUGUCGGGAAAGAAAAAAAGAAAGAAAAAAAGGGUGGGGGGCGGGGAGAAUGCGGCGACAAAGAAACCUUGGGGCGGAGCCAAUUCUCGGAAGAGAAGGCGAAGACGGUGAGCACUCGGAUGCCCCAACGGCGGGAGAGCUUGACCAUCUGCUUGAGGGAGCGAUAGCCCGCCUCGUGGCCUGCCGACACGGGAAGCCCCCUGGCGCGCGCCCACCGCGCGUUGCCGUCCAUGAUCACAGCCACGUGCCUAGGAAGCGCCUCCGGAGACAGCCCAUCCGGCAGCAGCAGCGCCGCGGCCUCUGCUGAUCCCACGCGCUUCUCUUGGAGCUCGCCGGACGCCGAACCCGAACCCGAACCCGCCGCCGCGUCGGCUGAGACGAGACGAGACGUUCGGUACGCGACGCAGGGAGAAGCGGUGAGUUCCGGUAAACCAUUGUGUAAACUAUUACUGUUGUUGUUAUUGCCACCGACAUGCAGCCGCUUACUACUCCUCACCCUACUGGCCGCCCCAGGGUAGCAGGGAAACAAUAGAUUCUGUUGCUGUUGGGGACGACGACUUGGGCUUACCACCAGAGUCCCGUUUGCAGGCCCGGGGAGAGGAGGAAGAGACUGCAUUGCAUGACUUAGCUGCUGUCUCUGUAAUCCCUGCCCUCUUUCUAAACCCAGUCUCAUCUCUUUCCUAAUCCCCCCAGAUCCCAGAUGUGUUCAACGUGCGCGAGCGUGCGCCAGCAAUCCAGUCCCCAGUCCUCGGUGUAACGGCUCAAUACAUACGGUCACCAGCGCCAAAUGAGGGACCAAAUGGACCCCAGGGUUGAAGUGGACUUUGAUAUUCGUUGCUACUAGAUUGGACCUUUGGUCUGCACAAAAUUUAUUGCAUCGGCCGAUGAUGGGAGGUACAUCAAUCCUCUUUAAGACUGAUUCUGGAGUGUGAUGGUGACUAUGAGCCUUAGGAUAUAUAUAAAUAGAUAUUUAAUUCACAUUAGUAUUUCGGACCAGGCAGUUCUGGACCGUCGGACAGAAUACGUCGGGCCGGGCCAUACUGGACCACGAGGCACAGCCCGAUACUUUGGGCCAGACCAGGCCGGCACAAAUGCUAUAGCACCCAUGUCGUGCUGCAGCCCGGCCCCUUCACCCCACCUCACCGCCUACCCUUUCAAAAUUCAAACCAUACUCUCUCUCUCUCUCUCUCUCUCUCAUAAUGUGCAAUAUUUAUAGAGCGAUCAGAAGGAAAGAGGGAUUCGUUCUGGGGUUUCUCGAUUAGAGGAGCCGAGAGAAGAGCGAUCAGAAGGAAAGAGAGAUUCGUUCUGGGGUUUCUCGAUUGGAGGAGCCGAGAGAAGAGCGAUCGGAAGGAAAGAGGGAUUCAUUCUGGGGUUUCUCGAUUGGAGGAGCCGAGAGAUCGGACAGGAAAGAAGUGGAUCGAAAGGGAAAGGAAGGGAUCGGUGUAAGGUCUGUGGACCGAAGGAAUUGGCAAUCGAAUGAAAGAGAAGGGGAUCGCUCUAGGGGAAUCGGAAAAUCUAAAGGUAAAGAUUCGAAAGAGAUGAGACGAAAGUGUUUGGCGGGGGGGAGAAAGAAAGGGAGAUCGUGAGCGAGGGAUUGUGGUUGGCUUGGCUGGAAGGUGUAGGUGGGCUACGGCCACUAGGACAAUAAGUUUGUGCAGCCCAACCCAAGAAGCCGAGAACGUAAUUCAUUAGCCGUCUCACAAUUUUUUAUUUUGCUUACAUGUCAUAAUUAUUUUUCAACAUGUACACAGUAUAUAUUCUCAACGAAGUAAUCGAAAAUAUAUGUAUUGGAGAGCACCCAAAAAAGGCCAACAUAUCACAUAGAAAAUAGAAUCAUGAAAUCAUAUAAUUUGUCACUCAAAAAAGGACCAUAAAAAAAAUUGGCCACUCAAAAAGGCAUAUAUAUCGUAAAAUUAGUAGGCUCACCGGAUAAUGCAUCAAUUAGGUUUGUCCGAGGUUGAAUUCUGAUUCUGCUAAGAUACUAAGAUUGACCAACCAAAAAAGGAAAAUGUGCGCACUAGAAGACCAAGAUUUUCACAAAUCCUAAUUUUCUCGAAAAUAAAGAAAGAUCUAUAGGGUAUCUAACAAAGGGAGGCCAACAUCAACGGAGAACUAAUUGAAGAGUAUACUAAAGAUAUUAAAUUUGAAUAUCAUGGUAAAUUGGAAAGGGCCAAUUUGUAAGGAUCAAGCUUUGCGUUUGACAAACGUAGGUGCAAGUAAGAUGUAACGGCCAUAGUUGGCACAUAAAGACACUACAUAUCUUGUAGAUAAGUUUUUUAUUCAAGUCGAACUUGGAAUUUUAAAAAAUUUUAACAAACAGGUAGUUGGCAGAUUGUUUUUAAGAUAUGUUGUUUAAGCGGCGAAUGGUAAAAAUAGGCAUCCAAGUAAUUAAGAUGUGGUUGGUAGAUAGUUUCUUUACUCAAAUCGAACUUGAAACUUUUUAAUUAUAAAUAGGCAUUCAAAAUUUUUAUUUGUAAAAUUAGAUUUCAGCAGUGAAUGAUUUACCGUUUUUAGAAACUGCUUUCACGUAACUUACAUAUUUUCCACAUCCGAACUCCAAAAAAUUCAAUUUCAAAUUGAAUAUGAAUUUGAAUUAUCAAUUAAAAUUCAAUUUCAAAUCAAUGACUCACAUUUGCCUUUAGAUUUUAGCUCAAACUGUAAUUUCAAAAUUAAACUGAAAUUUUAUUUUCUAUAUUCCAAUUGAUCUUAAAUUGUGAAUAUAAAUAUCAAGUGAAUUUAACUUUUCAACAUUUAAUUAAAAAUUUAAAAUUUAUAUUUUUAAUUGUCAUUUAAAGUUUUGAAUUUAAUGUUAAUUUUGAAUUCAAAUUGUAAGAAAAAUCCAUAUCACAAAAACCCAUCAUGGCUAUUUGUAAUGUACAAUACCCAACCCUCACAUAUAAUCAGAUCUGAAUACUUGUACAAUACAACAUUCCUACAAUAGAGGAACCAAGACACCUCUAAGAAUUUAUUAGUUGGCCCCAUCUAUUAGAUCCACACCUUCAUGACAAAGUGCAUCUUAGAGUGCAAGGGAUGAUCCACUGGACUUUGCGAUGUUUUGUCUAGACCCAAUUUGAAUUACUCGGUAUUCCGCACAAAAUCUCAUUUGGCAAGAAAUUAGUUGCACUCAAAUCUUUAGAUACAUUAGUUUAAUUUAGGUUUUUUUCAUAUGAACUUGAGGAGGGUGUCAGGAUCCUCUAACUACACAUUAUAUUUUCUUUUUUGCAAACGUGUAUUUUCUAAUUUAAUUUUUUUUCAACAAAAUUUUCUAGCCACACAAUUACCUUAGAAUACUUCUGACCUAAAUCGUAGCACCAUGAGAAUGCAGAUUGUUUCAUAUAUAUUUUUUUCCCUUCUAUUUCUCUCCCGCUUCCUUUAGUCAUCCCCAUUUUCUCACCCAAUCCAAAAACUAAGCUGCCAUAUGAAAGAAACCCUAAAUUAUACACAUGUUUGGAAUCCAAUAUGAAACUAAUAUACUUAAUAGAGCUACACAAUGUCUCACGCAUGUAUGGCAGAUGCAGGAAACAGAGGAUGAGCCACCCAUCUCAUCAUACUAGCAAAAUGAACUGACCGGGCGCAUUACAAUGCAUAUAUUCAUUAAACUUACUGAAAGCUUGACUUUUAGAAGCCUUUUAGAACAGCAAAAUGAAUACACAGAUAGUGAAUUAUAAUUAAUAACAUAGCCAGUAGAUAUUUUCAUCAUACUGACUGAAAAAUAGAUGUUUAAGAGAGCAAACUAAGCUGAAUAGCGAAAUACGAUUCAGCAAUCAAUAUACAUCGUAUUCUUCCAUCAAAAAGUAUUGGAGGUUUACGAGAACAAACAGACCUUAACGGCAAGAUAUGAUUCAGCACAUAUGCUGAAUAUAUUUCAUCAAACAAACUGAAAAUUUGAGGUUUAUUGAGAGCAGUAUGAGCUAAUUGGGCGAGAAGGUACAAUUCAUCACACAACUAGUCAACAAACUAAAUCAUAAUUCAGAGUCCACCAGAGAAAACAGAACAAUUUAUAGAGCAAAAUAUGAUUCAACACGACCAGCAUAUAUAUAUUAAUCAAAACCCGCAUUGAAAGUAAACCUAUAAAUGUAAUAAAAGAGAAAAAAAAAAAAAAAAAAAUUUCUUUUAAGCAACCGUAAGUAUAAUUUACAGCCCCAUUUCCUACUAUCCAAACAAGAAACUGAUUCUUCUUUGAUAAACCAAGCACUAAGGAUCGUCUAAACUUUUCCUUCAAUCGAAUACUCUUUUCCUCGAAAAAAAUAUAUUAUGACAUUUUUAUGUGAAACCAAACAGGGUUCGAAAUUUGGCAGUUGGGUCAAAACAAACGAUGGAACAGAUGGGAGAUCAGUUACGGCGCAGGCUAGUUUCAGUUUAAAUAAACAAGUGUAAAAAUCAAGUUCGGAAAAAAUUCAAAAUACAUUGAACUUGGAUGUAUGACUUGUUAGACAAACAAACAAGCAAAUACAAGUCGCUUCACUUCCCACUUUUGUUUCAUGUCAAAUUUCAUAGCAAACAGCUUACGAAUGAGCAGAGUGAAGAUAAAUCAUACAACAAAGUCGAAAGCUAACUCAACAGCCUAAUUCUUAUUUGAAAUACAUUAAGGAGUUCUAUUGUUAAAAAAAAAAAAAAGAAGAAGAAAUUAUUGAUAAAGUGUCAAUCAGAUCAACUAAGAACACUUCAAUCUUUCACUGGUGGUAUCAUAGAAUUAUGGCGAAAUACUUACUGCCUUUAGAAAAUUAAGGCACUUUUCAAACAUUUGAUGCAGUCCCCUGUGUUGAUUUGAAGAAGUUUCGAUACGUUAAAUAAAUUGCGCAACAGUUAAACUGACAAGACAGCAUAACAUAAAUGAUCUCACGUAAUCAAGAAUUUUUGGGCAAUGCAGAAGCGGGACAUCUUCCCAAAGUAUUCCAGAGUAUGUAGUCUCCAGAGGAAACCUGGCAAAUGCAACAUUUAUAGUGAAUUAAAAGGUUAUCAACUUCAAAACAUAGAGAAGCUGAAAAAUAAAAGUCCUCCAAUUCUACGAUAGGACAAAUUGACAAGAUGCUGACACAAUAAAAUAACCAUAUUGAGAAAAUCAAAGACGGUCAUCACAAAAGAGGGUCAGAUGAGAUUUCAUUGUCAGUACAGCAUAAAUAGCUGUCUACAAGGGAAAAGAGGAUUUUUUUCUGUAAAGUACCGGACUUCUAAAAUCAUGAGGUUACGGUGUCCAUUUGGUUGGAGAGCCAUUUGAAUGGUUCCGGUAAGGUUGCGGUGUAAUGUAAUAUACCGGAUUUAAAUAUAAAAAUAGAAAUAAAUAAAAAUAGUAUGAGAUACUAUUUUUAUUGAAUUUAGAGAAGUGAAAUAUAAGUUGGGAAUGACCUGUGCUGAAAUCGGAAUUAAAACAGAAGAUUUAGAAUUUUCUGUUGGAAACGGGGCAGAUAAAUUAGCAGAAAAUACAGUCUCAGAAAAUUAUGAAAAUUGGCAGAGAUGUCAGAAAUAUUUUUAUGAGGCUAGAUUUAAGGUUUCAUAUUUUUCUGACACCCGUAGAGUGAGAAAUAAAAUCCGAAAGCUAUCUGAUAAAGAUUGCAGUUCGGUACAGUUUUCAGUGACCAAACGGGGUCGAAACUGAACCAGUGAUCGUCAGCUUGUUAAGUUAAGUAAAACCGAACAUGACUGUCAAGUUUGAGCUCAAACGGACAUUCAGGGAGCUCCGGCGAAAGUUAUCAGAUUUUAAGUUGCCUGGAUGAAUAGUGUUUGAGGGGUAUUAUGAAGAAGCUGAUGCUUCUUCUUCUCCUUCGGCCGCACACCACACACGCACACGCCACACACACACACGCAUGGAAAGAGGGAGAAAGAGAAGCCUUCCAUUUUCUCUCUCUAAAUCUCUCCCAAAAUGGAUGGAUUUGGUGGAGAAGUAAGCUUGGAAGUUGAUCUUCAUCAACUUCAUCUUCUUCCUCUCCAUUGGAGCAUGCUUUGAAGGUAAGCUUUAAGAGCUUUAAUGGCAUUUCUCUAUUGCUUGGGUUUUAAGCUCUAGAAACGAAUUAGUAGCUUUCCUAGAUGCUAAGUAGAUGAUUUAUGCUUAGAUCCUAAGUUCUAAUGGUGGAUUUUUACCUAUUGCAACAUAGAGCUCCAAAAUGAGGGCUUUAAUGGUAGAUCUCUAAAGAUAGGUCUAAAUGCUUUGGAAAUGGUUUUAGUGGAACCCAUUGAUGCCUAAUAGAUGAUUAUUGCAUGAAUCUAAGGUUGUAGUAGAGUAUUCUUGCAAUAGUUGAAACCUAGGGCUCAAAAUGGGAUUUUUAUAAAUUGUUGGGUUUGAUCUCUUUUAACCCUCUGUUUACCUAAUUGCUAGGUCUACGAACGCGUUGGAAGCGACGGUUCGGCGAUUCGUCGAGCCGGUGCAAAGUUAUUAAAGAAACGGACGUUUAGGCUUCGUUUCCGCCUGGAGGGCCGAGGCGACGUCGUAAAAUCCUGAAAACGGAUUUGAAGCAUCGUGACAAGAAACCGAAGACCUUUAAUUUUCGGAUCGCGAAUCGGAGGUCGUUUGGUGGUCGCGCACGGAUUGGGUCAAGCCGAGCGGCGUGCGCCGCGGGAGGCCGAUUGCGAGUGACGACGAGCAAUCGGAACGCGAUAAAAGGUGGGGGGUGUCAUCCCGAAGCAAUCGGGCUUCUCCCUAUAUCUUAGUACUUUAUCAAUUAUAUAAGCAUAUUAUAUGUUGCUAUGCAUUAUAGGAUGACAAUACAUGCAUUCCUAAUCCUUGUAUGAUGUUUAUGAUCAAUAUAGUAUUAUGAUAUGGAUAUAUGAUGUAAUGGACAUAAGGAUUAUGAGAUGACAUUGGUAAACCUAUGAUGCUAAAUGAAAGAAGAACCUAGUAUUGUAUUUAAAGACAUAGUUUACAAGUGGCAUUGAACUCAUUGUGCUAAAAACACAUAUGACUUGAACUUAGUAAUGGAUUGGUUGUUGUACUAGAAACUCUAGUUAACAUUGAUCAAGUUGCAUAUUGGAAUAUUGCAUUAUAGGGUACUAGUUGGCAAUUGUUACAUGUCAUGGCAUGCUAGUGGGAGUGUAGUGUUACUUGAUUAAUACUUGUACCUAGUAUGCAUGAGAUUGGGACUUAGUGUGGUGAAACCCUAUAAAGGCAUGAUUAAUGUGGAUUAAACUGUAGUUGAAUACAUUAAUCGAUCAAGUUGCAUAUUGUAUUUAUUGUAUAUAGGUGCUAGAUGAUUAUGGUUAUUGCUUAUAUAUGCAUGCUAGUAGCUAUACAUCUUGAUGAUUGAUCCAUGAUCUAGUAUGCAUGAUGAUUAUAUGAUGAAAACUCUAUAAUAAAGACCUAGACCCUAUAUGAGAUGAUUAAUGCUUAUGUUGCUAAAGAACUAGUAUGAUGUAACUAGUGUUGAUAAUGAGUCAAAAUUGACGAGUGGCAUCUAGUUAGAAAACUAUGAUGAGUAGCAUAUGAUUGUUUAUGAUCUUGAUAUGAGAACAUUAGUGUAGUUGAGACACUAUGAGAUUGGGUAUAAGAACACCUUGAUUCCAUGAUGAGAUUACCCUUAGAGGGUAGGUUGUUGUUGCUCGUGAGUCGAUCAUGCUCACAUUGCCUGUCUGCGCUUGGUGGGGUCGCUCCCCUCAAGUUCUGCGCUCUGGAGUUGGUCACUAGAGAGGCAGCCCGCUUGCUGCUCGGAUAGCCGCUUGUUAUCCGCAGGCGUACUCGGGGAUAGUCCAGCUAGGCAUCCCUCGGAGGUUUUCAUGUGAGCCUUGCUUGUGAACCUUGUGUUCACUUGGAGAUUGGGUUACCUAUUGAGUCAUACUCAUUAUUAUUGUUCAUGAUAGCUUGCUUCCAUAGUUGUUGUUGUUCAUAGUAGCUUACUAGUGUUCAUAGUAGCUUACUUAUUGCUCAUGCAUUCAUGAUAUACUAUUCCUUCACCUAUGAGAUUUGAGUGGAGUAGCCCUGUACCUAGUAGGUCGAGAUGUGAGUCGGGCAAAGUGCGGGGUAGCCUUUGCCUAGGACCUUGAGAUGUGAGUCGGGCAAAGUGCGGGGUAGCCUUUGCCUAGGACCUUGAGAUGUGAGUCGGGCGAGGGGCAGGGUAGCUCUUUGCCUGGGACUCACGAGAUUGGGUCAGACCUUUGAGAUAUGAGUCGAGUGAGACAAGAGUGAGGUAGCUCUUCACCUACUAGAUUUGAGAUCUUAGGCAAGUUAGCCUAGCGGAUUGGGUAAUAACAUAAAUAGUAUAAGAGUAUUGCAUUCAUACCUUGAUUAGACAUAGUGCAUUGCAUAACUAUGUUGUUGUUGUAUUUAUUUCACUGUUGAGGCAUACUAGCAUGAUGGUAGGUUAUUGCUAGAUGAUGUUCCAUGCAUACUUUGCAUUUGAUGGCAUAGUAGAUAUAGUAGUAGUAUUUCCAUAUAUCUUUCUAUCUAUCUAUCUGUGCCAGCUUGGACCUAGUGGGAAGAUCGGCGGAGUCGGCGGCCGAACCCACUGGGAACUAUAUUUAUAUAGUUCUCACCCCGUGUGGUUUUGGGGUACAGGUACACACGAGAGCGGAUCGGCAGAGGAUCGCGUUAUGGGCUUAGCGCCCUAGUGCUAGUUGGUAGUUUACUUUCCUAUUUUGCAUUAGAGUUACCCUAUACAUGUAUUGAGAGUAGAUGAUGUAUAGGAUGUGAGGUAUUUUGAGAUAAAUGUAAACUAAUGUUUAUCUUUUGAAGAAUGUAAGCUUAUAUUCAUAGUUUGGAAAAGAAUGCAAGUUGUAAUUAAAUGUAUCGAGUUGAAUGGUUGUAAUAGAAUAGUUAAGUAUCUCUCUUUUGUUUCACUUGUAUGUCUUCUACUUGUGAUGCUUGCUCUUGUAAUAUUCAGCACUGUUUGUGCUCUCGCUGUUGUUGUAUGAUUGUGUAUGUAUUCAAGUGUUUUCCUGGGAACUUGUUGUACACAAUCUCGUCAUUUGAGCCUUGGGCGGACAGGGGAGACUCUGUCCGUUCGGCGUCCGUUCGCCGCGCCCGAACCGUGCCAAAUCGGUAGCGGCCUCGGGGCGGGGGCGUGACAUUUUCUCUCCUCUUCCUAGUGCAGUAGAGGUUGUGGAGUAAUUAGGAGGCGUGCAUUUUCGAAGCAAGGGUUUCUCUGCCCAUAUAUCUUUUUCAUGUACUAGAAAGGCCCGUGAUAAUUUUCAAUUAAUUGAGAGAUGAACAGACGUCAAGAAUGGCAUAAUAUGUAUGGCCUCUAACUCAUUGUUUUUGGGGUGCCAUAAGCUAGCUUGCAGGUGGAAUCUAUUAUUUCGAAAUGCUGGAAUUUCUUAACAUUUCAGAAAUAGUAAAGCAUCAAAUUGGUACCUAAACUUCAAUAGUUUUGACUGUAUAACCCAACCUUACAGAAAUUUUUUAUAUACGAAAUCCAAACUUUAGUAUUUCUUGUUCUACUUGAAGAGAAAAGUAUAACUGGCUCCAACCCGAGCACACCCUUUCCUCCCAUGUGUAGAAACCGAAAAUUCAAGUUUCCUACACGCCUAAGAUCGUACAACCACCGUAAAAGACAAAAACGAAGAAAUAGAAAGCUCACAAUAACAAUCUCAAACAACUCUACAUAUGAAUUUAAUCAACUUCACCAAGAAUAUUCAAAACACCAUACAAUCAAAACUGAAAAAUAUCAAAUAAACCUUCAACCAAAAAUACCUUAGAAGGAACGUUCACAACAGAGGACAAGAGGCAGAUUAAAGGUCACCCACCUCAAAUGUAGCAAAAUCUCACAACCUUUGGACUCUCUUUUACACUUCUCUUGCCCUUGAGAGAAACACCACAAAAGAGAAUAAAGAACAAAAGAGAAGAAGCUAGUUUUCUCGCUCAACCUAUUUUCUUUUGACCCCUAGCUAACCCCAUGUGGACCAACUUGACUCACUUAACCCAAAAUAAGCCACAAAUCAACUUGACUCAAAAGGAACAAAAAAGACCUAUUUAAACAAUAGAUCAUUUGGCUCCUAGAAAUACACUUUAUUAAUCUAGUAGACCAAAAAGAAAUUAAAAAAACAAGUUUAGCACUAAUUUUUAACACUCCCCUUAGCGCAAACUUGUGAGAAACCAAACAGAGCCUUUCGUGAAGUUCUACAAACUUCGCCUUUGGAAUAGCUUUGGUGAAGAUAUCCACCAAGUUUUGUUGCAACCGCACUUCCAUUAACUCAAUUUCUUCAUGAAGCACUUUCUCCCGAAUGAAGUGGUGCUCCACUUCAAUAUGUCUGGUGCUAGCAUGAAACCCCGGAUUCGCCGCCAACUUGAUUGCACUUUGGUUGUCACAAUAAACCUUUACCGGAAAGCAACCAAAGUCCGCAUCCCUACAUAUUCUUGUGCCGCAAGGGUUGCCGCUUUGUACUCCGACUCCAUGCUACAGAGAGCCACAAUGUCUUCCUUCUUUCCACAUCAUGAUACAAAACCAAAACCCAAUCCCAACACAUAGCCCGUUGUAGAUUUCCUCUCAUCAAGAUCACCUGCCCAAUCAGCAUCGGUAAAACCUACAAGUUUACAUCUUAUACUCUAAUUAUAAAGAAGACCAAGAUCAAGAGGAAUUGACGAACUUGACAAUUCUCUUAGCAGCACUCAAAUGAGGCUUUCUUGGUGCUUGCAUAAACUGGCUAACUGCCACCACCGAAUAUGCAACAUCCGUCCCAGUAAUAACAAGGUAUAACAAGUUACAAAUAAGUGUUCGGUAAAGGCUUGGAUCCUCAAGAGCCUUACAAUCGCCCUUUCGCAACCUCAUAUUUGCAUCCAUAGGAGAAAAGCACGACUUGCUCUUCUUCAAACCAAACUUUUCAACAAGCUUUGAGGCAUAAUAGUGUUUUUGAGAGACAAAUACUAUCAAUACCCUUCUCAACCUCCAAUCCAAGAAAGUGGCUAAACUCACCUAAAAUCUUUCAUUUCAAAGCGAAUAGCAAGUUCAUCCCUAAGCUUACUAAUCUCCUCGGCAUUGUCUCCGGUAACAAUCAUGUCAUCCACAUAGAGAAACACAAUGGCAUGCCUACCAUUAUACAUCUUCACAAACAUACUUGGAUUGGAAUUGGAAACAUGAAAACCACAAAAGAGAAGGUAUUGAGCAAUUUUACCAUACCAAGCUCGUGGCGUUUGCUUGAGCCCAUAAAUCGCCCUUUUCAACCGGCAUACAUGAUCUGGAGAAAUCUUUGAAAUAAAGCCCGGCAGUUGGCACAUAUAAGUCUUUCAGUCCACCUCCCGAUACAAGAAGGUAUUUUUGACAUCAAGUUGCCACAUCUUCUAUCCCAUUGAAGCUGCCAAUGAAAUGAGAACCUGAACAAAUGUCAUUUUGGCCACCGGACUAAAUGUCUCUUUAUAGUCCAAUCCAUAUUAUUGAGUGAAGCCACGAGCUACCAACCGUGCUUUGUAUCUAUCCACGGAUCCAUCGACCUUUCUUUUAUUCUUGUAUACCCACUUAUAUGAAACCGGUUUUAUGUCCUUCAGUUUUGGCACCGACUCCCAAGUUUCAUUUUUAUCAAGUGCACUAAUUUUCUCUUCCAUUGCCUUCUCCCAUUCAUGAACCCCUGUAGCUUCAUCAUAACAAGAAGGCUCAUCACCCCACAAAGAAACAUGAAGCAACAUCCACUAAAUUUGCACCGGAAUUCUACUCUGGUCCAAAAUAAUGUGGAUUCUUCUUGAAUUCUUGUGUAGACCUUCUCAUCGGUUGUUCUUGAACCUCACUUCUAGAAUAUGAAUUUUCUACUCGGGUACCUAUGCUUCCCCUCUAUUCGACUCUCCUCGAAGAAGAAAUCAAUGUAUUUAAAGCAUUAGAAGGAAACAACAUAGAAGAAGGCCUCUCCAAUAUUGUUUCAACAUGGGAACUUGUAGGAGCUUCAUUUGGUACAACAUCGGUUGAUCAUAAUAGGAUGACAUUUCAUUGAACACCACGUCUCUAGAGGUGACGAACUUGUGAGUUUUCGAAUCCAUACACUUCCAACCUUUCUUUUGUGUUUCAUAACCAAUGAAGACACACUUCUCUGACUUAGCAUUAAAUUUGGUCCGAUUUGCAUUCGGUACAUGAACAUAACAAAUGGAAUCAAAUAAAUGAAAGGGUUAAUUUCAUACAGGUCCCUGCAAACAUGGUGAAUAGCAAAUAUAUCCCUGCAAAACUCAACUUUCAUAAGUUGUCCCUACAAAAGUCCUAAUGUAUGCAGAUGUCCCUCUGGUUAAAAUCUGUUAGGAAACUGUUAAUUUUUUAACAGUAUGCUUGUGAAAUGACAAUUUGCCCUCACAAAUAUGUCCCUCCAAAAAUACUCCGUCUUCCUCUUCUUCCUCUUCGGGCCACCGGAGCGGACGGCAACGGUGGCAGAUCAUCGACGACGACGACAAAGAAGAAGAAGGAGGAGAAGAGGAGGAUACGAAGAAGAAGAAGGCGGAAGCGGCGCAGGCCGGAGGAGCUUGGAGGCGAGGGGGUUUGCAGCCAGGUCGAGGUCGGGGUCGGGUUCGCCGGCGACGAAGAAGAGGGAAGAGGAAGAAGAAGGGGGAAGAGGAAGAGGAAAAGGGAAGAGAAAGAGGAAGAGGGAGAGGUUCGCCGCCGCGGCGAGGUUGAGGUCGGCGAGGUCGGGGUCAGGUUCGCCGGCGACGAAGAAGAGGGAAGAGGAAGAAGGAAAGGAACAAGAAGGGGUAAGAGGAAGAGGGAAAAGGAAGAGGAAGAGGAAGAGGGAGAGGGAGAGGGUUCACCGCUGCGGCGAGGUCUGGGUCGGGUUCGCCGGCGACGAAGAAGAGGGAAAAGAAAAAAGGAGGAGAAGAAAAAAGGGGUAAAAUUAUAAAUUCACCUUAUUAAUUAACCAUAAUAAAGUAUUUUAACUGUGGUUAACGAAAAUUUUCUAACGGAAACUAACGGCAGGGACAUAUUUGCAUAUAUUAGGACUUUUGCAGAGACAAUUUAUGAAAGUUGAGUUUUGCAGGGAUAUAUCUGCAAUUCACCAUGUUUGCAGGGACGUGUAUGCAAUUAACCCUAAAUGAAAAUAGCCAAUAGAUGGUUUCAUUCUAUAUAACAUUUCAAAAGGAUUUUUCAUGGGUUUUUUAGUGCAAUAGUCUUCUCCUAAAAUUUUAUUCUAAAAAUAGACAUAUUAAAUAUUUAUUUAUAAAUAUGAUCCUAUAAAAGCGGUGAAUGGUUCACCGCUUUUAAAAGCGGUGAACCAUUCACCGCUUUCUUUCUUUUUCUCACUUCUUUCUAUAUUUCUACGGUGGUAAAAGCGGUGAACCAUUCACCGCUUUUAUUCUUUUUCUACUCCUAAUGAGUUAUGAAUGCGAUGAAUCAUUCACCGCAUUUAGAGGUCUAUUUUUAUAAUUAUUUUUUAAAAAAAUUUAUUUUUACAAUUAUAAAAAUCGAUAGGAUUAUUUAUAAAAAAAAAUUCAUAUUUCAUACUGCAAGAGCUCAACAGCAUCCAGUUGAUGACAUGACAUGCCCAUGCCAUCGUUUCAACGCACAACUCCUUAGGCAAAUUCUUAGAGUAGAGCCAACACCAACAUGCUUUCGAAAGAUGUCGUAGCUUGCGCUCCGCCAACCUACUUUGUAGUGGAGUGUGAGCACAAGAUAAAUGCCUCCGAAUUCCAUGCUCUCUACAAAAUUCUUGAAACCCCUUUGAUAUAAAUUUACGAUCUCCUUCACUUCCCAAGCACUUGAUUCCUCUCAAAUGCUCCCCUCCACCAUAGCUUUGAAAAGUUUACAUUUAGAGAAAGCAUCAAACAUCUCUUUAAGGAAAUAUACCUAUGAAAAUCUUGUGCAGUCAUCCACAAAUAGAAGCAUAUAUCUGCAUCCGAAAUAACUUGCCUCACUAUCUAAUACCAAGAUAUCAAUGUGAAUGAGAUCCGGUGGCUUCUUACUUCUCAACUUGGAGUCUUCAAAUGGAAGUCGUUGAAAUUUUCUAAGUUGGCCUCCUUCACAUACACCACCAACUUUGACUUCACCAAUAUUAGGCACACCAUCUGCUAGAUUCUUGGAGAAUAUUGCUUCAUUUUAUCAAGAGCCACAUGUGCCGGUCUUGCAUGCCAUAAACUAGCAUUAACAUUUUUUGCUAGUUUUCUAUAUAUACGAGUCACCGGCGGAAAACACAUAAAGUGGUUUUACUCGCUUUCCAUGAUGCACAACAUCGACAAACUCCGAAAGCAAUUAAAUUCCAUUUUGUUUUUGCCAUUCUCUCUAUGUUGACGAAGGGAAGAGAGUCUCGAACCUGGCCGGUGAAAUGUGAACAGUCUUUUUAUAUAAAGGCAAUGUCUUAGUCGAAGAGUCUCUAUCUGCCGUGGAUCAAUGUAAAAUAGUGAAAUGGCCACAUUCCCGAUCCAAUGCUACUCUACUGAUCCAGGAUAGUUUACCGGGUAAUAGGGCAACUGAGGUAGUUUCAGUUCCAGAUCAACCACUGAAAUUGCUGAGUCGACGAAGCCAACUAGCCCAGGUACUGGCUUAGACACUGCUACCUCUGCAUCUGUCUUUGACAAUAGGGCUUGAGGUCGAUCAGUCCACUACUAAGGAUCUAUGGUAGGUCAAAGAGCGCAAAGAAGAUUGCCCACCAAAAGUCCUUGUACGUGCUAUAAGAUAUAGGCUUUCAAUGAAAGCUCGUAGGAUCAGCUGACAAAACAGAGAGGGAUUUAUACUCACCUGGUUCAUGUCUACGGAAGAGGGAUCUCAAAUUGUGUUUGACCGCAGACUCGUAGCAUGGGUGAUAAUUCUUCAUCUUAGGUAAUAAAGGUGGACAGCUCGUCAUCUUCAAAAAAGAAAUGAUUCUUGCGCUAUUAUCUCCUAUCAAAUAAAUUCCCAAUUCUCCUUUUGGGGCUUCCGCUCUCACAUAAAGUGCUUCGGGGAGUUGAAAAUAAGCAUAGAUCCGAAGAUUCCCAAAUAGGUCAACCUUUCGAAUUGCUGCUGAAUCCAUGGGUAGGUAAGAGGCAACCUAUCGAACUGAAACAUCUGUGCUCGAAAGAUAGUUGUCCAAACACUGAUAAGGGAUGUAUGGUUUCUCGAGAAGAGAGGAGCCGUGGUGGUCCCCCCCGGACCGCCCAGAUCCCACGAGUGAAUAGAAAGUUAGAUCUACAUUGGAUCUCACCUGAAUCGCCCUACCUAUCCUCCUGAGGAGAAGUUUGGUUUCAAACUCUGAUUCAAACAGAAAGAGCCUGUUGAAGAAUAAGCUGGCGACUCAUAGGCAGUGGCUUGGUUAAGGGAACCCACCGGAGCCGUAGCGAAAGCGAGUCUUCAUAGGGCGAUUGUCACUGCUUAUGGACCCAAACCUGCGUGAUCUAUCCAUGACCGGGAUGAAGCUUGGGUAAAACUAAGUGGAGGUUCGAACCGACUGAUGUUGAAGAAUCAACGAACAAGUUGUGGUUAGGGGUGAAAUGCCACUCGAACCCAGAGCUAGCUGGUUCUCCCUAAAAUGUGUUGUGGUGCAGCAGUUGACUAGACAUCUAAGGGCAAUUCAAGAAAGUCGAAAACUACAUCGGCACAAGAGGCUGGGCUCAGCCCCUAUGGUUAGUAUCACAGGCAAGCAAGGCAGGAUCUUUCCAAAAUUGAAUCAAGAUGCUUAAGACAGGCCUUUGGUUUAAUUAAUUGGUUUCGCCAAACACUAAACUGAACGAGCCCUUUGUGUGCCCUACGCACGAUAGAGAACGAGCUCUUUGCACCCUAUGGCUGCAUAGGUUCUUAAUCUUUCCCCUAAUAUCCUCUCAACCGCCCCUGCUAUCCUAUCAACUGGUCAGUCAAUAUCAGUAGUGGAGGAAGGAAGAAGAGUAGUCCCUUGGUCAUCAGUUAGUAGUUGAAUAAUCCCAGUAGUAGUCCUCUUGCCUAGUGGAGUCAGCCCUUAAUGGGCAAUGAUAGGCAAACCAAAGAUUGCACAUCGCAGUCAAAGCGUGCUUGCUUUGCACACAGGCACAGCAGAAUGAGAAGCUGCUCGGCGCACUAGCGCUGCUUGACAUCUCUGUAUUGCUUCGUAUGAGCAAAAUCUUUGAUGAUCUUAUCGGGAAGAUCUCUACCCCGGAUUAUUGGAACCCCCGAGGAUCUCCCCUAGCACAGCACGAUGAAAGUUGUAAGCUGUGUUCGGGGGGAGUUAUUGUUUAUCGUUGGCCUCUACGGUAGAAUUAGUCGGAGAGGCCUGAGAGAAGGUGGUGUACCCUACGGCGGAUGUCAGUGGUUCGAGUCCGCUUAUCUCUAGCCCGUGAACCUAAAUACAAAAUUUUUUCAUACUUCUACCCUUAUCCGGCAUGAGGAAAAAACCUCCUAUACAUUUCUAAGGGGGGCAUUGUUUAUUUACAUCUAUCCCAAUGAGCCGUCUAUCGAAUCGUUGCAAUUGAUGUUCGAUCCCGAAGAGAAGGAAAAGAUCUUCGAAAAGUAGGUUGGAACUCAACCUACCUCAAAUCGGUGAUUGAGAUCUUGGCCCGAGGCCGUCUGGCUCGUCAAGCUCGGAAAAGUAUCUUAGCCGAUGGCGCAGAGAGGGAGAGUUGGAUACCCUUACCUACUGUAGUAUACUGAAUCCCCAGUACACUGAACUUCAGUCAAAUUGACCGAAGUGUGGUAAUGGACAAUUUGGAGAGAUCCAUGAGAUGUUCCGAGUGCUUCGGAAUAGUUUAAAUAAGUGUAUGGGACCUUGGAGAGCAAGUUGGAAAAUUCCAAGCUUAUUGCGCUGGAAAUGCUCUCGGGGUCCUAACCCUGGCUGUAGGAUCCAGACCCGACCCCGAACACGCGAAAUUUUGGGUUGAGCAAAAUGUUAGUUGUGUGAGGGGCCAUGGUGCAAUUGUGUUAGGGGAAGCCUUAAGUGAGGGUUCUCAACCCUUUUCCCUCGUUCCCUUCACACCAAACCAAAAGAGAAGUUUCUCUUUCCCUCUCUCAACCUCUCUCUCUCUCUCUCUAGGGUUUGCUCCAAGAAGUGUAGACUAGUGGAGAAGAGCAUGCUUGGUGGUGAAGCAGCCUCUUGUACAAGCUUGGCUUGGAGGAGAGCUUUGGUUUGAGGUGAGCUUUGUGGAAUUUAGAAGUUUUGAGUUAGGGUUUUGUGCAGAAACCUUAGAAAUGUGAUAAAUGGGAACCCCAUGUGAUUCUAACCUAAGCUAUUGCAUGAGUCACCAAGAGAUUUGGAUAUUAUGCCAUGAAUGGGUUUCUAGGGUUUCUAAAUAGGGCUUUUUAAUUGUAUGGGUUUUGAUGUUAAUUGGUCCCACAUUUCCACAAUUGAAGGUAAACCGAUGCGGUGGAUUGCUUAGAUUGAAGUUUCGUUAAGCCUACGAUGGUCAAUAUGGGGAAAUCACCAUUUUCUCUUCGUUUGCCGCAGUCGAGUGAAAUCGACGAAGAUAAAUUGCGCAGCUUGGCUUUCCCACUUCAUGAUGUCGACUCGAGGUGGGGGGUGCUAUCCGAAUUAGCCGAAUUUCAUUCUAUGUCUAAGUUCUACAGCCAUGUAGCAUCAUGCAUUGAGAUUAUGUGAGAACCCUAUGAGUUCUUGAUAAAUUAAUGCUUUAGUGUGAGGAAUGAUGAUCCAUGUUGCAUGAUACUUGUAGGUGUAUUUAUUUUUAUGAUGUUGGGAUAGAUGUAUAUAUGUAUGUGCAUGAGAUGCUAAAGGACAUAUGCAUGUUGACAUGUUAUGAGAAUAUGCUAGAUUCAUGAGAACUAGAUGUGUAAGCCUAUGACAUUGAUGAGAAUUGGAAACUAUUGCAUAUGUGGCCGACUUUGAGCAUUACAUGCCUUGCGAUUAUUUGGGAUAUGGGAUUCCCGAGGUCCUCGGGCGGGAGGACUUGAUCAUACUCGUAUGUUCGUCUGUUGUGGCUUGUGGAGGUCACGACUCCCAAGCCGUGGGCUCCGGAGUUUCACAGUGAGAUAGAGACGGGGGUUCAGGCACCACGGUGCGCCCCCGGCAGACGGUCACAAGAGGUGACAGUGUGUGUGGCGAAUUGUGGUUCGACCUUUGGGCGAACCGAUUGGAUUUGAAUCAAGGCAUGGUCAUGGCAUUUCAUAUAUGUUGCAUACAUGGUAGAACUUUCACUUGUUGAUAUCGGUAAAGGCAUAGUAGAUAUCUUUGAAGCAUGAUAUAUAUAUAUAUGUUGGACAAGUUAGGCUUAUGAUUGUUACUUGUUACUUCCUUGUCAUAUUGACCUAUUCUUGUCUCUACGCCUUCUUAAACCUAGUGAGAAAAUCGGCAAGGUCGGCGGCCGAACCCACUAGGAACUUUGUUUAGUUCUCACACCCUGUUUUGUAGAGCCAAGCACGAGCGCAUUCGUCGAGGAUUGCGGCAAGGGCAUCGAGCCCUAGAUAGUGUGGACCACCAGGACUAGAUCACCUACCCUCGUGUAUAGCAAGCAAGAAAAGAAAAAGACAUGUAAAGCUUUUGAGAAAGAAAUGUGAGGUAAUCAUUUUGUAUGUAAAGAGAAGUUGUAACAAGUUAAAGAAUGUAAAUGGUUAAUACACUGUGGAAGUGUUGUAAUAGAUAGUUUAAAUUCUCUUGCAUCUGUGAUACGCCUCUCGCAAAUGUUUGAUGCUAAUAUCUCUUGCUUGGAUAUGUAUGCAUAGACUUUGUUACGCCUUGGGCGGGCAGGGGAAACUCUGUCCGUUCGACGGGUCUGUUUCGGGCCCGAGCUGUCCGGCGGCGGGUCGUGACACCUACAGUUCAACUGGAAACUAGUUACUUGUUCAAAUACCUAGCGACAAACUCCUGUGUUCCUUUCAUUACGGAAUUUCCGAACAAGUUCCCCCAAAUCGAUCAAUAAUAUCACAAGCUGAUAAAUCGGUCUAGAUCGGCUUACUAAUUGCUUUCAGAGUGUGGGCCCCGCCUUCCCGGUAAGGAAGAGGAUAAAAAGGUGCUGUCAUCUAUCUCGACCAGUUUCCCGAGGCCUUGGAAAUCAAGACCGGCUUAGAGAAUCAUUGGCGUGCUUUCUCUCCCCAUUGUUUCGAUAUUCUCCACUUCUCAUUUUGGAUGAAAGAAAGGAUGUAGAGGAUGAAAAUAGAGGAGCUCAUGGUGGUUAUAUAUAGGUAACAGAGGAGGAUGAGAAAGAUGGAACGAGUAGAAUGAUUGAGAGGUAGGCUAAGUUGGAGGAUGUAUUUGAGGAGGAUGGUCAUGAAGAGGUAGCAACCAUGGUUGCGACGGCUGUGACGACAGUGAUGUCUGCGAUGAUGGAGGCAGAGGUGGUGAAGAAGGUUUUAAGAAAAAAUGGAAGAGAGUAUAUAAAAGGGUAUUUUGGUCAUUUCACUAUUUUUUUAAAAAAACACCAUGACUAUCUAAAAAUUUCUUAUCUAUCGAUAGUGGUUAAGUGCAUUUUUUUUGUGCAAGGGGAUUAUAUGCAUUUUAGACAAUUUUCCCAUUUGUACAUUUGCUUUCAAAUAGAAGUAUAAAGACGAAAAGGGAAAAAUAAGGUACCUGCAUUGAGAACUCAAUUGGAGCUUUUACAGAAGGAUAAAUGCUUACCUGCAUGAGAAAGUAAGUUAUUACUCACAAAUAAAUAGUAAUAUUUUUGUUGAACCAUAGCAUAGCACAAAUAAGGCAUAAUAUUGAAUACAUGCAAUUAACUUUCCUAAAAAGAGCUGGGCAAUGGUAAAAAGGCCACGAUCCACAGAAAGUUAUUUGCAAAUGCAACAAAAAAGAAAAAAAAAAAGGGAAACGAAACAAACAAGGAAGAUAGCAUGCCCUAAGUAAAGGCUUCAGGCCCUGUAUGGAUGCAUAAAUAUUUUGUUCAGAACAUCUUUGUCAUUUCUUCAACUAGCUUAUAGUAUUUGAUAGAUAAGGAGAAUGAUCAAACGUUUAGAAAGUCAUGCUAUGCUCGCCCUUCAAGUGAUUUUCCUCUAAUAAGAUAAAACAACUCCUGGCUGAUAUACAAUCUAUCCUACCAAAUCAUGGCUGCUGAGGGCUUCAAUCGAGCUAAAAUCACUUACAGUCAUAAAGAAAAUACUCAUACCAAACUAAGUUAUCACUGAAUAAUUUGUUCUAAUAUCCAUGCAGAGUAUUAGAAAGCUCUUUAGAAGGCAACUACUAUUAGAGAUGUCAACGGGUCGGAUUCGGGGCGGAUUUUUAAAAACCCGAACCCGAACCCGACUCCAAACCCGAGACCCGAACCCGAACCCGAACCCGACGGAUUUUAAAAAUCCAUAUCCAAACCCGAACCCGACCAAAAAUCCGAAACCCAAACCUGAACCCGAAAAUUUGAACCCGAAACAAUUAUUUCUUUUUUCAAUAUUUCAAAAUAUAUUAUAUUAAACCUAAAUUUUUAAAAUACAAAUUCAAAUAUAACAUCAAAUUUAUAUAUAUAUAUUAUAUAUAAUACAAAAUAAAUUCGGAUUCGGGUCGGGUUCGGGUUCGGGUCGGGUACAAUCAAAAUCCAUAUCCGAAUCCAUAUCCGUCGGGUUUCUACUUUUGAUAUCCAUAUCCGAAUCCAUAUCCAUAUCCAUCGGAUAUAUCCGUUUCAUUCGGGUUUGGGUUCGGAUAAAAUUUCGGGUAUCCAUACCCAUUGACAUCCCUAACUACUAUCUAGGUGCUUACGCUGGGAAAUGAAAUUAUGCUUUAGCAGAAAUAUGGUGCUCGCACUAAUAGUUUAAAUAUACGUGGAAGCAUUAUCAAUAUUAAGUACUAACCAAUUCAUAGCUAAGAUAAUUGAAAAGGUACAUUCACCAAGAGUCCGACUACUAUGCUAUCAAUAGCACCGAGCGCUUGGUGCUAUCAAGCUUUUCGCCGUUAGAUCUAUCCCUUUAAUCAUUUCCACCCGUUAGAACAUACUAUUCAACCAACCACCCACUCAACUCUAGGGGACCAUUAUCAUCCUAACUGCACAUCCCUUCAUCCAAGGACCGAAAACCUGACUUGGUGCUAUUAGUAGUAUUCUAGCCUAGUUCCAUUCACCAAAUAGAUAUCAUGCUGAAACAUACCAAUUAGUAUUAUCCUACAAAUUAUAAAGCAGAACUCAAAGAGUAACAAAGAAAGCGACUUCACUAGAGUAGGGGUCAUACCUCAUACAGUCUUAAAGUUGUAAUGAAAGGAAAAAAGCACCUACUCAUAAUAAUGAUCAUUAUAGCAGUGAGGAGGACAAUGAUUGGAAUGAUCCAGACAUUGAUGAUGAUCACGAUGGUAGGUUGAAUUGUCUUGUGAAUUGCCAUUUACAGUGAGAACAAGGACCCACAUGUAAACAACGAAUAUAUAGAUAAUCCUAAUGAGGACUUGAAUUUAUUGACCAUCCGGAACACUUUCCUACAUAUAACAAUUAGGUAAAUCAGUAUGUCGUGGAUUCGACUGAAUUCAAUGUUAGACAAAUCAAUACUGACCUAUCUAGCAUUGACAGGACUUGGGUUGGUCAAAUCUUUUGUGAGAAGGCAUCUUUAUUAGACACUUUAGAUCGAUGACAUAUUGCUCAUAAUGUUCAGAUGAAAAUUUUGAAAUCCACAAAAAUGACUUCUACAGUAAAAUGCACGGUAGAGGGAUGUCCUCGGAGAUUACACACUUCAGUUUCCAAAGAUGCGGCGGACUGCAGAGUUAAGACAUAUGCUGGUCAAUGCUAAAAGAGUCGCACCGUAAUUGUAUUUCAAGUCUUAUAUGUCAAAUGAUUCUCCCGACAAUAAAAGCAAGACUUAAUAGCGCCAAAAUAAAUACAAGAAACGGUAUAAUCCACUUUGUGUGUUAACAUAACCUAUUGGAAGGCCUAGUUAGCAAGAAGUAAAGCAUUACAGAUUAUUUACGAGAGCUGGGAGCAAUCAUACAUAAACUUGUCUUGUUAUCUUACUAUGGUGCAGAAAAUUAAUCAUGUUACUUUAUGGCGUCUUGAUCAUAGAUAGCCAUCAGAUAGGAAUUGUUUGUUUGGUCGUGUUUUUUAGUCAUUUGGACCUUCUAUUCGUGGAUUCGCACACUAUCGAUUGGUAGUGAGCAUUAAUGGCACUCACCUAUAUAGCAAAUACGAAGACCGUGCAUUGAUAGCGAAGACUACAGACGCAAAUAAUGGCAUACAUCCUUUAGCACUUGCAAUUUGCGAAGGAGAGAAUGGUGGGAGUUAGCGUUGGUUUUUGCAUAACUUGCGUCAAUAUGUUACACGCAAUCGAAAAGUUUGCUUUAUGUAUGAUCGAUUUAGUGAAUUUCAAAAAAUAGUGGCUGAGAUACAUCCUCCACGCUAGGGUCAUGCACAUCGGUGGUGUCUUCGACACAUAAAAGCAAAUAUAAAUAAGUGUUUUAAAAAUGAAUCUUUAUUGUACAAAUUCUAUGCUACCGGAAGUGCUUCAACAUCGACAGAAGAAUAUAAGCUUAAGGAAGAAUUAGAUGCAUUGGACCAUGAUGCCUGGAAGUGGGCGGAUGGUCUUGAGAAACACAGAGUAUUAGACAUGGACAUUUGAUGGAGGAUGACUCUUCAGGUUCAUGACCACAAGUAUGUCAGAAAGCUUAAAUAGGGUAGGUUCUUAAGGGAGUUCGUGCUCUACCUAUCACGGCUUUUAUUCGCGGUGAUAUUUUAUAAACUUAAUAAUUAUUUCUUACAGCGUCGUGAAGAUGGUGAAAGUAUGACGAGCAUGUUAGCUCCUAAAAUGCGAAGUGAGAUUACAGCAGACAUGGAGACAGCGUGGGGACACAUUGUCCAUCAAUUUGGGCUCGUAAAAUUUGAGGUCAAUACUAGAGAUUUCUCAUACAAUAUUAUGAAUGGAACAUAUGUAGAAUGUGAUUGUAGUGAAUUUCAACUAACUGGAAUACAUUGCUCGUAUCUUUUAGCAGUUUAUAUUACUUCACAGAGAAGAAUAGACUCAUAUUUUUUUGUUCCCGUUAGUACAGUGUUGAAUGUUAUCGCGAGACAUAUGCACCACAUUUCCAUCCUGUUCCCGAUAGACGACAAUAGUCACGACCCCAGGGCCCGCCAAUCGUACCACCUUCUGUUAGAAGGAAGAAAGGUUGCCCACAAUCUACACGUACUCACAAUAUAAUAAACGAAAGAAUAGAGCGACGAACAAAAUGUAGCAUUUGUAAAUGGCGCGUCCACGUCGGACAUAAGUCUAACACAGACAUGCAAUGCUAAUAGCUAUGUCCAUGAUAUAUGUGCCCAAGCACUUUCAUUGCGCAACAUGAAUCAGGUGCUAUUGCCGUUCAUUGGGAAGUUAGUUGGGGUAUGCUUCGACGAUAUCCUGAUCUAUAGCAUGAGUCUUGAAGCCCAUUUGAGCCAUCUACAGAGAGAAUCAGCUUUAUCUAAACCUUAAGAAGUGUAGCUUUUUCACCGUCAACCUCAUCUUCCUAGGUUAUAACGUGUUUGCGAGGUGAGCAAGGUUGAUCCAGCUAAAAUACAGGUGAUUCGAAACUGGCCAACCCCGAAAACCCUAACUGAGAUACGAAGCUUUCGUGGGUGUGCAUCAUUCUACCAAUGCUUCAUUCGAAAUUCCAGUUCCUUGGUUGCCCCAAUAACUGACUGUUUGGAAAGAGGAAAACGCCUAGCUGUCCUUAACCUUCCACUUGCUUAAACCACCACUAGAAACUAUCCAAUCUUCUUUUUAAUAAUUAAGCUUGGAAAGAAUCGACUCCUAGAUGUUUCAUUUUAGGACUAUUAUGUGUACUUGGUGUUGGUGAUCGAUCUCAGCUUUUUGUCUUCAUUAUUAGUUCUUAUGGUUGCUAUUGAUCAAAGUCUUGAUUAUACUGCUGCUGAAAUUUGCUUUAUUUCCUACAUUGGAUUCUAUAGUUCAUUUUAAAAGGUCUUAUAAAAAUUGGAUUCAGAACCUUAUUGCCAAGGAUUUAAGUGCCGCGGCACGGGAUCGUGCCGGAAACUUGCUAGCACGGUACGGCACGGUGCAUGCCGGGCCGUACCGAUGAGUUGGUAAUAAAAAAUAUAUGUGCACUGACACGUAAUGGCAUGAAAUAUUUAUUUUCUUUAGCAACAAAAUAUGUCAAUUAUUUAUUAUAUAUUUUUAUCAAAUAUUUUGAACUUUAUUGAGAAAAUUACUUACUAAUUUCAAGAAUAGAGGAUUUUGAGUUGUGCUAUUGACAAGGGGGCUGUAUCAUGCCGAUAUCUUGCUAGCACGAUACGGCACGGUGGAUACGGCCCGUGCCGAUGAACACUUUAAUCCUUGCUUAUUGCAUCAUAUUUCAAUUUCCCCUUCCCACUACACUGCUACAGUACUUUUGGGUUUCUUCACGAACACAUACAGAUAUGCAUAGCAAUGCUUGGAGGUACACAUAUAGUUGCAUAUAAAUAAGCUUCACUACUACAAAUCUAGUCAUGACACAAAAGGCUAAGAUUUUGCAAAGGCAAAGAGCACUAGCAUUAGAAAAACCAGGCCAACACAUUUUGACAAUGUAAGAAGUUAAAAUACCAAGGAAAUCAUUGAACCUUUCCAAAUCUAUGGCACAUUAGUCACAUCAGAUGACUACAACCCCACUAUCCAAUAUAUCGAGUAUAGAAUUAAUGGAAUUAAUAUAGUUUCACAGAGGAAAUGCUAAGACACAAAUUUAAUAUGCACCUAAUUAUCAAAUUAAUUGAACUUCAAUGAAAUCAAUUGUGGCACUGCCUUAAUUAUCAAAUAGGCAAAAUAACCAGAACAAACUUACAGAUUUUGGAUCAAUUGUCAUUCUGGAUAGUGAACCUCCAACAAUCUUAAAAGACACCUGCAGAAGUGUUCAUUGUCAAGGAAAUUGGCGAAGAAGAGAACCACACUAGAGCCAGAAAAGAACAUCAAAACUAUAUUGACAAAACAAAAGAUCCAGUAACAAAGGAAUAUUUAAUGUACAAAUGCCCAAAGCAAAAAAGCAACUAGUAUGGGAUAGCACAUUACAAACGCAUCUGAUAAAGGUCAAACUAGUAGGCAAUCUGUAUCAAAAAUAUCGGUGAAUUAGAACAUGUUAACAAGUUUACCAUACAUAUUCCUAUAUUUAGAAAUCAAGAAGUACAAGGCUAGCAUGUAAAAAAACUUUAGACUUAACAAAUGAAGAAUCACGGUCAACAAAGUGUAUAUUCUAUUAUGACUAGAUGUUUAUCAUGUCUGGAGCAACAUUUUGUAGGGUUCGUCCUCCCAGCCAUGAUCAUAAACAAGUAGGAUGGUAGAUAAUCCUAGGAAGUGUUUCUUCAGGUUUUCACAGCAACCCCCUUUCUUGAUGUAUCACAAAAUUUAGAGAGGGUUAAGGCCAAUGAUAAAUAAUUUGCUUAGAGCCUUCUUCAUGCCAAUUUAUGCUCUAGCAAAGCCCAUACAAUUGCAAAAUAAUCUAAUGCUAUACACACACACACACACACACACACACACACACACACAUGCAUAUAUGUAUUUAUGUGUAUAUGUUGUUUCAAAAAUUAAGAUAGCACGUACCAAUAAGAAGUUACUUUACGAGUGUUGCUUAGAUGAAUAACAACGAAGACGGGCACUAGGGGGAAAAAAGUGGUACUAUCCAAGAAUGGGAAGAUCUUUUAGCAAUUCAGCCAAAAGACAGGAAAAAAAAAAAAAAAAAAAAACAAAAAAAACAAAAAAAAAAACUAGCAUCUCUCUACCAUGAACUAAAAUCUGUCAUUUACCAACGUGUUAGGAAUACAACUACAAUAAUAAGGAUCCAGUAGUUGCUAUUUCUUAUUGAUAACCUCGCAAUUUAUAUGAUUAUUUGUUAACAUUUAUGCAUAAAAUUGCAUCCAUAAGACCAUAACCUACGACCAAUCAACCAUGCAAUCCCAGAGUCUUUGUCCCAAAGUCACCAAAUACAUGAUAUCCGUCAGAGAAAUUGAUACCAACUAUACUCGCUUCAAUGCCUAGAUGACUAACCACACAGCAAUGAAAGGAGGGAACAAAUAGACAAAGGACAACAGAAGAGGAAUGUGAAAAUGUUCUUCACUAGCUCAACAAGCAAGAAAGGUUCUCGAUCCUCAUGUUGUUGUAGAUUUCAGAAUUUCUAACUUGAUUUUGUACUGUUACACUGAUGGCGGUAUAAUGAAAACUCUGAACAGAAAAAUAUGUUAAUUAAUGAUCAUGACGAACCUAUUUGCAUGUCAUAACAAAUUAUCCAAUGAUAACUUUUGUAACACAAAAAUUUUAUUUUUGUAAUUGCAACAUAGGAGUGUGAUAUUGCUCCAUUGCAAGGCCCUCAUAAUCAUGAUAGUUCACGAUUGUGCAUUCGAUCUAAGAGAUGAUGUAUCAAAUUACAAGAAAAUAAUUCAGAUUCCGUGUAUAAUAUGUAGCUGUAAACAUGUUUUCAUAACACUGGAGAUUCAUCCGACUUCAAUACCCUAAAGGCAAGUGUGUAAGCUAUAGAAUCCCAAAUGGAGCUCCUUCCGCUCUAAACAGCUACUGUGCCCUCUGACAUAGGAGCUUAAGCCUUAGUCCAUCACGACAUCCCUAUAGUCAGAUGCUCUGGGAUAUUGCAGUCCACCUAUGAGGUGAUCUACUCUUCCUGAGGAAAAAAAAAAUUAGAGGCCACACAUAAUAUGUGACUGUAGACGUGUCUCACGCUCCCCUCAACCACAUAACACAGGCCUAUACAGUAAAUAAAAGAGAGAUGGACACCGAAAUAAAUAUUCAUAGCAACCGAAAGGCCCAUAAAGACCUCAUGACGGUCCUAGUCAACUUAAUCUAGCUUUCAAUACAAUAAAAGCAAGUGAUCGAGUAACUAACUAUUACUCACUAGUCACUAUGCUAUGCAGCAAAAAGAAGUAGCACAAGAUUAACCAAUAAAAUGAGUAAUAGUAGGGGUGCUACAUAUACCAGUCAUGAAUAUCUAAACAAGAAGACGUCUCAUAAGAGACUACAUAACAAGGAUCAUAUAUGAAAUAUUAUGAUUACAUGAUCAGACGGGUACGAUGUGUAUCUGAAAUUAUAAUAUAUCGUAAUAUGAAAGAAAAACUACACAUAACGCUUGAAAGAGAUGCACAAAGCGCAGUGAUAUGUUUGAGAAACUACAGAAGCCUACCUUUGCAUAGUUGUAUGCUUGCCAACAAAAUGGUUCUUCCAGCUCCACUGCUUGCAGGUCGUUAUUCAUUUUCUCCAUCAGGUAUUCCUCUAUGUUCAUGACAUUAUUAGAACUAUCUUGCUCACCAUCACUAUCAUCUUCAGCUCUAACUGCAGAAACUGACCUAGACAAAGAAAGGACUCUUUGGCUUGCUCUUGGAAGAAAUUUCACAUUUCCAGAGAAAGUAGCCUCGAUGCUUUUCCCACUUAUACUGCGUCCACUUAUAACAAUUUUCCACUCAACAGAAUGUUUUGUCAUUGAAACUGUCCCGAUUGAAGGAUUCCCGUCAAAGGAUGCAACUCUUCUCCGAGGAAAUGGCAUAGUAACAGAACAAUAUUCCAUCGAAAGAGGAGACUUGUAACCUUCCAUUAACCGCAACCUGAAUAAAAAAGCACCUUCAUCUUCCGAGACCAUUGACAGCUGGUAGAACCCUUUGACAGGAGGAUCAAGACCGCGUAAAGCUUGAUAAUGCAUCAAACAAAAAUUCCCUAAUGGUGGCGAGAACAUUAGACCUUGCUUAUCAUCACCAUGCUCUGAUACCUGAGAAGAUUGAUGGAAAGAUAAAACCUCCACAUGAGCAUCUUUCAACCCACUCAGAGUUAAUGAAACGUCAGGUAAUCCUUCUAACUCAGCCCUGCAGUUCACUUGGCCUGAUAUUGAAAGAGAAUCUGGUAUUUCAUCACGAUCAUACAUCGCUGCAUUGAAAAUCUCAUGAAUGGAAAAUAGUAUCCGUUGCCUUCCUUUGUAUAGGUACGGCUUCCACGCUGGUUGCUUGAGGUCUGCAGUUGGUAUAUCUGCUGAUGAAAAGCCAUUUGCCCUAAUUGCAGAAAUAUUGGUAUAACUGAGGUCUAUAGGAGUCCCUGGUUCAAGAUUUGUCAAACUUGCUUUAACUUUAUUAACGUAACGAUCUAUGAAGAAACUAAUGUUAAAGAAAAAUAUGAUGAGAAACAUUGCAGUAGAAGUACCAACCAAAUGGCAUUGAACUGCUGAUAAAAGCGCGAAGUGCAUCUUUGUCAAUGGGUUUUGAAGUACUUUUUGGGGCAUCCAGAGUAGCGCCGCCAAUGACAAAAGCACCUGAGGUGCUCGAAGUUGAAACAGGUGCUACGGCAGGUUUUGCUCGGGCCGAAAUGCCUGAUAUGCCUAUGCUACCUGUAAGCGAAUCCAAUAGGCCCCCUACAGAGGAACCACCUACAAUAACCUCAGGAUCAAGAACAUCGCCAGAAAUUAUGUCACCUAGGACAUGAGCCACCAUAAAUGCCCUACAACAUACAAGUUGGUGUCGGUGCAAAAAUUAUUACAUUGUUAAGUCUAAUUUGACACAACGAUGCCACUGUGCCAGAGUCUUUAGCUUAAUUACAUAUUUAAAAUUCAAACUUAAUAACAAAAAAUUGUUCUCCAGUGAACAAGUAGGAUCACACCAAAUCCCCUCAUCCUAUAAAGGACAAUGAUUCUCAAUAUAUAUAUAUAUAUAUAUAUAUAUAUAGAGAGAGAGAGAGAGAGAGAGAGAGAGAGAAACUAGAAUAGUAGAAGAGUAGUGUUUGCUAUCUACUUAUUAUCCCUUGGAUGCAUAAGGUUUACUAUUUGGUGGUGGUGCUAUUAUGGAUCCAAGGGCUAAAAAGUAGAAAGCAAACACUAUGAAUAUAUAUAUAUGGAUCUAGAAUAGUUUCAAAAGAACAUGAAUAGUGCUUGUUAGAACGUUUUUAAUUUUUAACCCAUGGACACCUAGGGUUUACUAUUUGGUGAUAAUAUUAUUAUGGAUCCAAGGACUAAAAAGUUGAGCAGGCACUAUUCAUGUGCUUUUGAAAGCAAUAUAGAGAGAGAGAGAGAAAGAGAAAGUAGAACCACUAUACUCUUAUGAGUAUGGAGGCCUUCAUACUCAUAAGUUAUUUUCGAUUAUAUAGCUUUCAAAUCGACGAUCCAUACAAUUAAACAUGACUUAGAGCAUGAAGUAACUAGAAACCGAAUUUAGUAAGUUUCUAAGAUUAUAAUAAAGUCCGUCAAGUGGGCAUAAAAUAACCGAUCAAAAUCAAAUGACCUCCUAAAUAUAAAGAAUAGUGUUCUUUAAUUCAAGAUCUCGGUUUCUAGAACAUUUAAAUGCUCUAAUUUACAAUUAACGGUAAGGAUCGUUGAUUCAAAAGCUCUGUGAUCCAAAACAAAUUAUGAGUAUAAAAACUAUCGUAUCCAUAAAAGUAUAGUGUGUGUACAUAUAAUAGGAUAGUAUGCUUUCGAAAACAUGGAGGCUUCAAUGCUUUCAAGUUGUUUUCGAUGACUAGAAAUCCGAUUCGGCGAUCAACUCUAUUAGACAUGAUCUACAGUGUUCGAACUAUUGAGAAACCAAAUUUCAUAAUAUUUUGACUUCAUUUGCCUAGUGAACGAGUAGUCACCAUACUGAAAAUAAAAAUCUUAUACAAAGCAGUGAUAGAAGACUUUAAAUUUCAAAUUGGUAGUAUCGAUCUUGCUCUUGAUGGUAAGUAAAAUUUUCUAAUAAAAAGUUCAAUCAAUUAUGAUUCUUUUAUACCGUUAGCUUGAAAACGCCCCAUAUUGACCAUUAAAAAUGUCAAUUUUGGGGCCCUUUGAUCGUAAGGCAUAUGAUGCUAAAAAAUCAUGAAAUUUGGUUUUUAGAAUGUUUAAGCACUCUCAAUUAUGUUAACGGUAUGAUCUUCGAUUUGGAAGCCCCAACAUCAAAAACAACUUAUGAGUACGAAGGCAAUCGUACUCAUAAUAGUAUAAUAGUCGGACUAUAUAUAUAUAUAUAUAUAUAUAUAUGAAAAUUGAACAAAGGAAAGAGACACUGAAUACUGCAAAGCAGCGAAGCAAAAAGUAUAAUGCACCAUUAACUUGUUGCUGUGAAGUUUAUAUGCAUAUAUAACUAUUUUUCAGCUUAACUUAAAAGUCUUUUCUAGCACACUUCACUAACUUAAAAUAUCAAAGAUGAUCCAAAAGAACAACACAUUAUUUCUGCAACCAGUAUGAAUAUACUAUUUCCGCCACUAGUAUGAAACCAAAAAUAUGCAAGAAUCUAGAAGUUGAGAAGUUCCCAAUUUAUGCCAUUCUGAUCAAACAGUGCUUAACUAUCUAAAAUCUUAGACUUCUUCUAUAAGUUGGAAGAACUAUAAGCUUAUGAGAAAUAAAAGAACCAAUUGACUACACGGUUUGUAUCAAAAGAAAGAAUAAAAAUAAAAAUAAAAGAAUCAAUAAUUCUAAAUAAUAAACUUACACUACCCUGUGAUGCAUGGAAGAUUAAGCAAAAAGGAAGAAAGACUUUGUUUCUCGCCAACUGAGCUUCCACAGUAAUUCCUUUUACACAAUCUUUCAUAUGCUUUAAACUGUUGAGGCUCAACCAAUGGUAAAAUAGCAAUAUAAUAACUGCCCUUUGUAUGUAAAACUAAUGGCCACAAGAUAAACUCAUUUUUGUCCUUCUUGUGGAUAUGAAGUGAUAUAAUAUGACGAGUGAUAGGAUCAUCAACCCAAGAAUCUGAUCCCUUAGAUGACCCACUAGUACGAAUGCCAGAACCACACACAGAACCUUCCCUGCACAAACCAGAAACCAUAAUAUGUCCAUUACUCAAUUUAUGUAGCUAGAAAACUGCAGUUACCGUCCUAAUCAGCUUCAAAAUUCACAAACUAUUAAAUCAAUCUUGCAAAUAGUUCUAUGGUACAGACAACCACACAUUUAUGCAUCAUGAAACUACUUAUUAUAUGCAAUUUUAAUGCCAUUUACCUUUAAAAAAGUGAACGAUCCGAGUUAUCAUAAAUAGGGUUACUUUGCUGAACAGAAUACUCCAACUAGAGAAUACACUACCUUUCUAACGGCAUUAACAUUACAAAUAAGACGACAGUGUUUCAUAAUGCUUCUUCAGGUUAGCUAAGCAUUUGUAUAUUAGAAUACAGUAUCACAGUAGCUCGUUGUAAUUACAACUUUGGUUACCAAAUAAUUCACAAAACAAAAUAACUACUUGAUUAAAUACAACAGAAAUCAAGCCAGAAUUAGGUUACCUAGAACGCGGAUUGAUAUGGUUUGUUGAACGGGAACGGGAAUGGAAUUAGCUUAUCUUAAAUCUUGAACACUAAGACAGAAUAAUAAGAAAAGGUCUGGCAGGACUUUAAUUUUCAAAAAGCCUAGAAACAUGCUUACAAAUAAAUGGACUUUCAACAGACAUAUUAAAAAUUAAAUUCAAAUUUCAAUACAACAAACGCACGUAAGUUCUAGCUUGUUUCAGUCUAUUGGUUCAACUCAUGGCAAAUUUUGUUGAAAGUUUUGUAUAGGAAACAGUUUCCGCAGUAUGUCAAAUAGGGAGGAAGUGUUGAGGGUUCGAACAGAAGCGCCAACUGACCUCCGCUUCCUCUCUCCAAAAGCUACGGCGAGCUCCGCAUCGGUCGGCAGCAACGGCUGUAGUGCAUCCCCCAGCUGAUCAAUUUCUCUCUGGCACGCCGCAUGCCACCGCUUCUCCACCGUGGGGAAUCUCCUGAUAUUCAGUACUAGGUAAGAGCGAGAAGAAAAAUUCGGGAGGAUUACGUUAAUCUACCUGGAGAAGACGACGGCGUCUUGGGGAUUGAGAAUCCAUAAGGCUCGGAUGCUACUACCGCCGGACAUCAUUCCUCCGCAGGCUGAGAUGACUCGGAAGGAUUAGACGGGAAGACGGGUGGGUAGACGGCUAAAUCUUCGCUCAUUCCGCACGUUGCAUUACAAUUUUCAUCGGUCGAAAUGGAAUACAAAGUGGUCGAACCAAGGGCCUGCUCAGCAUUGCUACAAAAUAAGUGGCUGGAUGGCCUAAAUUUUAAAAAGUGUUUUUUAGGACCAAAAAUAAUUUAUUUUUAAUAUAAUAUUUGAUAAUUUUAUUUUAAACAUCUAAUUUUGAUAUUUAGAAUAAGUUUUUAAAUUUUUUAGGCUAAAACUCAAAAACAGAUACUAAAUGGGUUUGCAAGCAUAUACUGUAUCCCAAUAUGAUCUACAGAUAUUAUAUGAUUAUCAACUCGCUCAUUAAUCACAUAGAGCUUUAUUUCUAAAUACCGGCGUGAACUAGAGCUCUUGUUACUAUUAGCAAAAGAAACAGCAGCUUCAUUAUCACAGCAUAUCUGCAAUGGUCUUUCUAUAGAAUCCAUGAUCUUAAGGCCGGUAAUAAAUUUCUUUAGCCAAAUAGCCUGUGAUGAAGCCUCAAGGCAGGCUAUAACCUUAGCUUCCAUUGUGGAUGAAACAGUUGUCUUUUGUUCGAUAAUUAUCCAUGUAAUAGCACCCCCUAAAAGUAGGAAGAUAAGACCAAUUGUCGAUUUCCUACUAUCUGGGCACCCUGCAAAAAUCUGCAUCUCGGUAACUUACAACCUCAAGAUGGUCAAACCAAGUAACCAACAGCGUAAGAAAUGUUCGGAGGAAUUCACGUGUGAGCAUACUGCAGCCUCCCAACUGCCAAGUAUAUGGUAUGUUCCUCAUCUGUUUUCUUUCGAUUUCAUUCUUUGGCCACUGCUUGGAGCUAAGUUUAUCUUCCUUCACAAUAGGUGCAGGUCUAGAAGAGCAAUUUUGCAUUUCAAAUCUUUCAAGAACUUUAGAGAUAUAAGCCCUUUGAGAUAAACCAAGAAUACCUUUAAGUCUAUCUCUAUGAAUCUCAAUGCCAAAAACAUAAGCGGUUUCAUCUAUAUUCUUCAUUUCAAAACUUGUGGAAAGAAAUCUCUUUGUACCAUACAAUAUUCCUGAGUCAUUGUUGGCAAGCAGCACAUCAUCUACAUAUAAUGCCAAUAUUAUGAACUUACUCUCACUGACUUUUAAAUAUAUGCACCUAUUAAUGGUAUUUGGCGUAAACCCGUAUGAUAGGAUAACCUUAUUAAAUUUAAGAAACCACUGACGGAAGGAUUGUUUAAGUCCAUAUAUUGACUUUCUCAAUUUGCAUACCAUAUGACUUUUAUCAUUUGUAAUGGAAUCCUGAAAUUGUUUCAGAUAUACCUUUUCUUCUAGAUCACCAUUCAAAAAAGCCAUUUUCAUAUCCAUUUGAUGUAGCUCAAGAUCAUAAUGAGCUGCAAAGGCCAUAACUAUUCUGAAUGAGUCGUUUGAAGAAACAAGAGAAAAUGUCUCAUUGCAGUCUAUGCCCUCUCUUUGGGUAAAACCUUCAGCUACAAGUCUGGCCUUAUACCUUUCGAUCUCACCUUUAGAGUUCCUCUUGGUUUUGUAUAUCCAUCCGCAUCCAAUAGGUUUAACUCUUUCAGGUGGAUUUACAAGAUCCCAAACAUGAUUUUUAUCCAUAGAGUCUUGCUCUUCCUUAUGAUAUCAAACCACUUACGUGAGUUUUCACUCUCCAUGGCAUGUGAAAAGGAAAUAGGAUCAUCUAUAUCUUCCAAAUUCAUUCGGCUUGAAAAUACACCUCAUAAUCUAAGGGGAUAGCGAAUUUUCUUAUUCUUGUAUAUCUCCACAAUUUUGUACCUCGAUCCGUAUCUUGCGGUGGUUGAGUUGAUUGUGGCUCUACUGCAACAACUAGGUCAACAAUUGGUUCUAUUGAUUAGCUCUUCCACUUGAAUCACAACUCAUAGGAAGUAUAUUGGAGUUUCCUUAUCACUUGAUGAACCUUGUGACUUCUCAAACCUAACUUCACGAGAUAUGUCACUCCUACUGAAGUUGCUAUUUUCAAAAAAUCUAGCUUUUUAUGUGUAGUGCACUGAACUUCAGCAAAUUGCGGAGUUCUAGUGAGAGGAAUGGUAUUCUAUAUUAUUCUGAAAUUUUUGAUUGAGUUUGGAGAGCUUGGGGACAUUUUCGGAGCUUAAUUAGCGUGAAAAUGGACUUCGAAGGCCAAAAUCGGCAAAACUGCACUUUUGGCUAUUACAUGCCGGUAUCAAGUCUGGGUAUCGAAACUGUAAUAUACCGAACUUUUACUGUUAUGAAGUUUCGGUGCGAAUUAGCUUGAAAAGCUAUUAAAAUAGUUCCAACGAAGUUCGAGAGCAUUCGAGUAUUUUCGGUGCGAGUUAAGCACAAAAAUGGAACUCGGGAAGCCAUACUGGACUUUAGCCUAAACCCGGCAAAGUACAAGUGAGAAGAUGGUUUAAACAUGCUCAAAAAUGUGUUUUGAGGGUUUUGGAAUGGUAGGAAAUGGAUUAAAGGCUCAAGGAGCGAAAAUGAGCAUUUUCGAAAAAUGCUGUUUUUUGGGCUGUUGGAGCCUCGGGAUGCGAACCCUAGAGCUAGGGUCCAAACCCCGCACGCACGAGUAGCCCAGAAUGAGGGCAUUUUGGUAAUUCUUGCUACGGGGGCUUAUAAGAAGACCCUCCCCUCUUCUUUCUUCCUCCGUCAGCCAAAACACACACACACACACACACACACAUAUAGUGUAACACACUGGACCUUUGCAAAUUGCGAGGUUCGAGUGUUUGGACUGUGUGUAAUACACUGGACUUUCGCAAAUUGCGGAGUUCGAGUAUGUGGAAUGGUGUGUGGAUCACUCCUACAUGUUCUAAAAGGUUAGAACAAGUUUUUGGAUAAGUUAGAGGAUGAUUGGAAUGCUAAAAGUAAGAAAGUGCAUUGAUUGGGCGAAAUCAGCCUUUUCUGCUUGGUGUACCGGUACAGCCAUUAUGGUGUACCGGUACACAAUGCAGAAACGUGGCAGCUUGGGUAGUUUGGUCUUUUCACAUCUUGAUCUCAUCCAUAUGAAGCCAGCACGACUUCUGGAGCUCAGUGGAGGUUGCUGAGGCUCAGAGCACCCUUCUUCUUCAUCUCUCUCUCUCUCUCUCUAGGGUUUUUCUCUCUCUACAUCGAAUUCGCCGAUUUCGCUCGUUUUCGUCGCCGCGCGCGUUCUUCGCUGGUUGCGAGUGUCGCAGCACCUUUGUGCACGUGCAAGAGAGCGUUUUGGAGGGAAUUUCGCAGCCCUGGACCAGUGAGGUGCUGGUUGGAAGCCUGAGAAGGUAAACGACUUGAUUUUUCCGUUAUCGACGUUCUAUUCGUCGAUUUGAGUAGCGAUUUCAGAUUUUUGCUCUUGGCUGUUCUAAACUGAGAAUUCAGCUAUUAUUAAUGAGUUAAUUAGCUGUGAAUUAACCUUCUUAGACCUGGGAUAAGCUACUUUGAAGCUUAAUUGGAAUAUUUAGCCAUUUAUGAAGCUAAAAUCGGAACUUAAUGCACUAANAGUAUUUUAUGUAGUGCUAAGGUCACUAAAGAGUUGGACUCAGGCUACCCUCGGAUUGCUUUCUGCACGAGGUGUAACCGGUGACAGGUCGAUGGCUGUACCGGUACACAUUUUGUAUCGGUACACUUUUGAUGGUUGUACCGGUACACUUGUGGCGAAUUUCAAACCUGAGUCUUGGGUUUGCAUUUUCGUAGGAUGUGUACCAGUACACUUUUCCGUGUACCAGUACACUUUGGCAGAAUCUGAGCAGUUUGAUCUGCAGGGAAUUUUUCGCAAAUAUGGCUCUCUAUAUGUAUCCCCCACGCCCUUGGGACUUCUCCUGAGCUUGGGACCAGCAAGAGGAGAGGUAAGGGAGCUCUCCACAUGUCACGCCCGGGUACCAGCGGCGACAUAUCCGGUACGUGUACAGACCCGCCAUACACCUGCAAUAUAUAAGGCGUCUACAACAAACAAGUCGAUAGGAGUAAAAACAUAGAAUAAGCCUAUCCUGAUAUCAGAGCAUAGUAAAAGUCACAAAGACUAUCAAUAAUAGAACAAAGAGUAUACAAACCAAAAUCUCAACUAAAAGAGAACGUAUCACAACUAUAGAGUCUAGUCCCAAGAGUACAUAUACAUCACGGGUAUACAAAAAUAGGUACAAUGGUGGUCUCUCUAUACAUAGGGACAUCACCCUCGGCCGUAGCCCGAGUAGCAAGGUGAUCGACUAGCAUGCUCCUAGCAAUGUCUAGCUAGACGCGACUCCCUUGCCACGAUCCCUAGCCUCUCCUGUAGAUGGCUCUGUAAAAACAACCACCAAAAGGGUGUGAGAACUAUAAACAAUAGUUCCCAGUGGGUAAGCCGCCGGCCUCGGCGAAUUACACCACUAGGCUCAUGAUGUACUAAAUGAAAGCAAGAGCAGUAAUUGCAUGAUAUAUAUAAUUAUGCAAUGCUAACAGGUAAUGAGCAUGUAAGCAACAUGUAAUCAUAAUCUCAACAGUAAUGAAGCAACUGAAUAAUAGAAGCAUAGCAACUACUAUAAGCAUGAACAUAAGCAUAAUUGUGUAAGUAACUACUGUACACUGUAACUGGUAAUCAUUCAUUACUGUCCUUCCUUUAGCCUUUUCUUUCAUUCACCAGGGAUCUUACUCAAGGUAGUCAGCUGCGCGCGGCCUAAUAGCCCCGUGGUAGUAUACACUCCCACGCAAUCCACUUCGGCACCCAUCCCGACGAGGCAUGAGAACUGUCGCGUAGGCCAACUCCGGAGUGCCGGUGUAAUAUACGUAAAUUCGGAAAAUAAAAAAUGUCGAACUUUAGUCAAAUUAACCAAAGUGCGAGGAUGCUACACUUCGGAGGUCCGAAGGUGUUUUAAAAUGAGUAAAAAUGAGUUAUGAAGAUUUUCGAGAGAAAAAUCAAUUCUGCAAAACUACAGAUUUUCAGCUUCGGGACGCCCUGGUGGGAGAGACCGGUCCCGAACGCGUAUGAAGUGAGACAGCCGAAAAAUCGGCUAAGUCCUGAAAAUUAGCUCUCGGAACCGGUCCCUGCCCUGAGAGACCGGUCCCGAGAGACCGUCCAUAAGGGGAGACGGUGCAUGCGCGCAGCAGCUCUGGCUGCGCUGGGACGACGUUCGGGAACCGGUCCCUGAAGGAGAGACCGUGCUGCCUGCGCGGAUGCCCAGUUCGGCAGUGUAUUAAGUUGAAAGUUGAUGGGUUUAGCUGCAAUUUUGCAACCCAAAUAGCUAUGUUAUCAGGGUUAAUGAGAUUUUUCUCUUUCCCCCUCUUCUCAACACUCUCUCUUCCCUCUCUCUCUCUCUAGAAGACAAAGGAGAAGAAGAAGACAAGGAAAGGAAGGAAAAGAAGAAAGAAAAAGGAGAAGAAGAGAGGAAGUUGAAGAAACUCCUCUCCCUCAUCUCUAGCUUGGAAAGAAGGGCUUACAAGUAAGCUUUAAACCCUAAUCAUGGUAGAACCUAAUACUAGGGUUUGGAUAACUUAAAAUGGGUUUUAUGGAACCAUUUGAGUAUUUGAAGCCUUUCUUUGCGUCUUUUGAGAUCAAGACCGUAGAAAUGCGUGAAGCUUGAGGUGAGCUUCACCACCUCUCAUGGUGAAACCUAAGUAGGGUUUUGAUUAGUCUAAAGAUGGUUCUAAUGAACUUUUUAGAGUAAAUGAAGCUACUUUUGCUUCCCAAAGAGAUCAAACCCUAGGUUUUGAUAUAAUUGGAGCUAGGGCAGCCCAAUUGGGGCUUUGCUCAUAGGGAUUUCUAAGUGAAAUUGACCUCAAAAACCUAAAUGGCGGGUAUUUCGACGCGUUGUGCGCUCGGAUUACGUUACAAAAGCCAAAGUAAAGAUAUGAGCAAAUGGCUAAUGAGGGCUUCGUUUUGCCGCAGGUAGUGAACCGGCGGUUAAAAUCCAAGAAGAUCACGGCAGCCUUUGAAGCCGACGCAGGUGGGUGUGCUUUCAAACUCAUUGAACUUCUUUCUAUGCCUAAUGAUGUCAUUCAUUUGAGCAUAUAUGUAUUAUAUUGUUGCAUACAUAUUAGGGUAAGUAAUGAUGAAAAUGUAAUGAUGCAUGAGUGAGUACAACUUGCUAAUAUGAUGAAUGAGACUAUGUGAUGUCGAAACCCUAGUGGUAUGCAUGAGGAAAGUGAGCACCCAAAGUGAGCAGGAAGACAGAGUGACACAAGACAUAGAUCGAAGUGGCAUUGAAAACGUAAAGUACGUGACACUAGAGUUAGUGUGAGCCAAAGAACCAAAGUGAUGUAAAGAAUGAUGAAAAUGACAAUGUAUAAGUUAAGUAAAAGGGGGCAAUAAGACAAGAAUGCUAAAAGGUGGCAAAGUAAAAAAAGUAAGAACAACGAUUGGCAUGAGUUUGCAAUUAAAAGUGAUGUAAUGAACACUUGAGCUAGCGUAAAGUCAAGAUUGAACUUAUAAAUCCUUGAGUUAAGAUAUGAUCAUACUUCUAUGAGUUCCGUCUCGAGGGCGUCGUCCCCCUCGGGCGAUGCGCUCCGGGAGUUAUGCAUCGCGGUUUGGUAGUAAACCGUAAGGACGGUCCUAGCUGGUGAGUUCCUGCGAUGAUGGACUUAAUGUGAGCAAGUUAAUGUGGCGACACCCCCGGCUAGCCUUAAUGAUUAAAGAGCAAAAGAGUAAAGAACAAGAGCAAAGAACAAAGUGUAAAGUGCAAAAACUAAGAACAUGCAUAACCUGCAUUUAUUUAGAUGUUGAGCAUAAUUCUUUGCUAUUUGUUCAGGCAUAUUAGCAUUACUAUAGUUUGGUACUAUUUACAGCCUAUUUCUUCUAUUUAUGCCUGAAUUAGUCCUAGUGGGAAAGUCGGUGAUGUUGAGGCCGAACCACUGGGAACUUUGUUGUAGUUCUCACCCACUAUUUACACAGAGCGCGAGUGAGUCGGUGAGCGACCGAAGGUAAAGGUAUCGCGCCUUAGUCAGAGGCCACCAAUGUCGGAUUUCAUUUUGUAGUAAAGUACCUUAUGAUCAUCUUUGUAUGUGAUGAUUAGUAAUGUAAAGAAAAGAAUGUAAAGCUUAUUUUGAGGUAAAUGUGAUGUAAGAAAAAAUGAUGGAAUUAUGUAAUGAAAUGCAGAGCCUAAUGUAAGAGACGGAUGCAAUGUAUAUGAUCUAAAAUGAAUCACUAUUACUUGUGAAUGUUUAGUUUAUUUUUCUUUCACUAAUGGCUAUUGCUUACCUCGUAUAAGCCGUUUGUGUAUGUUUCCGCUAGUGCUUUUCUUAAUUGAUGAAAGUAAUGUGAUGAGCCUUGGCGGAUAGGGGAAACUCUGUACGUCGGCGUCUGUUUGACGUGCUCGGUCGGCCAAUUGGCAUCGUCCCGGGCGUGACAGCGCGGCUUGUAGGGAGCUACCCUCACAAGCUGUGCGAAUGAGCACGAUGGCAAGCAAGCAAAGUCCACAAUCCAACUAUCUCAACUAGCCCAAUUUAGCUCACAAUAAUUCUCGCUCUCGAUCUUUGAACGGAAUUUCAAUACACAAAGAGUAACAAGAUUAGUAUCCACAGACUGUAAACAUGUAGAGUAAUGCUAAAUCAUAUGGCAUUAUAAUCUUUCCACUAUUAUGGUACUAUUAACUUAGUCACUGGCAUGUCACAUGUUUUCUACUUUAUAAUCAAUAAAGUCGAGAAUAUCAUUGUUCUCUACUUUACAAAAGAUAAUUAUCAUGUCCAUUAGUUAUUCAACUUAACUAAACAUAAAUAAACAUGAGCAUAAAUACAAUUAUCCAUGAGCUUCUCUCUAUUCAUAGAGGUUCUAUUUCCAAUAUAUCAACGAUAUGGCAAAGAGGUCCCAAAUCCAUUUAGUACCACAUAGUGACAAUAACACACGACUAAUCAAUUCUAUAGUUACAUAUAGAACAUAGGGAGCAUCACUUGCUCUGGUUAGGUCAAAACCAUCUGUACUAAGCUCAAAUCAGUCCAAAGGAAUCCUCAGGAUCAGCUCCACUAGGUCUCAAUCCUGCUGAACACGAAGCAUAAAUAUCGUAUCAAAACUACGAUCGAAAUGUCCAAUUUCGGCGCAAUUGCACUUAGUACAUAGAAAUAGCUUAAAUCCCUGUUUUGACUCAAUAAAUACCUCAAGAAGAGUCUCCAAGAGCUCUCCCAAGCCAACUAACACGAUCCAAGGCUCAAUCGCACUCUCGCUGCGAACAACAUCGAAACGGCGUCAAAAUGCUUGUAUAUGAGCUUAUAUAGUUCAAUUCUUGCGAAAUUGACUUUCUAACGGAAUUUCUUGCUUAUCCUUGAUUAGAGCAGCUUCCAAAUCAGCUUCUAAGAGUACGAAUUCAGCUCAACGAAGCUCGAAGACCUGCUGCGAAGAAAAAUCCCCAAUUUGCAUCAAUUCGCUCAAACAAUUGCAUUUCGUUCCAAUUUAGCUUCAUAAAUGGCUAAUUAUUCCCAUCAAGCUUCAAAGUAGCUUAUCCCAGGUCUCAGAAGGUUAAUUCACAGCUAAUGAACUCAUAUAUACUUGCUGAAAUCUCAAGUUAAAACAGUUGGAAGUAAAAAACCUGAAAUCAAUAAUCAAAUCGACUAAUAGAGCGCCGAUAAUGGAAAAAAAUCGAGUCGUAUACCUUCUCAAGCUUGCAACCAGCACCUCACUGGUUCAGGGCUGCGAAAAGCUCUCCAAAACACUCCCUCACACGUCCACCAAGGCUCAGCGACACUCCCAAACAGCGAAGAGCGAGCUCGGCGACGACAACGGUACAAAACGGCGACUUCCUUGUAGAGAGAGAAAAUCUUAGAGAGAGAGAGAGAAAAGAAGGUGGGAGAAGCUCCCUCAGAUCACCAGCAACCUCCACUGAGCUCCUGAGGUCGAGCAGGGGGUAUAGAUAAGGGUUAGGAUGUGAAAUUACCAAAAGACCCUUGCUGCCACGUUUCUGCCAGUCUGUACCGGUACAAGGUGAUGGCUGUACCGGUACAGCAAGCAGAAAAAGGCUGAUUUCGCCAAUUCAAUGCAUUUUCUCACUUUUAGCAUUCCAAUCAUCCUCUAACUUAUCCAAAAACUUGUUCUAACCUUUUAGAACAUGUAGGAUUGAUCCACACAUCGUUCCACACACUCGAACUCCGUAAUUUGCAAAAGUUCCGUGUAUUACACCACACUCUCCCCUUUGAUUCCCUUGGUUUUUAUUUGGAUUUAGAGAGAUUAAAGCCUCUCUUUUUGCUCCUUUUUGGGUGUUGGAGGCUUUUCCACCAUUGGAGCUUAGGAUUGGAGCUUGAGAGGGGGAAGAUCUCUACACUUGGUGGACUUGGAACCUUGUUGGAAGCUUCUAAGAGGUUAGUAACCCCUUCUCUCCCUCUAGAUUUGAUUUUUGAAGGGUUCUUUGAGAUGAAACCCUAGAAAUGAGAUUUAGGGCUUAUUUUGGGCAUUUUGAAUCUAGGGCUUUUGGAGCUAAAUUAGUUGGAUUAGAAUCUUCCUUUGGGUUGGAUUGGAAGGAUUCUAACUCUCUUUUGGAGCUUGUGAGAGUUUUUCUACACUUUAGGUGAGUUUUAGCCCUUUUACCUUAUUGGUUAAUGUUUGAUUUUAUUGCUGAUCGUAAUCCCUGUGUAUCUCUUCGCUCAAUACUUUUGGGGUAUUUGAGACUCAUGGACAACUUUGUUCGGCGAAACGAGGCACUACGCGACGGUUCGGUGGGUUUGACCUAGCCACACAAUGAGAAAAUCUCAUUGUUGUGAUUUAAGUAUUAUCAAAUGAAAAAGCAUGCAUAUUCUUGUUAUAUGUAUUUAUUGUGAAUUUUAGGAUGCUUAAAAUGCCUAUGUUACAUAUAGUGUAAUUUUGGACUCCUAUAUAGUAAAGAGUUGCAUAUGAAGCUUAUGUUUGAUUGUUUAGUAUCCUUAUGUUGGGCCAUGUUCCUUAUAAUGAAAAUGAGCUUGAUUCAUGCAUUUAAACCUAAGUUUAUUUAUGACAUGAAAGAUAACUAAUAUGCCUUAAAGAGGCAUCAAACUAGAAUGCUAUGUGAAUUAGAGAGCUAAUAUCAUCAAGCGGCAUUGAGCUCGAGACAUGGGUGAACCUAGUGGAUAGGGCCAUUGAGGGAUUUGGUAUAUGCUCAAACAUUGAAAUGUCUUAGUGUCAUCAAGGGGCACUAGACUUCAUGAACGUUGGAACUUCACUUGUGACUUAGAACUAGAUCUUUGAGAUGCUAGUGACUAUACCAUGUUAGAGACAUGAUGAUUGGAUACUUGAGACGUUGACUAUGCUUGAUUACCAUUUGUGCUCAUUCGCACAUACUUGUGAGGGUCACUCUCUACAAGCCGGCACUCCGGAGUUAGCCUACGCGACUUAUGUUCGCUCGUGCGGUAUUGAGAAGCCUACGGGGUUGAGUGGGACAGACACAUUCCAAGAGUAGGAAUGUAGGGCUACCACAGGCACUUAGGCGGCACAAGCUGGACUACCUUGAGUAGGUCCUUAAUUGGAAAUGAAAAUCGAUACGGUGUUGUGUGUGUAUAAUCACUACUAGAUAGGGGUAGUAGUUGGAUUACUUGGACUUGCUUCUAGCAUAGUUUUGGACACUUGAGUAUACAUACAUACAUGUAGUAUGCUAGGAGAUGUUGCUUAUUGCAUCCAUUUAUACAUUGUUGCCAUAUUAAAGCAUGAUCUUUAUAACUUCAUAAAGUAGACCGUGACAUUUACCUGUGGCCAUGUUGGGACAUAUUACUUAUGCAUUGAACAUUCUUCAUUAUGAAAGAGUAAAUAUAAAACAUUGACAUAGUAAUGUUUAUGGUAUAGUAAGCUUAAUAAACAUGCAUACUUUCAUACCGCAGUUAUCAUUAUUAUUAUUGUUGUUUACUGUACUUACCCCUUUUUUGUUGGGGCCUAGUGGUGCAUUGAGCUGAGGUCAGUAAUUGCCCACUGGGAACUAUAAAUUAUAGUUCUCACGCCCUCUGUUUUAUGUUUUCUUUCAGAGCCUUCCACGCCGGGAGAGGCUAGGGACCGCGGGAAGGGCGUUGCUUCGAGCUAGCUCUUCAGCGAGGGACGAGUUGCUAGGUGGUCUACCUCUCGAUGUAUUUUAUUUUGGGAGAGGUUGAGAGCUGUACCAGUGUACUAGAGAUCACCCUUUUGUGUACUUUUGGGACAGAUGUUGUAUUACUUUAUAUUUCACCCUUAUUGCUUUAGUAUGUUUCCUUUAUUCUCGUUUUAGAGGUUAGAACUUUACUUGCUCUGAUAUCUCUAGUUGUGGAUUAUUUCUUGCUUUUACUUCCGCUUUUAUCGUAGACGCCUUAUAUGUGUAGACAUAUGGCGGGUCUGGGCAUGCUACCGGGAGGGCCCCUGCCGGUCCCGGGGCGUGACAUAUAGUAGAGAGAGAGAGAAGCUCUCUUCUCCCUCCCAAAUCUCAUCUUCCUCUCUCUUGAUCUCUCCCAAACUUGGGGUUUUGGUGGAGAAAGAGCUUGGGAACGCAUAGGGAGCGAUGGAUCGAGCCCUCCAGCGCUUGGUAGCUCGACGUGCUUCCGACUCGAGGCUCGUUUUUGGGUUAAAAGUUUAGGAUUUGAAUUAAAUCCUUUAAAAUGGAUGUGUUGGAGAUCCCUAGACUAUUCUAAGCUAGAUAAUCAUGUUUCUCCAUGAAUUUUUGGGGUAUUUGGAGAAAAGGGAAAUCUAGGGCUUGGAUUGGGGGUUUUGGGGUUUAAGGGUUUUGAUCUAAAUUGACCAUUUGGUUCUCUAAUUGAAGGUUAGAGGAGAGCCCCAAACGACUUUGAUUUCGAAAUCGGCGAGCGUUUGGUGAUCAAUUUGAGUAACAAGCCGAACCGAGCAACGUUUGCCGUGAGAGUCCGAUUGCAAGUGUCUACAAGCAAUCAGAAGCAUUGUAAGGUGGGUUGUGCUUCACCGAAGUGAUUAGGUCACUUCCAUGCCAAAGAGUGAAGUAUGGUUUGGUAUUAUUGUUGAUGCAUGUAAUAGUAGUUUAAUUGUAAUAAGGAAUGCAUGAGAUGUGUGCUAAAAAUGAUUGCAUGAGAUAUAUGCUAAGUUGUAUAUUGAUUACCAUUGGACAAGGACAUAGGCAUGUGCAAACAUAUAGGAUGUAUGUAUAUGUAUGCCUAGAUGUGGAUGUUGAACUUUGGUCGAUAAACUCUAGAAAGAUUAGAGAACUCGACAAGUGUGGCAUGAAAAACUAUGAAUCCUAGAUGUGGACAACUAGGAUAGAAAAUGAAUGAUUGGACAUUGAACCUAGUGUUAUUGAACAUAAGUUGAACAUUAAAUCUAGAGUCGGAUGAACCUAGGUGAAAAAAUAUUGGACCUAGUGUUGUUGAUCCUAGGCUAUGAAACGGUGGUAUUGAACCUAGAGUUGAGUGGAUCUAGGUGGGAAUGACAUGGAACCUAGUAUGGUUAAACCUAGGUUGUGAGUUAUAGUAGUAGAAUGGCCACUAGGAUAUGUAUAAGUCGAACCUAGAGAGGUUGACAUUAUAGGGUAUGUGACUAACCCUUGAGACAUGAAAAAUGGGUUCCGGAAUCCUAGGACUUGGGGAUAUCGAUAGUUCUCGGCCGUGGGUGUAUGUGGCAGGUUUCUCUCCCACCGCAAGAACUUCGAGGUAUGUCAUGUGGAAGAUUCUUGGCCGCGGGUGUACGUGGGCAUGUUCCUCUCCCACCAGAAGAAUCUUCGAGCGCUAGGGUGUAUGUGGCAUGUUCCUCUCCCUAUCGGGGAUCUCGGAUGCGAGUGUAUGAGGUAUGUUCCUCUCCCACCAGGGGAUCCUUGACCACGGGCGUACGCAGUUCUUCGCGACCUGUUAGGCGAUGUGGUUUUGGCUAAGGUAAAUGAACCUUAGGAGUAAAUGGUAAAUGCUAUGGAUUGUGGAAUAGGAAGUAGAAACAGUAGAUCUACUUACAUGAGUUGCAUUGUUGCAUUUGUGAGGCAUAAGCAUGAUAGUGGUUAGUUGCAUGAAAAUUAUAUGAUGAUAUAUAUAUAUAUAUAUAUAUAAUAUAAGUAUAUUAUAUAUAUAUUAUAUAUAUAACUAUCUAUUUGACUAACUGCUUUGUGCCUCCUUUGGACUUGGUGGGUGCGAGCUCUUCCCUUGGGUGGCCGUACCCACUGGGAAUUAUUUAUAUAGUUCUCACCCCAUGUUUUUCAGGUCCAUACGUGAGCGGCGCGACGACGCGAGGAAAGGACGUAGCUCAGUAGAUAGCGCCCUACCACCGAGACUAGAGAUAGCAGUACCCCGAGUCAGCCUAGCUUAGGGGUGUUGAGAGAAAGAAAUAAUUUGUAAUAAUUUGUAUUAAAGCUGAUUGUAUAUGGAAGUUGAAUGUAAAAUUAAUGUAAAUGUGUUGUAAGUGAGUUGAAUGCUUGUAAUAGCUUAGCUGUUAUGUUUUUUAUACCUUCCUUAUGCAAUCUAUGCAUGAAAUUUGUUCCUGGUUGGAACCUCUUGAUUUGUACUGUUGCGACGCCUUGGACGUACAGGGGAAGCUCUGUCCGUUCGACGGUCUGUCGGCAUGCCUGAAUCCGACCAAAGAAGCGGGUUACGGGGCGUGACAGAAACCCUGUUGCGUAAGGGUUGGCACAUCUCUUGGGUUUUACGGAGCUCGGUUGAGUACCGAUACUAACUUGUUUAGUACUGGCACUGAAAUGUGAAGUACUGGAAUCCAGUAGGAGCCUCUGGUUUUCAACGUUCGGAUUUUGCGUGAUUGGACCUGCGUACCGGAACAGCUAGGUUGCGUACCGGUACUCAAUGGUACAGAACUAUUUUUCAAACAGUUUGUAAUUUUUGAAGUUAUGGGGGCUUUUUGGGAUAUUGUGCAAGUGAGUAUAAACCCACUUCAUGUAGCACACUGAACUUCAGCAAAUUGCAAGGUUCUAGUGUUCGAAUAGUAUUUUAUACUAUCCUUGCUAUCCUUGAGGGUCGUCGACUAUGUUCCAACCAAUUACUCGCGUCUUAAGAAGCGAGGAUGAGUACUUAGCACCAAAACCUCCAAACUGUAAGUUUUCGGGCGCUGGAUACCGGUACCAGAGGGAGGUACUGGAACCCUGUCGCGUAACUAAGAGGGCUGCUCUCGGGUUUGAGCUCUGUGAGGCAGAGUACCGGUACUGCAUUUCCCGAGUACCGCUACUGGGGCUUGGUACCGGUACUGCAUCGUGCGGGUACCGGUACAUUGCAGUUUGUCUGCUUGACAGAGGCUCGGGUUUACGCGUUCGACUGCGGGGUACUGGUACUCCAGCCCGCUGUAAGGACUGAGAUUUUUGCAGUGUAGCUAAACUCUCUGUUGACGAUGUUUUUGUGUGUAAUUUAAUUACAUAAGCACUCGUCAAGUUUUAGGAAAAAUUGAGCUAGAACGGAGAAGUUACGCGAUCUCCAAGUUUCACUUAAAGUGAAUAGUAACUCGGUUUUCCGGAGAAGCCACGAUGUGAAGUUGGCUUCAGGCUCGUAUCGGACUCCAUUCAUAGCAGUCCAAUAGCUCGUUUCGACCGGUCCAGCUAUUCUGGAACUUUUGGCGUUGACGGAUUUUGAGUUUGACGCACGGAUUUCGAGAAAAUCCAAAAAUACAUGUUUUAUAUGUAUUUGUGGGUUGUUUCUUCAGUUGGAAGAAAGAUUGGAUUUUGUCGUGAAUCCGUGGUCGAUCAAAAUGAAUCGAAAUCGUAGCUUUGUUGUCUCCGUCGUGCUGAUCGUACUGGUGCUAUCCGUUCGCAAAUCUGUCGGACGAAUCUGCGGAGAUUGCGCGUUGAUCGAGGAGAGAUCGGUGAUGGUAAAACGGUAAUUUUGCAAAAGUCGCUACAUUUUAUGUACCGUUUCGAGUGAGAUCGCUCAUGGAGGGGUAUUCAUGCGUUUUACUCGUGCUGUGAGGGACUGAAUUGCAAAUUAUCUAGUUUGGAGGGACUUUGACGUAAUUUAUUGCCUUGCAUAUAUAUUAAUCUAGGGUUUUGCUUUAUGAAACCCUAACCCUAACCCAUCCCCCGGCCAACCUAGCCUCCUAGCCGCCUCAGCUCUCUUCAGCCCACCUCGUGUUCAUGCCCCGGCCGCCGGAAAACCCUCCCCAGCCUUUCCCCCAUUGCUCUCACCCUCCACAUUGCUACACUCUCGGCCGUGGAACCCGGGGGAACUUCAAAUCAUCCUUGGNAUAUAUAUAUAUAUAUAUAUAUAUAUCUAUUGGACUAACUUGCUUUGUUGCCUCCUUUGGACUUGGUGGGUCGAGCUCUUCCCUUUGGUGGCCGUACCCACUGGGAAUUAUUUAUAUAGUUCUCACCCCAUGUUUUUCAGGUCCAUACGUGAGCGGCGCGACGACACGAGGAAAGGACGUAGCUCAGUAGAUAGCGCCCUACCACCGAGACUAGAGAUAGCAGUACCCCGAGUCAGCCUAGCUUAGGGGUGUUGAGAGAAAUAAAUAAUUUGUAAUAAUUUGUAUUAAAGCUGAUUGUAUAUGGAAGUUGAAUGUAAAAUUACUGUAAAUGUGUUGUAAGUGAGUUGAAUGCUUGUAAUAGCUUAGCUGUUAUGUUUUUUAUACCUUCCUUAUGCAAUCUAUGUAUGAAAUUUGUUCCUGGUUGGAACCUCUUGAUUUGUACUGUUGCGACGCCUUGGACGUACAGGGGAAGCUCUGUCCGUUCGACGGUCUGUCGGCAUGCCUGAAUCCGACCAAAGAAGCGGGUUACGGGGCGUGACAGAAACCCUGUUGCGUAAGGGUUGGCACAUCUCUCGGAUUUUACGGAGCUCGGUUGAGUACCGGUACUAACUUGUUUAGUACUGGCACUGAAAUGUGAAGUACUGGAAUCCAGUAGGAGCCUCUGGUUUUCAACGUUCGGAUUUUGCGUGAUUGGACCUGCGUACCGGAACAGCUAGGUUGCGUACCGGUACUCAAUGGUACAGAACUAUUUUUCGAACAGUUUGUAAUUUUUGAAGUUAUAGGGGCUUUUUGGGAUAUUGUGCAAGUGAGUAUAAACCCACUUCAUGUAGCACACUGAACUUCAGCAAAUUGCAAGGUUCUAGUGUUCGAAUAGUAUUUUAUACUAUCCUUGCUAUCCUUGAGGGUCGUCGACUAUGUUCCAACCAAUUACUCGCGUCUUAAGGAGCGAGGAUGAGUACUUAGCACCAAAACCUCCAAACUGUAAGUUUUCGGGCGCUGGAUACCGGUACCAGAGGGAGGUACUGGAACCCUGUCGCGUAACUGAGAGGGCUGCUCUCGGGUUUGAGCUCUGUGAGGCAGAGUACCGGUACUGCAUUUCCCGAGUACCGCUACUGGGGCUUGGUACCGGUAUUGCAUCGCGCGGGUACCGGUACAUUGCAGUUUGUCUGCUUGACAGAGGCUCGGGUUUACGCGUUCGACUGCGGGGUACUGGUACUCCAGCCCGCUGUAAGGACUGAGAUUUUUGCAGUGUAACUAAACUCUCAGUUGACGGUGUUUUUGUGUGUAAUUUAAUUACAAAAGCACUCGUCAAGUUUCGGGAGAAAACGAGUUAAAACGGAGAUUCUACGCGAUUUUCAAGUGUCACUUAAAGUGAAUAGUAACUCGGUUUUCUGGAGAAGCCACGGUGUGAAGUUGGCUUCAGGCUCGUAUCGGACUCCGUUCAUAGCAAUCCAAUAGCUCAUUUCGAUCGGUUCAGCUGUUCUGGAACUAAUGGUGCUGACGAAUUUUGGGUUUGACGGACGGAUUUCGAGAAAAUAUGAAAAUACAUGUUUAUAUGUAUUUGUGUGUCAUUUUGGCCUUUUGGAGAGAAAGCGGAUUUCGUCGCGAAUCCGUGACCGAUCGAGGUGAACCAAAAUCGUGUCUUUGUUGUCUCCGUCGUGCUGAUCGCACUGGCGUGAUCCGUUCGCAAAUCUGACAGACGGAUCUGCAGAGAUCGGGCGUUGAUCGUGGAGAGGUCGGUGUUGGCAAAACGAUAAUUUUGCAAAAGUCGCGACAUUUUAUGUACCGUUUUGCGUGAGAUCGCACGUGGAGGGGUGUUCUCGCGUUGUACACGCGCUAUGAGGGACUCAAUACUAAAUACUGAGGUUUGGUGGGCUAACUCGCAUAGUGCACCUUGUAUAUAUGUUUGUUUUAGGGUUUGCACUAAGAAAACCCUAACCCUAGCCCGAGCUAAACCCCCAGCCACCUCCCUUGGUUGCCCUGCCCUUGUUGCGCCACCCUCGACCGCCGCCGACCGAGCCCCGGCCGGCCAGCAGCAGCCGUAGCCUUCCUCUCCAUCUCUCUCUCUCCAUCUCUCUCUCCACCCUCUCUUUUUCUCGGGUUGCAGCCUUGACCAAGGCUACAUUGCCUCCCUGCACCUUGCCGGCGUCGCCCAGACACUGUCAGAGUUUCCCCCGCCGACCGCCGCCUCCCUCGAGUGUCGCCGCGCCGCACUGUAGCCGCCUGCAGCCACCUAGCCCGAGCCUAGGCCGAGCAGAUCGUGCGACCUCUUCUCCGCGCCGCAGCCGCUUGGGGUCGCUCCCGCGGCCUUCCCCUGGGCCUCACCGACCUUCCCGGCCGGUCGCUGCUGCCCCUGCAGGCUGCCGUCGCUGCCUCGGCCAGCUGCAGACGCCCCAGACCUGUGCAGGCCGAGGCAAGCCGCGUCUCCGACCCCCGCGCCGCCGCCGCUCGGGGCCGCGCCCGAGGCAGCCCUCCGGCCUCCAGCAACCCUCUGCCGCCGUCCCUGAGUGCCCUGACCGCCGCCGUGGCCGUAGCUGCCCUUGGAACCCGAACCGGAUCUUGUGCUGGCUUGGUUGGUUCCACCAUCGCCGUCGCCACUCCUCGCUCCCAACUGAGGUGAGCACCUUGCUCCUCCACUCCCCCGCACCCAUCCCUGGCCCGCGCGUGCCUUGCCGUGCCGCCGGAGGCCGGCCGGAGCAAGCUUGCUCCGGCCAAGCCCGAAAUAGGGCUUAUUUUGGAUGGUUUACUGUUCCGAGCUUCCCGAGACAUCCCGAUCACUGCAGAAGGGAGCACGAUGAUCGUGACUCAUCGCUGAUCAUCGUGCUCACCAUAUUUUUUGUUGGGAAGGCUCCGUUCCGCUGUUUCGGCGGUGUCGGCCCUUUUUGGGCCUUUUCGGUUGCUGUUUCGUGUUUGCGGGCACUUUUCUGGCGAUCCGAGGCUAUCCUUGUCACGCCCCGAGACUGCUACCCAUUUGGUCCGGUUCGGGUGCGUCGAACAGACGCCGAACGGACAGCACCUCCCCUGUCCGCCCAAGGCUCAACCGCGGGAUCAUAUACAAGAGUUCGCCCAGGAACAAUUCAAAAUAUACAUGAUCCAUAUAAUAACAAUAGAAGCACCACAAGUGCUUAACAACAAGAGCAAGUAACACAAGUAAACAUACAAGUGCAAAAAGAGAGAAUUCUAUCUAUUACAUCACAUUCAUUCAUUGUUUACACUUGUUUGAUCCAAAAUACAGAUACAAGUUCAUUCACAUCUCUUCAAAAUGCAUCUCACAACCUAUACAUCAUCUACUCUCAUAUAUAUAGGUACCCCUAAUGCAACUGGAGGGAUACUAAUGCUAGGGCGCUAAGCCCUUACCGCAAUCCUCGCCCGGAGUGCUCGUACUCGGCUCUGCAACAACGUGGGGUGAGAACUAUUGUCAAUAGUUCCCAGUGGGUUCGGCUGCCAACUCUGCCGAUCUCCCCACUAGGUCCAAGUGGGCACAAGUAGAUAGAUAGAUAGAUAUGUGAAAACAGUAACGACAUAGUAAGAAAACUAUGCUACUAUGCCCAAAUCGUAUACUAUGUAUGCAUGCACAAAUGUGAUAAAUAAUCAACUAACAUGCCACUAUGUCCAAGAAGUAAUGUUAUCUACUUGUUCAUCAAUUGUCUCAGCUUAUCCAAAUUCGUGACCAACCCUGAGGUUCGCCCACGACUCACAUGCAUCUCAUGGUAAGGAAACUUAACUCGUUCACAAACCCGAGACCGUCUGCGGGACCCCAUAAGGCUACCCAGGGACCCCAUAAGGCUAUCCCUCAUGUGACAAAACUCCGGAGCGCACACUUGUGAGGAGCGACCAACACAAGUUCUGAACAGACAGCGAGUAUGAUUCAAUCCUCUCAACUCGAGGAUACCCUAUCCACUAAGGCUAACAAUCACUCGGGAAUCCACCUAUCCCAAAGUCCAUAUGCAAGUGUUUAACUACACUAAGUUCAUGUUCAAUGACUCAUCUCUAGGGAAUCCACCUAUCCCUAAGUCACACGUCAAGUGUCAUUUAUACACUAAGUUACAUGCCACUCGUUCUGUUGUUAUUGUUAUUUACAUGCCACUCGUUAUGUCUUUUGUCAACCAUCGAGUCCAUCUCUUAUCUCGGUACUAUAGGAUUCAAUGUCUCGACCCAAUUCUUAUCUAUCCCCUAUAUCAAGCAUUUAACUCACACUAUGAUAUCAUCUAGGAAAGCAUAAGGAAAUGGCAAUGCACAUUUAUCCUACAAUGCAUGUAUGCAAGAGAUGCUAGAUUAUAAUGCACUAAGACAUAAAGAGGAGCCCGGUUGUUUCGGGAUGACACCACCCACCUUCUGGCGUUGUCACGACUCUAAGAAUGGAGUUCGGCGGAUGUCGUCUGGGCCUCCCAGGCGGAAACGAAGCUCGGAAGGUCCUUUUUGCCAACAACUCCGCACCCGCUCGACGAAUCGUCGAACCAUUUUCGCCUACGCGUUUAAACACCUAGCAAUUAGGUUUACACUUGAUCAAUUUAGAUCAAUACCCAACAAAUCACAAAAAUCCAUUUCGGAGCCCUAACUUGUAAUCAUGUAAGAAUCCAUCUCUAAAUCUCUGAACUCAUACAUAAAGCAUCUCUUUAGUAUGCUAGGGUUCCAACUAAACCAAUUCUAGAGUAUGAGAUCCAAACCCUAGAAGAUCACUAUUAUUGAGCUUCAAGCUUACCUCCAAAAGCUUGCUCCAAGCUUGAGAUGAAGAAGGAGAUGACGAAGAUCCUUCUCCUUGCUUGCUUCUCCACCAAAACCGACUCCUUCUUCACCUUCUAGAGAAAGAGGAAGAGAGUCUAGAGAGAGAGAGGCUUUUAGGUUUAGUUGGGAGAGAAAUGAGAGAGAGAGAGAGCACACUCUCAUAUAGCCCCAAUUCAUGCUACAAAUGCAUAAAAGCCCCUCAACUUUGCCAUCAUAACAUAGCCCAUCUUGGGCAAAUUUGGGCUACGGGGACCGGUCUCUCUAAGAGGGACCGGUCCCCGAGAGUGGCUUAUUUACAGAAAAGGGGCCUUACCCCUUUUCCACGCUUAUGGGAACCGGUCUCUCAAACGAGGGACCGGUCCCCGAGAGCUCACUCUCGCAGGACAACUCCUUGGUCAAUUUGCAUACCUACGGGGACUGGUCUCUCCCUCUAGGGACCGGUCCCCGAGAGCAAGUUUUGUGCGCAAAGCUCUCUGCCACAUUUUUCAAGCUACGGGGACCGGUCUCUCCCACCAGGGACCGGUCCCCGAGAGCAAAAAUCCUGCAUUUUGCAGAAUUUUCACAACUCGCUCUCGGAGGCCACCUCCAAUGCACUUUUGGCCUUCUCGAUGCCUUCGGCUUUUUCGAAGCAUUCCAAGUCGACAAUCAGUCGAUUCUAACCAAAGUCCAACUCUCGCAUUUCAAGAAUUCACUUCCUUAUAGUCCCGAUGCCUCCGGAGGUGAGCAUGGUGACCGCUGGUCAGUGCUGAUCACAAUUCUCACCUUACUUUGGAUCAGCAGAUGUCGAAUCGGCCUGUUCGGCGCGAUUUCCCCGACUGCGCGAUGUUCGCAGAACCUUCGGGUUGCUCCCGCGCUUCCCACAGUGAGCCGUUGUGCUCCAGACUGUGAGCACGGCCUCCAGCACGUCGAAACCUGUCAGUGCGUGUCUCGGCGGACCUCGGGAGUCCUCGGUUUGCGUGAACGAGCCACUUGAUCGCCCGAUUUACAUAAAAUGAUAGGAUUUUACGUAAAGUGAGGGGCUUUUAUGCAUUUGUGCACCUUGUGGCUAUUGUGGGCAGUGUGUUUGCAUGUGCGGUGACCUCUGGACUGAUUGUCCAUGAUCCGAUAGCCUUCGUGGAAAUUGAAGAGUCGAUUUCAAUGCGUUUUUCGGCGAAAUUCGCCGAAAGAACGCGGUUUCGGUUCGGAUUUCUUCCGACGCGGUUUGGUUGUCCUGUGAAUUGUCGCUGAGCUUUGUUGGCUGGUCACCAUCAUCAUUUUGUGGGUUCGGUGAUGAUGGGUGAGCGACGGUAGGUUCUGGUGUCGAAAUAGACACUUCCGGAAACCCAAAUCCGAAAAAUUAUCCGACGAUAAUUGUUGGGUUAUGUUACCUUGUGUUUGCUGCCAGGACGUCCAAAUCGAAGUGUUUUGUGGCAGCGGGUGACUCAUGACACUAGUCGGUGAGUUUUGGAACACUUAGUGGGUCCUGACGGCGUCUCGGUGUGAUUUUUGGGACUUCCGGUGAGUUACGGUGAUCGAUUUUGGGAAACCGAUUCGGGAAUCUGUGUGGGGUUUUGUGAGUCUUGUGCUUUGGAUUAGUGGGUUGGAUACUCACCCGGUGGACCUUUGUAGGUCCGGUGGACUUGUGUGCAUCCAGGUUUUCCGAUGCGAUUAUGACAGGUGGGUGCUUCGAGCUGGUAGUCGGUGAGAUCGUUUCACCUUUCUUUGUUCUUUCAUUCAGUAUCAUAGUCUCUGCAUGUCUAUUUUGCUUGGUUAUCAUUGUUCAUCUUACCGUAUUGAUUGCAUAUUAUCAGUUGUUGAUAGACAUGUAGAGCAGGUUGGCAUUUGUAUUUCAGUAUCUCUGUGGACCUUGGGUCUAGGCAAAACAUCGACUCUCUCGUCAUGUGUUUCGAUCUUUGAUCGAGGUUCGGCGUUGUACGCCUUAGCAUCUAUCAUAGUUUGGCGCUGUACGCCCUUGUUGUUGGCUUCGGCCUAGGCACCUGCUUCAGCCGGUUUUUGUUUGAGCAUACCAGCAUGACUUAGUCACAGCACUUGGGGGUAUUCAUGACACCGGAUCAGUUUGGCCACCGAUCGGAGGUGUACUUAUCCGAAUGGGUCGUCCUGUGGGGCGGAUGGAUCAAGUCGGUGCAGAUAGUGACAGGCAGCGCUUGAGGCCUGUGGACCAAUAUAGCAGGCACUAGAUUGGGUACAGUUUCUGGUUGAUUACUUUGAGGCAUUUUUGCAUCAUGUUCUAUACAGUAGCAGUUUUACUUCUUGCUUCUUAUUAUAUCUGUUAUAGCUACUGUAGUUCUAUUUCAUAUCACAACAUCUAUAUUUGUUACCUAUCUUCUUUGGUUUCCUGUGAUUACGGUUUCCCUUCAUGGCUCUGUCAUACCUACUAAAAAAUCAUGGUUACGGUUUCUCACCCCCCAUUUUUUCAGGUGAUUCGGGCUUGGAGUUGGUGCUGGGCGCGGCGAGAGGACGAUCUAGCUAGUCUGGUCACCCUGGUUACUUUCAUUUCUGCACUUAGUAGUUUUAAUAAUAAAUGAUUCAGUUAGAUGAUCAUAUUGAUGUUUGAAUAUUCGUGAAUUGGUUUUGUUUGAUGAUUUACUAUGAUGCAUGAGACUGGAGUUUUUAGAUCUGUGGUUUUGGUUUUAUAAAUUAUUGGCUUCGGAUUUAUGUAUUAUACAUUGUGGUUUUCUACCCCUCGAGGUGGUCGGUUUUCAAAAUAGAGUUUCUGAGUGGGAAACAGCUUUUAAAAUGAUUUCGAAUGGUUUUGUAAAUGAUUGAAUUAUAUUCUAAAAACAAAGCUUCCGGGUGGGGAGCACUUUUAAAUAGGAUGAUUGUUGUAUUGUGUAUUGCAUCAUCCAGCGCUUAAAGAGUGCUUAGAGGCAUGCAUCAUCUCUAAGGAUCAUAGCUGUAUGGAAAUGCAUAUCAUGUUGAUUGAUAAAUGUAGGUUGUGGUUGAGAUCCUAUUGUACAGUUGGUACGUCGUGCAAAUACAAAGGAGACUCUGUCCGAAUGGACAGAGGAACUUCGUAUUUGUGGCUGGUCUGUACGUCACGUGUGCCAGGUUGAAAAAAGAAAGUGGCACAUCUUCCGCGACUCUGAAUUCCAAAAUCGUAACGGAUUUAAAAAGGCUUUUAAAAUGGGCCCCGGGGCAUGACACCCGCGUACCGGUACGCAGUGGAGUUGUAGACUGCAUGUUUUUUAGGGGUCUUUUUGGAAUUGUAGCAUCUCUAUUUAUAUUCCCACACCCUCAUGAGGGGUUUCCUAUGCUGGAAACCAGAGAAGAGAGGUAAGGAGCUCAUUCCCAUCCUCUCUUUGAUUUUCUUUCUCUUUUUGCAUGAUUUUUGGUAGAUUAAUCUCCUCUUUUUGCUUCUUCUUCAUGGGGGUUGCUAUUGGACCUUGGAGAGAAGGAUUAGAGCUUGUUUGAGGGAAGAACUCCAACCCUAGCACCAUUCUAGCUUGGUUUGGAGCUUAAAGAGAGGUCAGUAGUUUUGAUCUCUUCUUUGGAUCAUGUCUUGUUGGAUUUUGGAGAUGAAAACCUAGUUUGAAAAAUUAGGGUUUCUUUUGGGAUUUUUCUUGGUAGAGCCUUAGGGGCUUAAUUGAUGGUUCUUAUGCCUUCCUUUAGGUUGGAUUAGAAGUAUUCUAACUCUCUUCUGGAGUUUGGAAGAGUUAUUCACCAUAUAAGGUAAUUUUCUACCAAUUUAUCAGUUGAAUUUUGUGGAUCUUGUGGGGUAUUCGUUUGAAAUCCCUAACCCUCUUAAAAUUUUUGUUAGGGAGGUAGGAGACUAGUGGGCAUCCUCGUUCGUGCAAACGAAGGGGGUUCGAGGGGUAUCCGGUCGGUUUGACCUUACUGAAAUGGGUGAAUUCCUCUUAUGUCAUUAUUUUUAUUGUAAAAUAAAAAAUCAUGCAUAUUCAUGCUAGAUAGAGCAUAAAUGAAUUUUUGAAUGUUUAAAAUGCAUAUGUUAUAUAUCAUACUUUAUAACCUCUAUGCAGUAGAGAGACAAGUAUAUAGUAAACUUGCAUGUGAAUGGCACUCCUUACCUAUGGUUGGAAUCAUGUUUCAUUUAGUGAGAAUGACAAGUUGUGCACGCUCUUGGACAUAGAACUUAUGCUUGACAUAGUAAAUAUUAAUGUCAUAUAAUGACACUUGACUUAGUAAUUGGUUAAAUCUUUACAUGAUGACCUAGUGAAUUAGUAAUAGACCGUUUGGUCAUUAGUAUUUAUACCAUGUUUUAAACAUGAUGACAGUGGACUUGGGACGGAUGAUUAUGCUUGCUUGCCAUUGUGCUCAUUCGCACAUGCUUGUAAGGGUCGCUCCCCACAAGCCGGCACUCUAGAGAUAGCCAACGCGAUAUAAGCUCGCCCGUACGGGAUUAGGCGCCGAAAUGGGAUGCCAUAGGGGAGGCUCAUUCCUAGAGUAGGAAUGUUUACUAUCACGGGGCCAUUAGGUAGGCGCAAGCCGGACUACACUUGCGUAGAUCCUAAUUGAUUGGAAUAAUGAUAAAUAAAAGUGAAAUGUUGCAUCAUACUAGUUAGUGCAUACUAGUUGUACAUGCUCAUUCAUGUUAGAAUAGCACAUAUAUAUGUGAAACUUCACGCUAAGUAGAGGCAUAGUAGUUAGUAAAUCUUAAUAUUCGCUCUUUAUACAUGUUGCUUAUUUAGUUACAUCCUUAUACUAUUUAUGCCUCCAUGACCUAGUGGUGUAUUUCGCUGAUGUCGGCGGCUUACCCACUGAAAACUAUUGACUAAUACUUCUCAUUCCUAUUGUAUUGUUGUUUUUGUUUACAGAGUCUUCCAUGUCGGGAGAGGCUAGGGACCGCGGCAAGGGAGUAGCCUCUAGCUAGACAGAUUGGAGAUUGUACUAGGUAGUAUCUCUCAUUUUGUUUUAGUUGGAGAGAGAGAUUUUUGUACCCUAUGUGUAGAGACCACAAUUUUUGUAUCUAGUGCUAUGUUUAUAAACCUCUGUUGUAUGUUUUACUUCAUGGAUUAUGAUAGUUGAUUAGCUCUUUUAUUUUCUACUUGUCUCUAGAAAUUAGCUGUAGCUAUGCUCUGAUAUUACACUAGUUGUUGCUAUACUCUUGUUUAUUUAUCAUAUUGUUGUAGACGCCUUAUAUGUUGUCAGCAUAUGGCGGGUCUGGACACGCACCGGGCGGGCUUCCGCUGGGUCUCAGGACGUGACAGAUUAUAUUGGUAUCAGAGCCUAGGGUUGAGUCUCAGUGGACCUAGCAAACCUUAGGCCAGUUGGACUAUAGGAAAUAUGCUCGUGAGAGACGGAGUUUAUUUGACUUGUAAGCGAAAGUAUCGUGAUUGGGUUUUGAAAUAACUCUAAAAUGUUGGAGUUUAAUCGAAGUGUAUAACUUCUAACUUCGCGGAGGGUUACGUUGGCGAUCGACGACGUAACAUCGGAAGUUAGUAGUGAGGCACACUUCAUUACUUUCGCAUGAUUUGGGGUAUUAUUUUUCUUCGAGUGGGGUUGCGAUAGCGUGGGUUUUACUAACUUGCGUUUUUAUGUUGUUGUUGUUGUAGUUGCUAUGCCGACUACUCGCUCUAAAUCUGUUGGAGCGGACAAUGCGGCAAACUAUGAGUAGGUGGAGACCUCCGCUACCUCCAAAUCUAGUGAGGUCCGCGAGUUGAGGACCCAGCUUUCGGUCCUUACUGACUUGGUGGCACAGCAGGCGGCGGCAGCUCAGCAGCAAGCCGAUGCGGCGCGCCGACAGGAGGCGCGGAUGAAGCGAUUGGAGGACUUACUGCUUCAGCAGUCAGCUACGAGGGAAGUUCAGGAUCCCGUACCACCCGCGCUAGCCGAGGAUGUAGCAGCGAGGGCGUCGUCCCCUGCGCCCGGCAUUUCACGAGCUGCACCUGUUAUUGAGCCUUGGGAGGAGGUUAUGGUAGCACCACUGGUUCAGGUGCCUCUGGUAGGAGCGAUUUUCCCGAUGAUGGUUGACGGGGUGGAGCGAGAUCGCCUCAUGGAUCGCCUCAAUGAGUUUAGGAGGUGUAAUCCUCGGAUCUUCGACGAAGAAAAGGCCGACCACUGGAUCUUGGAAAAGUCAUUGAUGUACAUGGAAAAGUUAUUCUAUAACACCUUUGUGGAGGAGCUUGAUUGAUCGAGUUUGGCUCGCCACUCACCACCUAGACAGUGAGGCCUACCAUUGGUGGACGGAUAUCCGGGAUAACCCCAACACUGAUCUAUCAGGUAUUACUUAGAAGCGGCUUAAGGAACUGUUGUUGGCGGUCUAUUUUUUGGAGAGUAUCAAGAGACAGAUGCAACGGGAUUUGCGCAACUUGCGCCAGGGAGACCGAACAGCGGCGGAGUAUGAGCGAAAGUUCUCCCGACUCCUGCACUAUGUACCCUUCAUUGUGAGGGAUGAUGAAGACAAGGCCUGUAUUUUUGAGAUGGGCCUUCGGCCGUCGAUCUUUCGCUUCGUGCAGUCAUUAAACUUACGGACAUACCGGGAUGUGGUGAACCGCGCGCUCAUUGUGGAGAGAGGCGCGACGGAUGUGCAAGAGCACCGAGAAAGCUUUGAAAGGGAAAGAAAAGAGGCCCACGAUUGAGGGUGCUAGCCAGAUGCACUCUAGGAGGCCGCCGAGACACCCGAGGAGCCAGUCUCGAGGGCACGGCUCUUCAGAGCAGCGAGGAGGUUUUGAUCGUCGCCAGCCUCCCCAGUGUGUGAUCUGUGGUGGCCCCCAUAUUCCACCGCAGUGCCUACAGCGUGGAGGUAGGGGUUUCCUUUAUGGUCAGGAGGGUUAUUUCCGGACCGAGUGCCCGAGGGGUUCUUCACCGGUACCGCCAUCUGUGUCGGCAUCGGCUUUGCCAGCAUCUCGCCAGUGGACACCAUCGACGCACUACCAGCCUGGGCGUCCACCCGUCCAGCGUCAGACCGAGGGGACACGACAGGCCCCGAGCAGGCGCAUGUAUGCGGCCCAGACAAAGGAGGCGGCAGCAGCUGAGGAUGUCGUGGCGGGUAUCAUUUUAUUAAAUGGCAUUAAAGUUCGAGCUUUGUUUGAUACCGGUGCAUCGCAUUCAUUCAUAGAUCGGUUGUUUGCCGAGUUGAAUGCAUCCCAUUAGUAUCUUUGUUGCAUCCUGGACGUGUUGUAGUACCCGACCACACCUUGGACAUUCGGGAAUUUUGCCCCAGUUGCCCUGUUCGGAUAGGAGAUUGGUUUAUGCCUGUGGACUUGCUAGCCUUGCAUAAACUUGAAGAGUUCGAUGUGGUUUUGGGCAUGGAUUGGCUGACUAAGUACUAUGCCACUAUCGAUUGCAAGAAUUGAACGGUGACAUUUAGAGCCUUGGAGAGCGCCGGUUUUAUUCGUCAAGAAGAAGGACGGAUCAUGUAACGCACUGGACCUUUGCAAAUUGCGAGGUUCGAGUGAUUGGUUGUGUUCUGAGUUUUUUUAGAUUUUCUGGUGGGUCGUUGACAGUGUUCCGACCUAUGUCUCGUAUUCCGAGAAUUAUAGUAUUUUAAGUAGCGCUAAGGUCGCCAAAGUGGAGGACUUAGGCUGCUCUCAGAUUGCUAUUUUCGGGGCUGCGUACCGGUACAGGGUUGAUGGCUGUACCGGUACGCGGGCUUGUGUACCGGUACACUGCGGCAGAAUUUGAAUGGUCGAAACUGCAGGGGUGUUUUUGCAUGGUGGCAUCUCUAUAUGUGUCCCCACGCCCCUAGAGCAUUUCCCUGAGUUGGGAACAUAGGGAAUUGAGGUAAAGGAGCUUCUCCUUGUCCUCAAUGGUCAUUUUGUCCCUUUCCCUUGGAUUUUGGUGGAUUAAUCUCUCUCUUUUUCCCUCUUGGUACAUUUGCACCAUGGUUGAAGCUUGAGGCUUGGUUUUAAAGCUUGGUUGAGGGAAGAUCUUUGAAGUUUGAGGACUUUGAGCUUGGAUUAAAGCUUCCAAGAGGUUGGUAACAAUUUUCUUUUAUCUAGAUUCUGGUUUUGAUGGUUUCUUUGAGAUGAAACCCUAGAAUGAGAUUUUAGGGUUGAUUUUGGGCAUUUUUGAUUUAGGGCUUUUGGAGCUCAAUCUCUUAGAUUAGAACUUUCCUCUAGGUUAGAUUGGAAGGAUUCUAGCUCUCUUUUGGAGCUUGAGAAGAUAUUUCUUCACUAGAGGUGAGUUUUGGCCCUUUUCUUGAGACGAUUAUUGAUCGAGCUUAUGGUUGUUCGUAAUGUCCGUUUGUCUUCUCUUUUAUCACCUUUAGGGUGCUAGGAAUCAUGUGGACAACUUCGUUUGAGCUUACGAAGGAAUCCGAGAAGACUAGGUGGGUUUGACCUAGCCUACAAUAUGAGAAAUUCUCAUAUUUGGUGAUUUAUGUUUCGUAAAGUGGAAAUUCAUGUAUCUUCAUGUUAAAUGUAUUUAUUGUGAAUUUUAGAAUGCUUAACAUCCCUAUGUCAUGUACAAUGAAUUUUCGAACCUCUAUGUAGUAGAGAGCUUGCAUAAGGGACUCAUGUAUGUGUGUGGGCAUUCUAUUUGGACUUAGAACUUUGAUUUCCUAUAGUGAAAAUGAGAAUUGUAUUAUGCAUUUAAACCUAUGCCUAGAUGAGACUUAAGAGAUUUGAGUAAGCCAUAAAGAGGCUUGGAACCUAUAUUAUUUGCAAACUAUUGAGCCAAGGUCAUAAAAGGGCAUUGAGCUUGUAAUGUGCUUGGGACAAGUGAAACCUAAUGUCAUAAAGCGGCAUUAGUGUUGAAACAAAAUUUGGACAUAGUGUGAUUUAAUGCCAUAAAGGGGCAUAGAUGUACAUGAUGUAUGAUAUAGUAAGGUAAUGUCAUAAAGAGACAUUAGGCUUGAAAUACAUAUGGACUUAGUAAAGCUAAGGUCAAUGACAAAGAAUUUAUUGAACGGUUGAAUCUUCACUUUGAGACAUUGAACUAGAUCUUUGAGAUGCUAGUGACUUUUACCAUGUUAGAGACAUGAUGAUUGGACGUUUGAGAUGUUGACUACGCUUGCUUGCCAUUUGUGCUCAUUCGCACAUGCUUGUGAAGGUCGCUCCCUACAAGCCGGCACUCCGGAGUUGGCCUACGUGACUUAUGCUCACUCGUGCGGUAUCGAGAAACCUACGGGGUCGGGAGGGAUAGACUCAUUCCUAGAGUGGGAAUGCUGGAGCUACCACUGACACUUAGGUGGCAGAAGCUGGACUACAUUUAUGUAGGUCCUAGAACAUGAUUAAAUAAUGACAUUGAAUCGAAAAAUGACAAUCACUAUUAGAUAGUCUUAGUAGUUUGAUUAUUUUGACAUGCUUAUAGCAUAGUGUUGGGACAUGUAGUAUACAUGAUAGUCUUAUUUGUUGCAUUAUAGUAUACUUGGCUGCCAUGAUAGAGCAUAUUCAUCAUGUAUUGAUAUAUUUGAUCAUGAUACCUACUUGCUCGUUAUGUUGGGACAUAUUAGUCAUGCUUGGACAUACUUCAUUUUGAUAAAAUAAAUGUACAACACAUUGACAUCAUGUUUAUUUGCGACAUAGUAGCUUGGCAUUUUAUUUAUGCUUUCAUAAAUGCAAUCUAUUUAUUAUUAUUGUUGCUUUUUCGACUUACCCCAUUUCUUUUGGAGCCUAGUGGUGCAUUGAGCUGAGGUCAGUAAUUGCCCACUGGGAACUAUAAAUUAUAGUUCUCACGCCCUCUGUUUCAUGUUUUUGUUUCAGAGCCUUCCACGCCGGGAGAGGCUAGGGACCGCAGAAAGGGAAUUGCCUUGAGCUAGCUUGCUUUGAGGGAUGCGUCGAUAGGUGCUCUACCUCUCAUUAUUUUCUUUUGGAGAGGUUGAGAGUUGUAUCCAUGUAUAAAGACCACCCCUUUUGUACCUUUUUGGAGAGGAUUAUUUGUAUAACUCAAUAUUUUACCUUUAUUUUUUAGUUAUGCUUUAUUUACUUUUGUUAUAAAUGAUAGAUGUAUACUUGCUCUGAUAUCUCUAGUUGUAGAUCAUCUUUGGUUUUAUUUUUCGCUGUUGUUGUAGACGCCUUAUAUGUGCUGACAUAUGGCGGGUCUGGGCGCGCUACCGGGAGGGCCUCCGCCGGUCCCGAGGCGUGACAGAUUAGUUUAGUAUCAGAGCCUAGGGUUGAGUCUUAGUGGACCUAGCAAACCUUAGGCCAGUUGGACUAUAGGAAAUAGGCUCGUGAGAGACGAGGUCUAUUUGAUUUGUGCGCGAAAGUAUUAUGAUUGAGUUUUAUGAUAACUCUAAAAAAAUUGGAGUUGGAUCGGAGUGUAUGGCUUCUAACUUCGCGGAGGGUUUGGCGGCCGACAACGAAACAUCGGGAGUUAGUUGUGGAUAACACUUUCUUACUUUCGCAUGAUUUGGGUAUUGUUUAUUUGAGCGGGGAUUCGACAGCGUGGGUUUACUAACUUAAGCUUUUAUGAUCUUGUAGUGACGAUGCCGAUUACAUGCUCUCAAUCUGCUGUGGCGGAUAAUGCGGCACAUCUCGAGGAGGCCGAGACUUCCGCUACAUCCGGAUCCAGCGAGGUCCGUGAGUUGAGGGGCCAGCUUGCAACCCUCACUAAUUUGGUGACGCAGCAGGCGGACGCAGCACGCCGGCAGGAGGCGCGAAUGAAGCGCCUGGAGGACCUUCUGCUGCAGCAGGCGGCUGCCAGGGAGACUCAGAUCCUUACACCACCCGCACCAAUGGAGGUGGUUGCGCCCAGGUGUCAUCCCCUGCACUCGACGCUUCUAGGACGGCACCAGCGGCGGCACCUCGGGAGGAGGACAUCGUGGCACCACCAGCGCGAGCACCUGUAGCGGGGGCGGUUUUCCCCGUGAUGGUUGAGGGAGCUGAGCGGGAUCAGCUCAUGGAGUGCCUUAGUGAGUUCAGGCGAUGCAGUCCACGGACCUUCGACGGGGAGAACGUGGACCAUUAGAUAGUAGAGAAAUGGCUGAUGCAUAUGGAGAAGCUGUUUCGAGACACCUUUGUCGAGGAGAGGGAACGAGUGUGGCUCGCCACACAUCAUUUGGACGGCGAGGCCUACAGAUGGUGGUUGGACAUCCAGGACAACCCCAGCAUGGAUCUUACGGCGAUUUCAUGGAGAAGGUUCAAGGAACUCCUACUGGAGCAUUACUUCCCUGACAGUGUCAAGAGGAAGAUGGAGCAGGAUUUGCGCAAUCUGCGCCAGGGGGACAGGACGGUGGCCGAGUAUGAGAGAGAGUUCUCCCGACUUCUUCAUUCAUUCAUAGACCGGCUGUUUGCCGAGUUGCAUGGCAUUCCACUGACAUAUUUGUUAUAUCCGGGACGAGUUGUAGUACCCGAUCACUCUUUGGAUAUUCGAGAGUUUUGCCCCAGUUGCCCUGUUCGGGUUGGAGAUUGGAUCAUGCCCGUGGACUUGCUAGCUUUGCAUAAACUCGGAGUGUUUGAUGUUGUUUUGGGCAUAGACUGGUUGACCAAGUACUACGCCACUAUCGAUUGCAAGAAUCGAACUGUGACGUUUAGAGAGCCGGGGCAGGCGGAGGUUGUGUACCGAGGAUACCAGAGUUCACUGUUUGCGACGAUUAGCUCCUCUCGAGCUAGACAGUUGAUCAACAGAGGCUGCGUAGCCUAUUUGGCUACUGUUGUGUUGCGGGGCGAUACAGACGCCCAUAGGAUUGAGAAUAUCCCCGUAGUACGGGAGUUUGGAGAUGUAUUUCCAGCAGAGCUUCCAGGCAUGCCACCUGAUAGGAAGAUUGAGUUUGUGGUAGAUCUCGUCCCCGGGACUACUCCAAUCUCAAAGGCGCCCUAUAGAAUGGCACCAGUGGAAUUGAAGGAGCUGAGGGCACAGUUGCAAGAUCUUCUGGACAAGGAUUUUGUGCGACCGAGUGUGUCACCUUGGGGAGCAUCGGUCCUAUUUGUCAAGAAGAAGGAUAGAUCACUUCGCUUGUGCAUGGAUUAUCGUGAACUCAAUAAAGUCACGAUCAAGAACAAGUAUCCAUUGCCGAGGAUCGAUGAUCUUUUUGAUCAGCUUCAGGGAUCUAGUGUGUACUCCAAGAUCGACUUGCAGUCAGGAUACCACCAGUUGAAGAUCAAGCCUGAGGAUGUGUCGAAAACGACCUUUAGAACACUGUAUGGACAUUAUGAGUUUACAGUUAUGCCGUUUGGGCUUACGAAUGCCCCGGCAGCUUUUAUGGAUUUGAUGAACCGUAUUUUCAAGCCUUAUUUAGACAGGUUUGCCGUGGUAUUCAUCGACGACAUUUUGGUCUAUUCCUGAAGUGAUGCGGAUCACGAGGAACAUUUGAGGCUAGUACUUCAAGUGCUUCGGGAAAGGAAGCUCUAUGCCAAGUUGAAAAAGUGUGAGUUUUGGCUUAGAGAUGUGACGUUUUUUGGCCAAGUUGAGAUUAAUGGCGUUAGUGGUGCAACCUACCUUAUUGGAAAGGAUAAAGGAAAAGCAAGUUCACGAUGUGGAAUUGCAAAAGAUUCGAGCUAAGAUGGUUGAUGGUUACACCGGUGAUUUCCUUGUGGACGACCAAAGGUUGUUACGUUUCCGCGAGCGAAUUUGUGUGCCGGCGGAGUCGGGGAUUAAAGAGGACAUUCUUCUUGAAGCUCACCGUGCACCCUAUGCUCUACAUCCGGGAGGUACAAAGAUGUACAAGGAUUUGAAGCUAUUGUAUUGGUGGCUCGGAAUGAAAAAGGACGUUGGCGAGUUUGUAGCUCGUUGUUUAACUUGUCAACGAGUGAAAGCUGAGCACCGACUACCGGCGAAAAAACUUUAGAGUUUGUCGAUCCCUGUUUGGAAGUGGGAAAAGAUCACCAUAGACUUUGUCAUGGGAUUGCCUCGCUCACAGGCCGAGCAUAAUGCUAUUUGGGUGAUCGUGGAUAGGUUGACGAAAUCAGCUCAUUUCAUUCCUAUUCACACGACUUGGUCAGGAGAGAGACUUGCACAGGUAUAUCUUGAUAAGAUUGUGCGACUUCAUGGAGUGCCUGCUUCAAUAGUAUCUGAUCGAGAUUCUCGAUUUGUAUCUCACUUUUGGAGGAGCCUGCAGGAUGCAUUAGGCACUUGUUUGGACUUCAGCAUUGCUUUCCAUCCUCAGAGUGAUGGGCAAUCUGAGUGUACUAUUCAGACUCUCGAGGAUAUGCUUCGAGCGUGCGUGAUAGGCUUUCAGGAAGGAUGGUCACAGCACUUACCCAUAGCAGAGUUUGCUUAUAACAAUAGUUACUAAGCAAGCAUCAAGAUGGCACCUUUCGAAGCACUUUAUGGACGGAAGUGUAGAUCGCCUCUUCAUUAGAGUGAAGUUUGCGAGAGAUUUGCUUUAGGCCUUGAUGUGCUCUAGGAAGCAGAGGAUAACGUUCGCCUCGCUUGAAAGCGUUUGUUGACAGCUCAAAGUAGACAGAAGAGUUAUGCCGAUAAGCGUCAACGAGACUUGGAAUUCCAAGUUGGAGAUCAUGUCUUCUUGAAAGUCUCACCGACAAAGGGGAUUAGAAGAUUUGGCAUUCGGGGUAAGUUGAGCCCCCGGUUUAUUGGACCUUAUGAGAUUUUGGAGCGUGUAGGCCCGGUAGCGUAUCGACUUGCUUUACCAUCGAAGCUAUCGGGAGUGCACAAUGUAUUUCAUAUUUCGAUACUCCGAAAGUACAUCUUCGAUCCGGCUCAUGUUUUGGAUGCUAUACCAUUGGAGCUGAGAGACGACUUGAGCUUUGAAGAGCAACCUGUGAGGAUCUUGGCUCGCGAGGUGAAGAAACUUUGGAAUCGUGAUAUUCUGUAUGUGAAGGUCCUUUGGAGCAACUACGAUGAACGCGAGGCCACGUAGGAGUUGGAGAGCGCACUGCAGGAACGCUAUCCCCAUCUUUUUUAGAUAGAGUCUUGAGGUAUCUUGCUUUCUAGUUUCGCGGACGAAACUCCUUUUUAGGAGGGGAGAAUGUAGCAUACUGAACUUUAGCAAAUUGCAAGUUUCUAGUGUUCGAAUAGUGAUUUGUACUAUCCUUGGUAUUCUUGAGGUUCGUUGACUGUGUUUCGACCAAUUACUCAGGUCUUGAGGUGCGAGGAUGAGUACUUAGCACCAAAACCUCCAAACUGCAGGUUUUGGGGUGCUAGGUACCGGUACCAGAGGGAGGUACCGGAACCCCGUCGCAUAACCGAGAGGGCUGCUAUCGGGUUUGAGCUCUACGAGGCAAAGUACCGGUACUGCAUCGCCCGAGUACCGGUAUUGGGGCUUGGUACCAGUACUGCAUCGCGGGGUUACUGGUACACUGCAAUCUGUCAACUUGACAGAGGCUCGGGUUUACGCGUUCGGCUGCGAGGUACCGGUACUCCAGCGCCCGUACCGGUACGCAGUGCAGUUGUAGACCGCAUAUUUUUUAGGGGUCUUUUUGGGAUUGUAGCAUCUCUAUUUAUAUUCCCACACCCUCAUGAGGGGUUUCCUAUGCUGGAAACCAGAGAAAAGAGGUAAGGAGCUCAUUCCCAUCCUCUCUUUGAUUUUCCUUCUCUUUUUGCAUGAUUUUUGGUAGAUUAAUCUCCUCUUUUUGCUUCUUCUUUAUGGGGGUUGCUAUUUGGACCUUGGAGAGAAGGAUUAGAGCUUGUUUGAGAGAAGAACUCUAGCCCUAGCACCAUUCUAGCUUGGUUUGAAGCUUAAAGAGAGAUCAGUAGUUUUGAUCUCUUCUUUGGAUCAUGCCUUGUUGGAUUUUGGAGAUGAAAACCUAGUUUGGAAAAUUAGGGUUUCUUUUGGGGUUUUUCUUGGUAGAGCCUUAGGGGCUUAAUUGAUGGUUCUUAUGCCUUCCUUUAGGUUAGAUUAGAAGUGUUCUAGCUCUCUUCUGGAGUUUGGAAGAGUUAUUCACCAUAUAAGGUAAUUUUCUACCUAUUUAUCGGUUGAAUUUUGUGGAUCUUGUGGGAUGUUCGUUCGAAACCCCUAACCCGCUUAAAAUUUUUGUUAGGGAGUUAGGAAACUAGUGGGCAUCCUCGUUCGCGCAAACGAAGGGGAUUCGAGGGGUAUCCGGUGAGUUUGACCUCAUCGAAAUGGAUGAAUUCCUCCUAUGUCAUUAUCUUUAUUGUAAAAUAGAAAAUCAUGCAUAUUCAUACUAGAUAGAGUAUAAAUGAAUUUUUGAAUGCUUAAAAUGCAUAUGUUAUGUAUCAUGCUUUAUAAUCUCUAUGUAGUAGAGAGACAAAUAUAUAGUAAACUUGCAUGUGAAUGGCACUCCUUACCUAUGGUUGGAAUCAUGUUUCAUUUAGUGAGAAUGACAAGUUGUGCAUGCUCUUGGACAUAGAACUUAUGCUUGACAUAGUAAACAUUAAUGUCAUAUAGUGACACUUGACUUAGUAAUUGGUUAAACCUCUACAUGAUGACAUAGUGAUAGACCGUUGGGUCAUUAGUAUUUAUACCAUGUUUUAGAUAUGAUAAUAGUGGACUUGGGACGGAUGAUUAUGCUUGCUUGCCAUUGUGCUCAUUCGCACAUGCUUGUGAGGGUCGCUUCACAUAAGCGGGCACUCUGGAGAGAGCGAACGCGACACAAGCUCGCCCGUAUGGGAUUGGGCGCCGAAAUGGGAUGCCGUAGGGGAGGCUCAUUCCUAGAGUGGGAAUGUUGACUACUAUGGAGCCAUUAGGCACGGCGCAAGCCGGACUACACUUGUGUAGAUCCUAGUUGAUUGGAGCAAUGAUAAAUAAAAGUGAAAUGUUGACAUCAUACUAGUUAGUGCAUACUAGUUGUACAUACUCAUUCAUGUUAGAAUAACACUUAUAUAUGUGAAACUUCAUGCUAAGUAGAGGCAUAGUAGUUAGUAAAUCUUAAUAUUCGCUCUUUAUACACGUUGCUUAUUUAGUUACAUCUUUAUACUACUUAUGCCUCCAUGACCUAGUGGUGUAUUUCACUGAUAUCGGUGGCUUACCCACUUGAAACUAUUGACUAAUAGUUCUCAUUCCCACUGUGUUGUUGUUUUUGUUUACAGAGCCUUCCACGCCGGGAGAGGUUAGGGACCGCGCCAAGGGAGUCGCCUCUAGCUAGACAUAUUGGAAAUUGUACUAGAUGGUCAUCUCUCUUUUUGUUUUAGUUCGAGAGAGAGAUUUUUGUACCCUUUGUGUAGAGGCCACCAUUUUUGUAUCUAGUGCUAUGUUUAUGAACCUUUGCUGUAUGUUUUACUUCAUGGAUUAUGAUAGUUGAUUAGCUCUUUUAUUUUCUACUUGUUUCUAGAAAUUAGUUGUAGCUAUGCUCUGAUAUUACACUAGUUGUUGUUAUACUCUUAUUUAUUUAUCAUAUUGUUGCAGAUGCCUUAUAUGUUGUCAGCAAAUGGCGGGUUUGGAUAUGCACCGAGCGGGCUUCCGCUGGGUCUCGGGGCGUGACACUUCACCAUACUUUUCUCCUCUCAUUAGGAAAAGUGAAAGAGAAGGAGAAAAGUAGUUCUCUCUCUCUUGGAUUUUCUCUCCCAAUCUCCUCUAAUACUUGGAUUGUCUUUCUCUUCUCUUCAUCUUCUCCAUGGGUGCUUGCAUCUAAGGCUUGGAGGGAAGCUUGAGCUUGAAGAAGAGACUUCACUACAACAAAAACGGUCUAUAGCGACACUUUUAAAUGUCGGUAUAAGUUAAAAAAAGUGCUACUGGCUAAAUUACCAACACUUUUAAAAAGUGUUGCUAUAUAUGGGGUCGCUAGGUAUAUAGUGACAAAGUUAAAGAGUGUCGUUAUAAUCUAAAAGAGUGCUGCUAAUUUACCAACAUUUAUUUAAGCAUUUAGCAACCGCUGGAACUCUACCUCGUUGGCUGCGGUGGCAGAGGAGGAUGAGAGGAAGGGAUCUACGUCUAGGAUUUCAGUCAAUUGAGUGAGGGGAGAAGGGGAAAUAAUAAUUGAUUUUUCUUUUCUUUUUCUUUUCUGUUUAUAAUCGGGCCGAAUGGACUGGGUGGGGUGCGUUGAGUAGAGUAUCCUUUUAUUUUAGUUGGAUUGGACUUUAUAUUUAGGUAUUAGUAGGUUUUAUUUUAAGUUUUGGCAUAAAUGUGACACUUACACAAAAGUGUCCCAAACAUGUGUCCCUAUAACCUAAUUCUGUUGUAGUGCUUGUUUGUGGCCUAAGUUUCAACCCAGCAACUCUAAUUUGAGAUUAGAGCUGUAAGGACUGAGAUUUUGGCAGUGUAGCUAAACUCUCUGUUGACGAUGUUUUUGUGUAUAAUGUAAUUACAUAAGCACUCGUCAAGUUUCAGGAGAAACUGAGCUAAAACGGAGAAGCUACGCGAUUUUUAGUUUUCACUUAAGUGAAUAGUAACUCCGAUUUUCUGGAGAAGCGAAUGAGUGAAGAUGGCUUCUGGCGCAUAUUGGACUCCGAUUAUACUGAUCCAAUAGCUUGUUUUGAACGGUUUAGCUAUUCUGGAAUCAAUGGCGUUGACGGAUUUCAGAUCUGAUAUACAGUUUUCGAGAAAAAGGGGUUUGAUUGGAUUUAUAUAUAUAUGUAUGUAUAUAUAUGUGUUUUAUAGUGGAAACAUUGAGGGUGGGUUUCGUCGCAAAUCGACGACCAAAUUGGAUCAAACAAAAUGCUAGGUUCGAUGCCCCAGUCGUGCUGAACGCGUUGGUGUGAUCGAUUCGGAAAUCCGACGGACGGAUCUUCGGGAAUCACGAGAUAUUCGAUAAGGGGUCAAAUUGGCAAAAACAGAAUUUCGCGAAAGGUCCAAUUUUUUAUAUACCAUUUUGUGUGAUUUCAAACGUCGAGGUGCGGGCAUGCAGAGUGCACGUGCCAUCAAGGCUGGGCCAUAAGGGAGGGGUUUUCUGCAAAUUGUCCAUAGUAUAUAUAUGGGCAGCUCGGGUUUUCAUGCACAGACCCUAGCCCUAGCCGUCCUAUCACCUCCCAGCUAACCCAAGCUGAUCUCAGCCCUUUCCUGCCCUCGUCGUGCUCGCGCCCCGGCCGCCGGCAAGCUGCUCCGGCCGCCGGAAGACCCUCGCUCUGGACUCGCUAGCAUUGGAAGCCCAAGCUCGGGUAUCCCGUCGUCGUCUGGCUGCCGGCGUCCUCCCGCGCGCACCCCCGCCGUCCCCGCGCGCCGCCGGCCGCGAUCCGAGCUCCCUGUGGCCGCCCAGACUUGGUGCGAGCCGAGGCUGGGCUUCCCUCCUAUCCGCGCGUCGCCGCCGCCCACAGCGGGGAGCACCACCCUUCGCACGGCCUCCAGCGACGGAUCGCCGUCGCCCCGAGCUCCUCCGGCCGCCGCUGGGCCGCUACGGACCACUUGAACCCGAGAGCAAGCCGCGGCUUGAUCUCCUCCGCCGUGCCACCGGCCACCACCCGCCGCAGGCCGGCACCUACCCCGGACCUCUCCGACUAGACGCACCCUUCCUCGGCCGGAUCGCCCGCCGCCCGGCCGCUGGUGACCAACCCUAGCUCCACUACCUAGGUAAGGCUGUAAUUUUGUCGACAGCACUGUAGUUUGGAGUUUCGGUCACCUUUUCGGUGAUUCGAGGACACUUCGACACCCCGGGAAGUGAGCACGAUAAUCUUGGAUUCGUGCUGAACAUCGUGCUCACCUCCGACAGGGUCAAUGAUGCCCUGGUUAGCGAAUUAGACGCGAUCUUAGCGCUGUGCGCGCUGUUUCGCUUAUUUCCGCAUCGCUCGUGCGCAUGCCACAGUGGCCGGCAGUGCUCUGAAAGGUGAGCAUGACCUCUGGCACAUCGAGACCUGUUAGAUGGUGUCUCGGUUUGGCUGAUUGACCUCUGGUUUGCGUAGACGGAGCAUAAAAGCCCAGAAAUCACAUAAAAUAAUGUGAUUUUAUGCAUUUGGGAGGGCUUUUAUGCAAUUAUGGUUAUUAUAGUAGCUGUUGGCAGCAUGUGUGGGCAGAGGGUAAUCUCUGGACUGAUUGUCCAAGGCCCCAGGCCUGUAUGGGAAUCGAAAAGUGAUUUCCGGUGCGUUUUUCAGCGAAAUCCGCCGACGGAACGCGUUUUCGGUUCGAAAUUCUUCCGACGGUGCUUCAUGAUGAUUUGUGAUGUCGCUAAGCCUUAUUGGCUGGUCACUCGCAUCGUUUCGAGGGUCCGAAAAUGACGGGUGAGUGACAGUGGGUUCCGGUGUCGAAUUGGACACUUCCGGGAACCCGGAUCGGAACGAUUACCCGAUGAUAAUCGUUUCGGAGCGAGUUAGUGUUCUUGCUGCCAAGUGACAUGAAAAUAUGUGUUUAGUGGCAGCGGGUGACUCGUGGUAUGAGUCUGUGCAUUCCGAGACAGUUCGUGGGUCCCGGCGGAGUCCCGGUACGAUUUUCGGGACUUCCGGCGAGUUACGGUAGUCGGUUUGGGAAACCGAUCUCCGUGGGAUUGUUUGUGGGGUUGUGGAUUCAGUGGUUAUUAGUUGUGGGUUAGAUACUAACCCGUUGGACCCUCCUUAGGUCCGGUUGACGUUCUUUCGCAGCCAGGAGACAUGCGUGACAUUCUUACAGGUGGGUACUUCGAUCCGAGGUCGGUACAGUGGUGCACGCUCGGUGAUAUCCUUCUACCCUAUUCUCCUGUUGUUACUAUUGCAUAGUAUACGUUGAGCCUUGCAUCGACGUUAUUUUAUUAUACUCUACUUAGUUAUUUGCAUGUAUAGUGGCAUGAGUAGGAGUAGAGUAGUUGAUCUACAUGUGAUACAGUGACCUGGUUGGUCGGUUCUCGUACUUCGUAUCAGUGACCUAGUUGGUCGGUUCUCGUACUUUGCAUUAGUGACCUAGUUGGUCGGUUCUCGUACUUCGUAUCAGUGACCUUGUUGGUCGGUUGGACCCUAUGAUGACCUAUACGGUCAGUGUGCCCCGAGUGGGCAGGAUUGUCGGCUGGUUGUCGACGGUUGGCUAUUGAGCAUUCAGCAUGGAUCGCAACUGCUUGUACGCAUUUCACGAACACCAGCGGUCUGAUCCACCGCAAGAGGGUGUUCUUUUCCGGAGAAGUGGUUGGGAGUGCCAUCCCGUGAGACCCGAGCGCUUUAUGCAAGGGUUAUAUGCUUUCUGACCCGGGUGCUUUAUGUGAGGGUCAUGUACUUUCAGACCCGGGUGCUUUAUGCGAGGGUCAUAUACCUUUCAGAGCCGGAUGCUUUAUGCGAGGGUCAUAUACCUUUCGGAGCCGGAUGCUUUAUGCGAGGGUCAUAUACCUUUCGGAGCCGGAUGCUUUAUGCGAGGGUCACGUAUGGUUGAGCAAUUGUGGCACAGGCUUGAGGUUUUGCGGACCAAUAUGGCUGUUCCAGAUUGGGUAUAUUUGAUAUACACGUCCGGUUGACGCAUAUGACUAUAGUAGCGGUAGUUUCAUGCAUAUUUAUAGUUCUUUCAUACAGUUGUAUUGCUACUAUAGUUUUGAUGUCCUUGUAUGCUUUUAGUUCUUCGUUAUAGUAGCGGUAGUUGUUCUUUUAUAUAUACAUAUCUUAUUCGUUAAUUAUUAUUGCUACUAUAUUUUACUUACCCAUACUGCUGUUUAUCUCUUCCUGAUCCAGUGAGUACUCCUCGCCUUCGUCGGCUUGCGGUACCCACUGGGAGGGGAGACAUGUUUACAUGUUCUCACCUCCCCCACCAUUUUUUUGAGGUAUUGCGGGCGGUGAGGGUUGAGACGAGACGUGAGACACGUUCGUAGCAGUCGAUAGAGCUUCCGACCCGGUUUGUUCGGUUUAGUUGUUAUCCCCUUUAUUUCUGUUGAUAUAACUUAGACAGCUAAUAUGGUUCAGUAUUUCAUUACGUUUUAACAUUCAAGAUUUCAGUUGGUUUUCUGAAUUUAAUAAAGAUUCGUGGAUUUUUUUAAAAUGGAAAGAUUUUCUACCUCUCGUGGUAGCGAGUUUCAAAAAAAAAAAAGAUUUUCGUGUGGAAAAUAGUUUUAAAGGGUUUUCUAGUGGUUUUUGUAACUUAGUACUUCAAAACCAGUUUCCGGGUAGGAAACGUUUUAACUAAUAGUUGUGGUUUUAUGUUUAAACAAUGAAUGGUAAAUCUGUGGUGAAUGGUGAAUGAAUAUUGAAUGUUGUAUAUUCAUUAUGGUGGUUGUACUCUGUUUGGACAUUUUGUACUUGUGCGACGCCAUGCAAAUACAGGGAAGACUCUGUCCGUGUGAACAGUGGAUUCUUUGUAUUUGCGGCGGAUCUGGCAUACUCUGGGGAGUUAGGUUUUCAAAAAAAAUUUAGGGCACUUCCGCUAUAUUUUCAAACUAAAAGGGACCCCGUGGCGUGACAAGAGCUCUACUCGAGGUUAGCAAUCUCCCUUUAUCCUCUAUUUGAGAGGAUUGUGGAAGUUUUAGUAUAAAACCUAGUUUGUAGAAACUAAGGUUUAUUUGGGGGUUUUCCAAAUGUGGGCUUUUGGGAUGAAAUUGAUGAGUGUUGAUCACUCUUUUAGGUUGGAUUUGAAGUCCCAUUCUCUUGGUUUUGGAGUUUGGACAAAUUUUCUUGAUCCAAGGUAAUUUUCACUUAUUUUUUCAAUGAAUUUUGGUGAAUUUCGUGGCGAGAUUUUUCGAAGCUUGUAACCCUUUGGAAAUUUUUCUUAAGGUCCAAGAAUUCUAGAGGGAAACUUUGUUUUCGAAACGAUUGAGCUUUCGAUGGUUAUCCGGUGGGUUUGACUUCACCGAAAUAGGUGAAUUAUCCCUAUGUCUCCUAUCUCAUUUAUGAACUUAUUGGAUGGUUUAGCAUACAAUUGAAGACAACAUUGAAUUUUUGGGCACAUAAUCCGGAUACAUUUUGCAUGAAGAAUUCUACCCUCUACGUGUACAGGUAUUCAUGUAAAAUGACAUGCAUGUAAGACAUAGAUGUAGUCAAUAGCAUGGUUUAAUUAACCUUUGUACAUAUUAUUUUUAAGUUACUCAUUGUGAUCAUACAUGAUUAGUGAAGCAAAUUACUUGUUAGAACGAGAACAACAAAUCAUGCAUACUAGUAUAGUUAUGAUGAAAUAUGGCACUUUGCAUGUUAGAGACAUGUUGUAAUAAUUAAGUACAUUGUGCUUAACCUAGUAAAAUGACAUUAUGACAAUGUACUCGACCUCUAUGUCAUUAAUGAAAAUUCUAUAUUUUAGACAUGAUGAAUGAGGUUCUAAUUCCAUAUUUUAGACAUGAUGAAUGAGGUUUUGUACGCAUUCGAUCACGCUUGCUUGCCUUUGUGCUCAUUCACACAUGCUUGUAAGGGUCGCUCUCUACAAGCCGGCACUCUGGAGUUUAGCUUUGUGACUUAUGAUCGCCUGUGUAGGAUUGGGUGCCAAAAUAGAUUGCCGUGGAAAAGGCUUAUUCCUAGAAGAGAUAUGUUGACUACCACGGGGCCACUAGGCACGACACAAGCUGGGAUGUUACCUCGUGUAAGCCCCAGUGAUUAGAUAUAAGAUAACUGAAUAUAACAUUAUAUAUUACAAUUUGAUGCAUUCGUGAUGAUGGACAUAUAUGUAAACCUUUGCAUUACUUGUACAUAUGAUAGCAGUAGAACUGCCUUCAUGUUAGUUGAUGACUAGUCUAUAUGAUAGUAGUAGAACUAUAUUCAUGGUAAUUGGCAUUGUAGCAUUAUUGCUUAGAGGCAUGAUAGUAUUAGAGCAUUUUAAAUUCAGCAAUUAUAGUAGCUUCCUUUUCAAUUAUUUACUAUAUUGCCUCUGUUGACCUAGUGGUGUAUUUCACUACUUUUGGAUGCUUAUCCACUGGAAACUAUUGUUUAAUAAUUCUUACCCCUAUUAGUUGUUUGUUUUUGUUUCAGAGCCUUCCACAGCGGGUGAGGCUAGGGAUACGACAACGGUUUAGCGACUAGCUAGAGCCACUUGGUGUUGCUAUAGGAGGACCAUGGCACCUUUUUUUUUUGGUUUUAGUAGUGAAAGGUGUAUUUUUGUUUAUAGACCACCUUGUACUCAUGAAAUGUACCUUUUGUAUUUAAUUUUUAGUAUAUCUUUGUCUGCCACCACGAAUGACGCACCUCGCACGGUCGAUGGAUAUGCCGUGGGAUAGUAUUCAUUAUUCAGAUUAGUAUUAGAUGUGUAUGGAUAUCAGGUAUUGCGGGUCCAUGUCUUCCAAUAGAUGCAAGCAUUUACUGUUAAUUACCCCCUAGAAAUUGAGGCACAUUCGAUUAAGAGACCUUUAUAGAGUGGAUGGGAUGAAUUGUAUCUUGAUUUAUUGAUUGAUUGAACCCUAAGUAUAUGUAUUAGGAUUUAGUUGGAUUUGAAGUUGACCAGGUCCUAAGUAUAUGUGUUAAGACCUAGUCGACAUUAAACUCUAAGUAUAUGCAUUAGAGUCUAAUUGGCUCUAAGUAUAUGUCUUAGAGUCUGAUUAUAUUCACCUUGGUUGUAUAUUCCAAGGUGGAGAUGUGACCAAACCCCAAGUAUAUGUAUUGAGGUAGGUCGUAUUUGAUAUUACCCGAAGGUAGAGAGUGGCUAAUUCCUAAAUGUAUGUAUCAAAAUUAACCGAGUUUAAUAUAUUUUCCACUCUAGUUAUAUGUGCUAGAGUGAGGAUCUGACAAAGUCCUAAGGUAUUGCGUUAGGGUUCGUCAGAUUUGAUUUGCGUAAGCUCUAAGUAUCUAUAACCUAUAUGAAGCUAUAAUAUUUUUUGCCACGUGGCAUGUUACCUUUAAUUCUCAUAGCCUCACUUUAAAUCAAACCACUCUUCUCUAAAUUGAAUCUUUCCCGCCGUUUCUCCUCUUCUCAACGUCCAACUCUUCACCUCCCCCGUCCUCUAAUUACAUGCAAGGUGCAAUAUUUAAUUACAUGCACCAUAUUAAUAUUCUGUCAAUGAGUGGGCUUUGUAACUUUAAUCCACUCCUCUCAUCCAUUAAUCCCCUACCCCUCUCUUUUAUAACUCUUUUGCAUGUACCAUAAAAAAAUAUCAGCGUCUAAUCUCCCACCCCACACUCAUCUCUCUUUUUCUCUCAUUGUGUUAACGAAGAUAAUGCGGACGAAGAAGAAGAAUAAGAAGAAGGAGAGCCUGUGAAGAACGUUGUCUCCUUUGAGAAGCAUCGUCCCGUGUAGCUGAGCUGCGGCCUAUAUAAGUGCCCGCUAAGCCGGUCCGUGCCGGGGCCCCCGCUCACCAUGAACCGCCGCCGCCCCGGCUGCCUCCUCGCGUGGCUCAUGUGUGCCCACAACUGGGCCGAGACGAGCGGCGUCCUGAGCCUCCUCGCAGGAGCUCGCUUCUUGAGGAUCGUAGGAACUUCUUGGUAAAUCUAAAUUGUUUGAGAAUUUGAAUUUCUGUGGUUGAUGUGAUGGCAAGACUAUGUCGGUUUAGAUAUUACAGUUUGGUGAUACAAAUGAGGUGUUUGUUUAUAGGUCGCAAUGAAAAUCCAGAAGCGACUCGGCAUGGGGAGCAACUCUUAGCUAAAAAUUAAGAAGAUGUAUGAUGUUUGGUUAAGCAAGUUCGCAUGGUUGAAGAAGUACUCAUAUUAGUUUUUUUUAUUUAUGUUUUUGUUUUAUUUUUAUCCUAUGACCAUUUUUUUGAGUAGGCGCUGUUAUGGGCAAAGUCCCUUUCGUAGAUUAAGAAGUAUGAUGUGGAGACUGGAAUCUGAAAUCUCACCCAAAUUUAUUUAAGCCAUAUACGUUAACUUAUUAUUUAUGUGUUUUAUAUCCUUAAUCUGUUUUGAUACUUGGACAAAGGUGCUUGAUUCAGCUGAAGCUAGCUCUUUUUUUAUCUUUCACAACGAAAUGAUCAAGAGGCAUAUAAUACGAUAAAAUUGUAUGUCUCUUAUUAUAUUUCGAUGAUUUAAAAAAAAUUAUAUAAACUUACUUUUCUUCUCUAGCCACUUUUCUUACUUAAUACAUUCUUUCUUUGUGUCGCACGUUACAGUAGAAAAAGCAUUUGACUUUGUAUUUACCACCAAAAUUAUAUAUCCUAGCUGAUGGAUUAGCUUUCGGCAUCUUCAUGAAGGGUCCUCCCUUACCUUUUUCAACUUUGGAAGUAUAAUAAGAGAAAUGUGCACUUUGCACUCUCUCUCCUUUAGUUCUCUUUUUUUUUUGAACAUACAUUAACAGUAGGUCAUUAAUAGACCAUUUCUCCUUCUGUGUUUUAUAGAAGAUCUUAAAAAGACUGCACUCAGUCGGUAGGGAAUUUAAUAUAAUGUGAACAAAAAAAGUUUGAGAAAUAGUAAACUCCAUCUUGUUCAACUGAAAAGUAAUAUCUUUUAUCUACAUAAUGUGCUCACGAAUGCUCAUUGAGCCCGAGUAUUUCACGGAAGCCAUCUUAGACAAUAGGGUGCUUGCUUUAGCUUUGUCAAAAUUGACAAACUGAUCCUCUAUGGCCUUUACAAAAUUUUUAGCUGUUGCGCAAAUGGGAAUAGAGCCACAAAUAUUCUUGCCAAUAUGAACCUGCAUAAGCAUGAAGCUAAGCCUAUUCGAUUUCUCUCAUAUCUCAUGAAAGGCUUUUUCACCAUCAAUGCUUUUAGCAUUAAGUGGAGAUGGUUUAUCCACUCGAAAAACCAAGUUGAAAUCCAUGCACCCUAAUAUAAACAUCAUUUAUUCUUUCCAUUUAAAAAAAAUUGGAUCCAUUUAAGGAAUGCGAUUGCCAUUAUCCAUCAUAGCAGAUGUAGGAAUAACUGCAAAUAAAUAAACAUACCCACAUUAUGUAAUAUACCGAAUCUCUGAGUUACGAUGCUAACUUUGAUCUAAUUGAUCAAAGUGAGGCAUGAGCGUGAUGUGUGACGUCCCCGAUCAUUUUGGAAGCGUGGGGAUGAUUAGUUGUGAAUUUCGGAUGUAUUUAUGUGUUUUCGGCUCAAACUGGGCGCGAAAAUAGAUCCUGGAACUCUGCUGCUGUGAGACUGCAGCUAAGGCAUUAAGUGUUAGAUGUAUUGUCACGCCCCCGCCCCGAGGCCGCUAUCAAUUUCGUCCGGUCCGGGCGCGGCGGACGGAAGCCGAACGGACAGGACCUCCCCUGUCCGCCCAAGGUCAAACAACUAGAUCAAGUACAAUUAAAUGCCCAGGAAAUGCUUAAAUAACAUACAUGAUCAAUACGAUGCACACAAGUGCACUAUAACUAAGAGCAAGAACCACGAGUGCAUAUACAAGUGUAUAAAGAGAGAUUGUCUAACUAUUACAACCAUUCAAUAGUUACAUCAUUUGGUUACAUUAUAUUUUCAUCUUCCAAAAUGUAAAUACAUGUUUUUCCCAAAAUACAAGUAGCUCUCCAUGUCUAUCCAAAAUAUACAUCUUCUAGUACACGAGGGUACUCUAUAUGCAAAAGGAAAGCUACUAACUACUCACUUAGGGCGCUAUGCCCUUGCCGCGAUCCUCGCUCGGCUAGCCCCUGUGUGUACCUGUACCCCAAAACCACAUAGGGUGAGAACUAUCUAAAUAUAGUUCCCAGUGGGUUCGGCCGCCGACUCCGCCGAUUUUCCCAUUAGGUCUAAGCUGGCACAGAUAGGGAGAUAGAUAGAUAUAUAGAGAAAUGAACUGCAACUACUCUAUCAUGCCACCAAUGAUAACGAUGCAUGCAACAACUACUAUCAUGCUAGUAUCAUAUCAUGAGUAUAGCAAUGCAAUCUACAACAUACACUAUGUCUACUCAAGGUAAUAACGCAAGUCUACUAUGCAUUUCAUGUUUAUUACCCAAUCUACUUGACUAACCCGUAGGUUAAACCCUCGACUCACUCUCAAUCUUAUAGGUGAGGAGAAGCUGCACUCGCACACCGAGACCGUCUGCGGGACAACUACGUCUGCCCCUAGUGAAGUACUCCGGAGACUUGUGCUUCGGUGGAGCGACCACCGACAAGCGAAAACAGACUAGUGAGUAUGAUCCAAUCCUCUCAAGAGGAUACCCUAUCAACAAGGGUCAGAGUGUCUCUGCUGCACCAUAUACAAUGCAUCCUAGAUGCCGGGAUCUCUACUGUCCUAAGGACCAUGUCAUGUUUACUAUACUAGACUCGAUGCCACUCGUUUAGUCAUUGUAGUAAUGUUCUUUAACUAGUUGACAUGCCACUCGUCCAAUUAGUGUUUCUACUACACUAGUUCAAUGCCACUCUACUAGGCUAUCAUAUGUCCAAGUUCGGCUCUUUAUGUCAUUAUAGGAUUUCCAUGUCGCAAGACCCAAUCCUCAUGCUACCCUAGUCCAUGAGUCCAACUCAUAGUUACACUACUAAGAAGCAUGCAAGGAAUUAGAAUUUGCAACUAUCUACUAAUCCUAUAAUGCAAUAUGAUCAAGCAUAUAUAUAACUUAGACAUAAAAAGAAACCCGGAUGCUUCGGGAUGACACCCCCCACCUCUUGAGGGUACAAGGGUUCUAGAAAUGCCCUCGAACGGACUUUACGACGAGGCUUUAGCCUUCUUGGUCCAAAUGAAGCUUGGCCGGUCUUGUUUUGCCAAUAUCCUUUCACCCGCUUGACAAAUGAAAAAUCCGACUUCGCCUCUGCAUUUAGACACCUAGCAAUUAGGUUAGAGGAGGGUCAAAUGAGAUCAAUCCUCUACUUUUCCAAAAACCCUAAUUUGUGUGCCCUAGGGUUAGCACUAUGCAAACCCACUUCAAAACCUUAGGUUUCUAGCUCUAAUCCCACCAUUCAUGGUGCUAGAGAUCCAUUUGGCCUCAUCCCAAAGCCAAAACCCAAAAACCCUAAGUUUCAUAAGCUAGGGUUGGAAGCUUACCUCUAUGCUAGCUUCAAAGAGAGAAGAGAGGAAGAGGGAGAUGUCCAAAGCUUCCUCUAGCUUGAUCUCCUUCUUCUUCUCCUUCAUUUUCUUCCUUCUUUUCUUCUCAUUCUUCUUCUUCCUUCUCCCUUGUUCUCUCUCUUCUAGAGAGAGAAAGGGAGAAAGAGAGUGUGAGAGAAUGAGGGGGAAAUGACAGGGAAUGAGAGAGAGGAGGGGACCCAUACACCUCAUAUUGUAACAAUAUCCCAACAGCCCCCUCAACUUUUGCCUCUAUGCACUGCCUUUACUGGGCAUUCUGCGCGCGGAGGGACCGAUCUCCCCGACCUGGGACCGGUCCCCGAGAGCGGGAUUUUCAAGACUUAGCCAAAUUUCUGGCUUUCUCGCUGGGUUCGCGUUCGGGGACCGUGUAAUAUAUGGCAACUUGGAGUUGCGAUGUCAACUUUGAUCUAGGGGAUCAAAGUGAGGAUUGAGCUAGUUGGACAUCAUCCCCGAGUGAUUUGUGAUGCGUGUGAAUGAAUUCUGGAGAUAAAUAAGUAUUUCGGCACAAAUUGGGCGCGAAACAAAAUGUAAAGAAAAUUUACGGAUUUCCGACGCUAACUUUGAUUAAAAGAAUUAAAGUGAGCAAAAUAAUAUAAAAAUGGUGUGAGAUAAUAUUUUAUUAAACUUAAGGGUGUAAAAUAUAAGUUUGGAAUGACUCGUGUUGGAAUCGGAGCGAAAACAGAAGAUUUAGAAUUUUCUGUAAAGAACGGGACUGAUAAAUUAGCAGAAAAUGCACAGUGUCAGAAAAUUAUGAAAACUGGAGGAGAUGUCAGAAAUAUUUUUAUGAGGCUAGAUUUGAAGUUUUAUAUUAUUCUGACACUUGUAGAGAGAAAAAUAGCAUCCGAAAGUUAUCUGAUAAAGAUUAUAGUUCGGGACAGUUUGCAGUGACCAAACAGGGUCGGAACUGAAAUGUUAAAAUUUUUUUGGACUUAUUAAGUAAAACCGGACAUGGCUGUCAAAUUUGAGCGCAAAUAGACAUUCAGAAGGGCUCCAAUUAAAUGUAUCAGACUAGAAUUGGGCUAAGUGAUAAUAAUUGAUGAUUUGUGGACCUAAAGGCAAUUGUUACAUUGCUUACAAGGACUUCCACUAGGCUGCCAGGGGACUUCCAUUCUUAUCCUCUCCCUGUACGCAUGAGAGAGAGAGUGAAAGGAAGAGAAAAGGGAAUAGAGAGAAGAAGAAGAAGAAAGUAACAAAUUUUGGUGCCGUUUGUCGUUUGUCGAGCCGAUCGAAACGCCGCGCAUCGGAUUUUUAGCAUUUCGACAUUCGGGUUAGUAUUAUAAUAUUAUUAUAAUUUCAAACCAGAUUUUUUGGUGGAUUCUUGAUAGUGGAUGUUCGGAGAGGUCAUUUUGAUGGAUCUAUGUUGAAUCUAUGCUAAAAUUGAAAUUUAGAAAUCGAUUUCUAUGUGAUUUAGGAGCUGAUUUUGCGAGCGUUUCGUCGACGGAUUUUUCCGUGAGUUUCGGAUUGUUGUGGCUGCCAUGCGGAUUGGGUUUGGGCUGUUAGGUAAUUCCAGAGCAAGGUAAUAAUAUGCUGUUCUUUUGCUAAAGAAUUUAGAUGUGCAUGUUAACAACCUGCAUGUAAGCUUGGAUUAGUUGUAUAUAUGGUUAUAUGAAGUCUGGGGUGAUGUGAAGUAGGUAGGAGUGAUCAUGACAGAAAGCUAAUUUCUUAUACUCUUAAAUAGUGGGUUCAUGUUCUUGAGUUAUUGGAGUUCUGAAAAUCUGAAGCUUGCUUUUGUUAUGUAACCUGGAAAAAGGCUUCAUAUGUACUAGUACUAUGUGUACACUUUAAUAGUUGGGAAUUAAAGAAGCUAUCAUGCAGAUUUUAAUUAAGAGGUUGAUGUAAAAUCCUCUAAACUAAUUUGUUUGAGGUUCAUGGGGAAUUAAGGUGAAUUAACCUAUAAUUCCUGGUUAAGACUUGGGUUUGUUGAAGACUAAGGCAUAUGCUGCCAUGAAGACUAGAGAAGAGCUUUAUGUUGAACCUAAACCUGAUAAUGCUAACUUGUAGGUUCGGAAGCUUAGCUCGGAAUUGAUCACCUGUCAACCUAAUUGGGGGUAAAGCGAACGCGUUGGAAAACUCGGAUCGACGUUCCGACGAGUCUACGGCACGCUAACGAGGAAAACCUCCUUUUAGCCUAAGUUAUUGCGAGCAAGGAUUGUGAUCAUUCGUAAAGUGCGGCAAGUGGAAUUUUGGCAUUCCAAUAUCAAGUAAAGGUGGGUUGUGCUUUACCGAAGUGAUUAGGUCACUUCCAUGCCAAAGUAAAGUAUAAUUAUUUUGACGCAUACAUGUAUAGUGGUAGAUUGUGAGUAAUAAUAUGAAAGCUUAAAUCGUAUUGUAUCAAUCAUUGUUAUCUACCAUUAGAAUAUGCAUGUCAAUAUCUUGUGGAUAAUACCCGAUGAUGCAUGAAUAUGAACAUAAUGUGAGCCUGUUAGAAUCAUACAAGCAGAAUAUGGGUCGAUAACUCUAAAUUGAUUAGAGAAUCCGACAGUUACAAAUGAGAUUGUGUAAGCAAUAAUCCUAGAUAUGGACAAUUAGGAUAAUACAUAGAUGUUAGAGCAUAUAUGAUUGUUGACAUAUUAUGAUAAUCGACAUAUGAAUAUGAAUGCUAGUUGCAUAAGAUUAAACAUGUAUGAAAGUGAAUGCUAGAGACAUAUGAAUAAAUACUUAUGAAUGUGAAUCUCAUGCUAGAUGAUAUAUGAUGAUUGUCAUAUGACGAACAUACUAGACGCAUACGAAUGCAUUGUAGUUCAUGCUAAAUGCAUAGGAAUGUCGGUAUAUGAACAUAUGAAUGAUAAAUGAUAUAUGAAUGUUGAUACAUAGACUAAAGUCAUGUAAAUUGAACAUGAAACGGGUAAACUAUAAUCGUAGACGUGGAUAACUAGGAUAAUAAAUAGAUCGAGUGGCAUGAACCUAGUGUUAUUAAACAUAGGUUGGACAUGGAAUGAACCUAGUGUUAUUGAACAUAGGUUGAAUUAGUAAACCUAGAGUCGAAAUCUAGGUGAAAGAACAUGAAACCUAGUGUAAAUGAAUCUAGGUUAUGAGGUGUAGUGACACUUAGUAAAAUUGAACUAAGUUAUGAAUUAUAGUGGUAGUAGGACCACUAGAAAUUGAAUGAUAUAGACCUUGGAAGGUCGUCAGCAUAGGGUAAGUGAUUAAACCCUUAAGUUGUGAAAGUGGGUUCCGGAAUCCAGUGCUGUUGGCAUAAAGUGAAUCAGAACUACGGGAUCGACGGUUCUCCUCUCCCAGUAGUGAUUCAACGGGAUCGAUGGUUCUCCUCUCCCGGUAUGCUAGGAAACAAGUGAAUCAGAACUACGGGAUCGACGGUUCUCCUCUCCCGGUAGUGAUUCAACGGGAUUGACGGUUCUCCUCUCCCGGUAUGAGCUCAACGGGUUUGACGGUUCUCCUCGCCCGUUCAGCUCGAGCGACUUAGGGUCACGGGGAUCGACGGUUCUCCUCUCCCUGUGAUGGACCUAGUGUCGCGUGGACUUAAGGCUGAGGUGCUUGUGAAAUAUCCUUCACCUCGAGCCUGACUUGACGCGGUACUCCUGGGUUGAUUGACUCAAGACCGAGUCGAGUGGCUAGAUGGCUAAGGUAAAAUAACUUUAAGAAAGAAUCGCCAGUGGGCAUAAUAUGAUAAAGAACAGAAAAUAAAGAAUAAAGAGAGUAGCUAAUGAACGUGAAUAGCUAAUAAAGAAAAGAACGGCUACAAGUAAAAAAUGGUUAAUGAUAUAAAGUAGAAUCAAGUAAUCUACUUGCAUGAUUUACAGGUAUUGCAUAUUGCAAUACAGUUGCGAGGCAAGGCAUGGUUUUACUUAUUUGCAUACAUAGUCAAAUAUAUGUCUAUCUGUUUAUUAAACUAACCUGCAGUUGCCUCCUUUGGACCUGGUGGGUCGAGCUCUUCUCUUGGGUGGCCGUACCCACUGGGAACUAUAUUUAUAUAGUUCUCACCCCCGUGUGGUUUUUGGGGGUACAGGUUCGCACGCGAGCGGCGGAGCGGCGCGAGGACAGGGCGUAGCUUCGUAGAUAGCGCCCUACCACCGAGACCAGAGAUAGCAGUACCCUGAAGCAGUCUAGCUCAGAGUUCAGGUUGAAAGAAACAAAUUUGUAGUAAAUUGUAUAAGUUGUAAAUUGGAUAAAGAUUUAUGUAAUAACAUAAAGGCAUUUGUAAUAUUCUAAAUGUAAAAUCUGUGAGAUGAAUGCUUGUAAUAGCAUAGCUAGCAUUUUAUAUUUUUGAUACUUAUACAAUCUAUGUUUGAAUGAUGUUCCUAGUUGGGACCUCUUCUAUUGUAUCAUAUGGAUUGUGACGCCUAGGACGUACAGGGAAAGUUCUGUCCGUUCGGCGGCCUGUCGGCAUGCCCGAAUCUGACCAAAUUGGCGGAGCUCGGGGCGUGACAGAUUAAGUGGUAUCAGAGCAUAAAAAGAGUAAUAGAAACGGUUUAGAUGGACCUAGGAGACCUAGGAUAGUAAACCGUAAGGAUUUAUAGUCGUGAGAGACGAGGACUUGUGACGUGUGGCGAAAGAUAAAUCGAUUGGGUCAAGUUUAGUAAACCUCUAAGACGGAUAUUAGAGGUAGAUUCAAGGUUCAGUUUAUUCUCAGCCAAGUGAGUUCAUGUUGGGUCGACACAACAUGAAACCGAGGGAUGGGAAUAAGCUUCCUUGCAUGACUUUCGCCCGAUUUGAGUCGGUAUUAAUUAUUUCGUAUUUGACCCAGAGGGUCGAGGACUAACUGAAUUGUCGUGUUUCAGGAAGCGAUGGCACCGCGUAGGCGAUCUUCGUUUAGAUCGGCGCAGGAUGGGACAGAUGGUGUCCCUGAGCAGACUGAGGCGAGCGGAGACUUGGAGCUUCGCGAUCAGUUGGCCACACUCGUGGGAGUGGUGAGGCAACAAGUGGAUGUAGUGCAACGUCAGCAGGACGCUGCUCUGCGCCAAGAUGAGUGGAUUAAGAGACUCCAGGAGACGGUGGAUCAGUUAGUGACCGCACUAGUUUCGGCUCGUCGUGUACGGCCGGGAGUCGCGACGGAGGCAUUUCCGUCGGGGUCAGGUAAUCCGAUUGCUGUUAGUUCAGAAAUGAAAGCUGAAAGGGAGCGAGCUUUGGCGGCUCUUAUGACCUUUAAGAAGUUUGAUCCGCCUACUUUUGAUAGAGAAGAUAUAGACCGGUGGACCGUAGAGUUGUGGAUCGACUCCAUGGAGACUUUGUUUGAGGAUUUGUACAUUGUGGAGCGGGACAAGGUACACUUAGCCGUACAUUGUUUGCAACGGUCAGCGAAGGUGUGGUGGAAAGACAUCAAACGGAAUCGAUCGCCUAGUCUUCCUUCUAUGGUUUGGGAAGAGUUUCGGGAAUUAAUGCGUUCAACUUAUUUCCCCGAUAGUGAAAAGAGGAAGCUUCGGGACAGGUUUCAGAAACUACGGCAAGGAGACCGCUCUGUGAGGGAAAACGAAUGGAGUUUUCCCGUAUCGUGAGCUGUGUUCCGAACAUGGUACAAGGUGACAAGGAUCGAGUUGAUUGUUUUGUACGAGGACUUCGGCCUGAUAUUUUCACAGCGGUGCAUAAUCUUAAAUUGCAGCCUUUUGCUGAAGUUUUGGAUCGGGCCCUAUGGAUAGAGCAAGGCAAUGCUUUCGUGUGUGAAGAGCAUGAGUCUAAGAAAUGUAAGCAAGGAGGGAUGAGGCCACUAACAGAUAAUUCAAAUGAACAGUCAAGUUCUGGACACCACUCGACAUCGUCCUCUACCCGAUCAUCUCCAAGAUGUGUGAUUUGUGGUGGUUCCCACUGGGCACGACGUUGCGUGCAGCGGGAAGGAAAGUGCACUCGAUGUGGACAACCGGAUCAUCCAGGUUAUGAGUGUCCGCGAGGCGAUAGCCAAGCCUUGACGCUGGCGACAGCAUUUUCCUCUCCGGGACAGCCUGCGGGUGUGCCACCUGCGGUACGGUCUGGAGGGCGACUGAGGAUAAGGCAACCGAGGGGUUCGCGACGGGCAGCAAGUGGCCGUGGAUAGGCGACCCAUGUGGUGAAACUUGCUGCGACUGGUAGCAAUGUGGCAGGUAUGAGUUAAUUACAGCAAGCAUGUUUUCUGCAUUAUGUAAGUUUCAUGCAUUGUAUGCAUUGAUUAGGUGAUCUGUCCCUACUAUUUAUGCCUUAAUAUAGUAGUGAUCAAGUGAACGGAUAAGUGUUAAUGCCGGGUAUGCUUGUGUGUGGGAAUGUAAUACCUGCUGGAGCAAGUAGAGAGUCUGAGAGCACUAGCAAAUUGCUUGUGAUAGCCUGUGGAUAAGAGGUGAGAUUCGCGAUAGAAAUGGUGAUGACGAAUUAAGUUUCAAAGCAAUGCGAGUUGCUGAUUGCGAGAGUCUAGUCGCAAUGUUCGUGGAACUCUUGUGAGACCGAGCGUUUUGCAGAUUGUUCCAGUAGAUCGAACAGUGAAAGUAGAAUCGCUGUUGAAGAAAUGAUCGGUUAGUGGUCAAGUGCGUGCACAAGGACCCAGUAGUACCUCGGAUUGAGGUAAGUGGGUCGUGCUCGUGUAGUCGGUGUGCAUAGGCAAGAGUUGCCUAAUGCUAGACCUAGUAUGACACGCGAUAGAGUCGUGUAGAGCGCUCGAGUGUAGGUGCUCAUAGAGUGUAGAUUUGAUUCAGCCGUGAGUGAGUUGGCAGUAGCACGUUAGCAUUGCUAAGUGUGAAGCGUGCCAGAGGUCACUCGUAGGGCUGGUGGCUCGCACUAGGUGCGUAGGAGCCGGUAGUGUUGUGUGUCACUCGGUAGCACGCGUCGUGUAAGACGACAAUUGUGGAUAGUGCUUGGUGACGACCCGUGCCUGGACCCUUUGUGGACUGUGGAGCCUAGGCCCAUUGGGCAGGCGUAGUCAGCUGCGAGAGGCAGCGGCCCGGUACCUACGGGUAGGGCAGAGAUUUGGUCAGGACGGUAGUCCGAGCUUGGAUCGGUAACAUGGUAGGUCAUGUAUUGGAUCGUGUUGUUGGUAGUAUGCCGGAAAGCCAGAUUUGACCUAACCCUAGCAAAUUAAAUUGCUCCCAGUUGGAGCAGGUAUGCGAUGUCUCAAAUGAGAACUAUGUCUCGUGAUAAUUGGGUCUACGCUUGCGAGCGAGAGACGUUGAGUUAAGUGAUAGGACUAGCAAAUCACCGAUCCGAUUUGCGAACAGAUCUGUGGUAAUUGAGACAAGUAGUUUACCCAUGUGCAUUGGAAGUAAGUGUUUUGAACAUGUCCAAGUGAAGGAUAAUGUAUAGGGACCGUGAGAGCGAAGGCUCGGUCCUGUGGACUAUUUAGUCAAAAUUGCUAAGAUAAGCAUCGAUGAUGAGCUGAGAUUGGAAACGCGAACAAAGUGUUCGUAGAGAAUGAUUCGGAGAAAUCAGGGUAACAUAGAAUGAAAUUCAGAAGCUACGGAAGAAUGUGAUUUUACAUGUUGAUGAUUGCUGGAACUUAUCUCCAUCCGUUGAGUAAGUGAGGAGCAAUAAGUAUCUAAGUUUCGCGGACGAAACUUUGGCUAACGGGGGGAGAUUGUAAUAUAUGGCAACUUGGAGUUGCGAUGUCAACUUUGAUCUAGGGGAUCAAAGUGAGGAUUGAGCUAGUUGGACAUCAUCCCCGAGUGAUUUGUGAUGCGUGUGAAUGAAUUCUGGAGAUAAAUAAGUGUUUCGGCGCAAAUUGGGCGCGAAACGAAAUGUAAAGAAAAUUUGCGGAUUUCCGACGCUAACUUUGAUUAAAAGAAUUAAAGUGAGCAAAAUAAUAUAAAAAUGGUGUGAGAUAAUAUUUUAUUAGACUUAAGGGUGUAAAAUAUAAGUCUGGAAUGACUCGUGUUGGAAUCGGAGCGAAAACAGAAGAUUUAGAAUUUCUGUAAAGAACGGGAUUGAUAAAUUAGCAGAAAAUGCAUAGUGUCAGAAAAUUAUGAAAACUGGAGGAGAUGUCAGAAAUAUUUUUAUGAGGCUAGAUUUGAAGUUUUAUAUUAUUCUGACACUUGUAGAGAGAGAAAUAGCACCCGAAAGUUAUCUGAUAAAGAUUACAGUUCGGGACCGUUCGCAGUGACCAAACGGGGUCGGAACUGAAAUGUUAAAAUUUCUUUGGACUUAUUAAGUAAAACCGAACAUGUCAAAUUUGAGCGCAAAUAGAUAUUCAGAAGGGCUCCAAUUAAAUGUAUCAGACUAGAAUUGGACUAAGUGAUAAUAAUUGAUGAUUUGUGGACCUAAAGGCAAUUGUUACAUUGCUUACAAGGACUUUUUUUCCAUUCUAGGCUUCCUAGUGACUUCCAUUCUUUAUCUCUCUUUUUUUUUCCUUUGUAUCGCUAUUGAGAGAUUGAAUGUAAUAUUAGCAUAUGAAUUGAAAAAAAAGAAGAAUAAAUUUUAAAUAAAUUUUUGUUGAACUUUUUGUUUGUCUUGUGACACUACGAUUUUUAAUUCUUUUUGCUUGCAUUUUUUUUUUUAUUUAUCUAUUCUAUUUUACAUUUUCGUUAAUAUUAUAUUAUUAUAAUUCAAACAAUUUUUUUUUUUUAUAUUUGAUUUUUUUCUUUUUUUUUUUUUUUCGAGUCAUUUUGAUGAUCUAAGUAUACUAUUACUAUCUAAAAUGAAUUUGUUAGAUUUUAUUUCUUAUUGUUUAUUAUGUUGUAUGUCUUUAUGGGCUUUUGUGUUCGUCUACUUUUUUUUUUUUUUUUUUUUUGUUAUUUUAUUUUUUUUUUUUUUUUUUUUUUUUUUUUUUGUUUUUUCUUUUUGUGAUCGAUUUUUGUUUUUGUUUUUCUUUUUUUCUAUUUUCGAUUGUUUGGUUUUCUAGGUUGUAAUUUCCAGAUGGCAAGUAAUUUAUAUUUUUUCUUUUCUUGCUAUAGAAUUUUUUUUUAUUUGUAUGUAUCAUACCUUAUUUCUUGAUAAUUUUAGAUAUAUGGUUAGAAAUCCGGGUUAUUGAUUAUGUUAAUUUAGGAGUGAUCAUACAGAACUUUUAUUGUUUUCAAUAAUCUUUUUUCUUAUACUCUAAAUUUUGGGUUAUUUCUUUUUUUAUUAUUUUGGAUUUCUUGGUUAAUAUUUUUUUAUAGCUUGCUUUUGUUUAUGUUAUUUAAUUUCUUUAAAACAGGCUAUUCAUUUAUUCUUUAUUCUUUUAUUUAUCAUAUAUUUAUGUUAAUUUUUAUAUAGAGUUUCUAUUCAUUUCUAUGAUUUUUAAUUUAAUUUUAGGUGAUGUAACAUCUCUGAAUACUAAUUGUUUGAGUCAUUUGUUAAUUAUAGCGUCGUAAAACAUAGCUAUAAUCUUGUUAAUUGUUACUGAGGUUGUUUGAAUGACUAAGGCAUAUUUCUGCCAUGAGACCUAGAGAUAUUAGCAUUUAUUUUGAUACUAAACUCCCUGAUAAGCUAACUGUGUACGUUCGUUUUUUGUAACUCUACUCGGAAUUGAUAACACAUGUCUAACCUAAUGGGGAAGCGACCGGUUGAAACUCGAUCGACGUUCCCGACAGUCUACGGCCAAUGCUUCGAGAAAAACGUCCUUUAGCCUAAGUUAUGCGACAAGAUUGUGAUCAUUCAUAAAGAUGCGCAAGUGAAUUUGGCCAUCCAAAUAGUAAGGUGGCUUUUCUACGGAAUGAAAGUACUUCCAUGCACAAGUAAAGUAUAAAUAUUUGACCAUCAGUAAAGUGUAGAAUUGAAAAUAUUAAAGCUUAAAUCGUAUUGAUCAAUACAUGUAUCUACUCAUUCAGAAAUAGAUGUCAAUACUGUGAAAUACCCCGAGAUGCAUGAAAUAUGAACAUAAAUUACCUCCUAGAAUCAUACAAGAAAUAUGGUCGAACUCUAAAUUGAAUUAAGAAUCCGACAUUAACAAAAAUUUGAAGCAUAAUCUAAAUAUGACAACUAGAAAUACAUAAUUAGAGCAUAUAGAUUGUAAAUAUUAAGAUACGACAUAAUACAAUGAAAUGGUAUGCAUAAAUUUAAAAUGUAAAAAUUGAAUGCCUAGAGACAUAUGAAUAAAUACUUAUAAUGAAUUCAUCUAAUGAUUAUGAUGAGUCAUAUACAACAUACUAGACGCAUAAGAAUCAUUAUUCAUCUAAAUGCAAGAAUCGGUAUAAUGAAACACCAUAGAUAAAGAUCAUAGAAUGUUAUACAUAGACUAAAGUCAUGUAAAUGAACAUGACGAUAAACUAUAAAUCAGACGUGAUAACAGGAUAAUAAAAACAAACAAGAAAAUAAAAACACAACCUAGUGUUAUUAAACAUAGUUGGACCGAAAAACUAGUUUAUUGACAUAGUUUGAAUAUAAACCAGAUCAAAAUCUAGGUAAAGAACAUGAAACCUAGUGUAAAUAAAUUAGUUAUAGGUGUAGGAACACAUAGUAAAGAUUAGAACUAAUUAUGAAUAUAGGGUAGUAGACCACUAGAAUUAAAUGAUAAAGCCUUGAGGUCCACAAGGUAUUGAUUAAACCCUAAGGGAAGUGGUCCGGGGAACCAGUGUGUGGCAUAAAAUGAAUCAGAACUACGAUCAGACGGUCCCUCUCACCCAGUAUGAUCAACGGAUCGAUGGUUCCACUCCGUAGCCAAAACAGUGAACUAAACUAACGGAUCGACGUCUCCCCCCUAUGAUUCAACAUGACAAGUCCCCCUCUCCGUAUGACCAACAGUUUGAACUUCUCCUCGCCUUCAGCUCGAUGACUAACACAUACCGUUUGGCUCGGGUAUAAAGGGGGAUAAGGGCAACCCCCCUUUAUCCCAAACAAAAAAAAAAGGUGAACAAGAUUUCCACUAAGUUGACAGGUACAACCUUAUGUCGGGUAACACUUACCCACCACGGGAGUUGAAAAGCGUCCCGAACUUUGUUCCGACCCACUGAUUAGAGAAAAAGAAAAGAAAUUAAAAUAUAAUUUUAUAAUUAUAACUAAUAAAUUACAAUUUUAAAUUUUAAAUUUGAUAUUUUUAAAUUUUAAAUUUUAAAUUUGAUAUUUUUAAGUUUUCAAAUUUUAAAUUUUAUUAAAGUUUAAAUUUUAAAUUUGUUAUUUUAUAUCUUUGAAAUUUAAAUUUGGUCUGAAAUUUAAAAUUUGAUAUUUAAAAUUAAUAUUUUUAAUAUUAAAAUUUAAAAUUUUAAUUUCUAAUUUAAAUUUAAAAGUUAAAAUUUAAAAUUUAAAAUUAUAAGUUUAAAAUUCAAUUAUAGGGAUAAUAUUAUUAUUUUCUAUUUAUAACUACCAACUAUUCCUCUUAUUCCCAAAAACCAUCCAAAUACAAUUUUUCUAGUUCCAGCUUAUACUCACAAUUUCAUCCAAACAAAAAAAUACCCUUAUUCCUACAAAAACUCAUACUUGUACCUAUCCCCGGUAUAACUAGUUCCUACUAAUUCCCGAUCCAAACGGAGCCUUAGGGUCACGGGGAUCGACGGUUCUCCUCUCCCUGUGAUGGACCUAGUGUCGCGUGGACUUAAGGCUGAGGUGCUUGUGAAAUGUCCUUCACCUCGAGCCUGACUUGACGCGGUACUCAACGGUUGAUUGACUCAAGACCGAGUCGAGUGGCUAGAUGGCUAAGGUAAAAUAACCUUAAAAAAGAAUCGCCAGUGGGCAUAAUAUGAUAAAGAACAGAAAAUAAAGAAUAAGAGAGUAGCUAAUGAACGUGAAUAGCUAAUAAAGAAAAGAACGGCUACAAGUAAAGAAUGGUUAAUGAUAUAAAGUAGAAUCAAGUAAUCUACUUGCAUGAUUUACAGGUAUUGCAUAUUGCAUAGCAUCGAUACAGUUGCGAGGCAAGGCAUGGUUUUACUUAUUUGCAUACAUAGUCAAAUAUAUGUCUAUCUGUUUAUUAAACUAACCUGCAGUUGCCUCCUUUGGACCUGGUGGGUCGAGCUCUUCUCUUGGGUGGCCGUACCCACUGGGAACUAUAUUUAUAUAGUUCUCACCCCCGUGUGGUUUUUGGUGGUACAGGUUCGCACGCGAGCGGCGCGGCGGCGCGAGGACAGGGCGUAGCUUCGUAGAUAGCGCCCUACCACCGAGACCAGAGAUAGCAGUACCCUGAAGCAGUCUAGCUCAGAGUUCAGGUUGAAAGAAACAAAUUUGUAGUAAAUUGUAUAAGUUGUAAAUUGGAUAAAGAUUUAUGUAAUAACAUAAAGGCAUUUGUAAUAUUCUAAAUGUAAAAUCUGUGAGAUGAAUGCUUGUAAUAGCAUAGCUAGCAUUUUAUGUUUUUGAUACUUAUACAAUCUAUGUUUGAAUGAUGUUCCUGGUUGGGACCUCUUCUGUUGCAUUAUAUGGAUUGUGACGCCUAGGACGUACAGGGAAAGCUCUGUCCGUUCGGCGGCCUGUCGGCAUGCCCGAAUCUGACCAAAUUGGCGGAGCUCGGGGCGUGACAGACCGGUCCCUCCCUGCCAGGAACCGGUUGCAUCAAGAAUCCCCGCAACUCCCAGUCUCGGGGACCGGUCUCUCCCUGCCAGGGACCGGUCCCCGAGAGCAACUUUUGCCCAGUGCAGGUUUUGCACUAUUUGCUCUCGUGGACUCGCCUCUAAGGCACCUUUGGUGAUUAACACAUUUUCGGCCUUUCCGAAGCUCACCAACAUGCCCUUUGGUCGAUUCUAAACGAAGUCUAACUCUUGUAUUUCAAGAAUUUACUUCCUUACAUCCUCCCCUCCUAAAAAGGGAGUUUCGUCAUCGAAACGAAUUCAUUAUCUUAAUCAGCUCAUACCUCAUUGCAUUUCUGUGAAAAGAUGAGGAUAAUGCACUUUCAUUGAUUCCUUGAGUUCCCACGUGGCCUCAUGAUCAUCGUGAUUGGUCCAACGAAUCUUCACGCAGGGAAUCUCACGAUUUCUUAACUUCCGCACUUCUCGAGCAAUGAUCAUCACCGAGAACUCCUUAUAGCUCAAAUCCUUUUGUAGAUUCGGCAGCUCGUAAUACAUAACAUGCUCGGGAUCGUGAACAUAUUUGCGAAGGUUGGAGACAUGGAACACGUUAUGCAAAUUCGCGAGCUUCGACGGUAAUGCGAGUCGGUACGCUACCGCUCCAACAUGUUUCAACACUUCGAACGGUCCGAUAAAUCGUGGACUUAGCUUUCCCCACACUCCGAAGCGUUUCACACCUCUUAUAGGUGAAACCUUCAAGAAAACGCGGUCACCUACAGCGAAUUCCAAAUCUCUACGGCGUUUGUCAGAAUAGCUCUUCUGCCUGGAUUGUGCCGUAAGUAAUCUCUCGCGAGCAAGACGGACCUUCUCUUCCGCCUCCCGUAAUACAUCGAGGCCCAAUGCCGCAGGUUCACCUACAUCGCUCCAACAUAUAAGGGAUCGGUACUUCCGUCCAUACAGGACUUCGAACGGUGCCAUCCCAAUGCUAGCUUGGUAACUGUUGUUGUAGGCGAACUCGGCCAUUCUCAAAUGGUUUGCCCAACUACCCUUGUAGUCAAUGACACACUUCCGCAACAUAUCCUCCAGAAUCUAUAUAGUCCUUUCUGACUGUCCAUCUGUCUGAGGAUGAAACGCGGUGUUAAAAUCGAGUCGUGUGCCAAGUGCUUCUUGCAGGCUUUUCCCAAAAAUGCGAAGUAAAACGGGGGUCUCGAUCUAACACGAUCGACUUCGGAACCCCGUGUAACCUCACAAUCUCAUCGAGAUAUACCUGCACCAAUUUCUUGCUCGACCAAGUGGUGUGAAUCGGUAGGAAGUGUGCCGACUUGGUCAGACGAUCCGCAAUCACCCAGAUCGCGUCGUGGCCACCCGUCGAACGGGGUAAUCCGACCACGAAGUCCAUAGCAACAUUCUCCCAUUUCCAAACGGGGAUAGGUAGACUUUGGAGCUUUCCCGUGGAAAUCGACGCUCAGCCUUCAUUUGCUUGCAUAUCAAGCACUGCACUACAUAGCGCCCAAUGUCUGCAUUCAUGCCCGGCCACCAGUACUGCAUCUUCAGAUCACGGUACAUCUUGGUGCCACCUGGGUGAAUACUAUAAGGAGUUCGAUGUGCCUCUUGCAAUAUUAACUUCCGGACCUCCUCAUUUUCCGGUACGCACUAUCGGUUUCGAAACCGAAGCGCACCCUCAACGUCUACACUGAAAUCACCGCCGUGUCCCCUCUCGAUGUCUCGUUGCACCUUUUGGAGAUUGGGGUCAGCAGGUUGCAAACUCUUAAUCUGCUCCAACAAGGUUGGUUGGACAAUAAGAGCCGUAAGCAUAGACGGGAUUUCCAGAGCUACCACCUCGAGAUCCAAUCGCUCCAUCUCUCUCCACAGUGGCUCCUGACGUGUGACCAAUAUAGCAAGAUUCUCCACUGACUUCCUGCUAAGCGCGUCGGCCACCACGUUUGCUUUUCCGGGGUGGUAUAGGAUUGUAACGUCGAAAACCUUUAAUAAUUCCAACCACCGCCACUGUCGUAUAUUGAGCUCCUUUUGUGUGAAAAGGUAUUUCAGGCUUUUGUCGUCCGUGUAUCUCUCGCAACGUGCACCAUACAAGUAGUGCCUCCAUAACUUGAGAGCAACCACCACUGCGGCCAACUCUAAAUCGUGGACAGGGUAGUUCUUCUCAUAGCUUUUCAACUGACGAGACGCAUAAGCGAUCAUCUUCCCGCCCUGCAUUAGAACACACCCCAAACCCGAUUGUGACGCAUCGCUAUACACCACAAAGUCUUCAUCUUGCACCGGUAAGGCGAGUACCGGAGUCGAAGUCAAUCUAUUCUUCAACUCUUGAAAACUCCGGUCACACUCAUCGCUCCACACGAACUUGGUGCCAUUCUGAGUCAGACGGGUAAGUAGAAUCACGAUCUUCGAGAAUCCCUCCACAAACCGUCUAUAGUAGCCUGCUAAACCCACGAAGCUUCGAACUUUCGUGACGUUAGUCGGGCGAAGCCAAUCCUUGAUCGUUUCCACUUUCCUCGGGUCAACAGAUACUCCACCAUCGGAAAUGACAUGCCCAAGAAAUGCAACCUUUCAGAGCCAAAAGUCGCAUUUCUUAAACACAGAUUCUCCUCCCGAAGGACUUGAAGCAUGAUUCUCAAAUGCUCGGCAUGUUCCUCGUCGCUACAAGAAUAGACCAAGAUGUCGUCUAUGAAGACCACGACAAAUCAGUCCAAGUACUCCUUGAAGACACGGUUCAUCAGUUCCAUGAACGCUGCUGGGGCGUUAGUAAGCCCAAACGGCAUGACUGUGAAUUCAUAAUGUCAUACCGUAUACGAAAUGCGAUCUUUUGAACAUCCUCCGGUUUGAUCUUAAGUUGAUGAUAACCGGAUUGUAGAUCAAUCUUUGAAUAAACACGAGAUCCUUGCAACUGAUCAAAUAAAUCAUUGAUCCUGGGCAACGGGUACUUAUUCUUGAUCGUGACCUUAUUCAACUUGCGGUAGCCUACGCAAAGUCGAAACGAUCCGUCCUUCUUUCGCACGAAUAGAACCGAUGCUCCCCACGGCGAUACACUCGGCCGUAUAAAUUCCUUGUCAAGGAGAUCUAUCAAUUGAGCCCGCAAUUCCUUCAAUUCUGCCGGCGCCAUCCGAUACGGAGCCUUCGAGAUAGGCGCGGUUCCUGGAUCCAAGUCUAUCACGAACUCGAUCUUCCGGUCUGGCGGCAUUCCCGGUAACUCCGCGGGAAAUACGUCUGGGAAUUCCCGAACCACAGACAGCUCCUCGAGUGCCGGAGUCGUCCUUUCGACUUCCACAACGGUCGCCAAGUAGGCUGUGCAACCGCCGUUAAUCAACUUCCUUGCCCUCGUCGCCGACACCAUAGCAGCGAAGCGCGAGCUUCUACAGGCCCGGUAGGUGAACUCCUCCUGACCCGGCUCUCGAAACGUUAUCACUUUAUUUCUGCAGUAAAUGGUCGCAUAGUCUUUGAGAGCCAAUCCAUUCCUAAAAUGACGUCGAAGUCUUUCAACUUCUUAAGCACCAACAUACGGAUGGGCAUUAUUCAGUCGCCUAACCGCACUGGACAAGCCGAACACUCCUUACGGACUAGAAAAUUUCAUCCGGGGCCCGAUACCCUCCAAGUGCUUUUACUAUCUUGUAAUUUUAUGUCAUGCAUUCGUGCAAAUGUCCUACUGAUGAAUGAAUGUGUAGCACCUGUAUCAAACAUAGCCCUGGAGCGAACUCCAUUAAUUAAAACCAUACCUGCAAGUACAUGGCGAUCCUCUGUCUCAACAGGUUCCUCGCCGAACGAACAAGGUUUUCUCUGUACCGCGGACAGAGUCUCCCCUUUACGUCCAAGGCGUCACAAUCCAUACAAUGCGCGAGGUUCCAACCAUGAACAGCAUACAAUAAAGAUUGCAUAAGGAAAGUAUCACAAACAUAAAUACUAUGCCAUUACAAGCAUUCAACUCACAUAUUACAUUUUACAUCACAUUCUACAUUCUUUGAUUCUUACUUCCAAAUAUAAUCCAAUUCUUACAAUAUUAUUACAACUUGGUUCUUUUCAUUUUUCAUAUCUCUAAGUAGCUGACGCAGGGUACCGCUAUCUGGUCUCGGUGGUAGGGCGCUAUCUAUGGAGCUAUGCCCUUUCCUUGCGCCGCCAUGCCGCUCACGUGUGAACCUGUACCCCCAAAAACAAUACGGGGGCGAAAACUAUUGUCCAUAGUUUUCAGUGGGUACGGCCACCUAAGAGAAGAGUUCAACCAACCAGGUCCAAAGAAGGCACUGCAAACAUGUUAGUCCAACAAAUACCACAGAUAUAUAAUUUAUGCAACUAACAAUUUUCAUGUUCAUGCCUCACAAUAUGGAAUAUGCAAAUCAUGCAAUUCAUGCAAGUAGAUUAAUUAAUUCUACUCUUUAUUCUUAGCCAUUCUUUACUAUUAGCCAUUCUUUAUUGCUAAUCAUUCUUUACAUUAUUAUUCGUUCAUGAUUACUAGCCAUUUUUUAUUAUUGCUAUACUUUAGCAUUAGCCGUUCUUUAUUCUUUAUUCCUUACUAAGGGUAUUCACACCUCGGCCAUAUUAUACAUAUCUGCCAUUCUUUCCUAAGGUUAUUUUACCUUAGCCAACUAUGCCACUCGACUCGGUCUUGAGUCAAUCAACUGCGGAUAAUCCGCGCUCUGUCAGGCUCGAGGUGAAGGAACUAUCACAUGCACCUCAGCCUUCCAAUCCACAAACCACAUCGCCCAACGGGUCGCUCAGAGCAGCGCACACCCACGAUCAGGGAUCUUCCCUGUGGGAGGGGAAUAUGCCACGCACCCGCGGCCCAAGACCCCCGAUAGGGAGGGUAAUAUGCCACACGCACCCUAGCGAUCCAAGAUUCUUCCGGUGGAAGGGGAAUAUGCCACACAGCCCCCGCGGCCAAGAAUCAUCCGUAAGCCUAUCCUCGAAGUUCUUCCGGUGGAAGGGGAAUAUGCCACACCCACCCGCGGCCAAGAACUGUCGAGCUCAUAUGCUGCACUAGCAGCCGCUGCACUCGCAGCCGGGAUUCCGGAAUCCACUUUCCAUAGCUCAAGGGUUGGUCUCACCCUAUAGUGUCGACCUAUCUAGGUCCAAGCCAUUACUCAACCUAAGUUUAAUACAUUAGGUCCAAUGUCACUAUGUUCAUAGCCUAGGUUCACUUGACUCUAGGUUCAAUGUCACUUGUGUCAUAACCUAGGUUUACCUCACUCUAGGUUUGAUUCUUAACCUAUGUUCAAUGACACUAGAUUUCAAUGCCAUUCACAAUACUUGUCAUCCUAAUUAUUCAGACUUAGGAUUCUUAAUUGACAUGCCACACAAUGUUCAUAUUUUUCUAGUUGUCCAUACCUAGGAUUCCUAGUUGACAUUUACAUCUAGGCAUACAUAUCUUUUAUGCUUACUCAUGCCUAUGUCUUUAUCAUUCAAUGGUAAUCAACAUGUCUCAUGCAUUCUUUAUUAGCAUAUAUGUAUCAUGCAUUCAUCAUUAGUAUAUAUCCCAUACAUUUCUUAGCAUACAUCUUAUACAUUCAUUUAGCAUUUAGCCCUUACACUCACUUAACAUACAUUCUAUGCAUUCUUUAUUAGCCUCUACUUCAUGCAUUCAUAUAGCAUCUCAUGCACAUGCCUAGGUUCUUAUCAAAGUGGUAGUCAAUAUACAUUUUAGCAUACAACUCAUGCAUUCUUUAACAUCUAUCUCUUGCCUCAUGCAUUCAUAAUUAGCAUCUUUAUCAUGCAUUCAUAAUUAGCAUGUAUCUCAUGCAUCAUUUACAAUGUGGACUACCAUUACUUGCAUUCAUUACUAGCACAUAUGUUAUACUUUUAUUUAGCAUUUAACUCAUGCAUUCACUCAACAUAUACUCUAUACAUUCAGUAGCAUCUAGCUCUUGUUAAUUAUUUAGCAACUAGCUCAUGUAUUUAGCAUCUAGUUCAUGCAUUAUUCACUUGGUAAUUAACUACCACAUCAUGCAUCAAUAAUGAGACAUAUACCACUUUGGCAUGGAAGCGACCUAAUCGCUUCGGUAGAGCACAACCCACUUGUAAUGCUCUCCGAUUGCUUGUAGUCACUUGCAAUCGGGCUCCCGCGGCACACGUGAUCCGAUUCGGCUUCAACUCGCGAUUGAUCGCCGAACGCCAACAAUCCGCAACGUAGGGUCAUCAAAGGCUCAUCUCUAAACUUUAAUUAGAAAACAAUAGGGUUAAAUGAGAUCAAAACCCUCAUUUACCCAUAAUCCCCAUUUUCUAAGCCUAGUGUCACGCCCCGCCCCGAAACCACUACCAAUUUGGCACGAUUCGGGCGCCGCGAGCGGACCGCCGAACGGACAGCACCUCCCCUGCCCGCCCAAGGCUCACAACAAGAAUGUGUACAAGAAUUUUUCAGAAAUUUAAAUUCUAAAUAUACACAUUCAACGGGGCACGAAUAGUGCCAGCAACUACAAGAGCAAGCAAUCCACAGGAAUAACAUGUGAAAUAAAGAGAGUACUUUACUAACUAUUACAAUAGUUCAUUUACAUCAUUUUCUUUAAAUGAUUACAUCAUUCAUCCAAAAUACAUAGCUCUCCAAGUCCUCACCUACAAUGAAUCUUUCUCAAUACAUAGGUGUACUAAUGCAAAAAGGAAAGCUACUAUACUACCACGGUCUCACUAAUCGGGCGCGAUGCCCUUGCCGCGGUCCUCCCUCGGCAGCCCUGUACCUACCACUGAAAAUAGAGUGGGGUGAGAACUAUCUUUCAUAGUUCCCAGUGAGCUCGGCCGCCGACUCUGUCGGUCUCCUCAUUAGGUCCAAGUGGGCACAAGUAACAACAGAUAGAUUGUCACGUCCCGCUAUCGCCAAUUUGGUUGAUCCGGGCCCGUACACAGACGCCGAACGGACAGAACUUCCUCUGUCCGCCCAAGGCUCAACAACAACGAGUACAUGUAUAAAGAAAUAAACAAUUCCCAGGAUAACAUUUCAAUAUACAUGGCUUGCACGAGGGCAAGCAACAAGCACAAGUGAUAGUAAGCCUAGCUAUACUGAAAAUUCACUGUAAUUUAAAACUUUUAAACUGAACUUUACAUAACUGAAUAACUGAAACAUUUAGUUAUUUACAGCUUUAUAAUACAUUCAUUUACAUGUCUCUGUACAUCAAAAUGUCUCACUUGAACUCAAAAUGGUAUACCACUAAACACUGGUGUCUGCUAGCUAGGCUGCAGGGCUCUUGCCGCGAUCCUCGACCACAAUGCUCGCACUGGAACCUGUAUGGUUAGUGGUGUGAGAACUACUAAAAGUUCCCAGUGGGUUCGGCCGCCGACCUCGCCGACUCACCCACUAGGUCUAUUUAGGCAUACGCAGGCAAAAGAAGUAAACAGAUAGUAACCAACUAUAACAUGUAACUACUACAAUGCCUGUACAAAGCUGAAGGAAGCAAUAUAUGAAAACUGUAAAUAUGCAUGCAUGCUUUUACUGAAUUUACCCAAUCUUUUGGUUAACCUUUUGGUUAACAAUAACUCACUGACACUAUCCCAAAUAUCGGGGAGACGCAAGCUACACCCGAUGGGACUGUCAACUGGGGGAGACGCACCUCCUGGUCCAGUUAAGAUGACUACUCCGGAGUUCAUCGUUCAAGGAGGAGCGACCUACCUUGAACCAAACGAAUGUAAGUAUGAUCUGAUCCUUCUUUAGAGGAUUCAACAAUAGACAAUGUCACACUUUGACUCCAACUAGCUCUUUAUGCUGGUUUCACAAUUCCAUUUCUCGAUGCUAACCAAAUCUCUAAUUAGAAUGUCACCAAGUUUACUAUUGUUAUAGUCCAUGCAUUCAUAGGGUUCUAUGUUCACAUUCUAUUGUUCACAUAUUCUCAAGGUUGAUAAGCAUUUGUAUAAUCAAAUAUCAUUUACAUAAUAUCAAUACCCUACAAUGCAUGAUUACAAUGUAAAUAUGCUCAAUGAAUUAUCAUUGACAUAAAAGGUGAUUCAAAGAUUUCGGAUAGCACCACCCACCUGUAGUGGUGUCAACAACUAGAAUCCACGUCUCGAACUGUGCCAACAACAAUAUCACACGACUCAAUGCAAUUAGAGCCGAAUUGGCUUCUACUGUAAUUAGUACGUCGCCGACCUGUCGGAAUGUCAAUUUAGACUUUCGAGCAAGUUUAACUUUCAUUUAUAAAGGAAUAAAAGAGAUUAAACUUAAGUUAUACUCCUAUUCUAACAAAACUUGCAUUUCACUUCAACAUACAUAUAUAUAUGUAUAGUGUUAAGGCCUCUAUACAUAUACUCUUUUAUUCCAUUCUUUUACGCAGCAGUUUUAUUUAUUCUAAUGCAGAACUUCAACCUUACUUAAUUCAGUUUCCAUUUCAACACUAAGCAUAUAUACAUUCAUACGUAUAUACAUGUACAUAUACAUUUAUAUGUACAGCUUGUUCACAUUCCACCACCUUAUAUUAUAUAGAACUUUCACAUUAAUUACUUUUCACCCAAACUAGUCCACUUGACAUCAACAUAGAGCAUUCUCUAGAUUCAUACAGUCAAAUAGGCAUUAGCAACUUAGAAAUUCUAAGUUAGACAUUUUGCUCUAGGUUUCACAUGGCACUUAGAGGCUUAACAAUCAUAAUCUAUCAUUCAAACUCUUCCCUAAUUUAAACACAAUAACAUUAAGUAGGNUACACUAGGUUAUCAUUUAGAAAGCAUAAGGAAUGGAGCUACUAUGCAAUCCUACAAUGCAACAUGUAAAAGAUGAGAUUAAAUGCAAUCUAAGACAUAGAAAGGAGUUCGAAAGCUUCGGGAUGGCACCCCCCACCUUUUAUCGAUGUAGAGGCUUGGAAAUUCUUCUCGGCGAACCUUACGAAAUGGCUUUAACCUUCCUUGCCCAAGACAAUGCUAAUUCGGCCCUAUUUUGCCGAGAACUUCACGCCGGCUCGCCGAAUGCUAAAACCGACUUCGCCCCCGCGUUUUGUGACCUAGCAAUUGGGUUUCCAAGGCAUCAAAUAAGAUCAAUCUCAUACUUUCACAAAAACUCCAUUUUGGAGCCCUAGGUUUGCACCUAUAGCAAACCACCAAUAAAUCCCUAGAUUCUUGGGAUUGAUCUACUUAGAAGCAUGCUUAGGAUCUAUUUGACCCAUUCCAAAGCAUCAAAACCCAAAACCCUAAGUUCUAGAAGCUAGGGUUUAGUAGCUUAGCUCUAGAGCUACUUCAAAGAGAAUAUGAGAAGGAGAUGAGGGUGUCCAAAGCCUUCCUCUUGAUCUCCUUCUUCUUCUCCUUCUUGUUCUUCUUCUUCCUUUUCUUCCUCUCCUUCUUGUUCUUCUUCUUCUUUUCCUUUCUUUUCUAGAGAGAGAGAGAGAGAAAAUAUGAGAGGGAGAGAGUGUGAGUGAGGGUGAGAGAGGAAGAGAGCUCAGCCCCUCUAAUCCCCCCUACUAAUGCCAUUUUGCAUAAAAACCCCUCAACUUUUAAUCCUAUACACCGCCCUUACUGGGCAAAAUUCGCGCGGAGGGACCGGUCUCCCCAACUUGGGACCGGUCCCCGAGGGUCUCCCUCGGGCGCACGCGUUCGGGAACCGGUCUCUUCCCGGGAGACCGGUCCUUGGGAGACCGGUCCUCACCUGAGAGACCGGUCCCCGAGAGCUCGAUUUUUAGGACUUAGCCAAAUUUCGGCCUUUCUCGCGGUUUUCACCUACAGGAACCGGUCCCUCCCAGCUCAGGGACCGGUUGCAUCAAGCAACCCCGCGACUGUAGCUACAUGGACCGAUCCUCCCCUCCAGGGACUGGUCCCAGAGAGCAAAAUCUGCCAAGUCCAGAUUUUUGCUUAUUUGCUCUCGCGGACUCAACUCCAAAGCACUUUUUGUGUUUUGGACAUUUUCAACUCGCACAAAGGGUAUUCUCNCAACUCCAAAGCACUUUUUGUGUUUUGGACAUUUUCAACUCGCACAAAGGGUAUUCUCUCGACAGUUAGUCGAUCCUGGAUGAAGUACAAUCCUCGGAUUUCGAGAAUUCACUUCCUCACAUCCUCCCCUCUUUAACAGGAGUUUCGUCCUCGAAACUAACUCAAUUCUUAACUUUAACUCAAACCCAUGCCUUACUCGAAUAGAUAAGGAUGGUGUUUUCUCAUCAAAUUCUCGAGUUCCCAGGUGGCUUCGCGAUCCUCGUGAUUGCUCCACCUAACCUUCACAUAGGAAAUUUCUCGAUUCCUUAACUUUCGCACCUCUGGGGCGAUAAUUCCUACCGGAAACUCUUCAUAGCUCAAGUCUCCUUGAAGUUCCGACGGCUUAUAUAGCAUUGCGUGCUCGGGGUCGUGAAUGUACUUGCGGAGAUUGGAGACAUGGAACACACUGUGUACAUCUGCAAGCUUCGGCGGCAAAGCAAGUCGGUAGGCCACCGUGCCGACUCGCUCCAAUAUCUCAUAUGGUCCAAUAUAUCAGGGACUCAGUUUUUCCCGCACUCCAAACCGCUUCACACCCCGCAUCGGUGAAACUUUCAAGAAUACGCGGUCGCCUACCGCGAAUUCUAUAUCUCGACGGCGCCUAUCUGCAUAGCUUUGCUGUCUCGACUGCGCCGUGAGCAAUCUCUUGCGAGCAAGACGGACUUUCUCCUCCACUUCUCGCAAAACAUCGGGGCCGAAUUCUGUACGUUCACCCACAUCGCUCCAGUGUAUAGGGGACCGACACGUUCACCCAUAGAGAGCCUCGAACGGUGCAACUCCAUACUAGCAUGAUAACUGUUGUUGUAGGCGAACUCAGCCAUAGGUAGGUGGUCAUACCAACUUCCCUUAUACUCAAUGACACAUGCUCGCAACAUGUCCUCCAGAGUUUGAAUAGUUCUCUCUGUUUGCCCAUCGAUCUAAGGAUGAAAUGCGGUGCUAAAGUCGAGCCGUGUGCCAAGGGCUUGCUGCAGGCUCUUCCAGAAGUGUGAAGUGAACCAGGGGUCACGAUCCGACACGAUGGAUUUCGGCACCCCAUGCAGUCUCACUAUCUCGUCAAGAUAUACCUGCGCUAACUUGUCACCCGACCACGUGGUGUGGAUCGGCAAGAAGUGAGCCGACUUUGUCAAGCGGUCUACAAUUACCCAAAUUGCAUCGUGGCCGCCUCUUGAGCGAGGCAAGCCGACUACGAAGUCCAUCGAUAUAUCCUCCCACUUCCAAACGGGGAUUGGUAGGCUUUGAAGCUUUCCCGCUGGAAAUCGACGCUCGGCCUUUACUUGUUGGCAUGUUAAGCACUUCGCUACAAAGCGUCCAAUAUCACCUUUCAUUCCCGGCCACCAAUAGUGCAUCUUUAGUCCCUGAUACAUCUUGGUGCCGCCCGGGUGAUCGGCAUAUGGAGAUCGGUGUGCUUCUUGCAAAAUCAAUUCACGAAGCUCUCCAUCUUUCGGCACACACCAUCGGUUUCGAAACCGAAGUGCACCAUCGGCGUCUACCUUGAAAUCGCCGCCAUGCCCUUUCUUAAUGUUUCGUCGCACCUUUUGGAGUUCUGGGUCUGCGGGUUGCAGAUCUUUGAUCCUCUCCAACAAGGUCGGUUGGACAACGAGUGCCAUCAACUGAGAUGGAGUCUCGGGAGUAACUACUUCGAGGUCCAGUCGCUCUAUCUCCAGCCAUAGGGGAGUUUGAUUGGUAACCCACAUGGCAAGGUUCUCCGCUGACUUCCUACUCAGCGCAUCUGCGACCACAUUUGCCUUCCGAGGUGGUAGAGGAUAUCAACAUCAUAAUCCUUUAACAGCUCCAAGCACCGCCGCUGACGCAUGUUGAGCUCCUUCUGUGUGAACAGGUACUUCAAGCUCUUGUGGUCGGUAUAGAUCUCACAAUGGGCACCAUAUAAGUAGUGCCUCCACAGCUUCAAGGCGAAAAUCACCGCCGUUAGCUCCAAAUCGUAGAUGGGGUAGAUCUUUUCAUAGCUCUUCAGCUGACGGGAUGCGUAGGUAAUUACCUUCCCGUUUUGCAUCAAGACACACCCUAAUCCAAGAUAGGAGGCAUCGCUGUAGAUCACGAAGUCUUCGCCCUGCACCGGCAGAGCGAGCACCGGGGUCGAAGUCAACUUUUUGCUUCAACUCUUUGAAAUUCCGGUCGCACUCUUCGCUCCAAACAAACUUGGUGCUUUUCUGAGUCAGACGGGUAAGUGGAAUCACUAUCUUGGAAAAGCCUUCCACAAACCGCCUAUAGUAGCCCGCCAAGCCCACGAAGCUUCGAACCUCCGUGACAUUUGUCCGGCGCGGCCAAUCCUUGAUUGCCUCAACCUUCCUUGGGUCUACAGAAACUCCACCCGCGGAAAUCACAUGCCCUAGGAAGGUGACCUCUCGGAGCCAGAAGUCACACUUCUUCAGCUUAGCAUAUAGCUUCUCCUCCCGAAGGACUUGAAGCACUAUUCUCAAAUGCUCGGCAUGUUCCUCGUCACUACGAGAAUAGACCAAUAUGUCGUUUAUAAAGACCACGACAAAUCGAUCCAAAAACUUCCUGAAGACAUGGUUUAUCAAGUCCAUAAUGCCGCUGGAGCAUUCGUGAGUCCAAAUGGCAUGACCGUGAAUUCGUAAUGUCCAUACCGCGUGCGGAACGCGGUCUUCUGCACAUCCUCCGGGUUGAUUUUCAGCUGGUGAUAGCCGGAUUGCAAUUCUAUCUUCAAGUACACACACGAUCCCUGCAACUGAUCGAACAAGUCAUCGAUUCGAGGUAGUGGGUACUUGUUCUUGAUCGUGACUCUGUUCAAUUCUCGAUAAUCCACGCAGAGUCGAAACGAUCCAUCCUUCUUCCGCACAAACAGCACCGGGGCUCCCCACGGUGAUACACUUGGCCGGAUAAAUUGCUUGUCGAGGAGGUCUUGCAAUUGACUUCUCAACUCUUUCAGUUCUGCCAGCGCCAUUCGGUACGGAGCCUUCGAGAUCGGUGCGGUACCGGGAACCAAGUCUAUAAUGAACUCGAUCUCCCGGUCCGGUGGUAUCCCCGGCAACUCCGCAGGAAACACGUCCGGGAACUCCCGCACCACCGAUAGCUCCUCUAACGUUGGAGCUACUCGUUCCACUUCCACAACAGUCGCUAAGAAUGUCGUGCAACCGCUGUUAACUAACUUCCUUGCUCUCGUCGCCUACAUCGUCGCGACGAAGCACGAGCUUUGACAUGCCCGAUAUGUGAACUCUCUUGUCCUGGCUCAUGGAACGUGAUCACCCUGCUCUUGCAGUCGAUCGUUGCGUGGUCCUUCGAAAGCCAGUCCAUCUCCAGAAUGACGUCAUAAGCCUCAAGCUUCUGGAGUUCUAGCGUCUGAAUAGGCAUUAUCCAGUUACCCACUUGUACUGGACAUGACGCACACUCCGAGUAGGUAUUAAAUGUCGACCCAGGGCCCUCCACUCGCCACUUGUCACUUGCCUCAAUGAGUAUGUCAUGCAUGCGUGCGAAUGAUCUACUUAUGAAUGAAUGUGUGGCUCCUGUAUCAAAUAAAGCCUUGGAGCGAACUCCGUUAAUCAAAACCAUACCUGCCACACGGCGAUGCUCCUCCGCCUCCGCAGGUUCCUCAGCUUGGACCUGAGCAGCGAACACCCGUCCGCUCGGGGCCGAUCGUACCACUUCAGGUUGACGCGGCGUCAUCGCGCGUUCCGUCGACGCGGCUGUCGGUGGAGCUCCUCCAUAAUGAGCCAGAAUCGCCAACGCCGAUGCAAUCGAUGGGGCAGGGGAGGCUCCUCCUCCCGGGCAGUCCCGAAUGAAGUGCCCCGGUUGCCCACACUUGUAGCACUUGCCUCGGCCUUGCUCACAGCGUGAGACUGGGUGGUCUCCGCCGCAUACAAUGCAUCGCCGCACUCCACCGCCCUUCUGUUGAGUGCACGGAUACUUCGGGGGUUUCUUGUAACGUGUUUGUCCCCCGGAACUACCGCCGCCUUGGCGUUUCUUGCCCUUGUCCUUGGACUCAGCCAAAAGCUCACGCUUCUCUCGAACAUGGGCAUCUCCGUGCUCCGCCCAUAGGGCUCGAUCAAAUACCUCCGCAAAGGUCGUGAGCUUGAGUAUUUGCACGGCCUUGUAGAUUCCCGGUAGAAGUCCUCGCAAGAACCACUCGGCCCGGUCCCGGUCAUCUUUUACAAUAUCCGGGACACAGUAUAUGAUAUGGGAGAAUUCUUGUUCAUACUCCGCCACUGCGCGGUCCCCUUGCUCUAGCUUGCGGAACUUCUCGUUGAGCUUCCGCUUCAAUGUAUCUGGAAAAUAGUUGGCGAACAUUUUUCGCUUGAAUUCGUCCCAUAACAUUGGCGGAAGGCCGGGAAGCUGAUCCCGUUUGACGCGCUUCCACCAAACUUUCACCGCCUUUUCCAAGCAAUGGGUGGCGAGGUACACUUUAUCUCUCUCCAAAGUGCGCAAGUCUUCAAAGAGGGUCUCCAUUGAGUCAAUCCAAGACUCGACCAUCUCCGGUUCCACCUUCUCGCCCUCGAAGAUUGGCGGAUGGAACUUGUUGAACUUGAUAAGAGCCGCCAAGGCGCGCUCUCCCUCCACGUCUUCGGCCGACACAUCGGGUGUAGCCGAUCCCGAUGACGCCUGUGGUACGAUCGUUGGCGGUGGGCGUGCCGUCACCGAAACCGCCACUAUGCCCUCACCCUCAGCCGUUCCGUGUAUAUGAGUCGAGGGUGCGGGCGGAUCACCGCCCUCAUUCACCGUCGCAGCUGCCGCCGCGAUCUGCCGCUCUAAUAGAUCCUGGAGCCGCUCAAAUCGGGUCUCCUGGCACUGCACCACGUUGGUCAGCACGGUCACCUGCGCUUGCAACCGAUCGAUCACGCUCGGUUCCUCCUGCUCGGGCACCUUAGGAAUCGGUGCUGGGGCAGAUCUACGCGUAUAGCGUCUUGGAGACAUUAGUCCCUGAAACGCAAAUACUUGGUCAGUCAUCUUAACCAAUUAUCUCGUCGCAAUUACGACACAUGACGAUUCAACCACAAAAUCGGGCGGAAGCACACAAGGGCACUCGUUCUAGACUCUUGGUAUCAUGUCGUCGGCCGCCGACACAACCACCUCAAGACAAGAACUCAUACCUCUUGAAUUCGUCUCUUAUCAUAACUAGAGACAUAUUACCAACUUCGACCCAAUCGAAUCCACUUCCGCCAUCGCUAUAGGUUCACGUUUCGCUCACGCACCUAUAACGUUAAGGCUUACCAACCGAGGGUCUCCUAGGUCAUCCUAGACUCUCUCUUUACUUGCUCUUAUUGCUCUGAUACCACAAAGGCUAUCAUGCCCCGCCCCGAAACCACUACCAAUUUGGCACGAUUCGGGCGCGCCGAGCGAACCGCCGAGCGGACAGCACCUCCCCUACCCGCCCAAGGCUCACAACAAGAAUGUGUACAAGAAUUUUCCAGAAAUUUAAAUUCUAAAUAUACACAUUCAACGGGGCACGAAUAGUGCCAGCAACUACAAGAGCAAACAAUCCACAGGAAUAACAUGUGAAAUAAAGAGAGUACUUUACUAACUAUUACAAUAGUUCAUUUACAUCAUUUUCUUUCAAUGAUUACAUCAUUCAUCCAAAAUACAUAGCUCUCCAAGUCCUCACCUACAAUGAAUCUCUCUCAAUACAUAGGUGUACUAAUGCAAAAAGGAAAGCUACUAUACUACCACGGUCUCACUGAUCGGGCGCGAUGCCCUUGCCGCGGUCCUCCCUCGGCAGCCCUGUACCUACCACUGGAAAUAGAGUGGGGUGAGAACUAUCUUUCAUAGUUCCCAGUGAGCUCGGCCGCCGACUCUGCCGGUCUCCUCAUUAGGUCCAAGUGGGCACAAGUAACAACAGAUAGAUUGUCACGUCCCGCUAUCGCCAAUUUGGUUGAUCCGGGCCCGUACACAGACGCCGAACGAACAGAACCUCCUCUAUCCGCCCAAGGCUCAACAACAACGAGUACAUGUAUAAAGAAAUAAACAAUUCCUAGGAUAACAUUUCAAUAUACAUGGCUUGCACGAGGGCAAGCAACAAGCACAAGUGAUAGUAAGCUAGCUAUACUGAAAAUUCACCGUAAUUUAAAAAUUUUAAACUGAACUUUACAUAACUGAAUAACUGAAACAUUUAGUUAUUUACAACUUUAUAAUACAUUCAUUUACAUGUCUCUGUACAUCAAAAUGUCUCACAUGAACUCAAAAUGGUAUACCACUAAACACUGGUGUCUGCUAGCUAGGCUGCAGGGCUCUUGCCGCGAUCCUCGGCCACAAUGCUCGCACUGGAACCUGUAUGGUUAGUGGUGUGAGAACUACUAAAAGUUACCAGUGGGUUCGGCCGCCGACCUCGCCGACUCACCCACUAGGUCCAUUUAGGCAUACGCAGGCAAAAGAAGUAAACAGAUAGUAACCAACUAUAACAUGUAACUACUAUAAUGCCUGUACAAAGCUAAAGGAAGCAAUAUAUGAAAACUGUAAAUAUGCAUGCAUGCUUUUACUGAAUUUACCCAAUCUUUUGGUUAACCUUUUGGUUAACAAUAACUCUCACUGACACUAUCCCAAAUAUCGGGGAGACGCAAGCUACACCCGAUGGGACUGUCAACUGGGGGAGACGCACCUCCUGGUCCAGUUAAGAUGACUACUUCGGAGUUCAUCGUUCAAGGAGGAGCGACCUACCUUGAACCAAACGAAUGUGAGUAUGAUCUGAUCCUUCUUUAGAGGAUUCAACAAUAGACAAUGUCACACUUUGACUCCAACUAGCUCUUUAUGCUGGUUUCACAAUUCCAUUUCUCGAUGCUAACCAAAUCUCUAAUUAGAAUGUCACCAAGUUUACUAUUGUUAUAGUCCAUGCAUUCAUAGGGUUCUAUGUCACACAUUCUAAUUGUUCACAAUAUUCUCCAUGUUGAUAGCAUGUUGUAUAAUCAAUAUAUCAUUAUACAUAAACAUAUCAAUACCCCUACAAUGCAUGAUUACAAUGUAAAUAUGCUCAAUGAAUAUCAUAGACAUAAAAGGUGAUUCAAAGAUUCGGAUAGCCCACCCACCUGUAGUGGUGUCAACAACUAGAAUCCACGUCUCCGACAUGUGCCCAACAACAAUAUCAGCGACUCAAUGCAUUAAGACCGAAUUGGCUUCUACUCGUAAUUAGUACGUCGCCUGACAGACCUGUCGAAUGUCAAUUUAGACUUUCGACGCAAGUUUAACUUUCAUUUAUAAAGGAAUAAAAGAAUUAAAUAUAAGUUAUACUCCUAUUCUAACAAAACUUGCAUUUCACUUCAACAUACAUAUAUAUGUAUAGUGUUAAGGCCUCUAUAACAUAUAUCUUCUUAUUCCAUUCUUUUACGCAGCAGUUUUAUUUAUUCUAAGCAGAACUUCAACCUUACUUAAUUCGUUUCCAUUUCCAACACUAAGCAUAUAUAUCAUUCAUACGUAUAUACAUGUAACAUAUACAUUUAUAUGAGCAGCUUGUUCACAUUCCACCACUUAUAUUAUAUAGAACUUUCACAUUAAUUAUUUUCACCCAAACUAGUCACCUUGACAUCAAACAUAGAGCAUUCUCUAGAUUCAUACAGUCAAAUAGGCAUUAAGCAACUUAGAAAUUCUAAGUUAACAUUUUGCUCUAGGUUUCACAUGCACUUAGAGCUUAACAAUCAUAAUCUAUCAUUCAAACUCUCCUAAUUUAAAACACAAUAACAUUAAGUAGGAAAUAGAUCAACCUAUUUCAGUUUUUAUCUCUAUCAUAAUUCACCUAUAUAUAUACUAUACUACAUAUAGCUCUUUAUAUUUAAUCCAUGGUUAUAUUCAACUCCAUAAGCUAAAUUAUGCAUAAUUAACUUUUCUUAUAAUCAGCAAUUAGCAUCAUUCCCAUUUCAGGAAUUUGAGCUAAUUAUACUCCAAAUUUCAUUCUUAAUAAUGCUAGGCAUAUAAUAUAUAUAUAUAUAUAUAUAAUAUAUAUAUAUAUAAAUAUAUAUAUAUAUAUAUAAUAUAUAUAUAUAAGAGUAGGGCUAAAAUACUUUUACAAGUAAUCACCUAAGUGAUACUUGUGUGUUUCUAGCCCUUGGAUGGAGAGAUGGGAGGUUGAGAUGAUGGGGUGGUGGUUGUAGGUGGAUAUGUGUUUUGAUCCAAGGGCUAUUUGUAAUCAAAAAGUAGAUCCAAUGGCUAAAAAGGUGAUAGACUUGGGAUUGAUACUUGUAAAAGUAUCCUAUAUAUAUAUAAUGCUAUAUUUUUUUUUUAUAAUCUCUAGGCUUUCUACAUACUACUACGUUACAAGCCUUUAAUCAUAUAAAACCCUCUCAUAGGUAGUUAGAACAAACCUUAAUUAAGAUCUCAACCAACUUAAGUCUCGUUCAUAUUUCUAACCAAUAAUUCAUAUGCAUUCUUUCCAACAUAUAGCUUAUUAGAGAUUUGCUCAUGAUGAUAUAAGCUCUAAAAGCUAACUAUCCAUUUGUUCAACUCAUUCUAGAGUAGAUAACAUCACUCUAAUUAAGAAAUAUUCUAAUUCAUACCUCAAUUUCUUUCUUUCUAGCUGAAUCCCUGCUCACUAGCCUCUUCUCAGCUCACAAUACCCAAAUUCACUAAACUCUUCUUCAAAAACCAUUCUAGUGCUUUAGAGAAAGAGAGGAAGAAAAAGCUAAAAAGAAGAGGUGAGAAGAUAAGCUCCAAUACGUAUGAAGCUGCUGGGGUUGUUGGCUGUAGAUAAGACUAAGAAAAAAUGCAAUUAAGCCCCUCCACAAUGCUGCAAUUGCAGUUUUCACAAAACAAUCCUGCAGUUUACGAAACAGUCCCUGCAGUUUACAAAACAGUCCCUGCUGGCAGCCGCAGCCUUGGCAGCCCAUUUCUCACUUCUAGCUCGCUCCGAUUUCAUCCCAACACUUCCAAAACAUGCUAAUCUCUAUGCCCAAACUACCAAUUUAAUUUGGAAGCAUUUAAUUUUUAAUUUUGUAUUAAUUUGAUCAUUUUGAACAAAUCGACUAAAAAUUUCAGCUUUAGAGUAGCAAUAGCAAUUGGAGGUCUUUAGCCACUUCGAUUCCAUUCGUGUCUAUUCUCAUACUUCCAAAACAUGUCAAUUGCUGUUCUCAAGCUACUAAUUAAGUUUAGAAACACUUAAUUUCCAUUUUAGCAUCAUUGCGACCACUUUGAUCACAAUUAGCUCGAGAUAAAUUUUCAAUGCAUUACAUAGAUAGAUAGAUAUGUAUCUGGAAACUGUAAAUGCAAUAGUAGGAAAACUAUGCUACUAUGCCCAUAAUCAUGAAUAUGAAUGCAUGCAUCAUAUAAUAAAGGUUUGCUACUGUCACGCCCCGGGACCGGCGGAUGCCCUCCCUCUCGAAUAAAAGGCGUCUAGAAUAAAAGCGGAAGUAGAAGCAAGUAAUAAUACGAAUAGAAUAGUAACAACUAGUGAUAUCAGAGCGAGUAAAAUUCUAUCAUCUACACCGAAGUGAAGAAAUAAAGCUAGACAAUAAAAGAAACCAUAAGCAGUACAAUAACUGUGUCUAGUAUAAAAAUGGUGGUCUCUAGUACACUGGUAAAACCCUCAACCUCUCGCAAAAUAAAAUAAGACAUCGAGAGGUAGACCACCUAGCAACUCGUCAUCGAAGGAAGCUAGCUCGAAGCAACUCCCUUCCCGCGAUCCCUGGCCUCACCCUGCGUGGAAGGCUCUGAAAAACAUCGAGAAAAAGAGGGCGUGAGAACUAUAAUUUAUAGUUCCCAGUGGGCAAUUACUGACCUCAGCUCAAUGCACCACUAGGCCCCAAAAGAAGAGGGUAAGUACAAUAAUAAUAGCAAUAAUGACUGCGAUAUAAAGGCAUAAUUAAAAUGCUAAAUUACUAAACUCAAGUAUAAACGAUGUCAUGGUGAUGUACAUCUACGAUAUCAAAAUAGUAGGUCAUUAACCUUCAUGAAUACAUUAUGCAUAAGUUCUGUCAUGGCAACCAAGUAUGCUUUAAUGCAAAAUGGAGACUAUCAAGUAUACUACAUGUCUCAACACUAGGCUAAAAGCAUAUAAAUGUAAUUCAACUUCUAAACCUAUCUAGUAGUGAUUAACCAUUCUCAACACCGUGUCGAUUUUCAUUUCCAAUUAAGGACCUACCAAAGGUAGUCUAGCUUGUGCCGCCUAAGUGCCUGUGGUAGUCCAACAUCCCUACUCUUGGAAUGUGUCUGUCCCACUCGACCCCGUAGGCUUCUCAAUACCGCACGAGCGAACAUAAGUCGCGUAGGCUAAUUCCGGAGUGCCGGCUUGUAGGGAGCGACCCUCACAAGCAUGUGCGAAUGAGCACAAAUGGCAAGCAAGCAUAGUCCAAGUCUCAAAUAUCCAAUCCUCAUGUCUCUAACAUGGUAUGGUCACUGGCAUCCCGAAGAUCUAGUUUAAGUCACAAUGUGAAGUUUCAACAUUUGCUAUGCCUAGUGCCCCUUGAUGACACUUAGGCAAUCUGAUGUUCAAUAUGUAUUUCAAAUCCCUUGAUGGCCCUAUCCAUUAGGUUCACACGCGUCCCGAGCUCAAUGCCGCUUGAUGACAUUAGCUCUCUAANGCAUACAACUCAUGCAUUCUUUAACAUCUAUCUCUUGCCUCAUGCAUUCAUAAUUAGCAUGUUUAUCAUGCAUUCAUAAUUAGCAUGUAUCUCAUGCAUCAUUUACAAUGUGGACUACCAUUACUUGCAUUCAUUACUAGCACAUAUGUUAUACUUUUAUUUAGCAUUUAACUCAUGCAUUCACUCAACAUAUACUCUAUACAUUCAGUAGCAUCUAGCUCUUGUUAAUUAUUUAGCAACUAGCUCAUGUAUUUAGCAUCUAGUUCAUGCAUUAUUCACUUGGUAAUUAACUACCACAUCAUGCAUCAAUAAUGAGACAUAUACCACUUUGGCAUGGAAGCGACCUAAUCGCUUCGGUAGAGCACAACCCACUUGUAAUGCUCUCCGAUUGCUUGUAGUCACUUGCAAUCGGGCUCCCGCGGCACACGUGAUCCGAUUCGGCUUCAACUCGCGAUUGAUCGCCGAACGCCAACAAUCCGCAACGUAGGGUCAUCAAAGGCUCAUCUCUAAACUUUAAUUAGAAAACAAUAGGGUUAAAUGAGAUCAAAACCCUCAUUUACCCAUAAUCCCCAUUUUCUAAGCCUAGUGUCACGCCCCGCCCCGAAACCACUACCAAUUUGGCACGAUUCGGGCGCCGCGAGCGGACCGCCGAACGGACAGCACCUCCCCUGCCCGCCCAAGGCUCACAACAAGAAUGUGUACAAGAAUUUUUCAGAAAUUUAAAUUCUAAAUAUACACAUUCAACGGGGCACGAAUAGUGCCAGCAACUACAAGAGCAAGCAAUCCACAGGAAUAACAUGUGAAAUAAAGAGAGUACUUUACUAACUAUUACAAUAGUUCAUUUACAUCAUUUUCUUUAAAUGAUUACAUCAUUCAUCCAAAAUACAUAGCUCUCCAAGUCCUCACCUACAAUGAAUCUAUCUCAAUACAUAGGUGUACUAAUGAAAAAAGGAAAGCUACUAUACUACCACGGUCUCACUGAUCGGGAGCGAUGCCCUUGCUGCGGUCCUCCCUCGGCAGCCCUGUACCUACCACUGGAAAUAGAGUAAGGUGAGAACUAUCUUCCAUAGUUCCCAGUGAGCUCGGCCGCCGACUCGGCCGGUCUCCCCACUAGGUCCAAGUGGGCACAAGUAACAACAGAUAGAUAGAUAGAUAUGUAUCAGAAAACUAUAAAUGCAAUAGUAGGAAAACUAUGCUACUAUGCCCAUAAUCAUGAAUAUGAAUGCAUGCAUCAUAUAAUAAAGGUUUGCCACCAUGCUAACAAAUUCGAUCCAUGUUCGAAUAGUAAUGUUCAAUGACAUUGAUAAACCUUCACCUUUCCAUUUACCCAAUCUGUGGCGAGGCCCUAGGGCUCACCUAUAACUCACCUUUCAAUACUAAAUUAGGGAGGGAGCUCCAAGUGCACCCAAGCCCGGGACCGUCUGCGGACCUCCAUGUGGUUCGGACCUCCAAGUGGUCCUAGUCGCAUGACACUCCGGAGUACUCGACGACAAUCCCCUCCAUGUGGGGAUAUGGAUGGCUAUACCACCCCAAAAGCAGACUGUGAGCUAGAUCUAUCCUCUCCAAGUGAGGAUACACUACCACUAGGGUCAACAACCCAAUCCAAUCCUCUCCAAGUGAGGAUGCACUACAACUAGGGUCAACAACCCAAUCCGAUCCUCUCCGAGUGAGGAUGCCCUACAACUAGGGUCAAUGUCUCAAUAACUCAUCGACAACCUCUCCAUGUGAGGUUACUUAGGUUUACUAAGUUCUUGUCCACAAGGCAUUUUCUAAGGGGUCCACCUAUCCCUAGGUUCUCAAACCUCUAGUGUCAUUUACACUACAUUAAUGCCACUCGUCAUCAUUUAACAUUUGGAUGCCACUCGUUUGUUCUUUAACAUUAACACUACUUUCUAUGUCAUCGACACCCCCAUCGGGUUCAUCUCUUUUCUUUCGCAUCAUAGGAUCCACGUUCCGACCCAAUCCUCAUCUAUCUAAGUCACCAAGUGUUCCAAGUACACUAGGUUAUCAUUUAGAAAGCAUAAGGAAUGGAGCUACUAUGCAAUCCUACAAUGCAACAUGUAAAAGAUGAGAUUAAAUGCAAUCUAAGACAUAGAAAGGAGUUCGAAAGCUUCGGGAUGGCACCCCCCACCUUUUAUCGAUGUAGAGGCUUGGAAAUUCUUCUCGGCGAACCUUACGAAAUGGCUUUAACCUUCCUUGCCCAAGACAAUGCUAAUUCGGCCCUAUUUUGCCGAGAACUUCACGCCGGCUCGCCGAAUGCUAAAACCGACUUCGCCCCCGCGNAGGGUAAGUACAAUAAUAAUAGCAAUAAUGACUGCGAUAUAAAGGCAUAAUUAAAAUGCUAAAUUACUAAACUCAAGUAUAAACGAUGUCAUGGUGAUGUACAUCUACGAUAUCAAAAUAGUAGGUCAUUAACCUUCAUGAAUACAUUAUGCAUAAGUUCUGUCAUGGCAACCAAGUAUGCUUUAAUGCAAAAUGGAGACUAUCAAGUAUACUACAUGUCUCAACACUAGGCUAAAAGCAUAUAAAUGUAAUUCAACUUCUAAACCUAUCUAGUAGUGAUUAACCAUUCUCAACACCGUGUCGAUUUUCAUUUCCAAUUAAGGACCUACCAAAGGUAGUCUAGCUUGUGCCGCCUAAGUGCCUGUGGUAGUCCAACAUCCCUACUCUUGGAAUGUGUCUGUCCCACUCGACCCCGUAGGCUUCUCAAUACCGCACGAGCGAACAUAAGUCGCGUAGGCUAAUUCCGGAGUGCCGGCUUGUAGGGAGCGACCCUCACAAGCAUGUGCGAAUGAGCACAAAUGGCAAGCAAGCAUAGUCCAAGUCUCAAAUAUCCAAUCCUCAUGUCUCUAACAUGGUAUGGUCACUGGCAUCCCGAAGAUCUAGUUUAAGUCACAAUGUGAAGUUUCAACAUUUGCUAUGCCUAGUGCCCCUUGAUGACACUUAGGCAAUCUGAUGUUCAACAUGCAUUCCAAAUCCCUCAAUGGCCCUAUCCGCUAGGUUCUCACAUGUCCCGAGCUCAAUGCCGCUUGAUGACAUUAGCUCUCUAGUUCACAUACCUUCUAAGUGGCAAUCUUGUCAUCUUUCAUGUCACAAGUGAACUCAAGUUUAAAUGCAUGAAUCCGAACUCAUUUACACUAUAGAAGUAUGAAACCAAGUCUCAUAAAGAAUGCUAAAUGCAACCAUAAAUCUCCCAAGCAACUCCCUACUACAAAGGGGUCCAAAAUUUCAUCAUAUAUAACAUAGACCUUUUAGGCAUUCUAAAAUUCACAAUAAAUACAUAUAACAAGAAUAUGCAUACCUUUUCAUUUAACGAUGCUUAAUUAAGCACAAAUGAGAAUUUCUCAAUGUGUGGCUAGGUCAAACCCACCGAACCGUCGCGUAGCAUCUCGUUUCGCCGAACAAAGUUGUCCCCGAGUCCCAAAAUACCCUAAAAGCAUUGAGCGACAAGAUACACGGGCAUUACGAUCAAUCUAUAAGGUCAAACUUUAACAAAAUUAGCAAAAGGGCUAAAACUCACCCAAUGUGUGGAAAAUCUCUCUCAAGCUCCAAAAGAGAGCUAAAUCCCUUCCAAUCCAAGCCCAAGGAAGGUUCUAAUCCAACCAAUUUAGUUCCAAAAGCCCUAGAUCAAAAAGCCCCAAAAUCAACCCUAAAACCUCAUUCUAGGGUUCCAAUACAAUAAAACCUCAAAUCCAAGGUCUAGAUGGAGAGAAAGAGCUACCAACCUCUAAGAAACUCCAAUCCAAGCUCCAAGGGUGAAGUUCUCCUCUUUGGCAAGCUCCAAGUCCAAGCUUCAUGCACCAAGGAAGAAGAGAGGGUGAGGAAGAUGCUCCAAGUCCACUAGUAGCUCUCAAACUUCUUCUUCUUCCUUCCUUCUUCUCCUUCUCCUUCUCCUUCUUCUCUAUCUAGGGUGGAGAGAGAGUUAAGAGGAGAGAAAUGAGGAGAGGAGAGAGGGGAUGGGUCAUAUAGACCAUCUAUUGUAACAAAAUCCAGCUAGGUCCUCCAAAAAUCCAAAAUUACCACAGCCCGGUCUGGGCAGUUUUCGCCCAGAGGGACCGGUCUCUCCCCAGCAGGGACCGGUCUUUCCCUGCGAACCCGAAAAACCAACGUUCGGGAACCGGUCUCUCCCUGUGUGGGACCGGUCUCUCUCUGCGAAGGCGCGCACGGGGACCGGUCUCGCCCGCCAGGGACCGGUUGUCUCAGGGCUGCCGCAACACUGUUCACUGGGGGACCGGUCUCUCCUCCCAGGGACCGGUCCCCGAGAGUAAAAACUCUCAGGACUUAUCCAGAAUUCCAGUUUUCGAACUUUUUAGGUCGGAAAACAUUCUACAACCCUCCACCAAGUGCGGAAAAGCUCGAAAUACAUCCAAACACUCGAACNACCUCUAGUGUCAUUUACACUACAUUAAUGCCACUCGUCAUCAUUUAACAUUUGGAUGCCACUCGUUUGUUCUUUAACAUUAACACUACUUUCUAUGUCAUCGACACCCCCAUCGGGUUCAUCUCUUUUCUUUCGCAUCAUAGGAUCCACGUUCCGACCCAAUCCUCACCUAUCUAAGUCACCAAGUGUUCCAAGUACACUAGGUUAUCAUUUAGAAAGCAUAAGGAAUGGAGCUACUAUGCAAUCCUACAAUGCAACAUGUAAGAGAUAAGAUUAAAUACAAUCUAAGACAUAGAAAGGAGUUCGAAAGCUUCGGGAUGGCACCCCUCACCUUUUAUCGAUGUAGAGGGUUGGAAAUUCUUCUCGGCGAACCUUACGAAAAGGUUUUAGCCUUUCUUGCCCAAGAUAAUGCUAAUUCGGCCCUAUUUUGCCGAGAACUUCACGCCGGCUCGCCGAAUCUAAAACCGAUUUCGCCCCCGCGUUUUGUGAUCUAGCAAUUGGGUUUCCAAGGCUUCAAAUGGGAUCAAUCUCAUACUUUCACAAAAACUCCAUUUUGGAGCCCUAUGUUUGCACCUAUAGCAAACCACCAAUAAAUCCCUAGAUUCUUGGGAUUGAUCUACUUAGAAGCAUGCUUAGGGUCUAUUUGACCCAUUCCAAAGCAUCAAAACCCAAAACCCUAAGUUCUAGAAGCUAGGGUUUAGUAGCUUACCUCUAGAGCUACUUCAAAGAGAAGAUGAGAGGGAGAUGUGGGUGUCCAAAGCCUUCCUCUUGAUCUCCUUCUUCUUCUCCUUCUUGUUCUUCUUCUUCCUUUCCUUCCUCUCUUUCUUGUUCUUCUUCUUCUUCUCCUUUCUUUUCUAGAGAGAGAGAGAGAAAAUAUGAGAGGGAGAGAGUGUGAGUGAGGGUGAGAGAGGAAGAGAGCUCAGCCCCUCUAAUCCCCCACUUACUAAUGCCAUUUUGCAUAAAAACCCCUCAACUUUUAAUCCUAUACACUGCCCUUACUGGGCAGAAUUCGCGCGGAAGGACUGGUCUCCCCGACUUGGGACCGGUCCCCGAGGGCCUCCCUCGGGCGCACGCGUUCGGGAACCGGUCUCUCACCGAGAGACCGGUCCUUGGGAGACCGGUCCUCACCUGAGAGAUCGGUCCCCGAGAGUUCGAUUUUUAGGACUUAGCCAAAUUUCGACAUUUCUCUCGGUUUUCACCUACGGGGACCGGUCCUUCCCAGCUCAGGGACCGAUUGCAUCAAGCAACCCCGCGACUGUAGCUACGGGGACCGGUCCUCCCCUCCAGGGACCGGUCCCAGAGAGCAAAAUAUGCCAAGUCCAGAUUUUUGCUUAUUUGCUCUCGCGGACUCAACUCCAAAGCACUUUUUGUGUUUUGGACAUUUUCAACUCGCACAAAGGGUAUUCUCUCGACAGUUAGUCGAUCCUGGAUGAAGUACAAUCCUCGAAUUUCGAGAAUUCACUUCCUCACACCUAGGGUUUCAUGAAUCCUCAAGAACAACAAAUCUCAUGGUUAAACUUUAACCAAGCUAAUUUAGAAUCAUCUAGAGAUUCUAAACAUUUCAUUUACAAAAGAUUUAAUCCAAACCCUAUCUUAAAUCACAAAACUCACCAUGGCUACAUAGCUUUCCACUAUUAAAGAGCUUGCUUCACCAUUGGAGAGCUCCAAGCUUCACCUCCAACUUCAUCUUCUCCAACUUCAUCUUUAAUGGAGAAACUUGCUAGAGAGAGAAAACUAGAGGAGAGAGAAAUGUGAGGAGUGGGCUAAAGAGCAAGAGAGAAAGAGCUCUCUCUCUCUCUCUUGGGUUGAACAAAACAAAGGGAAAAGCCCUUUUGUUACACAAAUAGCCCCCUCAACUAAAUACAAUUUACUUUCAGUUUAGCAGCUCAGGAUCAGAUACUUUUCGUUGGCCCUUCUGAAUGUCCGUCUACGCUCAAAUUUGACAGUUAGACUCGGUUUUUGCUAAAUAAACGGAAUAUAUCUUAAUUUCUCAGUUUCGACCAUUUUUUGUCAGCGAAAGCUCUACUGAGCUGAAAUCUCUAGCAGAUAGCAGUCGGAUUUUAUUUUUCACCUUCCGAAUGUCAGAAUGACAUGAAACUUUAAAUCUAGCAUCAUAAAAAUAAUUCUGAUAUAUUCUCCAGUUUUCAUAAUUUUCUGACACUGUACAUUUUCUGCUAAAAUAUCAGUCCCGUUUCUCACAGAAAAUUCUAAAUUUUCUGUUUUCAUUCCGAUUUCAGCACAAGUCAUUUCCAAUUUAUAUUUUACUUCUUUAAAUCCAAUAAAAAUAGUAUCUCACACUAUUUUUGUCACGCCCCGCGACCGCCCGCCUAUUUGGCCGGGUCGCGGCGCCGCAACAGAUCGCCGAACGGACAGGGUUUCCCCUGUACUGCGGACAGAGUCUCCCCUGUACGUUCAAGGCAUAGCAAUCAAUACAAUGUACAAAGUUCCAACCAGGAACACAUUUCAAUCAAGAUUGCAUAAUGGAAGGUAUCAAACAACAUAACACAUCUUAUGUUAUUACAUGCAUUCACAUUCAUACAUUUUACAUCCCAAAUACUUAUUACAUUUAACUUCCAAAUACAAUCCGAUUUAACAUGAUUAUUACAAUCUUAUUCCUUUCAUUUUCUUACAUCUUUAAGAAAAGCCGACUCAGGGUACCGCUAUCUCUGGUCUCGGUGGUAGGGCGCUAACUAUGAUGCUACGCCCUCGCCUCGCGCCGCCGCGCCGCUCACGUGUGAACCUGUAACACCCCAAAACCACGUGGGGUGAGAACCAACUCCAUGGUUCCCAGUGGGUACGGCCACCCAAGGGAAAAGUUCGACCAAUAGGUCCAAGGGAGGCAACUGCAAGUUAGUUCAAUAAACAGAUAGAUAUAUAUAUCUUGAUUAUGCAACGAAUAAAACCAUGCAUUGCCUCACGAAUGCAAUAAUGUAAUGCUAUAUGCAAAUCAUGCAAUAAUGCAACUAUGCAACCAACUAGUAGUUCAUUUGACACUACUUUCAAAUCUGCUAACCAUAGCUCAUCCAUUCGAUAUCUAAGGUUUCCUCUAUCUUAGAUUCUUGUCAAUCACCGUUUUAAUCAUAAAGUUUCAUCUACCUUUACAAGGCUAACCACCCGACUCGGUCUUGAGUCAAUCGUCUGCGGAGUACCGCACUAGAACCAGGCUCGAGGCGAUGGACGUCUCACAUACACCUCAGCCCUAAAUCCUCUCGACUAGGAUACCAAAUCCAUAACUCAUAAGGUAUACUUGUUGUACAAUCAUUUGGCUAUGACCCAAUCUUACCGGUUAACCAUGUUAACCCCAAUAACUCACAACCAAAUUCCUUAAUAACGGGGGACUCGAACCUCCCUAGGGACCGUCAACUGGUGGGACUUUACCACGCCCAGUGGUGACCAACUCCGGAGCGCACCGCCCGAGGGGGAGCUACCUCCCUCAAGCCAAGACUUAUCGUGAGUGUCGAUCCAAUCCUCAACUUGAGGAUACAUAGCCACUAGUCACAAUGCCAAUGUCACAAUAGGUCUCUACCUAUUUAAUCAUGCCACUCUCUAUGUCAACUUGGACAAAUGUCAAUAUGGUUAAACUAUGUUUAACAAUCACUUUCUUGAUGCCAAUCAUGUCUCUAUUGUCAUUGUCACCCUUGUUUACUAAUGUUCAAGUCCAACUCUCACAUUUACACAAUAAUAGGGUCCUAACAUACAUGAAUGACACCAGAAUAUAUAUGAUCAAUCACCACAAGUGUUUGCUAGGUUCAAGAUGCUAGGUUUAAUGCCACUCGAUCUAAUAUACAUAUAGAUUGUCCACUAUGUUCCACAACAUGGCAAUACGUCAUCAAGUAUGUCUUUCUAUUUAACAUAAUCCACAAUAUGUAAAUUCAUAAUAUAUCAUCAUGCACAUAUACCACUAGCAUCACAUGAUUUGUCAACAUACAUAUAGUCAUUAUCCAAAAUAGUCCAUACGUAGCAUCUCAUGCAUUCUUUUAGCACUUAAUUCAUUAUGCAUUACAUUUAGCAUAUUCUACAACAUGUCAUCAUACAUUCCUUUUAUGAUGUUCUUAUAAUGCUAAUAUUCAUACGCCCUUUAUAUUAUGCAUUCAAAGCAUUAAUCAUAUGCAUUUAUCUAGCAUUUAUAUAGUAUAUUAACAUGCAUUCUUUUCACAUUCUUAUAUUAUGUCAAUAUGCAUCAAUNUAUCUGCCCCGUUUCCAACAGAAAAUUCUAAAUCUUCUGUUUUCAUUCCGAUUUCAGCACAAGUCACUUCUGACUUAUGUUUUACUUCUACAAAUCCAAUAAAAAUAGUUUCUCACACUAUUUUUAUUUAUUUUUAUUUUUAUACCAAAAUCUGGUAUGUUACAAUUUUUAUUUACUAUUAUUUUUAUAUUAAAAUCCGGUAUAUUACAAUUAUAUUCCUCUAUAUAAUAUACGGGAGUUUUUAGAAAACCCUAGCCGUCAUCUCUCUUUUCCUCUCUCUUCCAUCUUCUAGCAAAAGAGGUCUUUUGCAAAGGAGCUAGCACCCCGGUGAGGACAUCGAUCAAAUCAUCAACCUCAUGUGGAUACCUAUAGAGGCCGGACGCGUGUGCGGCUUCAAGAGAACCUAAUUUCACGAUCAUCAAAUUAAGGUGAAGAUCUAUCCGCGCAAAAGGUAAAGAUUCGAUCUUGGUUUUCUCCUUUAAUCUUAAAGAACAUGAGGGAUCCUAAUUGCGUGAUUUUUGAGAUUGGAUCUCGAGAGUUUUCAAAAUCAAAUUUGUUUGAUUUAUUUUUCCGCUGUGUUUUUACCAUACGCAAUUUUCUAACAGUGGUAUAAGAGCCAAGUUCAUGUUUUUAAGAUUAAAAUUAUGAUUUUGGGUAUUUUAAACCAUUCUACGCCGGUUGAACGACAUAUGGAUCGUCUUUGGCUAAUUCGAAAAAUUUAAAUUGAUCAAAGGAUUUAAUCGAUGAUUUCUAGCAAACAAGCAAAAAAAAAAAAGAAGAAGAAGAAAGUUACUGUAAUAUUUUAAAAUUUAAAAUUUAAAAUUAAAUUUUAAAUUUGAUCAUUUUAAAUUUUAAAAUUUGAAUUUUAAAAUUUAAAAUUAAAAUUUAAAAUUUAAAAUUAAAUUUUAAAUUUGAAAAGUUGAGAUUUAAAAAUUCAAAUAUGAAUUUGAAAUUUUAAAAUUUACAUUUAAUGUUAAAUUUAUAGUUUGAAUCUAAACUAAAAAUAAAAAAUUAAAGUUUGAGCUCAAAAUCAGAAUCAAUUUUGAAGGAUUCGAAUACUUCAAAAUCAAUUUUCUGAUUUUGAAAGACAGAAUCAUAUUUUUCAUCUCUGUCGUCCUAAAUGCUUUACUGAACUCAAAAAUUAAUUUUAGUCAGUCACGCCAAAUCAGUUUUUGGACAGGCCAACAUCGUGACCUGUAGUUAUAUACACCUCUCUCCCCGUCGCUGCAACCAAAUCGUGCACCAUCGCGCAUGCCGGUCCAUCAUUCCCCUCCAUCGGCUCUCUCUCCCUCUCUUCGUCGCCCUCAAACCUCCCCCUCGCCCUCGCCCUCGUCCCAGACCACCUACUCCCUCUCCCUCUCUUCUCUUUCUUCAUAUAGCGAGCAUCCCCGCAGCAUUUUUCGUUCCCCACGAGCAUCCUCGCAGCGACAGCCCAUACAACCGUAACCCCCGGCGCAGACGGUUGCCCCCACGAGCACCCCGCCUAUCCCCCCACGCAACGCAGCCACCAGGUCAGUUUGCUAAUUCGUUCAAAAUUAGGUUAUUAUUUAUUAUUAUGUUACAUAUGUCUAAUGCCAUGAAUAUGAUAUGAAUUUCUUCAAUAUAGUGGGCUAUUUUCUCUUCAGUUUAUGCUUCCAUGGCAAGGUUGGAGGUUCUCACAAACCCUUGAUUUAUAUCCUUUUUCUUGGAUAGUUCGAUGCACUAGAUAGGGAAACCCUAGCCUAGAAUUUCUGAUUUGGGGCUAUUGUCACUCGUCUUGCCCAUUUUCUAGGGUUUCUUUAUUAUUUAUAAUGCUUUACGUUGUGUAGCUGACUGGUGCUGUUAAUUUGAUCAACAAGACUGUUAAUUCUGGUUCGUGAGAUGUUUCUUCUAAAUGGAACUGUAAUUUAACAAAAAUACACUCAUCUUAAUGUAAUUUUUGGGACCUUUGGGUUUGCUGUGGCGCCUUGUCGCGCAUUAUCUUGCUUCUUAGUAUCUGCUUGAAUAAGAUAUAUAUGCUAUCUUUUGCUCAAUUUGAUAGCGAAAUAUUUUUCUUUGAAAGAUUUUUUGAAUGUUAUUGAAGGAAGACUGGUUCAAUAGUGGAGGUGCAUUUUACUGAUUGUCCAAAACAAUUAGUCUUCUAAAAUUUUUAAUGAGAUCAAUCUUGUAAAUUGAAUAUUAUGACGUCACAUAGUUAAAGAAUAGAGGGUGAAAUUAGAGUCAAAUUCGAAUAUCGGGGGACCUUUUAUUGAAUAAUCUUAUAUGGGAUGCGGAGGAUAGGGUUUAGAGAACUUUUGAGAUCUUAAGAAUUACGACAUCAUAUAAUUGCAUGUUCUUAAAAGUAAGUGCUCUUGGGAUACUAGAAUUGCCUUUUGGUUUUGAAUCGAAUAAUUGUGGUUUUAUUAUAGUCAAGAUUUAGUAAGUGUUUCGUUUUAUUUGUGAUUAGUUUGUUAUGAUAUGUAGAGUAAUUUGAUGAGAUGAGAGAUCAUUUAAGGUGGCAAAAAAAAUAUGGGAGAAUAACUAGUUAAAAUGAUUUAUAAGUUUAUAUUUAUAAUUGGGACUUUUGUUUAUGUACCCUUCAUUAAGAAUUGUAAUUAAUAACUAGGGGAGAGGGAUUGAGAGCAGCCAACGAUGACGAGAAGGGAGCAGCCAACGGCGACGAGCAUCCUCCCUUUCGCCUCAAAUCGAACCGUCCAAAAUAAUUACAACACUGCUCUCAAUCCCUCUCCCCCCUCCCAAAAAAAAACUGAUUCUUUAUUGGGCAGGUGAGUCGCUGUUUCCCCUUCAGAGGUCGUUGUCAAUUGAAAGGAAAAAGAAAUCCGCAGCGUUCUAGAUGUUUUGCGGAGAUGAGUUUUCAUUUGCUGGAGGGUAUUAGAUAUUCUGUCGCCGAAUGAAAAGGCUGCUGAUUCCAUUGAUUAUUGAGAGGAGACGAAUGGGGGGUUUUCUCGGUCGAUUCUUGUUGCCUCUGCUGCUUUUAGCAGGUAUUUUUUUGUUUUAAUUUUUGUCUCUCUUUCUCUCUCUCUCUAAUUGCUAUUGACAGCCUGGAUUUGCAACAAUGUUCACAGAAUUAAUUUAUUCUUGCUUGAAUAUACUAGGACCAGUUACAUACAGUUGCUGUCUGUUGAGUGUCUUGGAUACGUUGUUAUAGAUGUUGCUUUCUGUGCAAUAAUUGGGGAGCGCUAAUAUAACUGGACAUACAUACCAAUCCUGCAUUUGAUCAGUUAGAUAGCUUCUCUAUGCGGUUUGGGUGGGGGUGACUUUGGAAGCUCAUUAAUAUGUAGGGUUGUAUAGCCCAAAUUUAUGGGGUUUCUUUGCUUCGGAGUUGAAGGUAGAUUGCCUUUUAGAACGAAGUUUAAGUGCUUUGUAGAACAAAAUUUUAAGUGCCUAUUGGCAUGGCCAUGCCAAUCGUGUCGAUAAGAUAUCAGCACUAUUUGUCCCCCGUGCCGGUGGCACGCUCAACACCUCUUUAUUCGAAAUUAGUAAGUAAUUAUCUCAAUAAAAUGCAAAAAAAUUGAUGAAGAUAUAUAAUAGGUAAUUAGAAAAUAUUGGUGCUAAAGAAAAUAAAUAUUUCAUGUCAUAGUGUGUCAGACAUAGGUUCUUUUGCCACCAGACCGUGCCGUUUCAUCCUAGUAAGUUUUUGGCUCCACGACACUUAAAUCCUUGUAUUAGAAUAAAAAAGUUGAAGAUUUUUAUUGCUAGGUUUAGAAGGCAAGUAUGAAGGAAGAAAGUUGAUUAAACGUGCUCUAAAUGAUAAGUUAAGGAUAACUUGAGAGAAGGAAACACUUAUGUGAACUAGAUGCUGCUGCAACACUUAUUGAAGGCCACGGAUCAACAAAAGACGCGUGGGACUUAGACGUAUUCUUUAUGUAUCUUCAGAACACUUAUUUUCUAGAAUAGUAGGUGCUACUUGAUAUAUUGCUGAAUGUUGGAAGAGCAUUUUUGAAAAAGUGCUUUGCAGUUUUGUGAACUAAAAUUCAUACCACAUAGAUAGAUGAAACAAUGUAAUCCUUGUGCCAUAUAAGGGAGUGUUGGAAGUGGCCUUAUUUAAGAUUUCAAUUAAAGCAAAAGCUACAAUUGUCCAGUUUAGUUUGGUAGCAUUUGUGGAGAAUUUAAUCCGCAAAAAUAGUAGAGAGAAAAGCGGGUGGUGCUCGUGGAGGAUUUCUUUGCUUUUCUUGAUAGAUGAUUGCUUUUUAGGAGGUUUUGUCACAAAAUAAAGGGCAAUAAGCACAUGAAGCAUUAACAGGUGUACGAUUUAAAGGGUAUUUAAGCACAGAAAGCUCUAACAAGUGUAUGAUUUUGAAAGGUUCAACUUCAAGCAGCCUUCCUCUUGUAUGGUGGUUGUUUCUUCGGGUCGGCAUGGAAUCGGCCGAAUCACAUAAAAUGAAAUUGAAUUGAAUCGGCAAUUUUGGUUUCAGGUCAUAGAAUUGAAAAACAACUAACACUGAAUAGCAAAGCUUGUGCAUGUGAGUGAAUGCAUGUAUGUAUAUGUGUAAGCAUAUUUCAUGUAUAUGUAUGUACAUUUAACACCAAGUCAUCACCCAAUUUGCCAGUAAACUAAAUCAACUUGAAACGUGCAAUUUAAUAAACGCAAUUCCUCUCAAACUAGUCAAAUUGAUAAACUGAACUGGCUCAAACCAACAAAACUGAAUAGAAACAAAACUUGAGACUUUUGAUUUGGUGUUGUUUGCUUUUUUCCUUGCAAUUGUUUUAAUUUUGGUUUUGAUUUUUUGAAACCCAUUUAAACCAUCUCGAUUCCAAUUUAUUUUGGAAACUAAAGCAUAGCCAAGCUAGCUGUUACUAUGAUUUGAAUCCACAAUGCUAAGGUCUAUGAGCCUACAUUAUCAUUGUGGCGUGGCCUCUAUAUAGUGUUCAAAGUAGAAAAGGAAAAAAAAAAGGCUUACUUUUGAGAUUGGGAGGUGCAAAUUGAGGACAAAGGAUAUUGUUCUAAAAAGUGGACAGGUGCACCGAUCAUCUUAAUUCAACAAGUUCCUUGCAAGCAUUGCUAUUUUGUAGGUCAUCUAUUUAUUGCAGAAAGUUUUUUCAAGAGUUACAGGAUUCCAGCAAAAUGAAAAUGCCAUAGGGAAGAAGAAAGUGGGAAAGUAGAGAGUUUCUAGUUGAAAUCAAUAUAAGUUUGACACUGUCAUAUUAGGUUCUUUCUGAAUUUUUGGACAUUAUUUCAACUUAUAGACUCCUAUUUGGAAUGGAUUCCCAUCAGAACUUGUUCCUCUUAGAGGACUCAUAGCUGGCAAGUAAUUAACCCAAAUAGUACUCUUCCAGAGAAGAUUUUAGCUGCAAUAUUUCUCACCAUACUUAGUGGUUGAAAUAUAGUUAAAAGUAUAGCAUGUGUACAAUAUUAAAUGAAUGACAUUUCAUUUUAAAGUCCCCUAAGUUUGAAAAAUGCAAUGUAAACUAAAUAGGACCCAUCUAUACCUAGACUCAAUCACACUCGAAAUUAAUUUGAAAUAUGGGACUUUUUUUAUAACUUUAAAAAAAAUUAUUUGGUUUCAAAUAACCUGUUAAAAAUUUAUUUGGCCAAAUCACCCUAUUUUGUCCAACUUAGCGCUAGGGUGGAGCAAUAAAUAAAAUACGGUGAAUUUUUCACCAUCUUCAAAUAAAAGCGAUAAAUGAUUCACCGUCAAUGCCAUGUGGAUGUGAGAGUUAAAAAGGCGGCGAAUCGUUUACCGUAUUUUUCUUUCUCAAUUAAAAGAGGUGAAUGAUUCAUCAUUUUGUCAUAACAGUUCCCUACAUGCAAUCCUAGCAACCCCACAAAAAUCCUAAUUACCUACACAAACAACUCACAAACAACCCUAAUGAUUUGAAUACAGAAAUGCGGUAACACCGUUUUCUAAAGAUGGUGAGUGAUUCACCGCUUUCAAUGCACACAGUAAACGAUUUACCGUCUUUCACUUCUCCUUCCACAUGGCGCUGAGUUGGACAAAAUACGGUUGGUUUGCGAAAUAAAUUUUUAUUAGGGUUAUUUGACUUAAUAUAAUUCGUUAAAGGUUAUUCAAAAAAAAAAUGAAAUUUGUUUAUGUAAUCUUGCUUUAUCAAGCAACUAGAAUAAUGUAUAGAUGCUAAAGUUACUAUUGCACAAAUGAUCCAUAUGCUACAGCGAAACAGUUUUAGCUAUCGUGAAAUAGUUUUAGCUACAAUUUAAUAGAAAUGUAAUAAUUAGUAAUAGUCUUAAUGAUCAUGCGUUUCUCUUUCAAGCUUUAAUCAAAUUGUUUAUAUCAAGAAGAUACUUAGAUUUUGAUGGUGAUGCAGAGUGGGAUUCACAUAGGAUUCAGUUGAGUCAUCUUUUAUUUAUUGAGUCAAUUUUUGUAUUAGGUUUGGUUGAGUCGUUAGGAUAUUAUAUUUUUUUUUCUAAUUCUCGGAAUUAUUAUUUUUUAAUUUAUUUCAGGGAUUGCUUUUAUUUUCUAUGUGGAAUAAAACCCUAAAAAUUAGGGAUAUAUUUUAGGGCCUUUUUUAGAUAUGUUCGAAUUAGGAAAAUUUCGAUUUGUUUUAGAUUACAAUUAUAUUUGACGGCUAUAAUUAUAGCCUAUGCCUUGUAAUUUUAGAGACAAUUUAUGAUGAGAUAAAGUUUGUGUUUCAUGUUUAGACUGCGAUCAUGGUAUCUUCUUCUUCCCUUUGCCUUGUGCAUCGACGAAAAUCUAUCUUUCUAAAGGUUCUUUCUUCUCUUUUCUUCAUCUAUUUCUUCUCUCUUAUUUCUCGCUUCUUCUUCAUUUAAUCCUUACUCUCUAAUCUUUUUAAAGUAUUCUAGAAUUUUCUAAAAAAUUAUAAAAUUCAGUUUUAUGAAGAUUUGGGCUCAUCACAAGCAAGAUAAAUUAAGACUUUUCUAAUUUGUCCUGCAUUAGAUGGUUUUAGGAUAUGUUUGUUUAUGUCAAGAUUGUAGUGCGGAAUGGUGAAUAUGUGAUAGGAGUCUAAAAGCAUAUGUUAUGCAUUAGCAAUAUCUUGCACAUUAAAAUCAAUCUUGUACAGAUUUGGUUUGGUAUGGAAAAUGUCUAUUGUCGAGUAAAGUUAGUGUCUCUUGAUCUGAGUCUUCUAAUUUAUUCAGAAAUUGACUGACAAAGUCUUGCUUAUCUUAAUUUUCAGAAUUCUGAAUGCCACUGUACGUAAAUUGCCUCGUUUGGCAUUGGUUUAAUGUUUAAAAGGCUCAAUCUUACUAAGUAAUGCUCGUUAAUUGUUGUUGGUUGAUGGACCGUUCAUUGAUCUGGAUGAACUUUGAGCAUCUGAUUUGUAUUUUGUUUGUCACACCAAGUUCUUUGAUAUGACCUUGGGCGAUAGUGGUGGAAUCAUGGAUAGAACUAUAAUGCAAGAAUCUUGUGGGGCUGAUGUAGCAUGGCCGUUUUUGCCUUCUGGAGGUUUUUGAUGCAAGAAUGUUUUAGUGCUAUCACACAAUGGUGCUGUAGCAUGGCUGUAUUGUAGUAGGUUAAGGAGAAGAAGAAAAAGAAGAAUGAGAUAGAAGAAUAAAGACGAAGAUUGGGGACAAGAAUGUCACGCCCUUGUUCCACAGCGGAAGCCCAGGGGACGACAACAGACCGCCGUGUGUGCACAAUCUUGCACACACGAAGCGUCCAAUCGAACAACAACAACAACGAAAGCGAGUAACUUUAUAAUCUACAACUAAAGAAUACCACAAAUCACAAAUUAAUGGUUCUAGAACUACGAAGUUAAGAUAAAGACAUGUAUUAGAGCACUAUGCACAAGCUUAACUACCGUACAUCACUAUACAGAAUCAUAUAAACCUCAAACCCCAAAAAGUAAAAGUGCAAGUAAAAGGCCUUGGCCUCGCCAGUCCUUAUGUACAGUAAACAUAUCCAAAAUCCACUAAUUGGUGGUCCUCUAACACACAUGUACACCGGUAGAAGAUGCUAUCUACUGCACGAUCCCCUUACCUCGAUCAGCGGAAGGUGCACCUGUCUCUGAAAAGUAAACCAUAAGAGGGUGCGAGAACUACUAAACAGAAGUUCCCAGUGGUACAGUUGGCGACAACCAUGACCUUCCCACUAGGUCUACAAAAACAAGCAUAGGUAACAAUAAUUAAUUCCACUAAAUACUAAGCUAUAAAGCAUAAUACGAGUAAUAAAUUUCUACUAUUCAUCAUGUUUCUACGCAGGUAAUGAACAUGAAGGAAAAUGACUAAAUCAUGCAUCAAUGCUAUUACUAAUAGAUAAAUGCAAUAGUAUAUUUGAUUGCAAUAACCGACUCAUAGGUCCGGUCAAGCCUGUGCCCGCCUAGUGUGCGGCCACACUGCUGCAUGUGUGACGGCGAUAUCUAGGCUACUGUCUUUGCUAUCGCUGGCCAGUCUCCGAAGUGACACUCGAGGGGAGUGACUCCUACCGAGUCUAAUAGUGCGUAAUUCUGUCAAGCUCUAUGUGGCUCUUCAGGCUAUAGUCUUUGUGAUGAUCAAAAGAUCACAAUUAACCAAUCCGGUGUUCUUAAUGUUAUAAAAAAUAAUUUCUAUGUCUAGUGUCACUAUGACAUAUAUUCUACCUCAAUGUCCAAAACGUCUAUUUACUACUGCUGCUCUAACCCACGGUCUUUAUUACCUAGUUCAUGACAAUCGAGACAUGUUUAAAUGAGGAAUGCUCUACAACCAUGCAUAUGAUGUUAACUCGCCCCUCUUGGCCUAAUCUAGCAUAUAUGCUUAAUAUACUAUUAACCAUUUACUAUAUUACAACUAUAGAACAUAGGAUUUACCUGACAUGACAAAGAUGAGUGUUAACAUGCAAUCAUGCUAGAAUUCUAAUUCUCUACUUGAUUUCGUACCAUCGCCUUCUAUCAAUAUAAGUAACAUAUAUAUAUAUAGAGCUAGGCUGGUAUACUAUUGGUUGCACGGAGGCCUCCGUGCUAUCAAGUUAUUUUCAAUGAUGCGGCUUCCAAAUCGACGAUCGGCUCCGUUAGACUUGAUCUACACUAUUAAAAGUAUUUGGAACUAAAUUUCAUAAUUUUUCGACAUCAUUUGACUAGUGAUCAAAAGGUCUCAAAAUUGACAAUUUUAAUGGUAGAUGUGAUGCGUUUGUGAAUUUAACAUUGUAAAACAAUCCAAAUCUGAUGAAAUUUUUAUAGAAAAUUCUUUUCACUAUUUAGAGUAAGAUUAGUACCUCUGAUCUUAAAUUCAAGUUUUUUAUCAUUAUUUUUUAUGAGAUUUUUAUUUUUAGCCGUUCAUAUUUAGACUACUCGUUUGAUAGGUAAAUGAUACCGAAAAUUUAUGAAAUAAUGUAGAUCAAGUCUAACGGAGCCGAUCGUCGAUUUGGAAGCUGCAUCAUUGAAAACAACUUGGUAGUACGGAGGGCUCCGUGCUACCGAUAGUAUACCAGCCUAGCUCUCUCUCUCUCUAUAUAAAUAUAGAGUCUGGCCACUAUACUUUUAUGAGUAUAGACCCCUUUGUACUCAUAAGUUUUCGGUCGUUAGAUCUAGCUCUUUGAUCAUUUCCUCCCGUUAGAUCAUACUAUUCAACCAACCACCCACUCAACCCUAAGGGACCACUAUCAUCAUAACCGGGGCCGCUAUCAUCCUAACCACACAUUUCUUCAUCCAACGGCCGAAAACUUAUAAGUACAAAGUGGUCCUAUACUCAUAAGAGUAUAGUAGUCUACUAUAUAUAUCAUAUUAUAAUAUAGAUUAUUAUAUAUAUAUAUAUAUAUACUAUAUAUAAGAGUUCCGGCUAAUGUGCUUGUAAAAUCACCCAACACUCUUUGGUACCUUGUAAGGUUUUUACCGUUAGAUCUACGCUUUGAUCAUUUUCAAGCCGUAUUUAGAUAUACUAUUCAACCAACUACCCAUCUCAACCCCUAGCGUGCCCACAUUAUUCUAACCGCACAUCCCUUAAUCCCAAAGAGCCGAAAACUACAAAGACCAAUGACUUGGUACUUUUAAAAGCAUAGAGUCAUCUAUAUAUAUAUAUAUCAAUUUAGACAUAGAAGGAAAUUCGCUGUUUCUCUGGCGGAUUGGAACCCACCUUGGAUCGCUAUCAAAAGCGGCAACGUAAUCGUCUAUACAGCCAUUCUCGGUUCAUGUCCCGCAGGGACUCCACGAAAGUAAACUUCAAAUAUCAGGAAGGAGUUAGCAAAGCAAAGGAUACCAUAAAAUGCCAUACAAUUUUGCGAUUUGAUCAAAAGAGAGGGGCGGGGGGUGGGGGUGGGGGGGGGGGUGUUAGAUUAAAACUAAUCCAAAUUACGUUGAUGAUCCGUGUGAGGUAAUUCCAAACCAGCGGGAAGUGACAAGAGGUUUAGUAAAAUCCUCCAAACGCUCAAUGGGAGAAUCGGAACUACGAAAACCUAAAAUUCAACGGAAGAUCAAAAUUCUAUUUAACUUUAAUUACAUCAAUUUCACACCGGUUACAUCAAAUUCCAGCAAAAUAAAGUGUAAUUCAAACUCCCCUACUUUCCUCUUCCUCCCGUGAAUGUCGAUUCAAUCGCCGACCGCGGAUUGCACGAAAUUGACUCUCCCUCUCUCCCUCCUUGCUCCGCUACUGUUCCAGAAGCAACUGAUGGCUGGUUGCUGCUGCUGCUAAGCAGCCAGCAGCAGCAGCUGCUGGCUACUGCUGCUGCCGUUGCUGUCAAGCAGCCAUCAGCAGCAGCUGCUGGCUACUGCUGCUGCUGCUGCUGUUUCUCAGCCAGCAAGAGAGAGAGAGAGAGAGAGAGAGAGAGAGAGAGAGGGGAGGAGGAGGAGGAGGAGAAAAAGGAACUGUAAACGAGAAAAUACUUACGUCGCAAGCGCAGUUCGCAUGUGCAAUUUCGAUCGGCUCGUCGGAUUAAUUGGAACUUCACAAUCCUAUUUCUUCCUUUUCUCCUCCUUUCUCUUCUUCUUCUCUUCUUUCUCUCUCUGUAAGCCUCAGGUGGAGUGACAGGGCAUUCAAGAAUGCUCCUGAGGCUUAGUGGAUUUCCACUAAAAUUGGACAAUUGCAAGAUAGUCCAAUUAACACAAGUAAUGAGAUUUUAGUCCUCAACAAGUGGAAAUUGAGUUAUUGAGUUCUUUUUCGCGUCAAUUUCGUGCCAAAACGUCUGCAACCUACGCAAGCCCUGUAAGAGCAUGCUGACUAUAAAGUCAUACUGUAAUCUUGUCUAUUUGGCAAGGUGCAUUAUUCUAGAAAGAAGGUGAGAGGAGGGACAGAUCGGCUAACCUAGCCAAACAAAGGAAACAUUAUGGAAAAGCCCUCGAAUGAACUAAAACACUAUUCCUAUUGAUCAUCCUCUGGUUACAAAGAGGAGCAUUUUGUGUUAUUCAAAGAUUUCAUGUGCCUAGUGGAAUUUCCAAUUAUUGGGUUUGUGUAUUCUAAACGACAACAACUUAUUUGAAAUUCCUAACUAAGAGAUUCAUUCUAAUCCUUUUGUAACAAUCAACUUACUUUGAAAAUAUACCACAAUAUUUUUGAAAAGGUGAUAGUACUCGAUUUCACUUGUCUUAGUUCCACACAUCGUACUGCAUCAGCACAAAAACAUGAUGCAGUAAUGUAGGAUUGAAAUUAUAUAUAUAUUUUUAAUCUCCGACUAAGAAGUUCGAUUUUUUAUAUUUGUUUGCUGUUAUUGAGAAUGGAGACUCCAUUAAAUUAUUGCUGGAGUACAAUAUUUAUUUAUUUUGUUAAUUUAGCUGCUUUUCCUUAGUUAAACUCUAUUUGCUAUUAUUGUGCUGUUUUUGCAGCUUCUCUACUUGACUGGAGUUUGAUAUCUCUUAUCAAUAUGUUGAUGUUUAUUGCCAUUCAGCUUACUACUCCAAGAAGAGGUAUGUAUUAUUGAAUUACCACAUGUUAUAUUCUUCUUUAUUGCUUGUAGGUUCAGUGUCUCUUGGUUCUGGAGAAAUGGUUCUCUGGAGGACUCAUAUUUAAUUAGUUGUUACGAUGACUUUAGAUUUUUCAUGAUUUCCUUAAGCUUUUUGAGAUCCUAAAUACUGUCAUCUAAGCUAUCUUCUUAUAUCUACGUCAUGUUAUAUGUAAUUUUGUUGCUCAGAGUAAUUGUAUUAAGCUGCUUGUAUUGUUUUCUUUUCUUUUCACUUUUUUCCCCUAUGUUUGGGGCCUGUUUGGUUCCUCGAAAAAUACCACAGAAAACUUGUUUUAUGGUGGAAAAGUUUUUUUUUCCAUGUGUUUAGAGUAGAUUUUUUGGAAAAUUAUUUUCCAUUUUUCACGGAAAACUUUCCUUUUCGUUUUUCAAAUUUUUUUUUCCAGAAAACAAAAACUUUUUUCUUAUGGACGUUUUGAGUAAAAUAGGGAAUUUCUCUUUUCUAAUAUAUCGGUAUACGCUUACCACUAAACCGUCAUCUUAACAUUUUCUACUGUCGUCUCUAUCUCCCCAAGGUGUAUAUAUAUAUAUAUAUAUACACAGCAUAAUUGUCUCCAUCUCCUAUUUGUCAUAUCAACCAUCUCCAUCUUCUUUGUGAAACUAUUUUAUCUACACUAAAAUAUACUUCAGAUUGUUUUUAUUUAUUAUUUUAUUAUUUAUAUUAUAAAUAGUUUGUGCGUAUUAUGUUAAAUUUUAAAAGGUUAGUAUUCCCACCCUCCUUUGUAGCAGGUAUAUAUAUAUAUAUAUAUAUAUAUAUAUAUAUAUAGAAUUAGGCUACUAUACUAUCUAUAGUACCGGGGCUUCGGUACUAUAGUCUUGUUUUCGAUCUUAGGGUGUUCAAAUUAACGAUCCACAUUGUUAAAAAUGAUCUACGGUAUAUGAAGUUCUUAGAAAUAAAAUUUUAGUUUUUUUCGACAUCGUUUACUUAGUAAAUAAAUUAUGUCAAAAUGGAAGGUGGAAAUUGAAUAAUCUUUAAAAUUUGAGCAUAGGACUUUUAAAUUCAAGAUCAAGAAUGUUAACCUUAAUCUAGAUAGUUUAAAGUAUUUUCUAUCAAAAUUUGAAGAAAUUUAGAUUCUUCUACACCGUUAAACUCUAAAGUCGCCAUAGUAGCCAUUGAAAAUUGACAAUUUUGAAAUGGUUUGAUCAUAAAGUAAACUAUGUCGAAAAAAUAUAAAAUUUUAUUUCUAAAAACUUUAAAAACCCUAGAUCAGUUUUAACGGUGUGGAUCGUUGAUUUGAACACCCUAAGAUCGAAAACGAGACUAUAGUACCGGAGCCCCGGUACCAAGGUUUUAAGUGCCCGUCGGCACGGACCGUAUCCACUGUGCCGUAUCGUGCCCACAAGAUACCGACAUGAUACAGAUCCCGUGCCGAUGGCACAGCUCAAAACCCUCUAUUCUUUAAAUUAGUAAGUAAUUUCCUCAAUAAAGUUCAAAAGAUGUGAUAAAAAGAUAUAAUAAAUAGUUAGAAUAUUUUGUUGCUAAAGAAAAUAAAUAUUUCAUACUAUUAUGUGUCGGCAUGCAAGAAUUUUUUUGACCGGCACGCAUCGGCAUGGCUCGGCACGGCUCGGCACGGCUCGGCACGCACCGUGCCGGCAAGUUUCCGGCACAACCUCGUGCCACGACACUUAAAUCCUUGCCCGGUACUAUAGAUAGUAUAGGAGACUAACUCUCUCUCUCUCUCUCUCUCUCUCUAUAUAUAUAUAUAUAUAUAUAUAUAUAUAUAUAUAUAUAUAGUUGUGCUGGUAUGCUUCUAGUAUAUAUAGAGUUGUGCUGGUAUGCUUCUAGAAGCACGGAGGUCUCCGUGCUUCCAAGUCGUUUUCGAUGUUCGCACUUUCGAAUCGUUGAUCGGCUCCGUUAGAGUUGAUCUAGAGUAUUUGAAGUACCUAGAAAAUAAAUUUUGCGAUUUUUCGAUAUUAUUUGCCUAGUGAUCGAAGGGGCUCAAAAUCAAUAAUUUUAACGGCCGUGGUGAGCCGGUUGCAAGUUUAACGGUGUAGAAAUAUCCAAAUCACAUGAAAUUUUGAUAGAAAAUUCUUUAUACCAUAUAAAACAAGAUCAAUAACUUUGAUCUAAAAUUUUAAUGUCAUAUCAUCGUAUUUUGUAAGAUUUUUAUUUUCAGCCGUUGAUUUUGAGCCACUUCGAUCACUAGGNNNNNNNNNNNNNCCAAUCAACUUUUAAAACUAUGUAUGUAUGUAUAUAUAUGUAUAUAUAUAUCUCGAUCCGACCAUAUGAUAGCCAUCGUGCCUCCGGAGGUACGAUGGUUCAACAAAAGUUACUACGUCGAAGGUUUAGCUGCUAGCCGAAACAAUCUGAACUAGAUGUGAUAAUUUUUAUAAACCUUUGAUUUAAAGUAUUAAAAAGUCGUAGUUAACCAAUCACUAGUUUUCCAGAGUUUUAACUGUUAAAAUUACCAUCUACACUACGUAAACAUUUAAAUUGCCACAUUUUGUUAGGUUUAGUUUACUUUAAAAAUAUCUUUUAAGAAAAAUGAUAAAUCUCAUUCUAGUCAUGGAGAUUAGAAUUUAAGUUCAGAAGAUAGUAGUAAAAAAUACUCUAAAAAUAAAAGUCAGCAAGUAAAAAUCUGGUGAGCAAACUAUCCAUUUACUAUGACUUUUUAAUACUUUAAAUCAAAGGUUUAUGAAAGUUAUCACAUCUAGUUCAGAUUGCUCCGGCUAGCAGCUAAACCUUCGGCGUAGUAAUUUUUGUUGAACCAUCGUUCCUCCGGAGACACGAUGGCUAUCAUAUGGUCGGAUCGAGAGAGAGAGAGAGAGAGAGAGAGAGAGAGAGAGAGAGAGAGAGAGAGAGAGAGAUAUAUAUAUAUAUAUAUAUAUAUAUAUAUAUAUCUCGAUGAUAUGAUAGCCUUCGUAUCUCUUAGACUAUGAAAGCUAAAAAACCGGGAAUUUAGUUAGUGAAACUAGUAAAGAUUGGAAACCUAAUUAUGAUAAUAGUACACCGUUAACCGUAACCUGUAUCCUAAAAUUUCAUAGGUUUAAGUUUGUUUUAUACAACCCGGUACAAAGUCCUUUUGUUUUUUUUUUCUUGGUGUUUUCUAGGUUUCGGGUAACCCCGAAUUUGGUGUAAAGUAUGUUAUAUGUAUUAUGUGUGACCCGGAAUAUUUCGGGUAAUUGUAAAAUACCCCUGAUCUUUUAAGAUCUUUUAAGUUCACAUUAUACGCUGUAACCGGGUCUAGUCAAUCCAACAAACCCUAACGUCUCUCUAACGCCACUCUUUUAUGAUGACGCCGUUUUAUGAAAUAAAUAAAAACAUUGAUUAUCGAACAAAUAACGAGCUGUAUAGCGUUAGAAUACUCAGUUUGUUUCUUCGUGUAGAAACAUGCGAAAACGAGGUCGAGACAAAAUACUCUUAGUAUCAAGACAUGUAGCAACUCUAAAGUUUCCCACUAGUAGGGAAAUCUAAUAAAAUUCAAUUUACAUAAAAAUACUAAGAGGUCUCAUGGUUGAUAAAGUCGAAGAAUUAAGCUUAGUUAUAAAUUUAUAGCCGACUUACUCAGGUCAACUUAGCACUUAGUUACUUAACCACCUUAACAGGCUUGGCAACCAGCUCGGUGACCAGCUUGGCUAUUUUGGAAUUAGACUAUCGCAAAAACGCGCACAAUAUAUAUUGAAAGAAAGAAAAUACGGAUUCCAAAGACACCUACAAAGUUUGUUUUACCGAAUCAACUGGUUUCACAAACUUAUGAAUUGUCAUGACAUGAGUGGUUCUAGUCUGUUUACCCAUUCACGGGUUCAAUCCGUUUGAUUUCAGUUUUGGAUAAGUUGAGUCGUUGACAACUUAAUUACGAAAAAAAAAAAAAAAGGGGUCAGUUUUACCAGUUGAAAACUUUUGUGGUUACUGAGUACUACACAACUACACACACAUACGUAUGUUAAUGUAAUAGAGUAACAGGGGUACGUUGGUUUAAAAAUAGUUGGUUUAAAAUUUUUGAUUCAUCAACUUCUGGAAAACACAUCACUCACCUGUACAAUUAAACGUAACGUUAAUUUAAUAAGGGUAACAUCUAUCAGGAUGAUUCUUGUAUGGUUUACCUAUACAUUAUUACUGUCCAUCUUCUUUGGAAAAAAGGGGGGGAAUUAAUAACUUAUUUUGAAAAAUCAUGGUGUAGAUAAUAACCUACGAUACUAAUAAUAUCACGUUAUUAAUUGACACCCUCGAAAAUUAUUAUAGAUGGAAGAUGAAACCGGAGAAGACGAAGAGACCCAACGAAAAGUUGGAACACAAGACGAUAAUUUUUGGGGUAUUUGAAAAGUAUAUUCUUAGUUAAAAAAUAAAGAUCUCAAAACCGGUGACAAGAAAGAAUUACAAUCAACUCGUUAAGUCUACGGGAUGAGAUCAGAAGUUAUAAAAUAAUUUAAUAUUCCAUGUUGUAUUUUAACAUCUCAGAAAAGGAAAAAGGUAGUAUACAAAUAUUAUAUUCAUAUGCAUAUUGUUGAAGGUGGCUAACAUGAAUCACGUCAACCAAUUCUUAAAUUACCAACCAUAGGCUCUAAAAUUCAAGUUUUAGAUUAACGAAAUAUAAAGAUCGACUCAAAUAAAGAGUCUUUACUUGUUUUUGUACAUCGUACAAGAGAGAGAGAGAGAGUGAAACUAUUUUUUUUUUUUUUUUUUUUGGGGUUUCUUGUUUUACCAAAAAGGAUGGUACAUUCGUAGAAAAUUACUCCACUAAUAAUCAACCAAUACAGACUGUCGAGAUAACAAUCCUUGUACAGGGUUUGAACCUGGUCUCCCUUACGAAAUAAAGUAAAAGUACCCUAGUUUGUUCCAAAGUUAAACAAUCGAUGUUUGUGAUUUUCCGAAAGCUUUUAUUUAUAAUAAAAAUGUAUCAUAGUAUUAACCUUCAAGAUUAAAACUUGAAAUGUUUUAAAAGAUUAGCUCUGCAUCCUUUUUGACAAUUUAUAUUUAUAAUUUUUAUGGUAAUAGACCAUCGAAAUCAAAAAUCUCUAUUUUCUGAGUAGAAAGUGUAAUAAAAACGUACUCGAAUUAAUAUAAGAAUAAUUAUUUGUAUCUUUCUAAACUUCUAUCUCAAUACAUUGAUUUGUCCUUCCUUUUUCUACCCACUCGUUUUCGAUUUGGAUUUUCCCGAAUAAAACGUCACUCCUUUGUCAAUAUUUUUCUCUCGUAAAACAGUCAAGAACAAACCUAAAUAGGGACUUGUCCUUAGAAUUAAUUAGUGUACUUUAAUUUGGGGUCUUGUUCCCGGUGUCGGAGUCACACCACCAACACGGUAAGGACAGGAAAAAACGAAUUUAAGACGCCGUCAACCCGAAUACAGCUCUUUUUUAAAUCCAGAAUUAAGACUCAUCAAGAAGAGACAUUGCAGGUAAGGUGCAUUUAAUACAUUGCAUAAUAAAUGUUGUUAAAAAAAGAAUAUCAAUAAAAAUAAAUUUGAAUGAAUUUUAUAACAAGUAAAAUAGACUGGUUAGAAUGUACCGAUUCACUUAAUUUAUUCCCGUAAUUCCUCAUACGUACGUAUAAGAUCGAAACCUAUACGAACUUUGAAAGUUCACCUGGACUCACGUAUCUAAUCUAUCGUUCCAACUCGGUUACCGAUGGUUUGGAGAUGAGUCUUAGAGUGGUAUAGAUCGAUUAGAAUAAAGAAAAGAAAAGAAAAGAAAAGAAAAACUUAACUUUAAUAAGUCUUUUGUGUUUUCCUCCUGGUUUUCCCGUUGAAAAACAAAAGUAAAAAGGAGUUUACUAGUUUACCACGAACUCAACUCGAAAAGUCAUCUACGUCCACCCCAGAGAGACGUCAGGGAAAGUCGUACGGACUCGAGUUAGUGGGAAUGAGAUUUGUGUGAGAAAGGUUUGGAUAGGUUCGAUGGGUCUUCUAGAAACACAACCAAUGGAGAGUCCUUCCCUCUUCGUGAAGAGGUUUAGUGUAUUUUUUUUAUCGUUCGGUAGGAUAAUAUAAUCGGAUGAUAACUUUAAACUUUUCAGGGGAAGUGAAAGGUUAAGGAAAAAGAAAGGGACGGUCAUUGUACACUCCGACCAAAAACACGAGUGUACCUUUUUUGAGAUGAGUAUAACGUAACUUUUAGUGAAUGGUUCUUCGUGAAAAGGAGUUGGUAGUAGUAUUAGUGUUAGUAAUAAAGGACGAAGAAAAACUUCGACUUUCCUCUCAAGUUCAACAGUUACUAGUAGUUCCUCUGGUAGAGUUCGAGAGUGACGUCAUAGAACAUUCAAGGUUAGAUGAUAAGGUCGUACGUUUUCAAGAGAGAGUACGAAAAACACAGUGAAAACUCGUGGUAUGAGUAGUGACGUACACAUCAUCAGAGACGUUUAAGACUAAGUCACGACGACGAAGUUUAUUUUAGGCUAAAGCAGCUGGGCUUACCCCAAGAGCUUUCGACCAGAAACUCACGUUUACACACAUCGACCUUACCUCAAUGUACAGAACUACUGGUCCUGAUACAGAACCCAGAAUUGAAUAGCCCGGCUCCCGACAGGCCAAGCUAGAGAGGCCGCUGGCCUGCCGAGCAUAAGGAGCUUAAGGAGCUAAAUAGCAGCUUAAGAGACAGGCCGGGCUAGGGGGUGCUUGAACCGUACGAGUUCUUGGACUUUUGUAACGAAAACAUGAGGUUAAGGGAGAGGCCAAGCUAAGGAGCUCUCGAGCCGGAAGACUACUUGGAGCUCCUCGAGUCUUAUCCACUAUUGAACGAGAGACCCCUCUAGGGCGGCGUAUAGCCGUUGACGUGGCUUAACCUCUAAGACCCAGAACGAAGAACGGCUAAUUUGCCCUCAUAAGGCUAAGUUUAAAGACUAUACUUAGUAGACUCUUAUGAAUUAUAAGUCUUGUUAUCGGAGAGUCCCGGCUAAGGGCUUCCUUAGCCGAUGACGUCAUUAGACGUUCAAGAUAGUCGACGACUCUUGUUGAAUGUCCCUCUUUAGGGAGUUAGUUAACCCUUUAAUAUACUUGACGUUUGAGACUUAGAACGUUUGUUGGUUGAAAUGCCCGGCUAAGGAUAUCUUUAACCGCUAGAAAGCUCGAACUGAAUAGAGAUAGAUGAGCCUUUGGCUAAUUCGCCGUCGUAGGGACGCGUCGACUUGGUCAACUCAGUCGACUUCUAAAACCUGAACAGCUACUUAUUAGAGAGGCCCUGUCAGCCAUAGAGGUGACGGGCGGAGUUGUUAGAAGUCAUAAACCAGGAAAGGUCGUUGAAAGAGCUCCCGCCGUAGAGACUUCUAGAAACAGGCUUAUUGAGCUCGAACGUUUUAAACAAGAAUCGGCCUUUGUUAAAUUGUCCGUGUUAGCUCCUCGAUGAAUUGACGUUAAGUAAUCUUAGAGACCUGGAGAGUUUGUUAUCGGAGUCGCCUCAAUAAGGCAGGCCAUAGCUGGCGGAAUGCUUAGAGUUCUUAGAGCACGAAGUGUUGUUAUCGAAAAAGCCGCAAGAUGGUGUACUCUAACCUUUAAACUCGUUAAACCUCUAUAAUAGAGAGAAGGUGUUGUUAGACUAACCACCUUAAGGUGGCCUUUAACCCUUCAAUGUCUUCGACUGCGAAGAAGAGCAUAUACUCUUAGUCUACAGACCCUGGUAAGGCUUACUCGAUUGGUUGACGAGCUUGAAUCUUCUCUAGCUGAAGAAGCCUUUAGUGAAACAGCCAGGUUAAGGCCUAUCGUAACCUUUCGAGUUCUUGAACCAUCACGACGUUAACUCCGUCUUACUCGAAAGCCCGGGAUAAGGAGGCUCAAACCCGAUGACGUUCUUCGAUGUUCUGGAACGGAACCGGCUAUUAUUCGAGAGCCCCUGGUAAGGCUCGUGAAAGCUUGUGGAGCGCCUAGAGUGUAACUAGUGUAACAUGUUGUUAAGGGAGCUCCCAGGAAACGGCCUCAGAGAGAAGUACGAUUUUUUAGAGUCGUAGUAGUUGAAGAGAGUGUUAUCUGAGUUGCCUUCGUAGGAGGGAAACGAGCCGAGUUGGCGUAAUUGACAGGACCUAAACUGUUUAUUGUCGAAAAGUCCACAUUAAGGGAGGCGAUAGCCACUCAGCUCCUUGGACUGGUCUGAUUCCGAUCCGGUGUUAGAGGAUUGACCACGUCAGGGAGGACUCAAUCCGGAAGAGCUCCUUGAGCUGAAGGAUCUAGAACGCCGCUUGUUAAAUAGGCCACUUCAGGGCUUAUACGACAGUUCCACAUUCUCUGACUGGGUAGAGGACGAAUUACCUUUAUUGAAUCACCCAUCACAAGGAAGUACCGACCCCUUAAACUUAAACGAGCCACUUGAGCUAGAGAGAAGUUUACUUAAGUCGCCCCUAAAUGGAGGCCUCUAACCGUUGACGAGCUCAAAUGACUUUGAAAGAGACGUACUGUUGUUACAAAGUCCACAAUAUGGUGGCCUCUAGCCUUUAGAGCGGAGUGAGUUACAUGAAUUAAAUGUUUCAUUAUUAGUAAGUCCGGGUUAAGGAAGCUGAUAAGCCGUGACGUUGUUCGAGAUACUUAACUCCGAAAGACUCUUGAGUGACUGUCCUCAUUAUGGCCGUCUCUAGCCUGUCAAUUGACUCGAAGUUCAAUAUGACCUAAACUCGUCUUUAGUUAAUAGUCCUCUUUAGGGAAGAAGAUAACCUCUAGAGUAGUUCGAUCUCUCUGAAUUAGAUAGAAAGUUAGCUAACCUUCCCGCGUAUGGACGAAGCUAGCUGGCUGACUGUUCGGAUGUGGCUGAUUUAAAUAGCUUAUUAAAAGAGCUGCCAAGUUAAGGAAGACAUGAGAGCUCGAAGGGCAACUCGAGCAAAUGCCCAUUGCUUAAUACACCGCGCGGUAACCCAAGUACACAGCCGAGUGCCCGGAGACUCUACUUCUCGAAUAGCUGACGCUGCCACCGCCCCUAGUAUCAUCGCUAACACGAACAAAGUCGUCGCCAAACGCACCGCGAAGAAAUAUAUUACGAAUCUUAUACCUACUUAACCUCCCUUCAAAGACACAGUUUAAGUCUACCUCUUCUCAUACUCCCCUUUCUUCUGUCAUUUACCGGGUCUUUUCUGUUGUUUACCUAGUUUUUUUUACCCUUCAUAACCUUCCACUUCAGGUACAGACACCACCGAAGAGGACUACUCUCCUUGUCGAGAAGUAGACUAAGUACGUAAGAACCUCACUUUUCCCUUCACCCACGAAGUCUCUUAAGUCACCAGACUUUUUCUAAACCUUCAACUUACGUCAAAUCGACAACGUCUUGUAAGAGAGAAAGAAAAAGUAAAAAAAAAGAAAUAAAAACAUCACAAAACAAACCAACGACUUCACCCCACACCCAUUUCUACACGACCCAAAACAUACGCCUUUAGAUAAUGAUAACAUCAUCAAACAUCUGAGUCAUUUAGUUAGGGAACGGAAAGACUUUUAGACAUGACGUUCAUUGUAGAGAAAAGAACACGUUUGAUCAGAAACCAAUGACAAGUAUGACGUACUUUUAAAAGUUAAUUUGGUUCACUAAAACGUCUAUCUACUCUUAGUGAAAAUCGGGCUUAUUUUAAACGUUCCAAACUAAAUGUUCUCUCUUCAUCUACUUUGUGAGGUUGGAGACAUCACUAAUCAUUCAAAAGUCGUCAAGUAGAGUUUACGGAAUGUGUAGUUGUUUGAAAUGUUCCGCUUUUUCUAAUAGUGUAUAAAUGUAACCUUGAAUUUAUAAUGUCUUAAACAAGUAGUAUUCGGUUUAAAUGUCUACCUAAAGUUUGCAUUGUCCUAUUCUCACUCAAGGUGACUCUUUUACAUGUAACGCUGCAUAUAAGGCUUAGAGUUCCAUAGAAAUGUAAAUCCUCUGUUAUAAGGACGCAAGGAAGUUUGUUAAUGUAGACUAAACCGUUUACCAAUUCGGACUGACCAAAACGAUAGCCGAACUUACUAGUUUUCUCUUUUUUAUUUUUUUUUAUUUUCCUUUUUGGUAUUUGGGAUGGUUACAUAAUUGAUUACAAGCUUCGUUUUAAACAAGAACAAGGUACCGUAGAAACACGAAAAAGCGCGAGUAACAACCCAGUGGCAUAUUAGUGUUGGUAAUACCCAUGGUAUCUUGGUCACCACCAAACUCUUUUUCUCUUUUCUUAACUACAAGAUACGUAUUAUGUACAUGUUCGACGAAAAUCGUCGUGUCUGUUAGUCCAAACAACAUCCUACGGUACGGUUUACUCAGUCGAAGCUGAAGUUCAGCGUCCCCUAGAGAAGUAAUAAUAGUCCCGAGCCUUAUAGUACAGGACACUACUCCCAUUGCCGUUCUUAAUUUUUAUUUUUAAUAACUGCCAAGAAGUUCCUUUGACUUUCAACACCACUUUUCUUUACUCUUCACGGAUCCUGGAGAGGCUAACUCGGGUGCUCGUUUUGAACAUUCGUUGGGACGUCGAAAACCGUCUCUUAAAUACACACCACAGGACUCUAGUUAUACUUAAUAAUUUCACUCCGAGUAACCAAUAUAGGUAAAUAUGUUUCAUCGCUAAUAAUGAUAACUUCUACGCUCCAAUAGAAAAAGGUUUGGGAAAGUUCCUAAACGAAGUAAUUUCAUCCCUCAUCUUGGUCAUCUCUAACGAAAGGAGUAAAUGGGAUCUCAACUCAUAGAGUAACCUACUUUAUCUAGUUAUUCCCUUUGAUCACUUUUUCUUUAUUAAGCUGUACUAUAAACAUUAUAUUAUUGAGGUGUAAAGUUGUCUUUCACUACUGUUACUAUGACACUGACUGUUAAGUUCUGACUAUGAGCUCAAGCUAGUUUUUCCUCAAACAAAAGUAAAUCGGUCUCCCAUAUAGAAGUUAAAAGAAGCUGUUAAUUCAAGUGAUAGAAACCUUUAGUUAAUUCGAUUACUUGUUAUCUUAUAUAUUUGGUUGGACAAACCCAAAGACGAUCGAACGUUUCAUUACGGUAGUAGUCCAGGUGGCAGCGCUCUCUUUUGAGCCUUUAAUAACGACUAAAGUACGUCUUUUGUCAUCAGAAUUAUUGUUAUUAAGAUCUUCGUCAGUUUAUUAUAUAGUCUUUGGACAUUCUAGGUGACCGUUUCGCCGCAGGUAGGAACGAUUACGUUGUGGGUUUGAACAGCUUCUGCCUUAGUCGUGAUAUGUUGAGGUUCUCGACGUCUAUGGUCUUUUAUACAAUUGUAGUUUUAUAUAAAAAAGUUCUCCUCAUGAACAUAGAUACUAAUCAGCAGGUUUUGGAUUGUUUUUGUUUACUGUUCGUGAAUAAGAUGACCGUCUAACCCAAAAGAAAGCUUUCCCUUUUAAAGUUUACUCUGUGUAAACUACCAUGAACACGUAUAACUUAGUUUUGAUUAUAGUUAAUUCUUUAUUUUUUAUUUAUUCAAUGGAACCUCGCUUCUAUGAGUACAUGUAAUUUUCAACGUUAUCCUCUCGAGAGGUACACGUCCAGGGUGUAGACUUUUACGUCCUUUAUUGUACACUGUGGAGAUCUAAACAUCAAGAAAUAUUUUCUAUAUUACACCAGUUUGGAGAAUUGGACCGAUAUCUUAAACCUGCCACCGAUCCAAGUUCUCUAAUUCUCUCAAUUCAUACGAUUCUGAUCUCAUCGGGAUCCUGCCCACUGAGGGAGUCUUCACCCCGCAGUGUAUUGUUAACUCCGACUGACGUUUCAGGUGUUAAAAAAAAAAAAACCGAUUAUAUCUUGUAUUACUGUUGUAUUUAUUAUAUACCAUCCUGUUUUUUUUAACAUCUUUUCUCAGAGUUGUUACUUCAAAAUCUUUAGUGUCAUCGACUUAUAUUUCUAAAAUCAUUUUGUUAAUCUCUUUCCGAACCAGUUCAGUCCAACCAGUUAGGCGACUGACUUUUUGUUUACAGUUGAUAAAGUUUACCCUAUUAAAAUUUAUAAAACGUCAAUUACUGGGAAAUUUUUAGUCAACUGAACGGUCCGAUCAUAUUCCACUUGGCAGUUAGUUGUUUCUUAUGAGUGUCAUUACUUCUAAUUGAAGGUGUAUUCCGAUGUGAUGGAAAUUUAAGUACAUCAGCGCUGAAUCUUAUAUAGAAGGUAGAAAACCUUUGAAAUAUAGUCUUUAUCUUCUUUAAUAGAGCGAUUUCUUUCAGGGUCUAAAAAAUAAAAGUGCUAGUGCAUCAGACGUUGUCUUUUAUAGUUUAGUAGUUGGGGGAAACGAUUUCUUUGAUAAUUUCUCAUUGUAUAUAAUCUAUUUAGGUCACUAUUCUUAUUGCUGUUCGUUUACUUUAUCGAGUGUAAGAGUGUAAGACUAGUGUCUGACGACUGACAGCGUCCAGUUGUUCGGCUUAUUUUGGAGAGCUUGACGACAUCCGAUUUUCUAACGUUAUUCUGCCUACUUUAAGUCGACUUCAUUAGUGGAGACCUCUCAAGUUGUUUACUUUCAGUCAUUCAUUUCGAUAACUAGGUAGUUAUUCAAUGCAUUAACAAGUUUCCAUUGAGUCGUACGUGAUGGUUUGACAUCUUGAAGACAUACAACAGGAGAUGUGUUUCCUAAGGAAGUUAGUUCACAUAUUUUACAUCCGAAGAACAACUCUAAGGGAGUUGAUAGCCGGUACACUUAUCUGGGGAGUCGAGAAAAAAAAAAAAAAAAACCCAAUGUAAACGAGCAGAACUAAAUUCAACAAAGUAAUCCCUAAGGUAAUUAAAAUUACCGAGGUAGUCAAUAUUGUCCGAUUGAAAAUUGUCUUGGAUGUCUUUUUGGCUCUGCAAUUUAAAUUGGCAUUAUGAGUCUAAUGCGUAUUAAAGUGGUAUUACUCUUUAUUGAACUUAGUUUUACUCCUUUUCGUAUACCCGCAGUUUUUUUUUUUUCUAUUUCAACCCCUCGGAUAAAGUUUUAUCGGUUGUCGACGUCCCUAGAGACAUUCUAAAAUCGGUAGAUAAUAAGUACUACUCCUGAUUUUCAAUGCCUUUUGUCUUAAUACUUAUUUCUACUAAUAAUACAGUCCUUUUGUCAAUGUUUUAUCUAGUGGAUGCUCUAGAAGGUACAGUUUUCCGAAGUAUAGUUACUACAAUUUCGUAACUAAUGACUAGAGGUCCAAGGUAUUCAAAUAAGACUCCAGUAGUCGUCUAUACUUACAGAGUGGUAGUGACGCGUGCAUUCUUUUUAUAAUCCGGAGUCUGUUUUUUGGUUUUUGGUGUAUUUUCUUGGAUGUUUCCGAUCCGAUGUAAUCAUGGUAGACGGGUAAUCACUGUCUUCAUUUAGGACUUUUUAUUAAUGUUUAUUAGACUUGUACAUCUAGCUUACUCUAUUUAGAAGUGUGUUAAUUCGUGUUUUACGUCUUCUAUCAUUUUUUUCUUAUUACCUUUUAACAUAGUUAUCUACGACACGAUGGGGCUACUACGUUGAACCGGGGACUUGUAAAGUGAAUUUGUGACAGUAGGAGGUCAAAAGAGUAUACAACGUUAAGGUAGGAAUCGUCACCUUUUUUUUUUCUUGUUCUUUUAUUACAUCCGACUGGAAAAGUGAUUUUACUGGAAAGAUUGAAGUAAAGUUCAUUUGAAUUUUUGUUUCAUGAAAAUUAUCUUCCCUAAUAUACCAGUAAAAUCUUUUGAAAAAAAAAACUACCAGUCCUUACUUUGACGUUGUAUAAUUUUUGAAGUCCCUGAUGCAUAAAUUCACUUCUCAAGUCCCUGGUGUAGUGUUAUAACCCUAUCAUUCCCCUGAUAGGUAUGUAAUAUGACUUUUAUAGAAUGGAUAAUAAUCUCUACCUUAACUACAACAUUAGUACUCGUACUCUUAUCUAGGAGGCUGUGAAACGUCAUCACCAUAGAGGUUAUAGAUGAUGGAUUAUUGUUUUUAUUUAUAUCUGAUGUACCAUAAUUAUAAAUGGUCUUCUCUGUUUUGUAUAUUAUGAUGUUAUGUCAAAGAAGAAGCCGAAUACUACUUUGUUUUAUGUUGAUUAUUGUUGAGUCAGUACUUAAGGCUUAACCUAUAUCAACCUAAUUGUUCCAUUAUUUGAUUGUAUAUAUUACCUCUAAAUACCCCUUCCUUUUUAUUUUUUCUUUUAGGAGAUUUGGUUGGAAAAGUCCCGGAAGAAGUCUACAACCUCUACAUAAAGACCCGAAGAAUAAGGAGGUGAGUUCCAUCAUUGGUAAGGAGCAUCGAGAAAGGCGGAGCGGUUGUUCUUUUGAAAAGGGUCGUUCAUCUCGCAAGAGACUCCCAUACGCAUCUGAACCAAAGCGAAGGAAUUGAAAGAAAUUGAAUAAAAGGCUUCAGACGAAAGUGCUAUAUCAAGUAAUUUUAGAGUAAGACUACGAUCUUCUGUGUAAGGUUAAUGAGGUUUGUACUUAAAAAAGACAGUUCAAAAUGGAAGGUAUCAAAUUAACAGGAUAGUAAACAUCUUUCUUAUUUGUCACUUGACAACCCGACGCGUGUGGUGGAGUUAAACAACUAGAAGAGAGGUUAGAGGUUUGAUAAGUCUAUCAGUUUGAUGUCUCUCUUCAUGGUAACGUAAAGAGAUAUUCGUUAAAUGCACGGUUUUAAAUGCGUGAUAUUAUCUUGUUCUUUUCCGAUUGAAUUAUUUAUCGUAUGGAGAUCGAGUACUGAAACCUUGAGCCAAAAUAUUCAUAUAUAUCCUGCACGGCAUCGUCCUAUCAGGGACCUAAGAUCGAGUAAGGCUCUUGGGUUGACUUUUAUUAAUUUUUAGUCAAUCAUGAACUGGUGGUUUAAGCACAUGUUUUGAAUUCUUCCUUUUGCUCUAGAUAAAAUAGAAUCAACGUUAACAUAUGUAUAAAAACGUACAUGUCUUUUUUUUUUACUGCUUUAUGGUAUCUACUACACUCUCAAAUGUACUAGGGAGAGACAAGGAAGUUUUUCUUAAUAGGCCGGUGGUAUUAGAGGUUGACGCUCUAUCAACGGAGACGUCAGCUUAAGGUAACGCCUAUAUCAUAGUGGACGUCGUUACGUUUUCUUCGUCGUUAAACAUUUUAUCACCGUCGUUCUAUUAUUCAAGGCCACGUAAAAACCCAAAAGAAAAAAGUGGAAAAAAAAACCAAAAUAAUGUGAUAUGAUCUGAACUUGAAGUCCCAACAAAAGCGAAAGAUAUAGCAUGAAGAAAAAGACAGUUUUUAAAAUAAUAAGUAAACCGUCAUUAGGGAUAUGCGAUAGUUGCUUGCUAUUUUAAAAUUAGUCGUGGCUCGUAAAAGAACGUAUAUCAAAGAGGUCGGGGUUUUGGACCAAAACUAUCAAGCGCACGCGCUUUCACAAAAACUAGUUCCUUCUUUUACAUCAAUUCGUCGUUACGUUUCGCUCGCAUCUCUCAAACUUUAAGUGUGAGAUGUUCAUCGUAGAAAAGAUACUAGACGGUGGUUUUAAUUGGUAUUGCUCCAGCUUUAGAGUUGCAAAAGAAUUGGUUUAAUUCCUGAGAUCUGAAGAGAUGACUCGAGGAUUUCACAUUAAUUCGAGAAAAAGUUUACGAGCUUACGAAAAGAUCAUUUCUUCGACUUGGUUUGUUCGUGAUUCGUGUGUAUAGUCGUAGUAAGUAGCUCGUGCAGAUUAAUGCUUCCACAUAUCUUGAAUGGACUUGAUAGCGGGUAAAACUAGACUGAUGGAUUGGGUAUUUUUAAAACUAAAACAGUAGAUUGAAAAAUUCAGUCAACUAUCUUUAGCUAAUUACUGAGAAGGUAAAGUUUUAAAUCUAUUCUUGUUCGUAUUAUUUACGUAGUUUUACUCGUGACUCGGAUUCGAAGCAUGCCCUUCUUGGUAGUGUGGCGAAUUUAGUUUGUUUACUUUUCGAACCUAUACUUUUAGUUUUAAAAGUCCCUAACUAAUCCAUCACUUACCUAAACCUAAACCUACCCCUGACAUUAGCAGCAGCAAUGGUAGAAGCUCGAAGAGGGGGCCUUCGCCGAGCGGGUCGUGGACUCUGUUGAAGGUGAGGUCGCGGGGGCCGCGGCCGCGGCCGCUUGAGUAGCGUGAUUUUGCCGCCGCCGCCGCCGCCGCCGCCUUCGCGAAGAGGGAUAGCGAACGAAAGAUAUAGGCGUCAGCUGAGGCCACUUCACGAAGUCUCAUUUCGCUUUAUUUAUUUAUUUAUUUUUAAGAGACGAAAAACAAAAACAAAAAAAAAAAAAACAAAAAACGAAAAAAAAAAUCCACGUGUCGUCGUGUCACGUGAACGAAUAGAGAAGCGGUUUAUAAAAUAUAAAGAGCAAAAAAAAAAUAAAAACCUUUUCACUCUUAAAAAUCACCACAUAAAACGACGAUGUAAUCGAAACCGUUGCAGAGUGCAAAUGUAGGCGUUAUAUAUUAUCUACGCGUCAAUGUUUGUUAAGAUGUCAUAUUUAAAUCUAGUAAAUUCUAUAUUAUUAUAGCUAAAAUCGGCGGCGUAAUGGUUUGAUCUGCUUUUGUAUCUUGUUUCGGGUUCAUUCCCGAAAAAAACGUUUAUCGGGGUACUGUUUAAAAUAAACAUUUUUAUCGGGGCAGGUUUUUAAUAAACGUUUUUACCGGGAUGGGGACGGUGCGGUCGCGGUGCAGUCGCGGUGCGCCCGUCCCGCCCGGGUCCACAAAUUCAACUUGUGCCACUUGGUAAGUGGCACAAGUUAUGUUUUAAAGUGGCACAAGUUAUGUUUUAAAAACAUAACCUGUGCCACUUACCAAGUGGCACAGGUUAUGUUUAUGGGGUUGUUACUGAUUCAACCUCCAUAAACAUAAUCUGUGCCACUUAGUAAGUGGCACAGGUUAAUAAACAUAACCUGUGCCACUUACCAAGUGGCACAGGUUAUGUUUAUAAAGCUAGAAUCGAUAAAACAUAACUUGUGCCACUUAGUAAGUGGCACAGGUUAUGUUUUUGAAACAUAACUUGUACCACUUAGUAAGUGGCACAGGUUAUGUUUUUGAAACAUAACUUGUGCCACUUACCAAGUGGCACAAGUUGAAUUGGUAGACCGGGUCGGGGCGGGCGCACCGCGACUGCACCGCGAACGCACCGCUCCGGUCCCGGUAAAAACGUUUAUUUAAAAACUGUCCCGGUUAAAAUUUUUUUUUUAAACAUUCCCCCGAUAAACGUUUUUUUCGGGGGGUUCAUUCCUUGUAAAGGAGUUUUUGUUCCUCUAACCUACGUCUUGUUACAACUUCAAUUUGAUAUGUAGUCGAACGGUUAGAUCUUUAAAAUGUUCCUUUACUUCUAACGUUAUAGAGAGGGGCAUUUAAGCUCAAGCGUUGACCUUUUCAUACGGGAUCGUAAGUCGCGGUCAAUGGCGCAGCGGUGAUCCAAUGGGUACUCGGGAGGCCGCUAAAGCAUCACGAACCGAAGCCUUUUAGGCCGCACAAACCGCUCCAAAAGAUUGAGGAAAGGACGUGUCUUGUGUCUGAGAGUUCGGCUGCAUUUGUGCUCGCUCUAAAUUAAUGACACAGCUAUAGAUUUGACUGUCUUUAAAUUUCGAGCUAGACAAUGUCUACUUCUUUAAAGCUUUUAAGGACGACUUAACGUCGAAUUUAGAGUAAUGUCAUUCGACGAACAAAAGAGUACUUAAAAUCCUAAACAUUGGUAGCCUGGCUAGCGAGAUUUAGAUGAAGAUAAAUAGGAAGUCCGAGAUAUUACUUCAAAACAUUACUUGUUGAUACCUACGUAUAAGGGUCUUUUUUCAUAAGUGGUUGUAUUUAUGUUUACAUUUUGUAUGGACAAUUUUUGAGCCGAUAACUUGGAAAAUUUAUGAGCAUGAGAAGGCGUUCCGGUAUGGCUGAACGUUCUCCUUGUUGGCGUAACAGAUAGUGGGUUAAGAUGUUACAUCUUUAAUAUCGCAGCAAUUAACUUUCUUUUCUAAUCUCGGGGGUGCUUCGUAAAGUUUAGCCGAAGUUCUUGACACCGCGUAGGCCGAAAAUGUUCUUUACCUUGUUCUUUUCCAUAACGUGUUUCUCAACGUUCUUAUUAUUUGAUAUGUAUAGUGCCCUGUUCUGUAUGUCCGCCUUUCCAGAGUUCAUGGACUUUUCUUCUAUACUUUCAUCUACUCGAGAACAAUUUUAGAUCUUAACUACGAGAACUAGGACGUUUUGUAAAUGAGUUUUGGCUCUGGUUAUUAUGCAUUGUCAAAGUGUCGUUUUUUGUGAUCAGCUUUACUCAACGUUACCAUACUUUGGACCAAAGUCUUGGGAUUUAUAAAGGACGUAACGAAAUCCAAACAGUUGGUUCAAUGCAUUGGGUAUUGGUUGUCAUUACCGUAGUUUUAUCGUCAGGUACUUACCAUUUAGAUCCCGUAGUGGAAGUUGGGUGGACGUAUUUUCAAAGAAAAAAUUUUUUUUUUUAAGGGUCACAUUCCAGAUAUGCCCCCUCGUAUUUAAGGGAAGUCUUUCUUAUUCGUGUCUUUUUUACGGUACAUGAACUUUUAUAGAGUAAUUAUAUGCGUUACAUUUGUCGUACGUUAACAUCCCUUGUCGUCGUCUUCCUAAUAUCUCAAGGUCAUACUAUAUCUAGAGGAUUUACCCAGUGUACGUGAUUCUUAGAUAAUAUUGACUUUGUUUUUUCUAUUGGGAAGUAUAAUGUUCCUGAGAAAUACGAUAAUAUGAAAAGCACGGCUUCCAAGAGUGAAUUACAAGAACAUCGUUCGGAAGGUUAUAACGAGAACCGCUCAUCUUCGUUAACUAUUACCGUGAGAACUCUUCAGUUCUCGAUAGUGGACACUUCACACUGUUUUAUCGUAAUCUGAGAGAGUAACAGACUAUAGGGUCCAGUUAGUAAGAGGUAAAAGCAGUUUUACUUGUUUUCUAUUUUCCCAUUUUAUAUAGAUAUCAUUGGGGUAUAACGUCGAGUCACGAAUUUGUAAAGUGAAGUUUCGAUCAGGAAUUGAAAGAGUACUUAACAUGAUGGGGCUAUAAUACUGAUUUAGGGAUUUGAAGAGUCUAUUUGUGAAAUGAUGGACUUGAAAGAGUAUAUGACGUAAGGUAGGAAUUGGCGAGGACUUAGAACAUUCACUGGUAAAUAUAGCAUAGGUUAUUUUACUGAAGGAUUGAUUAAAGGACUUUGUCGUAACUUUUCCAGUGAAAUGUCAUUUUUACAGUACAAAAAUCAAAGAAAAGAAAAAAAAAAAAAUUCGUGGUUCCUACUUUUACGUCAUUAUAGUCUUUAAAACUCCCGAUUUCUAAAGUUGACUUUACGAUUCCCUGAUUGACUUUGUAGUUCUAACAUGUUUCUGUUAGGAAUGCAUAAUUAGCUUUUAUUUUUUACGUAUCACCUACUUUUGUAAACGAUUGGGACUGGACAUUCUGGUAAAUUUGAACAAAGUGUCUGUUGUAAAGUGAACGUAUUACCAAAUCUUUUAUUUCUAUGUUUUUUCUUCCACUGGAGGAAGAUGUCAUAGUUUUUCAUAGAUUCUACGAACGUCGUUUUCAUUGUACGAAAUGGAGAUCCAGUACGAAUAGAAAGUUCCUACCUUUCAUUUUCUUAUGAGUUCUUUAUCGUCUGGGGUUGGGGUUGUGGGAGGGGGGGGAGGUUUGGUUUUUUUUGUUGCUUUCUCUUUUCUUCUUUACAACUUUGGAAUUUCAAAUAGUGACUACCUCUCUUUAUUUUCCGAACGAUAUAAUAUAAGGCAUUCAUUACGUUCGGAAUGAUGUUUAAGCUUUCGUCUCCUUUCUAUAUACCGGGAAUUUAAAUUACUCUUAUUGAUUGACAUAUAUCAUCGUGGUAAACUACAUUUUACUAACAGGGCUACUAAAGUACUACCGACACAUUCCAGUAUAACAAUGUAUGAAUGUAGAGUAUCGCCCGUAUCGUCAAAGUGUCCAUAAAACUUAUACACAAUUUCAAUUAUCUGUUGUCGGUGUGGAGAGGCAGUCAAGGUUGGAAGACCCUAUCUUCUUUACAGUUUAGCGGCGAGGGCGUCGUGUUUAGCUCUUGGGCUAGGGGGUAAAAGCGUGACGUUUUUCUCUUUUACCCAUAGUUUUAAUUCUACUUUAUGGACCUGAUGUUCCGUAAACCUUUGUUGUCAAUAACCUUGUAAUUUUUGAUUGAUUGGAAAGGCAAUUAAACCUCUUACAAAAAUUAGAUUUCCUUUUAAAACAAUUAACCGUCUUACUAUAUAAUGACAAAACUGUUUUUAUCUAUUAAAAGUUUGUUAUAAUUACUUUAUUUUUUGUUUCUUUCUAUUUCAUCGAUUUAGUAUUAUAAAGGACAACUAAAUGCGUAAAGAUAUCAGACCAUUCCGAACAUACGAAAAUGGGUUUUAAUUUGGAUGAUUUCAUUUCGAGUUCACGACAAACCCUAGUAAUAGUAAAAACAAAUUGAAAAAAUUGUAAAUAAGAUAUAUUAACUAUAUAGCUGUAUUCUGAAAAGAAAACAAUAGUAACAACUAAUCGAACGUUACGUGAUACCGGUUCAUUGCCUGCUAUUGAACAAAUUUUUUUAAAAUUUUCGUUUGUUUUUUCAUCGAGAAAAAAAACGACAAUUUAUUUUAGGUUCCUAAACAUUCGUUAGGUGGUAGAGAAAAUAUGAUAAAAUAUAUCUUUAAAAUACAUUUUUUUACUUUUUUUUUUUUACCGUUUCCGCGUUUUGCUCCGGUUUUUUAUCGUAAAAAAAAUUAAAAUGGAAUUAGAAGAUCUCACUUUGGUGUUUAAGUUAAAGCCUUGGGGUCACUAUCAUUGUUAUUCCAUUUUUAUAUGUUUUGGACUUGAUACAUAGUAAAACUAAACCGACGGGUUGGAAAGUUAAAAGUAUAAUGAUAGGUUGGAAAGUUUGUCAGUCUAAACACAGCCACUUGCUAUGAAACUGAAGUUUUAAUUUCAAUUAAUGAGUGAAAUUCAUCAAAUAUUAACGUUUUUAAUGUACUUUAUAUGGUUAGUUUUGCGUAAGUUUAAAAUUUUAAUUUCAUGGGGCAACUGACUUAGUUUAGUUUAUUUGACUUUGUCAUCUAUCAUUUUAGUUUUAAAAUUUUCAAACCCAUCAGUUUAGUUUUACCAGUAGUCAAGCUAAAUCAAGUUCCGAAGUUCGUUAAAGACAUGCAAAAAUGCCUUUUUUAUUUCUUUUUCUCUCGUAACGUAUAUGGGCGAGGUCCUCUGCCGGUAGGAGAAGGUUUAGGAUACAACGGGGUUCCACUCGUGUAGCAACUCGAUGGUAAAGUCGUAGUUUUCGUUGUUGUAUGUAUUCAUUAUCUUGCUUCGUUUUCUUAGUUUGCCCGCCUUCUCUUCCUCCUCCUCCGCCUUAACCCUCCACUCGAUUGUGUGCAACAGCAUCUACCCCCGCUACGCCCUCUUAUCCCAGACCGCUAGCUCCCUCGUGGACUAAGCUGCUCUGCUUCGGCUGCUGCUGCUGCUGCUGCUGCCGCUGCUGCUGCCUCUUCCUCUCCUCGCUUCCGCUGCUGCUGCUCGAGGGCUCCUCCUCCUCCUCCUCUCCCUCUCCUCUUCUCCUUUACCUCCUCCGCCUCCUCUCCACCAAGCCCUCUCUCACCUUCUCCCGCGACGUUGCCGGUACCCGCUACCUACGAAGAAGGGAGAAGGAAAAGCGUGGUUUUCCCACUCCUAAUAUUAUUACUACUAAAAGAAAAAAGAAAAAAGAAAAAAAGAAAGAAAAAAAAAAAAAAAAACAAGUGAAAUAGAAAUGAAAAAGUAUUUUUCAUUUUUUUUCUUAACAUCCAAACAUGUAUAUAUGAAAAACUAUAUAUAUAUAUAUAUAUAUUUUUCCUAAUGAACCAAACAAUAGAAACUAGAAAAUAUCUUUUCCACAGAAAAAUUUUUCUGCGAAAAUAGUUUUCUACUAUUUUCCAAGGAACCAAUCAAGCCCUUAGGAGUGAAAUUAUAUGGAACAUGAAACGGCAAGUAGUUUAUUGUAGUUUUAUCUCAUUCCUAGCUGUAGCAGGGUCUAAUAUUUAUAUAGUACAAGUUUUAUACUUGCAGAAUGCAUGGGCUAGUAUUUAUCACAUUAGGGUAGUGGUGAUAUAUAUUAAAAAUGAUGGAAGGUAAACCUAAAUCUUAGGAUUUGAUUUACACUAGGGUAAUGUUUGGGCGGCUAUCAAUAUAGCUUACGACUUGCAACUUAUGGAGAGAUGAGUUAUGAUGAAAUAAAAUUUGGUGUUUCGUAAUUUGACUAUGGUUAUGUUAUCUUCUUUUUCUUCCUCUUGUUGUGUGCGCCAACGAAAUUCUUCUUCCUAAAUGGUUCUAUCUUUUCUUUUCUUUCUCACCUUUCAUUCUUAUCUUUUUUUCUGUCUUAUCAUUCUUCUAAAUUUUCUUCUCUAAUUUUUUUGAAAAUUUUUGCAAAUUUUCUGAAAUUUUGCCCAUUUAUUGGUUAUUUUCUAAUAUUUCUUCUUAAUUUCUGAAAAAAAGAUAAUUUUGAAAAAUAUGAAAAUCAUUCAAAACAUUUAAAAUUUAGUUUUCUUUAAAGUUUGGGUUCAUCGCUUGCAAAAUAGAUUAGGGCUUUUCUAAUUUGUCCUGCAUCAAUGCUACUUCAGAAGUUGACAUUUUGAGUGAGCAAAGAAAACUGCUGACCGAUUGGAUUUUGUUACAACAAAUUUCAAUAAUAAUUACUGCUAUUAUGCCCUGUCAGAGUUAACAAGGGUUUAACCAUUUGUAUCAUCUCUUUCUUUAUGCUAAUUAUGUUCAUUUCAUGGUUCUUUUCACAAAUGUGUUCUACAUUUGUACGAAAUCCUCCAUAGGAGUUUUGAACUAGCUGUUUCAACUACAUUUCUUUAAACAAAGUAAGACGGAGCUAUGUACCAACAUAUAUGAGAAAGCUUAUUUACAAUUCUUAAGGGCCUCAAAUCCUCUUGCUGCUUUUAUUUGGGUUAGCAGGAUGGAAAAAAAAAAAAUCACUAGCAAUAUCACAAGCAAAGUUUAACUGCAAAGGCACGGGGUUAUGUUGAGUACUUGCUAGCACAGUACAUCAGUGCUGUGCUGUGCCGGUUUGUGUAGCUGACACAGUAUCUAUUUGCGGACACACUUGGCAUAAAAAAAUUAUAUCUUUGACUCUAUUGUAUUCCAAUUGCUCUCAAUAUAUUGUUAGUCAAAUGUUUUGUACUCCAUUAAUGCAAUUACUUGCUACUGUCCAAAGAAAAAAAAGAGCCCGUUUUGAGUUGUGCCAUCGGCAUGAAGGACAUUUUCAUUCCGAUACCUAGUCGGCACAAUGCAGCAUGGUAGGCAGGGCUCGUGCCAAUGAGCACUUAAAUCCUCGAUCACAAAGAUAUUCACAAAUUUCUGUAUUGUACUUUUGUUCCAAUAGUUAAUGUAUUAUCAUGAUUUUGUUGAUUGACAGGAUUCUAUUCUUGGAGGCUAUUCAUAAUAUCAUGGUGUACAAUCAUCUAUUCUAUUCUUGCCAUAUUAGCUCAAAUCUUAUUUAAUAUCUUUUGGUGUAUUGAGGGAAAGGACUGGAGUGUGGCUCAUGCCUGGUGGGCAAACCUCGUUGGUUUCAUCAGGUACAAUAGAUAAUGUGAUUUACUGGUUUUUCUUUUUUGGCCUCCAAACUUUACCCUUUCUUGGUCCUAUAAUGCUAUAGGCUACUUCAAUGUGUUACAAUAGACCAUUUAUAUUGACUGCCUCGUCGCAGAACUUACUCAUGCAGGAGUGUAUAUCUGUCAAGAAAAUCUACUUAGGUCAAAAGUUCAUUGGUUUUGCUCGUCUUUGUGGAUUCGAGAAUCUAGAGCAUAUUAACAUGAUGAAAAUUUCAUGGCACAUUAUGGAAGUUUUGAACUGGUGAAGGAUAAUUGAAGCUACUUUUAACAUACUAGGAAGGAUUAUCUAAUAUGAGUGUUCUAAGGGGGACUAAAUGCACAUUUGUAACAUAUGAAACGAGGCUUUUUUUCAAAAAUGUUGGUCCAAGUACCGAAACUUUGCCAUCUUUGAUCAUCACCUUUACUGUGCUAGAAUUGACGAGGUCAGACUAAUUUGCAAUUUUUUAAUUGAAACUUCCAGGUCAAUAAGAGUAUUAGUACAUAUGAAAGUAGAUUUAAACUCGACAAUUGGUAAAUCGAAGCUGCUUAAGUGCCUGCAUCUGAAGAAGCAAAUGCUCCUGCCUUAGGAAUAUACUUUAUAAAUUGCCUUAUUACAUCAAAACAAUCUCAUGAUAGAAGAUGGAACAAUAAAAGGGAGGCUAAGCCAAUGAUAAAUGCAUGAAUGAAUUGGUAAGCCAUCCAAUAAAUCCUGGGCGGAAGUUGAGUGAGAGCGAGGAAGGAAGAAGGUGAUUGAUGACAAUCUAAUAGUAAUGAUAAAUUUUGUUAUAUUAAUAUGUGAUGAUAUUUUAUGCUGCUUUUCGUUAAUGCUCCGACCUAACUAGUUGGCAUUGAUAAACAAUGCCACUCUUGUCUUGCUAAUCUCGAUCGAUUGUUGAUACUAUAACCUUUUUUGAGAUUUAGCUGAAGGAAAUAUCUUUGUCACCCGAUACCUUGCUAUUUUGUUGUUUGAGAUAUCAGGGCUCUUGUAUGGCAUUUCUAAUGUUGUUUAUUGAUUGACCUACAAUGUAGAAGCCUUCUUCAAUCCUAUUAAUAUCCAUUGUGCAAAGUGAUUGCUUCUUGCACAAUGCCGUCACUAGUUGAUGGUGUUGCCAAACGUCCAACAUUGCUGUUGUUCUGGUGUGGGUGAAUAUUUGUUCUUCUUAGCAAGGCACCUUAAUGCAAUGUAUCUAUUCUGUAGUUAUUUAAGCUCGUGUUUCAAGUGACCAUCAGAAAUUUCUAAGUGUUUAGGGAUGGACAUAUCUAUACUCCCGUUGUUGGUUUUUAUUGUUCCCAUUAACAAUAGAGAAGCAGUCUUUUUCUUGACAAUUGAUUAAUGUAGAAAUCAGAAAACAUACCAAAUGAAAUAUAAAAUAUCAUAAAGAGUGAUCCUAAAUGUGAGCAAGGAUGGGCGCAAUUCACAUUGAGUAGAAUUGCUAUUCUAUAGAUAUAUUGGAAAGUUUGAUUAUUUAGUGGUGAGUCAUAUGUAGGUGGUUAUGUUGUCACUACAUGUCAUAUUACUAAUUCAACACAUGACUGGCAAGAUGAACUUCGUGUUGCUUGCUAAGAUCCUAUCUGUAUCUUGCCAUUGAUUUACAUGUUGAUAACCUCGCCCUAAAAGAUUAUGUUACAUAUAGUUAGCUACGAUGAAUGUUCACCUCAUUAGAAAUGCCAUAUUGAUUCAUUAUUUUUAGAAUUUACCGGACUCACUCUGUUCUAGUUUUAUAUUUUAUGGGAAGAGAAUCAUUCACUUAUAGUUGUAUUUAAAGUCACAAGCCCUAGACAACUUUAUUUUAUCUGUACUACUAUAAGAAAGGAGUUUCAAAUAUUAGGUUCUUCCUAUUUUACUCCUAGUGUUUGAAAAAGCGUGAGGUGCAAAAAGGUUCAAAGGCCUUCUGGAGUCUAGGUGCGAGGUGCAUCGCGAGGUGUGUGCCUCAAAAAGGUGAUGUGCACAUCUAAUAAAAAUUAAACACUCUUAAUAAGCCUAGUUUAAAUGAAUAUUUUACAUUAAAAAAUUUCAAAAUAGCCAUACAAAAAUAAAAUAACUAUAAAAAAGCAAAGAAAUCACAUGUAUAAGUAUUCUCAAACUAAAAAGAACGAAACUAUUUUCAACUUUCAACUUAAAAGCAAGGUUUUAAGUGCCCGUCGGCAAGAGCCGUAUAUACCGUGCUGUACCGUGCCAACAAAAUAUCGGCACGAUACAGACCCCGUGUCGAUGGCACAGCUCAAAACCCUAUAUUCUUUAAAUACUAAGUAAUUUCCUCAAUAAAGUUCAAAAGAUGUGAUAAAAAGACAUAAUAAGUAGUUAGAAUAUUUUGUUGCUAAAGAAAAUAAAUAUUUCAUGCUAUUAUGUGUCGACACACAAGAAUUUUUUUGACCGGCACGCAUCGGCGCGGCUUGGCACACACCGUGCCGUACCGUGCCGGCAAGUUUCCGGCACGCCCCCGUGCCACAGCACUUCAAACCCUUAUUUAAAAGCAAGGGUUUAAAGUGCCGUGGCACGGGGGCGUGCCGCUCUUUUCUUGGCACAGUACGGCACAGGCACUCUUGCGUGUCAACACGUGGUACGAUUGCGUGCUGAUGGAUACGUAUGACCUCCUACUGGCACGCUUUGGUAUGGACUUAUUUUAGUUUUUUGGUUCCAAUAAGCUCUUAGAAUGUAAUUUUGAAAGAUUUAGACAAAUAAUUAUGAAUAUUUGCUAUGUAUAGCUUUCUAUACUCGUAAAUUAACAUGCAUGUAAGUUUUUUGUAUAUAAAGUAUAACUAUACUUAAUAUGGAAUAGAAAUUAAAAUACAAUAAUAAAAUUUACAAGUACAAUAAUUAUUUAAAUUUACAUAUUUACAUAGAGAUGACUACUUAAUUCCACAUAGAUCAUCGCAGUAGAUCAUAUGACAUAGUGUCAUCUGCAUAUACAGGAUUUAUUUGACAAUGUUGAUAUAAAUAUUGCUGGUAUUGUAAGAAAUUCAUAUAUUCCCGAUAUAGCUCAUUGUAUUGUCGGAGAUAAUCUACAUACAACUAGAUCGUGGUGUAAUGGACAACAAUCAUCUGUGGCAUAUAGAUUGAAACAUCAUAAGGAUAAGGAUUGUACGGAAUAGAAGAAUCAUAAUAUGGAUAUGCAUGCGUAUUAGUGGACGUAGAUUUGCCAUAUGAGCUUUCACUAUGUGAAAGUAUAGAUGGAUAAUAACCAGCAAGGUUCUAAGUGCCCGUCGGCACGGGGCGUAUCCACCGUGCCGUGCUGUGCCAACAAGAUAACGACACGAUACAGACCCCGUACCGGUGGCAUAGCUCAAAACCCUCUAUUCUUUAAAUUAGUAAGUAAUUUUCUCAAUAAAGUUCAAAAGAUGUGAUAAAAAGACAUAAUAAAUAGUUAGAAUAUUUUGUUGCUAAAGAAAAUAAAUAUUUCAUGCUAUUAUGUGUGGGCACACAAGAAUUUUUUUGACCGACACGUAUCGGCACGACUCAGCAUGUACCGUGCCGGCAAGUUUCCGGCACGAUCCCGUGCCACGGCACUUAAAUCCUUGGUAACUAGAUUGUUGUUGCUCCAGUUGAUGCAGGAUGGAUUGGGAUUCACUCUGAGUGCCAUGAAUUGAUGCGUCAUAAUCAAAUAUCCCUCCAUAAAGGCCAUGUUGAUAUGAGGGAUAUUAUGACACCGAAGUACUAUCAAACUGUGUGUGUAAAGUAUCAUCCCUUCGUGGAUGUCUAAGUUGAUACUGCCUCCAAACCUUCUCUCAUCUCCCCAUAAUCUUGUUGUGAGGAUCUUAUCUUUUCUACGGUCAUAUACCACUCCAAAUGUUUGACAUGGUCGAGACCCAUGAUCAGCAUCUUGAGUGGCAUGCGUGAAAUUUUGCUCUUUAGUAAAUAUAAGACCACCUCCACUUUCCUGUUGUGUUGGUGGAAUGAAAUCGCCACCAUCCUUACCGCUAUUAGUGGUAUCAUUAUCAUCACUACAUUCAUCUUUAGACCGUGGUAAUCCAGAAUCUGCUCGUGUUGAUGUAUCACUAUCAUCAUCUUGUGGGAUCAUCUAUUGGAUCUGUCGAGGUCAUACUUUUUUUACUCUUACCACUUCGAACUGUCGUUGAAGGCCUCUUUGCAUUAUAAGACGUUUUCUUCUUUCCAGAUUGACUCUGAGUAUGAUGUGGGUGACCAUGUCCAGGUCUUUGCAUUAGACGUUCAAAUUCUGCAUCAGAGUCAUGUGUAGGAUUUUGAGAUUCUUCGUCCAAAGCUGUUUGUUUUUGCACAUUACCUUGAGACUUUCUUAUAUUCUCGUCAGCCCAUCUUUCAACAUCACUAAUUCCUACUCCCUCAAUGAUUAUUCUGAAUGGUCGUGGUGGAUCUCCAGGCUCAUCGAGUUAUGGGUCCUUUUGAUUGACUCUAUCUUGUAGUCAAUCAAGUACGGGGUCUGAUUCAUCAUUGAUAAAUCUUACAUUCAAUGGAUCAUAGACGUUGUUUGGGAUAAGACACGCACAACAGUCUUUUUUAAAUGCUUUGUUGAUCCACCAUAUUGUGGCCACCACUCAUCUAUACAAUUAAAAGUUAAAAAUAUAUCAAAUUAGAUUUAUCGUCAAGUGUAAAAUGUCUAAAUUAUGGAGUUACUCACUGGGAUCGGUAUAGUGUCUCUUGUUAAUUGCACCCCAAUUCGCCAAAAGCUCCAGAAGAUUCACGAAAUGUUUUUUCCUUUAUUAUAAUAGUAUAAUAAUCAGCAAUUAGCAUAUUAACAUCUAGCAAAUUAAUAAUACAUUGAAAAAGCCAUUAUACCUCAUUUAUGGCAAGAGUAGUAUGUGUUGGAUCCCUCUCCAAUCUAUUGAUGAUGUUUCGUAAUGCCUUCAACAGUUCAUCAUCAAAUUCAAGAUUAUAAUGAUGGUUGUACGACGGAUUAAGAUAAUAACUUAUCAUUAAGAAAGAAAUCACUCCAUUAAUAAUGUAAGAAUACAAAUGAACAAUCGGUAAUAAAUAGUUUUGUUAUAAUUUAUAACUUACCUGCUAGGUGUAAAUCCCGACUCAUUUGGACAUUCCAACGUCUGGCAAUAAUUUUUAGAUAAGAUUGACGCCGCAACGGAUUAUUUUUUUUUAUAUAUUAUUUUUAGCCAUUCUCAGUUUAUAAUAGACAUGUCCUAUUUGAGAUAUUUUUUCUUGAUCCACUAAACGGAGGACCAUGUAUAACGGUUCCACAAUAUCAACAAUCUCUUUCACGUAAUCCCAAAACUUGGCGGAUAGAAUUAUUUGCUCCAUUGAUUUUUCAUCAGCCGUGGAGAUAUAACGAGAUGUUUGCCAUUCGUCUGAUGCAAACAUGGACUUUAAUCCAUUUUUAUUUUGACGGAUACUGUUUAGAGCAAUAAAAUUUGUGGCAAAUCGUGUGAUACCAGGACAUACGAGUUCUUGUCCAGUGAAUUUCACCAUUAAAGCAUGGACCCAAAGAUGAUUAUACAAAUAUUUAGAUACACAUUGUGCAGUAUCUACAGUUUUUUUUUUUAUCUAUUGGGUCACAAAUUCUCAAAUUCAACACAUUUUUGUAGUUUUUCUUUGUGUAAUAUAUCCACUAAAAGAAGUGUACUUUUUUUGCAGAGACCAGCCGUGGGGAUCAACAUCUGUAAUUUACUUUCUAAUCAUACAACUAUCUGCUGCUCUUGUUGCUUUAAUCAACAACAUGGAAGAUAAACUCUAUCAAGAUUCUUGUUGGCUUAGCUUCUCAUUAGCAGUUCAUCAUAUAGGUUUGUAAUCUUUGAACUUGAAUUCCUUCUUAUUCUUUUGCGAUGUCUCUGCCUAAUGUUUCAGUAAUGCUGCAUUAUUUACACUAGUGUCAACAGGACCACAAUUCACAUAUACAACUGGUGAUGCUAGAUUAGAAUACUUGAGAAAUUUAAUUUAUAGGUUUGUUGUAGAGUAUUUGAAGAGUAUGAUUAAUGUGCCAUGCUCCAACGCAGAAACCAAUCAGACGCGCAACAGAUUUGGUCCAUGGACAGAGUCUUUCUUGUACGUGCAACGCGUCAAACAAUACAACCUGUUCACGAUUUGCAUAAUUAACAACAUGUUAUAUUUAAAUAAUAACAAAGUGGGCAUUUAAAGCUAGACAUAAUUUUACACUCUUAAGUUUAUGUAGUUUCACAAGUUCUAUCAAACCCUUUUAUUAAUUACAAUACAUGCUUUAUACAUAUAUCACUUCCAAAAGAUGACUAACCCAAAAAUGUGAGCUGUUUCUAUCUCAUCUAUAACUCUCUGAAACCUCGCCAUGUGGUAGCUCACUGCCCAUCUUUGGCUACGACUGGAUCUGAAUAUAUUUCAACAAUAUGGAGUGAGAAAGUAACAAAAGUUUUUCAGUGGGUAUAGCAGGCCGAGAGAAGCGAGAAGUACCUAUUAGGUCCGGUCAGAGGUACAAAUAGUAAACAACUGGUAAUAAACGAAGAAUGAUAAGUAUUGAAAUAGCAACUAAAACUAUCAAGCCUCUAUAUACAAAUAUCCGAAUAAGGCUUCAAGAAUAAAGUCAUAAUGAAAACUGUAACAACUAAAUGUAAAGUUCAACUUAUGGGAACAUAAAAUUAUCAUGCAUCAAGUGUCAAAUUGUCCAACAAUAAUUUUAUUAUCAACAAAAUCUCACCGGCUUGCCUCAUUAGGCCCAGCCAGGACUUUUUUAUAAAAUAACCUUUUGAAAUUUUAUUAUUUGUGAAAUAACCUUACUAAAAUUAUAUUUAAAAAACUAAUCUCUUAAAGACGGUGAAUGGUUCACCGCCUUCAUAAAGACGGUGAAUGAUUCAUCGCUUUCCUAAUUUCUCAAAAAAGCGGUGAAUCAUUCACCGCCUUUUACUUGUUUAUUGUUUUUUUUUUAUAAUCCUAACAACCACAUAAAUAUUUCAACAAAUCACAUAUAAUCUUAACCUGAAAAUUCUAAUAAUCUAUCCAUACAAUACUAACAAUCAAAAAGAUCCUAAUAAUCUAUCCCUACAAUUGUAAUUUUGUAAUAAUCAAAUAUCACAUAUAAUCUUAACAAUUUGAAAAUCCUAAUAAUAUAUCAAUAUAAUCCUAACAAUCAAAUUUUUUUUAAUAAUCUAUCCAUACAAUUCUAACAAUCAAACAAAAAUUCUAAUAUUCCACACACAAUCCUAACAACCUCACUUUUUUUAUUUCCCGUAUAAUAUACGUACAAUUUUAACAAUCUCAUUUUUUUUCUCUUUCCCAAAAAAUUAUGAAGAAGACGGUGAAUGAUUCACCGUCUUUUAAAAAUUAUGAAGAAGACGGUGAAUGAUUCACCGCCUUUAAAAGAUCUUAGAGACUUUUAGAAUGCGGUGAAUGAUUCACCGUGUUCGAGAGUUAAUUGCCAAAUACAAAUUUGAUAGGGUUAUUUCGCAAAUUAUAAAAUUUUAGAUGGUUAUUUUGUAAAAAAGUCCCCCAGCCAAGCUUUCUUUCCCACCGGUCUGCCUCAUUAGACCUGGCCAUACAUGUCCUCUCCGGAGGGCACCAACCGCAAGGUUGCGAACCUUGAUCACGGCGGUGGUAAAAUAGUAUAUAUUUGUAAGCUAUGGCCUUUACAUAUGAUCAAGGCUCCAUAAUCUCACUAACUGAUAAUGUUUAACAAGUGACAUAUACUAUGCAUACCAUAGGGAGCCACAAGUUAGAAUACUUUAACAACAAAAGCAAGUACGUAACUGUUCAUUACUAACCACUAGCAUUCGUAAUUUCAAAACCAACAGCAAUUAAUAUCAAUACAGACAUAACGAGAAGGAUUAUAAUAUAUCAACCUAAGCAUGCUUACACUCACCAUGAAUCAAAGAAUAUACCCAAAAUAAGAUAACCAAUAGCAGGGAACAAGAUUAUAGAUCAAACUCAAAAUUAUAAAGGGAAAACUUCAAAAAACCCCCCUGUGGUUUCUUACUUUCUCAUUUUAGUACCCUGUGGUUUAAAGUGUAUCAAUUUGCUCCCUUGUGGUUUCGUUUUUAUCUUUUCGGUAGCUUUUUGGUUAAUAUUUCAUUAAAUUAUAUACAAAAAACUUCAGAUACUCAUCUAGAUUUAUCGAAUAUUCACUUUGAUACCCUUUAAUUUUAACUUUGUCACUGAUUUAAGAAAAAAAAAUAAUGAAAUUGAUAAUAAAAAGAGAAAAACGAAACCAGAAGGGGGCAAAUUGAUACAUUUUAAACCUCAGGGUACUAAAGUGAGAAACUGCGAAACCACGGGGGGGUUUCUGAAGUUUUCCCAAUUAUAAAAUUAGUACUGGUAAGAAGUUUUACCACUUUUGGAAUCGCUAACUCACCUCAACUAGAGAUGUCUUCACUAGUUUAUAUGCCUGAAUCUUGUUGGUUUGCCAAAAUCUAUGUAAUUCAUAUUUUACAUAUUAGAUUUUACGUAAAAAUCUCUCUGUUAAAUAUUGUAACUAAUUUGGUCUGAUCGGAUUGAUUUCUCCAAAUUCAUUCUAAAUCAGCGCAACUGUUUUAGAUUUAAUUUCUUUAUACCUGCUGGAAUAAGAAUUUCAUCAAGCAAGCUAAACUGUUUUUUUUUAAGUAUUAUCUGGAAAUUACUACGGAACCUUUUUAUAUGCUAAAUAAUCUUCUUCAUUGAUUUCAUCAGCUACAUAAAAACCUUCUUCAGAUUAAGUGUUUGGAAAUCUAGAGCUAUCAAUUUCACCUGAAAAAACUUACAAAAUCUCUUAAAUUCGAAGCUUUUUUUAAAUUCAACUUUAAGUGUUUAUCAAAAGAUUGCCUUCUUUCUUGGCUUAGGGUUGAACCAAACUCCUUGACAGGCUUUCUUAUAUUUUAUCUUCAACACACUCCUCACGUCUGGGUUUGAGAACUUUUGAUAGGCCCAAGACGUAGACUUGAAUUAAAUGGGAGGAAAUUAAAUGAGACUAGGGACCUGGCAAGAUUUGAACUCAAAAUAUUCUACUCUGAUACCAGGUUAAAUUAAAAUGAACCAACCGUUUAUUUCCAAUAACUUAAGCUGCCAGAGAACGGUGUUUUUAACAUUUAUCUUCAACAUGCGCUGGUUUGGUAGUUGUGGCUUAUUUUGUAGCUUGGUCUUAUGAGUCUCUUAGGAAGCUGGUUUUCAGUUUUGGAUCUACUAGUUGGGAUUCUAGAUGUCCACUUUUGUUCUCUGCAGAUUUAUACCAGGCACUGCUUUUGUUUCAAUUGCUGGAAAUUUCCUAUGACUAACUUUAAUUAUCGUCAUUCUAAAAUAUGCUAUGUCAUAUUUGAUAUUUGCUAAAAUUAUUGAUCCAACUUAGAGCAUGGUUGGCCCAACUUUUCCUCCGACGUCUGUGUGAAGGGGGGGGGGGGGUUUUUGGAUGAUUUUGUAUGAACGUCAUCGAGUCUAGGGACUUUGCACAAUAAAUCCAAAAUCGUAUUAUUCGACACAGCAUUAAAUCGACACUUCNGGGUGGUUUUUGGAUGAUUUUGUAUGAACGUCAUCGAGUCUAGGGACUUUGCACAAUAAAUCCAAAAUCGUAUUAUUCGACACAGCAUUAAAUCGACACUUCACAGGAUAGCACUAUGUCACGCCCCGGGACUGGCGGAGGCCCUCCCGAUAGCGCGCCCAGAUCCGCCAUAUGUCUACACAUAUAAGGCGUCUAGAAUAGAAGCGGAAGUAAAAGCAAGGAAUAUAGCAAAGGAAAGAACUACAACUAAUGAUAUCAGAGCAGUAUGAUUCUAUCAUCUACAAUAAGGUAAAAAGACAAUACUGAAGCAAUAAAAGUGAAACACAAAGUUAUACAAUAUCGGUCCAAAAGGUACACAAAAGGGUGGUCUCUAAUACACUGGUACAGCUCUCAACCUCUCCAAAAUAAAAAUACACCGAGAGGUAGACCACCUAGAACUCGUCACUCGCUGAAGAGCUAGCUCGAAACAACGCCCUUCUCACGGUCCCUAGUCUUUCCCGGCGUGGAAGGCUCUGAAAGAAAACAUAAAACAGAGGGCGUGAGAACUAUAAUUUAUAGUUCCCAGUGGGCAAUUACUGACCUCAGCUCAAUGCACCACUAGGCCCCAAAGAAAGGGUAAGUCAAAAGAGGGCAAUAAUAAUGAAUAAACUGCAUUUAAGAAAGCACAAUUAAAAUACUAAGAUACUACAUUGUCUCAAUUAAGAUGAACCUUAUUUCAUAAUGAACACGUAUGUCCCUACAUGACCACAAGAAAAAAUCAAGAUUUGUUUUAUGAAACUAUGAAGAUCAUGCUUUACUAUGGUAACCAAUGAUUACAGGAAUGCAAUAAACAAUAUCUCCUAGCAUGCUACAUGUAUGUAUUUACACUCAAGUGUCCAACACUAUGCUAGAAGCAAAUCUAAGUAAUCCAACUACUACUCGCUAUCUAGUAGUGAUUAUAACGCACUCAAUACUGUGUCGAUUUCCAUUUCCAAUUAAGGACCUACCAAGGGUAGUCCGGCUUGUGCCGCCUAAGUGCCUGUGGUAGCCCAACAUCCCCACUCUUGGAAUGUGUCUGUCCCACUCGACCCCGUAGGCUUCUCAAUACCGCAUGAGCGAACAUAAGUCGCGUAGGCUAACUCCGGAGUGCCGGCUUGUAGGGAGCGACCCUCACAAGCAUGUGCGAAUGAGCACAAAUGGCAAGCAAGCAUAGUCAAAGGCUCAAGUGUCCAGCUCUCAUGUCUCAAAUAUGGCAAUAACUACUAGUAACCCAACGGUCUAGCUCUAUGUCAUAAUGUGACACCCCAACACUCACUUGCUUAGUGCUUCUUUAUGAUACUUAAGCACCACAACUAAUCAAGCCCAAAUCAUGUUCUAUGUUCUCAUUUAAGACCUUAAUACCAAUGUUCACUAAGGUUGGAGCCCAAUGCCUCUUUAUGACAUUGGCUCAAAAUCUCAAAUAGUCUAAGUCCCUAAGCCUCUCUAGGCUUCCAAAGUCUCUAAUGUCACAAUUGGGCAAAAAGGGUAAAUGCAUGAAGGCAAUGUUCAUUUUCAUAAUAGGAAUCAUGGUUCCAAUUCUCAACUAGAAUGCUAUAUCUCACAUGCAUGCACUCUGCCACAUAGAGGUCCAAAAAUUUACUAUACAUAACAUAUGCAUGUUAAGCAUUCUAAAAUUCAUAAUAAAUAUAUCUAACAUGAUUAUACAUGCUUUUUCAUUUAACGAUACUCAAAACAUCACAAAUGAGAUUUUUUCAUUGUGUAGCUAGGUCAAACCCACCGAACCGUCGCGUAGUGCCUCAUUUCGCCGAACGAAGUUGUCCACGAGUCUCAAAAUGCCCUAAAAGUAUUGAGCAAAGAGAUACACGGGCAUUACGAUUAACUAUAAGAUCAAGCAUUAACCAACAAGGCAAAAGGGCUAAAACUCACCUAAUGUGUAUAAAAUCUCCCUCAAGCUCCUAAAGAGAGCUAGAAUCCUUCCAAAGCAACCUAAACCACGGUUCUAAUCUCAUCAGAUUAGCUCAAAAAGCCUCCAAUCAAAAAGCCCCAAAUAAACCCUAGAUUUUCCAUUCUAGGGUUUCAUCCCCCAAAAUCUAUCAAAGCUAGGUCUAGAGGGAAGAAACAAACAACCAACCUCAAGAGAACUCCAAUCCAAGCUCCAAGGGUGAAGAUCUUCUCUCUUGCAAGCUCCAAGUCCAAGCUCCAAGCACCAAGGAAGAAGAGAGGGUGAGGAAGAUGCUCCAAGUCUACUAGUUGCUCUCAAUCUUCUUCUUCCUUCCUUCUUCUCCUUCUCCUUCUUCUUCUUAUUCUCUAUCAAGGGUGUAGAGAGAGUUGAGGGAAGGGAAAUGAGGAGAAGAGAGAGUGGAUGGGUCAUAUAGACCAUCUAUUGCAACAAAAUCCAGCUAGGUCCCUCAAAAAUCCAACAUUGCAUCAGCCCGGUCUGGGCAAUUUUCGCCCAGAGGGACCGGUCUCUCCCUGCAAGGGACCGGUCUCUCGUGUCGAAUCCGAGAAACCAUCGUUCGGGAACCGGUCUCUCCCCGCGCGGGACCGGUCUCUCAGUGCGUAGACGCGCUCGGGGACCGGUCUCUCCUGCCAGGGACCGGUUGCCUCGCCGGCGGUCCCCGAGAGUAAAAACUCUCAGGACUCGUCCAGAACUCAGGUUUUCGAACUUUUUAGGUCGGCAAACAUUCUACGACCCUCCACCAAGUGUGGAAAAGCUCGAAACACAUCCAAUCACUCGAAACUCGCAGUUUGCAAAGGUCUAGUGUGUUACACACUAUGAUGGAAAAAGUUAGCGAGGAACUUGCCUGCUGCAAAAUUGGGACCAAACAGGUCCUCAAUCCUUUAUCGACUGCUCUGAUGAGCAUUUUCCGAAGUACAGAAUUUUGGAAUGUAAAAACUAUUGCAUCAUGCUGUAUGCGUAAUUUUCUCUUUCAUAACAAUAGAUUCAUUGGUAGCAUUGUCAUUUCCGUUAUGAAGACCUAUAUUAAAACACUGUUGAAGUAUUCAGGUGUUUGAAGAAAUGUAUCUUCUUUUCUAGUUAGUUAGAUCCUAUGCUAUUGUUUAUGCUCAUUGCUUUUAAAUUGGGUAAGUUGCGCUAUUGAUCCUUGAACAUAAGUUUCACUUGGUCUCCACACUUUUAAGAUAGACUUUUGGUGCUGUAAACUUUUGUAAUUACUUCAGUUUAGCACUUGCCUUGGAGAAAAAAUUAUUUCCUGCACCUGGUGCAUGUGGACAUGUGUGCACCACAAAUCCAUUGGCCCUUCAUCUUUUUCAUACUUUAAUCUAACCAUCCAACGACUUAGUCAAGAAAACUUAGAAAAAGGCUGCAACUUAGUGAGUGUUAGCGAAUGAAAUGGGCGUCAAUACGGAUCUGUGAUGCAUAUACGUUCAGAUGCACCGGUGUGUUGUAACAAAUUUUCCUUUAACAGUAGAUGAGGACAAGGAACAUAGUAAAAUGCUUACAAAAUUUUAGAGGGUUGAAUGUCCAACUUGAAGUUCAGAGAGUAGUGGUGCAGUUAGCCCCAUUUCAGUGUUAAACUACAACAUUUCCGAAGUCAGCUGCAGAAUUCAAUGACAAAAAGAUAAAAGGAUUUUCAAAAAUAAACUUAAGUUUCCUUGUUCUUUUGAUACAUACUAGCUUCAUAGGUAUUAUAGUAGCUGAUUUAGUCAACUAAUUUAAAAAAAAUAUAUUUUUAAUUGGUGUUGUUAAUACCUAAGUAAAUUAGACAUUUGAUAUAUAAAAUAUUGUAUGGGCAAAGUAAGUGGAGUUAUGCCAUAUUGCUAUCUACACAAAUAAGCUAGGAAUGCAAUGCAGCUGCAAUAAAUUGUACGAGCUGUGGCUUAUAAAUGUUCUUAUUAUGAGCUUAUGAAACAACUUAAUGAACAUUUUUAUGACUCAUUUCUUGAAAUUUAUGUUUUUUCCGACUAAAAUAAACUAUAAGUACGCAUAGUUAGGCUUCUUAUAAGACUUUAGUAAUGUACAGCUGCAUUUUAAGGUUGCCUGUUCCAUGUGUGGGUGCGAUGUCAUUGCAUAUGCACAUUUGGGCCCAUUACGGACAUUUUAGCACAGUAACUCGCGUGAUAUUUAACAAAACAAAACCUGUAAAGAGAAACUAUGCUUAUGAUGAACUAUUAUUCUUCUUAUGUGACAUUAUGCCAGGCAAGGUUUAAACUGCCCAUCGCCACGGGCCCUAUCCACCGUGCCGUAUCGUGCUAGCAGGAUAUUGGCACGAUACAGCCCCCGUGCCGAUGGCACAAAUUAAAACCUUCUAUUCUUGAAAUUAGUAGGUAAUUUUCUCAACAAAGUUCAAAAGAUUUGAUAAAAAUACAUAAUAAAUAAUUGACAUAUUUUGUUGCUAAAGAAAAUAAAUAUUCAUGCCAUUACGUGUCGGCACACAUAUUUUUUUGACCGGCAUGCAUCGGCACGGCCCGGCGCGCACUGUGCCGUAUCGUGCCGGCAAGUUUCCGGCACGACCCUGUGCCACGACACUUUAAUCCUUGACAAGGUUUAAAGUGCCAUGGCACGAGGGCGUGCCGCUCUUUCCCUAGUAUGGUAUGGCACGGGCACGCUUCAGUGCCGACACGUGGUACGCGUGCGUGCCGAUGGAUACGUAUGACCUCCUACUGGCACGCUUUGGCACGGACUUUUUAAGUUUUUUUGGUUCCAAUAAGAUCUUAUAAUGUUAUUUUGAAAGAUUUAAACAAAUAAUUAUGAAUAUUUGCUAUGUAUAGCUUACUAUACUCAUCAAUUAACAUGUAUGUAAGCAUUUUGUAUAUAAAGUACAACUAUACCUGAUGUAGAAUAGAACUUAAAAUUCUUUUGUUUUUUUUUUUUGUUUUUAUUUGAAAAGUACAACUAUACCUGCUAUAACAUUUGAAAAUUCUUUUGUUUUUAUUUUUUUUAGAAUUAAAAAAAUUAUAACAGAUAAAAUGAAAGAAAAUAACUUUCCCAGAGAAGAAAAAAAUAUAACAGAUCUUAUAUGGUGCGCUCUGUAUCCUAGAGAAGAAAAAAAAAAGAAGAAAAAACCAAAAGAAAAAGCCAAAAAGCCAAGAGAAAAAAAAAACACUAGCGACAUGACACAGUGCAGCGGCACGCGUUGCCGUGCCGCUUUGUCUUGCGCGGCACGCCCAUGCGUGCCGCGGCUCACAGCGGGGGUCCGAGACCCCCCCUGUACCGUGCCCCCUUCUUGGUGGCACGGUACGUGCCGCCCUGGCACGGGUUGGCACUGCCGGUACUUGAAACCUUGAUGGAUAAUAACUUUCCCAGUUAAUAAUAUUUCUUUCACAAGGUUGCUACUUUUCUUAGCAGCACUGCAUCUAUAACUUCUAUGCUGUGUGCCAUCCUCCAGUCUUGACAUCUUUUAAGAAUAUUUUUCAUUUAGUUGGAAUAAAAUUGAUGAUGUUGAACAUUUCCUGUUGCUGAAUGAAGGUUACCACCUGAGAUUUGCAUGCUGCUUGUUGCUGCCUGCUAUUCAAUUGGUUGCGGGCAUUAGCUAUCCAUCUUGGAUUUCACUGCCAUUCUUUGUAUUUAGCUGUGUUGGGCUUGUUGAUUGGUCCCUGACAAGCAAUUUUCUGGGCCUUUUCCGGUAAAAGUUUCAUAAUGCUAUGAAUUUAUUUAAACUGAAUACGGAUAUUGUGAUCUUUGAAUGGUUUAUACUAACCUUUAAUGUAAUGAUAUUGAAGGUGGUGGAGGCCACUCCAAAUAUAUGCAUUCAUCAGUAUUCUUCUACUUUACAUUUACCAACUGCCAGUGAAGUUUCCAAGCACAAUCCAAGUAAUUGUUGACUUCAUUGGUUUGUACAAAAUUACCUCAAAAUCUGAAUGGCCUGAGCUUUCUUCUGGACUUUCUCUGCUUACAUACUUCUUCCUGGUAAGCAUCUAAUAUGACCAACACUACAUUCAUAUUUUCAGUUCUUUUGCAGUAGAGUGAUUUUACCGUUGACUAAAUUUAUUUUCAAUAGUCAAGUUAUAGCCCCUAUUUUGAUACUUUUUCACUUGGGUAUCUAAUGAAUAAUGAUGUUUGUUUCGAAUUUAGAUUUUUUGCUGUAUGGUUGAGUUUGGUUGGAGAAUAGAGUGGUGCUAGUUGUAGCUGUCACAACUAAAAAAGAUAUCAGCUAUCUCACUUGGAAUUGGAUAAGAAAAGUAUUUCAAUAUCAUGGUAUCCCUCAGGGAUAGCAAUUCCGUGUGGUACUAUAGAAUUGUCCCAUCUCUAGGCUCUUUUCCCAACUAAUUUGCACUAUACCCUGCCAAACUCAGUUGGGAGAGCAUAAAGAACUAAAAUCCCUCCCUACGACGGCAAGGAGGCAUUUAUAUUCUGUGCAUAAAAUUUAAAUGUGGGUUGGUAUGCUUGACUAUAGAUGGCUCGGAGAUGGUUUGGCAUUUGGCUUGUUGCUGAUGGUGGGAAAGGAACAAAAGAACAAAAUAUACUAGUUUGUCUCAUAAUUUAAUGUUGCACUGGAUAUUCAAAAGAGUUAUGUUAGAAGUAUUUACAUACGUUUUAAGAGUGCGAGGACGAUGUCAAAAAAUGUCUUCUGCAUCAAUGUUAUAACUAAGGGAUCUUGACCAUGCUUUCCAUGGAUUACCUGGGUACUCUAUAUGCACACAACAGGAAUGUAGAGGAAGAAAAUAACAUUUUACUUGAAAAGAUCUAUCAAUGCUACAUUUCUAGUUUGUGGAAUGCAACUACAUAAAAAGGUGCAAUUGCGCAUCUAAAUCUUCUUGUAGAAACUUAUCAUUAUUGCAUAAGAAUUAUUUGUUUUAACCAGUUUUAAAAUAAGCAGCUUGUUAAGUUUCUACUAUGUCAGGUGUUGAGGUUUCGUUGAGCUAAAUUUCUUAGAAGGAUACCUUCAAUAAUUCUGAUGGACAAACAGUUUAAUGUUUGCAAAUAAUGCUGCACGUGUAUAAGAUGAUUGACUUGCUUGAUGUUGUCCAGUUUUGCUUUUUUUUUUUUUUUAAUUAGAAGUUGAUGCCACUAACAUUUAAUCAUAUGGUCCCACGAGUGUCAUGCAGGUGCAUUUUUCCGAAUAAUUUUUAAAUUUUUCAGUAUCUGCUUAAUCCAUGCUUAGAUUGUUGUAUGGACAAAAUGGAUGAUCCUGAUGCUUUAUGCUUAAGCAAGAAUGUGACUUAGUGAAGCAAGUUGAACCUGAUAAGAAGUGAAGCUGUUGUGGCUCCAAAUAUUGAUUGAUUUUAUGCAUCAUCUGAGUGAUGCAGCCCAAACUAUAACUUUUUCACCUCCAAGGAGGAUAUGCUUGUGAUUCAUGCCAAGGACUUGUAAAGGCUGUAAUCAUCCAUGUGACUGUUUCUCUACAAUCGAAAGUUAUGUCAUUAGUUUAUGAUGAACUUGUUAUAUAUCUGUCAUUUUGCUUCCAUAGAAGUAACAGGUAUGUUUGGAGAAAAUUAUAGAUUGGACUGCAUAUUGUAUAUGAGGUGCUGUUCUAAAAGGGGUUUUAGUGCAAUAGUCCUCUUCUAAAAUUUUAUUUUAAAAAUAAACCUGUUAAAUUUUUAUUUGUAGAUAUAGUCCUAUAAAAGCGAUGAAUGGUUUACCGCUUUUAAAAGCGGUGAACCAUUCACCGCUUUCUUUCUUUUGAUCACUUCUUUUUAUAAUUCUACGAUGGUAAAAGCGGUGAAUGGUUCACCGCUUUUACUGUUUUUCUACUUCUAAACAGAAGUUAUGAAUGCGGUGAAUCAUUCACCGCAUUUAAAGGUCUAUUUUUAUAAUUAUUUUUUUAAGAAAAUUAUUUUUAUGAUUAUAAAAAUUGAUAAGGUUAGUUAUACAAAAAAUUCGUUCUAAAAUACUUCUCAAAAUUUUUUGGUAUAGGUUGCUUGGUUUGUAUAUUUCUUGAUUGGCAAGAAAAUUAAUAUACUUUUUUGUUUCUCUUGUUUGUGUCCGAUCAUGUCUUUAUUUGAUGAAGUAGUUAAUUAAUUUUCUUCUGAUUGUUGUUGGCAGUUUCUUUAACUAUUGCAUUUCCUCUUUUAUUGUCGUCUUUCUGUAGUUAUCCUCUGUCAAGCAAGACUUACAAGACAUGGAUUUUGCUAUGUCUACGGAAAGUAAUAGUCUGACAAGACGCAACAGUUUGACUGAACGACUCCUACCGUCAAAACAUACAUUUUUCAUCCAUGAAUCCCGGUAUGUUAGGCAUUUUAUCGAUUAUACUAGUAUUUCUUGGUGACUUGAACGAUUUUUUAUUUUAUUAAUAGACUUAAAAAAAUAUUAAAUUAUAAAAAUAGUCUUUCAAAAAAUUUAUUUACAAAAUUAGACUUAUGCAGUGAAUGAAGCACCGCGUUUUAAAUGGGGUAAAUCAUUCACCGCUUUCUUCAAAGCAUUGGAAUUAUUUUUAGGGUCUAAUAUUGUACAUUUUUUGAAGAUGGAGAUAGAAAAUUUAUAAAUUUGGUAAACCGCUUUUAGAAAGCAGUGAAUGAUUUACCACAUUUGAAAUGUGGCAAAUCAUUCACCGCUUAGGCCUAGUCUUACAAAUAAAAAUGUCGGAUGCCUAUUCUUAGAAUUAAAAAAAUUCUACAAGCCUAGUGGCCCAAAAACCCCAACUUGAACGGUUAACGGUCAUGUGUAUCUGUCGGCACGCAAGCGUGCCAUGUGUCGGCACGCAAGCAUGCCCGUGCCGUACCGUGCCAAGGACGUAACGGCACGCCCCCGUGCCACGGCACUUUAAAUCUUGGGUUAACCACUUUAAUUGUUGCUAUUAAUAAUUAGAUCUUCUCUUUUUCUUCUUGUAGAGGUAUUAAGUUCCUACAUGAAAUAAUGUUUUCCUAAUGCUGAGCAUAAUGCAAGUAUGUAUUGAACAUUUUACACUGUGUCAAAUCAAAGGAUUUGUUAUCGGAUUUUGUUGUCUCAUGUGAAGUGAGAUUCCUUAAAAAAAAGUUAUGUAGGAUUUCUUACAAUGAAUUAGUGAGAAAUAGUGUAGAAUAUCUUAGAUUUCUAUAUGGUCUUGCCAGUGUCUUUAAUCAAACAUGAUUGUGAUGAUUAUGAGCUCUUUUCUUCUCUAUACAUUUUUAACUCAUUGAGAAAUAAUUACUCAUUGAUUAGCGAAACUUACCUAGAAGUAUAAGAAUCUGCAGUUACUUGUCAUGAGCCCAAAACCGGGGCAUUUUAAACAUGUGAACUAAAGAUUACAAUAUCAUUUGGCAUCAUUGCAUUUUAAACAUGUGAAAUAAAGAUUGCAAUAUCAUUUGGCAUUAUUGUUCUGUUUUCUUCCUUUUUAAACAGAAUUUUUACAUGAAAAUAGUAUAGGAAGGGAUGAUGAAUUGCUUGCAAUACUUACAUCCAAGUUGUUUGUUUGGCCAAAAGAACAAAGAAAAAAAAACUUGGAAGCAACUUUUCUUUGCUUCCUUUUUUUUUGGUUAAAUAAGUUGUCAUGCAUCACUUGUCUAGGGUGUCUUGCAUGCUAAUCAAUCAUAACAACAAGGGAAAAGUCCUAUCAAAUGAUUUAAAUUGUAUAAAAUUAGUGCGGGUGUAGUAAGUAAUAUAUGUAGUUGUAGAAAUGGCAACACGGCGGGGGUAGGGGCCCUUCUAUGUCCUCGUGUUUGUGGGUUUUCAGGGGCCCAGCUCAUACUCCAUCCCCGCCAAUGCUGGGUUAGUACCCCCCCGCCCCCCGGUUCUAUUCCUCGUCUUCACGAGGACCCCACUGGAAAAUAUGCUAAAUUGAUUUCUUUUAUAUAGAAUUUAGUUUAAUUUAAUUUUAAUUCAAAUUAGUUUAAAUUUCAUCCAGUUAUUAAGUUUAUUUUUUAUUCAUUGUCAAAUUAUUAAGUAUGACACAUCAAAUUACUAAAAUUAUAUAGCAACCAAAUAUUAUUUAACUAAUAUACUGUAUAAAAAUUUAAGUAUGUUAAAGAUAUUUGAUUAAAUUAAGAAAUAUUAAAGGUGUAAGGCAUCAAAGUCAGCAUUCUAUAUUUAUACAUAAAUUAAAAACUAUAUAAUGAUAUAUCAUAUUAUUUCAUGGGAAUCGAAGAUUUUGUGGUGUGAGGAGUAGUAUUCCCAUACUCACCUCACCUCCUCAAGGGGGGAAAUUUCUCCCGUCCCUGUUCUCGCGGGGGCAAAGUACUCCCCAUCCCCAUCCCAUUCGAGGUGGAUUCCCGCGGGGACCCGGUUCCAUGGGAAAAAUUGCCAUUCUUAUUUAGUAGCUGUUUGGAGUAAUGGAUAAAUACUGAAAUCAAAAUUUGAAAUGGGUCUGAUAGGGAAAUUCAAAAUUUUUUAAGUUUAGGUACCUUUGCUAAUGGCCUCAUGGUAAAGUAACUUAUUGUCAUGCCCCGGGCCUAUUUGGAAAGAGGUUUUCUCUAAAUGGGCUCUAUAUUGUUUUUUGAAAAUCAGGAUCCACCAUUUGUAUAAAGGAUUCACUAUACACAUGGACAGUCUCCUCUGUACAUGCACGGCGUCGGAAUACAAAACAAUCAACCAUAUAAGAGCCUAUCCACAAUAAGGAUAGCAUUCAAUCAAACAAACAUUCGCAACAAGAAGAUAAUAAAUAGAAUAUAUUUCGCCUUAUUUCCUACGAGCAAACAUCAACCAAAACCUCCAUUUUUAACACUCAUUCUGUACAAGAAAACAUUUGAAACCUCCAUUUUCGAGCAAAAUGUUUGAGAAGCAACAUUACAUCCACAAAGAAUUUUAUUUUUUAAUAACCACACCAUCAUUUGCAAUUUGAUAUAAAAACCAAUAUUUCUACUAAAGACAAAAAAAAAAAAAUAAAAACAACAUCUAUAUACUCAUCACAAAGGCCAACUCUAAGAAGUAGAGCAAUGUCAAUACAAGGUCAAACUGGGUCGUAGGCUGCUCUAGCUACAUGCACUCACUUAGCAUUCCGACAUAAAAAAUAAUAGGGUGAGAAACAAAUAAAAUUAUUUUCCAGUGGGUGCAAUGCACCGGCCGAUGGCAAGCCACACCUACUGGUCAAUAAGAAAAAGGUAUCUAUAAAGCCGAAAGAUAAUAGUUAAAAGGCAAGCAAUAUGAAAAGCAUGAUAAGGGAGUACUGAACUACGGUAAGAAAAUCUUGUCAUGAUAGCCAAUAUCGUAUGGGAUAUUAAAAUUGUGUAUAACAAGGUGACGAAUAGAACUACUCCGAAUCAUGACAACUUAAAUACAAUAGAUACUCCGAGAUAUCCCAAAUAUAUCAUGUGCCAACUAGACUAAAGUCCAACAAUAAACUAAAUUUGUGCCAUUGUUGGUCAAUAGACCUCAAGCUCAUGCUACAAUAAAGCGCUUAGCUAGGGCUGGCAUAUAACCCGUAACACCAGGUACAACUAGAGGGCUCAUGGGUUGGCUUCCAAUUAUUUUUUGGAAAAGAACACCGCCGCAGUUGAUUAGACCGCUGUUGUAUGUGAAAGCGCAGAGAGCGGUGGCGAUCAUCAUGCAAAUGCUCAACCAAAUAAUAGCAGGUAAAGCCGCAGCAACUGUUCGCUGCCUCACAAGGAGAAAUCAAGACCCUAUGGGUUCUAUGCUCAACGUAAGUCAGGUGCCAGGUAAAAUCAUGGUCUACCCUCAGUGUGAUAUAUAUCUACUAGCAAGUAUGGUGUCAACAAGUAAUCAACUACAUAUAUGACAGCUAAGAUGUAGAGUGAUAAUGUAAUAAGUAUGUUUGACAAUAUAAUAAACAUGAGGAAAGUUUAGAAAAGUUAGCUAGCAAGUUUAAUAGCGAAAGAAAAGCAAGGAAGGAAACCGGCAAUGCACUAUACUGACUUUUGAAUCGGAGCACCCAUCUACAGUUCGAUAGUGUGUAGCCACUACAAAUUAUCUGGACCUAACCAACAAUAGGUGCAUGGAGGAAGGUAUGACCAACAUGGCGUGAUCGGGGCAUCGCGAAAGUAGCACGACCACCGAAACUAUUCCUGAGCACUGUAACCACUAUCUGGACGACUGACUAGGUCCCCACUAUCCAAACAGCCCCUAUGCUACCCGUUUGGGUCUUGGGACAGCUGCACGUCAAGUGCACGACCACAAGUCCUUUCGGCAUCAAACUACGUCGAAACAUGUUCAGUUUUUCGCCAUUUUUGGCGUGGAAACCAGCGGUACCACACUAAUCGUCCCUUUACAGUUAUGACGAGCAAGGACUAUUCGGAGGUCCUCUAACGAGUCCUGGAGUUCGAGAGCACCCAUUGUGCCUUGGGGCGGCAGAAUUUUGCUUCGAAAAGCUCCGAAAACCUCUGAAAUUGCUAUUUACAGUUCUUGGACAGCAAUUCACUUACAUUCAGCCCCAAGGGGCUGAAUUUCCAUGUAACACAACACUAAUGAAGUCUCGGCCAGCAAAUAGAAAUAAACGUGGCUAGGGGUUCUACGCUAAUAGGUUCAGUGAUAACAUCCAGAAAUCGGUAUUUCGGCACCACUUUGGUGUCCAAAUGCGUACGAAAUCCACUCUCAGCCCCGUGGCACUUUGAGCACACCCUCUAACCAUGUCGGGGUUUCAAGAUAACCUUCUUGUGUAACUGUAAUCAGCAAUGCACCCAAAUCAACCCCAAAUCCCCUAUAAUUUCAUCGUUUUCGGCAUUAGGGAGGCAUUUACCUUUCAAUCAGCCCUUGUAGUCCAUCGCUCACCUUUUUGGUGAGCCGGGACAGCAAGAUAUUGGUCCUCCUUGUGCUCAGAGUGUCGUUGUACGAUUGUUUCAACAGAAAAGCCACCGAAGUCUUGAAAUUCGCCAAUUUUGGCAACGGGACAACACAAGUGCAUUUCAAACCCCUUAGGCAUAAUUGACGCAACUAAUGUACUUGUGGGACACUACAAGACAGUAUGAACACUUUCCCAACUAGCUACAACAAGCGGCUCGCCCGAAUCAACCUCGAGAGUCUUGAAAAUAGUCGUUUCGCUCUGAAUUUUUGUACCGGGCAACAUACGCAUUAUCUUCAGUUUUUAUACAACUAUCGAGAAUGUGGCCAACAAGGCCCAAAAGCUCCCCACGGCCAGCAACGAGCUAGGCUGGGCGUUUCGACCAGAUUCGAUGUGAAUCGGGCUCCUGAAUGUAUUCUACAACGAUAAUGAACCAAACUAAUGCAAAAAAUAACGAAAUUAACAUUGCUUCGGGCGCGUUACCUCAAUCUCCUUGCUGUGACUAGUGAGCUUGUGUGGAGAAGGCUCUGAAUUGACCUCUGGACGGCGAGGAAGGCGCAUGCGAGUUUGAUGGCGGUUGGAGUUUGAGAUUCGGCGAUUGGAGGGUGAUCUCAACCAAUCUCCUUGUUUCAGUCGUAGCAAAAGGGAGAACAGUAAAUAGGGUAGCGUUCGUGGUUGAAGGGGUCGUUGGAGAUGUAGGGAGGUUGCCGGAGAAGCUAGCCGGUCAGGAACUUCACUUAUGAGGGAGCUUGACCAAGGAUGGAAACCAAAAGAGGGACAAGGGGGAGAGAGAGAUUGGUUCCAAGGUUGAUCUCCAAAGUGUUUGCUAGUGAGGGAGAUGACUCGUGGUGGCUGGUAUGGUUCAGGUGCAGCGAGAGGAUGGCUGGGGAGUGGGAAGGGGGAGAGAUAGAGAGAAAGAGUCGUGCGAGCCCUUUUUACUAUCCAACCCGUUGAUGGCUAGCGUUUCAGAUGAUCCUUGGGGUUUGGGCUGCAACAAUUGUGUGACGACCCUCGGACUAGAACCCCUUCGCGACGUUUUGCAAAAGGUCCCUUCUACGAAAAAUGUGCGAAAAUCUGUGAAGAUAGUCGAGUUUCAGCCGUAGUCUCCUACAAUUGCGUGCGCAUGGUCAACUUCAGGAUGCCGUGGUUUCGCAACAGAAAAUCAAUUCGGUGAAAUUUGAUCCAGCGCGUUCGCCUCAAAGUGUAGAUAUUCACAGAAUCCUUAACUUCUAAAUAUCGUGGAAUAUUUUGCUGGAAAUUAUAUUCUGAAAACGAAAUGGUCAGUUUCGUGCAGAGAACUAUGUGGUUAGUGACGACUUUGGAAACACAUAAAUUUGCGCUCGAAAUUUCGAUUUCAAUAAAACGUGGCUUCAUACUUUCGUCUCUGUGUACUUGCGCGUAGGAUUUUUCGUUUCCAAAAAUUAUGGAAAAAUUCACAUAAAAUGAUAACUUGAUCGCAAGGUGGUCGAUUUUUUGAAUUUUCUUGGUGUCACCGAAAACUUCGAAAUCCCCGAAAUACACCAAGGUGACUAUUAGAUCUCGCAAACAAGUGCCCACAAGCACUAGAGACCCUUAGAGACCAAGAAACUUAAAUUUGUUGAAUUUGGCUUGCUUUUAUUAAACAGAAAGCGAAAUUACAAUCCGGUCCAUCAAUUAUUACACAUAUAUUUUUACCAAGUAUUUUAAAAUAAAAUACGGAAGAAAUAAUCUCUCACAAGAAAAAGAGUUACUUCAUCAUUGACUCUAGUUACGAUCUUGUAUUGCAUAAAUGAGUAAAAGUUCCUUUCAAUUAUUGCUUUUAUUGCUUGAUGUAGUUAUGCGCUCACCAUGAACAUAUAACUACAGCUUAUUUUUUGCUUGCAGGAUUGAGUCUAUUUACUGUUGGAAAUCCCUUCUUUUUGGGUAUAUUAAUGGCUAAGUUCUCUCUGCAUCUAUUGAUGCUAGCUUCCCUUCCUAGGUCCCCGUCUAGUGCGAUAUUUUUGGUUUGGUCUGUAGUUAAUGCAGAUUUCUGUAGCAUUUUGUAUCUUUUGUAGACAGCCUAAAAUUCAUUGGAGCCAAGGAUUUAACUGCCUAUUGGCAUGGGGCUGCGCUCCAUGCCGUACAGUACUGACAUGAUAUUGACACCAUAGUGCCGUGCCGGUAGGAUGGCUCAAAGACCUCUUUUUGGAAAUUAGCAAGUAAAUACAUCAAGAAUAUAAUAAGAGCAGUUAGAAUAUUGUAGUGCCUAAGAAAAUAAAUAUUUCAUGCUAUAGUGUGUUGGCAAAUAGGUAUUUUCUUAUUGGUACACAUCGGCAUGGCAUGGUAUGCACUAUAUUGUACCAUGCCAGCAAGUUCUCGGCACAAUGCCUUGCUAUGCAGUUUAAUCUUUGAUUGUAGCUAUUCUUUUUGUUAUAAUAAUUUGAUUUAUUUAUAAUUUCAUGUGUAAUAACAAACAGAAUUUUGUGCCUUUCAUGCAGCCUGUAUAAACUCCUUCAUAAGUGCUAAUUCAAGUUUCGUUCUCAGGGAAUUUGUUUGAAUUAGUUUAGCUUUCUUGAUUAACUUUUGUUUUGGUAGAAUCUUAUCAGUCAUUUGUUUGUUGCCAGAUCAGGUGAAAGGAAUACAAACGUCCUUCUGAGGGAUUCAGUUUUCCGAAACUUCAGUAUUAAUUUCUUUACAUAUGGAUUCCCGGUAGGCAUGCCCAUACUUUAUGUGCUUUUUUUUCUUUUUUAUAUUAUUGUAAGAUCAUUGUUGUCUCUUUUGCAAAUCUACAUUUUAGAGACUAGUGAAAUUUGGCUUCGCAUAGUUGUUCUAUCAAAGCUUCUCAGAGCUAUGUACUGUUAUUGAUUAGCUCGGGUUUCUAAAUUUCUUGCAAUCCCAAGUUGUACUGCAAAUCUACAAAAUUAUGUUGCCUGUUGGGUUGGUGAAUUUGGGCUACAUCUUCAACUCCUUUCUGAAUUUGUUUGUUUCUUCAUAUGACAAGUUUCAAAUUUUAAAUCGAGAGCAGUUUGUUAUUUGACAGUUAUGCGCACUUGAAAAGAUACAAAAAUGCGUAAAACCUCAGAUUCUGAAGAGGUUCAGAAAAAUUAGAUUUUUUUUUUUCUUUUUGUUCAAAUUUCCAUCCCAAUUGAACCAACCAAGGACAUAAUACAAAAAAGAAUUUUCACAUACCUACUUACAAUGAUACAAAAAAUCCAUAACUUCCUUAAUUGAAGCCCGACAUUUCUGAGUUUUGAGCCACUAGGUUUGUAACAACAAGUAGAUCAAGAUCUAAGCUAUCAGAUUGUAUGGUGCCUCUUUUGUUUUUGUCGAGCUCUUUAUACAGUAUUGCGGUUUGGUUGCAUACUUCUUACUUAUGACGCAUGUUAUAGAUGUAGCCAAGUUAUGCCACAUUUCUGAUGCUAACUUCUUAUGCUAUGGUACAUGUGGAAGACAUCCUUGAUUGUUAAUUAUUAUGCAAAUCAGACUGAUAGCUUCAGUUGAUUGUGUUGGGGAUCAGAUAUUUUGAAACAAUUAUGAAUGUUUUAUAAUUUAUACAGUAUGCUUGUACUUAUAGGGGAUUCUUUGGUAGAGUAGCAUGUUGUUAGACAUCGCAUACUACAUAGCGUUUCUUAGUUGCAUAGUUGUUAACAUUGAGCUUCUGAUCGAUGAUUUUUGGACAGUCGAUAAUCAAUUUGUUUGUUGUUUGAUUUCCUACUAUGCUUAUGGUAGUAUUAUUGUCACGCUCCGGAUGUCUCAUUCCCCGGGCACGCCGACAAAUCCGCCGUAUACAAAGGAAUUUUUCCUGUAUACGAAGCGACAGCUGUACCUGUAAACAUACAAUACUACAAACAGUAGUAUAGAGCUACUCGAGUAAACAAAAGCUAAACAAACUGAGCUUUAUAUACAUAGUUCAAAAAUCAAAAUACAGAGUUACUCGCACUGGCGAGUUAAGUACUAUGUACAUAAGCUCGAAAUAAAACAACUACCUGCAGUAGGGUGCCUCUAGUUCUGCUCGUCGGGUAGGGCUCUAACUCGCGACGCCCUUGCCUCGAUCCUGAUCCGCAGAAGGCGCAGCAGCCGAAACCUGUGGCUCUGCAAAACAAGGGUAACAACUGGGCGUGAGAACUACUGUAAAAACAAGUAGUCCUCAGUGGAUACAGCCCAAAACAACAUCGGUCCACCCACUAAGUCUACAGAAGGGAGCAAGAAUAGUCAGAAAAGCAGGAAAUAAACUUUACCGCUAUCAAUCACUACACUAUCAUGCUCUACACUAACCAACUGUAGGAAAUGACAAAUCUGAUCCAAUCCAAUCGGGACUGUAAACCUACCCGUCUCUGGGACUGUGAAUACACCCGUCCCUGCCCAGUCGCGACUAUCCAGCUACCUCCACACUAAUUGGUCCGUGGAGAGCAAGUCCAACCGGCAUGAGUGACACCAACGCGAAAGCACAAAGCCCGUCUCCGGAGUGGCACUCGUGGGAGCUACCCAACCGAGUAUGCAGCGUAUCUCUGUCGAGCUCAAUCAGGCUCUCAAAAGCCAAAGUCCAGUAAUCGACUCAAACUGGUCUAACAACCAACAGGUAUCGUGUCCUUGGCACAAUCCAACGCCAAAAAGGCGAUACGGGUCCACCGUCAAUCCUGAUGGCACCCAACAAUCAAGAACAGCCUGAACGCUACAGUAAAAAUACACUCGGCAUCUCAGCACAAGCGUAACUGAAAACUAAACUACCUGGAAUACUUACUUUGAGGAUACUGCAAUAGUAUAAAUUAAUACAACGGCCCCUAGGGCUAAAUCAGGUAGUUUAAACAGGUGACAGGUCCCAAAACGCUUGUUUUCUCCUAAGUCAAGUUCCAAGUCCAACAUGUAUAUUUACUUAAUUUAUUAUCACAUGCUCCAAAUUCAGAUUAGCCAUUCACAUAAUAAUCCAUGAAUUCGAGCUAAAGUAAACUACACAAAAUCCAAAAUUCAUACAUGUUGACUACUAAGCACUUAGGAGUAUAAACCGAUGAUUAACCCACCUCGCUCGCUAAUCCCUGGCAGCACGGAACUCCCCUCGGCUGCGGAACAACCUGCCGAAACGUCCGAAAACCUCCCAAGGUCCGAAGUCAAGCUCCCGCCAAACUCUACACGGAGAAUCCGACAAUAAGCAUUAAUUCUGCCUCAAAAACAGCAACAGAGAGGAGCGAAAUUCCGACCUAGCAAACCUUUACCAAAUCCAGCAAGUAAGGGCUUCGUGGAUUCCUCUCGAAGUCCCGAAUCCAACGAACCAAGUCCCGUCGAAAACCGACGCUCCUACGUCGAGUACGAACUGAAAUACCGACGGUCGACGCUGGAAAUUCUGCAAAUCAGCACCAAGCUCGAAAUGACAAUACUUGAAGCAAUGCAACGGAACACUCACCUCAAAGGCUAAUCGGACAUCGACGCGGCGUCGAGAACGGCGAAAACGCACCCUCGCCUAGCUUCCUCGCAGCGCUACGAUCCCAACCGUACCCUCGAAUGGCUUCGCGACGUGUCGUCGGCGUCGAACUCGUGCUCGCGGCUACCUCUACCGAGCUCUUUGCUUCGGUCGAACAAAGAGAGAAGUAAAGAAAAAUUAGGCAAUGCCCACCUGAUUUGUUGAUAAGCAUGCAUGGGUGCACGUGGCAGCCAGGCCACCUCAAUUAGCACCAACCGACCUAAAAAUAAAUAAGUAAAUUAAUUAAUUAAUAAAUAUAACAAGGAUACUACAGUUAUAGCCAGAUAGUAUGUUCUCAGCUAUCGGGACAGUAUUGUUGUCUGUACCCUCUGUUGUGUUCCUAUCAGAUUAUAUUAGACUGUAUUUUACUUUAGAUGUUGAAAACUUCCAUUUCAUAUUUUAUUGUUGUACUCUUGAUAUAUUGGUUAGUAGUUGAUUGACAUUCAGUGUAUACAGCACCUUAUAAUUGUUUCACAUCCAAAUACACUAAUAGGGGAGAGCUUGUGUUGUGUAUUAUCUCGCAAAUCAGGAUUGCAAAGACAUCCAAAUAUCCUUAACAAUUGCAAUUCUUUAGGAGUAUGUCCAUGCAAAACGAGAAUAGUAAAUUUUCCUUGUAAAACAGAAGAGGACUGCAGUCAAAAAGAAAAACAGCCAUUUGAAUUGCUUCAGCCGAAAAACUAACUUGUCAUACAUGAUUGAAAAAGUAGAUUUUUAACAAUGUUUGCAAGAUGUCUAUGUUUUCUUCCAGUUACAACAUUUUGUUGUCGUGUGUGAGGACAGGAAAGCCUAUGAACAAUACCGCUUUGUGCAAACAACUGGGAAAACUUUUCAUUCACAUAUUUCCACCAUCAAAUUGCAAAUAUUGAUUUUUUUUCUUGAAAAGUAUUUGUAACCAUUGCCUUGAACUCCAGAAAUGUUUCGAAAACUUUAUGUUUGAACUUCAAAAGAUAAAUCUAUAAGUUUCUUGAAAAAUCGUCGUACAAAUAAAACAUAAUUCUUAUUGCCAGAGACAGAAUUAGCAUGUGCUUGCUGCACAUCGGAAUGAACAAUUCAAAACAGAUGAGCAGACUUCAAUUUAGGAUCUUAAAAUGAAAGUUUCACAUAUUUUUCAAUGUCACAAGCAUUACAAAGUGAUAAAUCUAUUUUAGAAGGGAAGGCAAAAAAGAUUUUAUUUUCUUUAACAAAUUUUGCUAGAACAGCCCAACUAAGAUGUCCUAGCCUCCUAUGUCAAAGAUAACAACUAGACGUAGAAGCAACUAUUGCCAACUGUGACUUAUUCCCAAUGCUUGCAACUUUAGAAGAUAGUGGAUAAAGUGAUGUCCCUUUACUAGUGCACAUAAGGAGCUCCUUUUCCGCUUGCUUGUCUUUUACACAAAAAUUAGAAGAGUCAAAUUCAAAAGUAGUGGCAGAAUUGAUGAAUCGGCAACAUAUUUUUUUUGACGAAGGGAACAAAGAUAUUUUAACAGUAAAGGAUCGAUUUUUUGUGUGUAAAGUGAUUUCUCCUGUCUGAAUGAGAGGAAUUUGAUAUCACCAAUCAAAAUUUUAUCAUGCCUAAUAUAAGGUUUAACAAAUGAAAAUAUGUCUAGGUCAACUGUCAUAUGUUGAAAGCUCAAGUAUCUGGAUACUAGAAUUCCGCACUAGGCUCAUGUAGGUUCAUGGCAGCGAAGGUUUGAGACAUUUUAUCUGCAACAAAAGGGUGAUUAAAAUGCUGCAAUGAAGGGCUGUAUGGUUAUAAAUUUGAUACUCUGUGCCAAUUCAAGCAAGAGAAGGCUGCUGAUAAGCAGUUGAGUGUGACCGUGGGGUAUAUGCUCCGUAAGAUCAAUGAUUAAGGAAGAGGUUUCGUCCUCCACGCUGUCUUUAGCCUCCUCAAGAUCGUCCUCCACGGCCACCUCAAUUUCUUUGGCCUCGAUUUGCGUAGAAAGCUCCUGUCUGUGAAGAAGAGCCACCAAAGACUGGAGAACCAAUCAAUGCUGGACCUUUGUCUCCUUAUGUAGCAGUAAUGGAUGAAUCUGCUGACAAGUGGGUUGUCCUAUGUGCCUUUAACGCACUGACAAAGUCUGUAUACACAACUAGGAGACCAAGGAGGACGGUCAUCACCAGAUUGUGAUCUUACUCCCCCUCGCCAAUUACUUGUAGUGCAUCUCCAACGGACUUGACUUCAUGCAUGUAGUCUCAUCACUCCUUUCUUUGAUACUUCUCAACUCCGCCUUGAGAGCAAAGACUGUAUAUACUGUCUUGCCUGGAAAAUUUUUCUCAAUGAACAUCCAUGCAUUGCGGGCUGUGUUUGUCGAACUAGAUAUCACCACCUAAAGGAUGCUCAGGAAGAGAGUGGCAUUAAUCCACGACAUGAUCGUGGUAUUAUCCUUUUUCCAUGCUGCAUAUUCUGGAUUAGGUAUUUUCUUGUUGAGGUGGAAUUUUCUUGUUCCAUCAAAGUGAUGCCAUGCCAAAACUCUUAAGCAAGGAUUUAAGUGCCUAUCGGUACGGGUCAUAUCUAUCAUGCCAUAUCGUGCCAACAAGAUAUUGGCACGAUAUUGCUCCCGUGCUGAUGGCACAGCUCAAAACCCUCUAUUCUUCAAAUUAGUAAGUAAUUUUCUCAAUAAAGUUCAAAAGAUUUGAUAAAGAUACAUAAUAAACUGUUAGAAUAUUUUGUUGCUAAAGAAAAUAAAUAUUUCAUGCCAUUAUGUGUUGGCACACAUGUAUUUUUUGUGACUGGCACGCAUCGGCACGGCCCGGCAUGCACCGUGCUGUUCCGUACUGGCAAGUUUCCGGCACGAUCCCGUAUCACGGCAUUUAAAUCCAAGCUGUCAAGUAUAUUUAGGAAUACUUGCUUCCAUUGCAAAUAAGUGGUAUUGGUGAGUUCAAGAGGGGCAAGGUGUGACACCCUAAUAGUCCCACAUUGGAUGGGAAUGGGGUUAUGAUUGGGUAUAUAAGAGACCAUGUAUACAAGAGACCAUGAACCCUAAUAAUAAUAAUUGGGCUUAAACAUUUUGGGUUGGUGGUUUGGACCCAACGAGUUAUUAUUGCUAGCGGGUCAGGUCGUUACGUAAGGGGUUUGACUUUCACAAUGGGAAGAAAUGAGAGGAUCGAAGAUGUAUUCACUACCAUGAAUCACCUGGAGAGAUAGUGUUGUUACACUAUUGAACAAUACUGUAGCAUGAUAUUGCAGCAGUACUGUAGUGUAAUAUUAUAGUGGUACUGUAGCAGGACACUGAACCAAUACCAUAGUAGGACUCUGUUUGAUUCUAUAACAGAAUGCUGUAGUGGUAUUGUCGCAGAGAUUUGAUUGCAGUAGUAAACAUAGGAGUUGAAAGAAAGAGGGGAAGAGAGAUUGAGAGCGAGAAAGGGAUCACGAUGAGAAAUACAAUAAGAAUGUUGGUGACUUCUGUAUUGGUAGAGAGGGGUUGGCUCUAAUACCAUGAAAGCGUGGAGAAAAGAGCACCUUACUAGGGUUUCCAUCAGUAUUUAUAAAUCAUAUAUAAGAGUAACAUGACAGUCAUGUGACUCACUAAAUUAAUAAUACAUCAUAAUAUAUAAAGUAUAUACAAAUAGUUAUCGUAGCUGGUGCUGGACAUGGCUAGUUUGCUUUCCAAACUUUUCUGUAGCAUCCAAAUCAGUUAGCUGGGGAGUGAAAUUAAUGUCGUGCCAAAACCAUCUAACUUUAUCUAUUCCUACAAAAGUUAAGCUAGUAUAGAAUGGUGCAUAGUGUUAUUAUUACUCUAAUCGAGUUAGGUUUAGUUCUAAUGGUUCUUCAAGAUGCUAUAAAUAUUCAAGGAUUUCUACAUCCUGAAGAUGUGAGAAAUAGCAGUUUGGUCUUCCUCUUACUUUUCACCGUCAAACACUCAAACAUCAUAUUUGAGAGUUCACAUAUUACUUUGAAGUUGCUAGUUAAAUGUGCAAUUUCAGCAUAUACUUCUGUACUUCUAAUUUAGAUAGUUUAGUGCAAGCAUUCAUGAAAUGGUAUCUAUGAGUGGAAUUGUGCAUACAUUAUACAGAUGAUACAGAUAUUAAGAACAGUUGUAUCUUUAUAUUGAACUAUCUUACUGGAUUUUAGGUUUAUAGCUUAUUCUUUUGGUCUCAUUUAAUGCUUUCAGUGUUGGUUAUGACAGGUAUUGUUACUGGCACUUACUUUUUGGAGUUUUAACUUCACUAGUAUCUGUGCAUUUGGUCUACUAGCAUAUGUUGGCUAUAUUUUAUAUUCUUUUCCCUCUUUAGUCCCAUUUCAUCGGUUGAAUGGGUCGCUUUUAGUGUUCAUCCUCCUUUGGGCUGCCAGCACAUAUAUAUUUAAUGUGGCAUUCACCUUCUUUAACAAAGAGUUCCAAAGGGUAUGAUUCUUUAUCUUAUGCUUUUUUUUACUUUUUCCUCCUCAAACAAAUUGAGAUACUUUGAAUGCUUUCAACAGGAUAUGGUGAUUUGGGAAACUAUUGGUUUGUGGCACUAUUCUGUUCCAGGAUUGUUUUUACUUGCACAAUUUUGCCUUGGAGUCUUUGUCGCAUUGUGUAACCUUGUAAAUAAUUCUGUUUUUAUUUAUUUGCCGGAUAAUGAGCAUGGGCAAUCGUCCAAUGAUGAUCACCCAGUUGAGGCCCUUGAAGGUAAGUGUAUGGCUGAAUUAUCUGCAUUCUGAAUUGGCCUAAUUUCAAUAUUACUCAUUGUUGGCCUCAUAAAUUGGUACAGCUUAAUUUUCUUUUUGCUCUAUCUUAUCAAAAUGACAACAUCCUAUCAUAUUUUGAUUUUGAUUUUUUUUUUUUUCCCCUUCUGCAGAAGAAGAAGACACAAUAGUGUUGAUUAUAGCUACACUAGCAUGGGGACUGCGCAAAUGUUCUCGUGCAAUUACUUUAGCAUUGUUAUUUCUUCUUGUCAUUAAACCUGGCUUUAUUCAUGCUGUUUAUAGUACGGUGACAUGCUCCUAUCAUUAUUUACUUGCUUUUGUUCAAUGUUCUAAAUGUUGCGUGGCGGGCAUGUAGUGGAUGUGGGUCUUUACAGCUGAUAGCGGAUAGCGGGUGACAUGGCAGGCGCUAUGUGCCCAUGGCAGACUUGAUUUUUUAAUAUUAUAUAUUAUAAACUUAUUACUGCUUUACUACUCAAUCAAGUAGAUAAAAAUAGAAUAAGUAAAGAUAUGAUUUAAAAUAGGAAUAGUAAAAGGCUGCAGCUAAAUGAAGUUCAGAAAAAGUUAAAAGUUCGAUAUAGAAUUAAAAUACAAAUUAACAGAAUAAAUAUAAAAUAGAAUAAAUAUAUAAGCAUGUAAUUAAACUUCAAUAUUUCUAUUGGCAUCAUCUGUAAACCAAAAAUGAGAGGAAAAAAAGAAGAAGAGGAAGUAAAACAGAGAAUAAGAAAACCAGAGAAGAAAAAUAACAGCAGCAGCAGCAGCAACAGAGAAGAAGAAGAAAAAUGGAGAAAAUGAAAAAGAAGAAAUUUAGAUGAGGAGAAGAGGAGAGAAGAAGAAGGAAGAAGCAAAAGCACAGGAAGAAAGAAGAAAAAGAAGAAAAGAGGAAUAAAACUAUGAAUUGCAGCCUUACAACCCAGUUAAAAGCCAGCAUUUAACUUGUUGGCAGGCAGCGGCCGCUUUUCUCCAGCUAUAUGGUGGCUGCCAAGGCAGGCUACACUUGCAAUAUCGGUCCGCUUUGUUCCAAAAUGCCAUGGAGGCCUGCUAUGCCAAAAGCAUAGCACCGAGCAUGUAAAUCCGCUAUGGCGGACACCCAUAAUAGCGGCCCGCUUUGUUCCAAACCGCCAUGGAGUCCCACUAUGCAAAAAGCAUAGCGCCGAGCAUGCAAAUCCGCCAUGGCCGCUAUUUAGAACAAAGCUUCUGUUUCCUGAAGUGUUUGGCUAUUUAUGUAGGAUGUUAUAAUGGUAUUUUGUCGUGCCCUGAUCACUUGAACAUUUAUACUUAUUGUGUGUUUGUAUCAUAAUUGAUGUCUUACUCAGAUUCUUCAUGAGGAGUUUGGGAAUCCAUCCAUUAGAGGAUGGAUUUCAUUUUAAAUUAUUUUGAAAAGUGUAUUGAUACUAAUGAGCUGGAUUAGCCAUCACUAGGUGUCUGUGAGAGUUAGCAUUACAUAGGUAAACAAUGGACAGCAUAGUCACAUAAGAUAACUGAGUUGCUAACAUGCAGAAUAGCUGGGCAUUCCUCUUUCUCCUCCGUGAUAUCAUAACUGUUAUACAUAAUUUAUAGGAAAAUACAUGUUAUAUGAUGCAUCGCACGAUUAACAUUUAUUCAUUCUUUGAUUGUCAUUUACAGGCAUGUCAUAUAGAUAUUUCUUUAAUGCUUGUCACAACUGAAUUAACACUUUUACUAUGUUUCAUCCCCUUUGUGGUGGUGCAACAUUAUUUGAUUUCCCUAGUUCAACAAUUUGUAAUUAAAGUUUCUUAUUGCUUUGCUUCCAUUUCUUGUCUAUUAUUUGUUUCAUUUGCUGGUGCACACAUUGGUAAAUAGCACCAAUCAUAAUGAAACUUUUUGGACUUUGCUUUUCAGUAUGAUAAACCAUCAUAUUAUCAGAUAUUAAUCUGUUAUUUCUUUAGCGAUAGACAUGACUCAUGUAAUUAUUCCCCUUUUUUGGUUUUUUGCUGUGAUUUUUUGAAGUAUUUCUGUUGGUAGGCUUGCAUUCGCUUAGAGAAGUUAUUUCUCCUAAGCAUCCUCCUACUUAGAUUAAGUGCCCUUCAACUUGUUUUUGUUAUCUUCUCUCUCCUACGUGUCCUGCAACUUUUCUAAUCUGAUGGAUUUCUAACUUGCUUUUGUUUCAGUGUGCUUCUUUUUGGUAUAUUUAUUGAGCCAUUCCAUCGAACAAAAAGUGCGACAGAUAUUAAUUCUCUUUUGUGAGGUCCAUUUUUCAAUAUUGUACAUUCUUCAACUUGAUCUUAUCUCAAGUGCUUUAGAGCGCAGUGGUUCCUUAACUAUGGAAGUUCUGUCACAGUUAGGUAAACUUCUUGCACGAAUUAUUCAUUUGUUCUGUUCUCAAAAAUAACACAAUUAUCUCAUCUUUAUUCGGAUAUUUUAGACAUUAAAAGAAUUUUCUGGGCUUGUCAUGUUAUUAUAUUUGUAGCUAACCACCCUUUUCUUUCUUUUUGUAAUUUUCAUGAAUAAAUGAACUUUUCAAAUAUUCUUCGUCAUCUAAAGAAUUUGGAUGCCUAUAAGGGCUCCAUUUGGUUUAAGAUUUGUAAUAUUUUUAUAAUCCUUCAUAUUUUCUAUUGAAAAUAUUCACAUCAUUGAUUCAACUGAGGUUGGAUAGUUGCAAAAGGUGUUAGUGAAGUACUGAAAUCAUUUCCGAACUAGUAGGAAUACUAGAUUUUGUGGGUUGGGAGGUAUUCUCAUUCCUAUACAUGAUAAGAAUCACUAGUAGUCCAUAAUUAGAAUAUACAAGUUCCUAACAAUCUCCGAAUCCAAGUGACAUGCUAAGUUAGUAACAUACUUGCCAUUCCAAGUAUAUAGUAUUCCCAGAAUAUUAUAAACCAUUCCCAGAAUAUUAUAAACCUUUGAUGGCCCCUACAUGUUGUGCCGUCCAUAUUAUUGCACGAUACACACUUCUAUCUAAUCUAAUAAAAAAGACGCACAAAGAAUGGGGAUAUGAGCACAUGUCGAUAGGAGUAUCUCCAGAUUCUAACUUCCUACCGUGCUCAUAUGCCCUUCAUACAGUACUAGUCAGUUGUACGCUUUGUCCAUGCCACUCAGUGCUGACUGGCACUGCCAGGAUCUGAAUCCUUGUCGGUAAGGUUCCUUAAGAAAUAUAGCAUUAUUGCAGUUUCCCUCUUCAGUUGAUAAUGAGGUCGACAGUUGAGAACUUGGAAUGAAAGUACUAUCACGAAACUUUGAAUUAAAAUACUAAUACCAUCUGAUUUUGUGGCAUGCAGGGUUAUCAAUUCAUGCUACUAUCAGAGACUUUGUGGAGAUAGGUUUAUUAGUGUGCUUCUGUGCAGUGCACAAUCAUGGGUUUGAUAUGCUAUAUUCACUCUCAAAAGUCCUAAAACAUGCUCCUUAUCCUCCUCUUGGAUUUAGCAUCUUGAAAGCUGGUUUGAAUAAGUCGGUUCUUUUCUCAGUUUAUGCCUCAGCAAGUUUCAGGGAUGGUCAGUCUCUCAACUCUUCACAUGGUACACCUCAACCCAAAACAUUUUCCUGAUGAAACGACCAUGUCGCUUCUCUGCCCGCCCAAAGAGGACAACAGGAAGAGAGAGAGAGAGAGAGAGAGAGAGAGAGAGAGAGAGAGAGNNNNNNAGAGAGAGAGAGAGAGAGAGAUGGUCUUCUAUGUAUUGUCGUUACUUAUUUGCUUUCAGCUAAUAUUCUUUCUUUUCUUGUCUUGUAGAUAAAAGAAUUGCAACAUACCUUGGCAAAGUGAGCCAGAUGUUUUUGUCUACGUAUCGCUCAUAUGGGACAUAUGUGGCAUUUUUGACUAUUCUCUUAACGCUGUACCUUGUGACUCCAAAUUACAUUUCAUUUGGAUACCUUUUCUUCCUUCUAUUUUGGAUAAUUGGAAGGCAGCUCGUGGAGAAGGCCAGAAGACGUCUUUGGUUUCCCUUAAAACUCUAUGCGACCAUAGUUUUUAUUUUUAUAUACACCCUGAGCAUUUCUCCAACCUUUGCUACAUGGCUCUCUCAUGUGAUUAACCUAUAUCCGGAGUUCGGAUUUAAUCCUGAAGCUUCGUUGCUUGAAAAUGUCUGGGAAUCCUUGGCUGUUUUGAUCGUUAUGCAACUUUACAGCUAUGAGAGGAGGCAGAGUAGGUUCAAGAUUGUAAAUGUAUCUGAUGCAUCAGAAAUUGGAGUUCUUGGGUUCAUUAGAAGGUUGCUGAUUUGGCACAGUGACAAGAUCUUGUCUGCCACUGUAUUCUAUGCUUCCCUGUCUUCAAUUAGUUUGUUUGGCUUUAUUUAUCUCUUGGGACUCAUUGUAUGUUCUCUCUUACCAAAAGCUUCUGGGGUUCCCUCAAAAUUGUUUUUAGUUUACACGGGUUUACUUGCAGCAACUGAGUAUCUGUUUCAACUGUGGUGCAAACCUGCUCAAAUGUGUCCCGGUCAACGACUUUACAAUUUGUCAGUGUUUCUUGGUUUUAAGUAUUAUGAUUCUGGAUUUUGGGGCCUUGAGUCUGGAUUAAGAGGAAAAAUUCUGGUAAUUGUUGCUUGCACCCUCCAGUACAAUAUUUUCCAUUGGUUGAAAAUGAUGCCAAAUUCUCUCAUACACAAGGGCAAGUGGGAAGAGCCUUGCCAGUUGUUUAUCUCGACAGAAGAUUCUUCAACUGGCAUAGUUGUUAAUAAUUAUGAAAGCAAGGUAUCAAUGGAUUCUAUACAUUCUUCGGAAAAGGAGAGGCUUAUUGUGAGCAAUACUAGUGCAUCUUGCAGAUUUGAUGGCUAUCAAACGUCAGAGUCUCUUCAUAAUUUUACAAGAAGCUCAGAUGAUAACACCAAAAAGUGGACAAAGUCAUUUGCUUACAUAUGGGGAAGUUCAAAUGAAAGUCACAAGUGGAACAAGGGGCGCAUCCUUGGUUUGAGAAAGGAGAGAUUAGAAAUGCAGAAAACUACACUCAAGAUCUAUAUGAAAUUUUGGAUGGAAAAUAUAUUUAAGCUGCGAGGUCUCGAAAUUAAUAUGAUUGUGCUACUUUUGGCAAGUUUUACCUUGUUGAAUGUCAUCUCAAUGUUUUAUAUAAUAUGUCUUAUCGUGUGCAUUCUCCUGAAUAGAGACCUCAUUCGGAAACUAUGGCCGUUUUUUGUUUUCCUUUUUGCUUCUGUUCUUGUUCUCGAGUAUUUAGCUCUUUGGAAAUAUCUGAUUCCAUGGAUUAAUAGUUCAAGAAAGACAGGAGUUCAUUGUCGUGACUGUUGGAACAGCUCAAGUAUUUUCUUCUCUUACUGCAUGAAGUGUUGGCUGGGUAUGUAUUUUACUUGUUGCUUGACAAGUAAUAUAAGGUAAAAAUGUUAGAAGGCCCCCCAGCUACAGGCCAUUGAAAGGGAUCCUCAACUUAUUUUGAUUGAGACUCCUUGAACGUCUGAUUUUUUUAUUUUUUUUUAUUUUGAGUUUUUACACUUAGUUAACUUAUGGCUUUAUUAGCUGUUAGCUGUUAAUUGGUCUAAUUUACUAGCAAAGAAGUGAUUAGAAUUAUUAAAUUUGACAAUAGGACGAAUGAAUUUUAUAAAAUUUCCAAUUUAAUUGUCUAAAAUCUCUCAUUUCCGAAAACUUCUAAGGGGAUCUCAAUCAAAAAAUUGAAAGCUUAAGGGGGCAUUUCAAAAUGGCCUACAGUUGUGGGUCUUUCCAUAUAUCUUAACAUUGAUAUGAUUCAUAUAUCUUCAUUUAUAUCUAUUUAUAUAUACAUUUAGUGAUAUAAAAUUACGAAUAAAAUAUUACAUGUAUGUGUAAUUUUGUAUAUCAUAUCUGCAUACAUAUAUUAGUUGACCUACGGAGUUUUUGUAAGCAUGGAGGCCAACGAUUGACAUCAUUGAAUUUGAUCUUUAGACUAUAUUGAAGUUUUGGGGAAUCAAAUUUCAUGACAUUUCAAUAUAUCUGCCUUAUGAUCUAUUGGUCUCAAAAUGAAUGAUUAGAUAAUAGAUUUCUUGAAUUGUAGAACACUCGCGUUGUUCUUGAUUUAGAUUGUGGGAAUUACUAUUAUUAUUUUUUCUCAAAAAUAGAACUAAUGUGGAUUGGUCUACACUGUUAGACUAACAAACACAUUACAUUAGCCACUAAACUUGUUGAUUUUAGAUCUUUUGAUCAUACAGCCGGCGAUGUUGGAAAAAAAUCCCAAAAUAUUUGGUUCCCAAAUAUUUCUUAUGCUAGAUCAUGUUUAGCAAUAUAAUCGUUGAUUAGGAGGUCCUAUUGUAAAAUUUGACUUCUAAGAAAUGAAGGCCUCUGUGCUUGUGUAAGCAUCCCCUCUCCACUCUCUCUAGUCUUUGUGCUUGUGUAAGCGGCCCGGCUCUACACUCUAUCUCUCUCACUCUCUCUCGUCCUCCCUCCAUCCUCCCGGAAUUAAUGAUAGGAAUGAAUGAGAGAGACAGAGAGAGAAAGUUUGCCGCUAUGCUUUAAUGUCAACAAAGGCCUUUGUACAAUUUAUUUCCAAUAGUAGGGCUCUGAAUCAAUGAUCUACAACAUUAACUAUGUACAUCAGGUAUACCAAUGUGGAUGAAUUAUCAAUUCAAACAUUUUAACCUCUAAUUUAAGGUGGGAGAUGCUUCUGAAAAGCGUAUAUGUGUCUGUACACACAUGUUUGUGUGGAUAACUUACCUUGAGAAAAUCAGACAUUUCCUAAUGGAAGUUUUCUGAUUUUAUGUAGGGGUGAUUGUUGACGAUCCAAGAGUGCUUGUGAGCUAUUAUGUGGUUUUUAUCGUCUCCUCGUUUAAACUUCGUUCUGAUCACUCUUCUGGUUUCUCGGAUUCGUACACAUACCGUCAGAUGAGAUCGCAGAGGAAAAACACUUUAGUUUGGAGAGACCUCUCGUUUGAAACAAAAAGCUUCUGGACAUUUCUUGAUUAUGUGAGACUCUAUUCCUACUGUCAUUUAUUAGACAUUGUCCUCUUCUUAAUUCUGAUAACUGGCACCCUGGAAUAUGAUGUUCUUCACCUUGGUUACCUUGGUUUUGCACUGGUUUUCUUCAGGAUGAGACUUGAGAUAUUAAAAAAGAAGAACAAGAUUUUCAAGUUCUUGCGCAUGUAUAACUUUGCGCUCAUUGUCCUUUCUCUUGCAUAUCAAUCUCCUUUUCUUGGGGAUUUUAGUUCUGGCAAGUGCGAACAAAUUGAUUACUUAUAUGAGGUUAUUGGAUUGUACAAAUAUGACUACGGAUUCAGGAUAACAUCGCGAUCUGCAUUGGUAGAGAUAGUGAUAUUUUUGUUAGUGUCAGUGCAGUCAUACAUCUUCAACUCAGAAGAAUUUGACUAUGUCGCGAGAUAUCUUGAGGCAGAACAGAUUGGUUCUAUGGUCCGAGAACAGGAGAAAAAAGCUGCAAGGAAAACAACACAGCUGAAGAAUAUACGUGAAGCUGAAGAGGAAAAACGUCAGCGAAACUUGCAAGUAGAGAAAAUGAAGUCCGAGAUGCUCAAUUUGCAAAUUCAGCUUAACAGCAUAAGUUCUGCUACUACAGUGAGCAACAGUUCUUCACAAACAGAAGGCCUUCGACGUAGAAGGAUCUCUCCUCAAAACAUUGAUAAAGUAGCUAAUGUGCCAGAUGGUGAGAUUGCAUUUCCCAGAAAGCAGGAGAAUGUCAGUGCAGCAAAAUACCAUUCUUUUGACUUUGUUGUACCUGAUAUGCAAAAUAAUAUUGCAUCGUCGCAGGUAACAUCUGACUCGCUUCAAACCUCAAACGCUAGUGUGAAAAGUGAAAGCUCAUUUCCUGUGGAUUAUGUGAGACAUUCCUUGGAUCCUCUUUGCGAGAUAAGUGAAGUUGGAGAGAAGGAUGUUGCCAUGUACACUAAUUUGGACAAAAAGGAGAAAGAGAGAGGCCAGCAUAAGGAGAACCCUUUGAGAUCAGCUGUGCAAUUAAUAGGUGAUGGAGUUUCUCAAGUUCAGUCUUUAGGAAAUCAGGCAGUUACAAACAUUGUGAGUUUUCUGAACAUCGAGCCUGAGGAAUCAGAUUCCAGUGGGCAUUUGUUUGUGGGAGAGCGAGGAUUUGACGGAAUCGAAAAUCAGAUAACGACUGAACAUGAGCACUUGGAUCGUACAUCUUCAGUUAAUUCUAGCACAGGAGCUAAUCCUCCAACCAGCCUGCAAAUUGGAAAGAUCUUCCAGUUUAUAUGGUCCCAAAUGAGAUCUAAUAAUGAUAUCGUGUGUUAUUGUUGCUUCAUACUGGUGUUUCUGUGGAAUUUCAGUUUGCUAUCAAUGGUCUACCUUGCGGCACUCUUCUUGUAUGCUCUUUGUGUAAAUUCUGGUCCCAGUUAUUUGUUCUGGAUUAUCAUGCUUAUAUAUACAGAGCUGAAUAUUUUGCUUCAAUAUCUGUACCAGAUUAUCAUCCAGCAUUGCGGGUUAAGUGUACAUUUUCCUAUUUUGGAGAGGUUUGGUUUUCCUGAAAAUAAAAUAAAAGCCUCAUUUGUGGUCAGCACAUUACCUCUCUUUCUGGUGUAUAUAUCGACUCUCCUUCAAAGUUCUAUUACUGCUAAGGAUGGUGAAUGGGUACCAGUAACAGAAUUUGGCCUUCUUGGUAAGAAGAGCUAUUAUGAAGAAACCCGCUAUAUGAAUUAUGGAUGGAGAGACAAGCUACGGCAGCUGUUUUCACCUGUAAUUAACCUCAUUAGGUUAAUAUUCAUGAGUUUUUCUAGGUACUGGAAGUCACUAACGCAAGGAUCAGAGUCUCCUCCAUAUUUUGUGCAGCUAACUAUGGAGGUUAAUCAAUGGCCAAAGGACGGGAUCCAACCUCAGAGGAUUGAAUCAAAAAUAAAUGAGUUACUUAGAAUAGCUCAUAAAGAAAGAUGUGAAGCUAAAAUUCCUUCUCAAUGCCAUUCUGCCAGUAGAGUUAGAAUUCAAAGUUUUGAAAAAUCUUCAGAAAAGGACAGUUUGGCUCUUGCUGUUCUUGAAGUUGUUUAUGCUUCUCCUUCUGCAGGAUGCCCAGAAAUGGAGUGGCACAGAUCACUUACUCCUGCUGCAGAUGUAGCAGCAGAGCUUCAAAAAGCUCACAGAGAAGGACUUUUUGAUGAAAUGGACUUCCCCUAUCCUGUUGUAUCUAUCAUAGGUGGUGGAAAAAGGGAAGUUGACUUGUAUGCCUACGUAUUUGGUGCAGAUUUGGCAGUUUUCUUUCUGGUUGCCACUUUCUACCAAUCUGUCAUAAAGAAUAAAAGCGAGUUUCUGGAUGUCUAUCAGCUUGAGGACCAAUUUCCCAAAGAGUUUGUAUUUAUUUUGAUGGUAAAGAUAUGUGGCUUCCUUUCAGGCUUUAGUGAUAUUUGCAUAUUGUUGAUACCUUUUAGAAAUUAGCUUCUUGACCUUGUUCUUUUGGCACGUAUUCUGAAUGUUGGUAAGUCCUCAUUUUUAAUUUCUAAGAAUUUUUUUUAUUAUUAUUUUGCAGGUGCUGUUUUUUCUAAUUGUGGUUGAUCGCAUCAUAUAUUUGUGGUCCUUUGCAAUAGGAAAGGUCGUCUUCUAUCUUUUCAACCUUGUCCUGUUCACAUAUUCAGUCACGGAGUAUGCUUGGUGCAUGGAACCAUCUAACAAGAACAUUGGAGGACUUGCUUUGCGUGCUAUCUACCUUACUAAGUCAAUUUCCUUAGCACUACAGGCGCUGCAGAUUCGCUAUGGACUCCCUAACAAGAGCACCUUAUAUCGGCAGUUUUUGACCAGUCAAGUCACACAAGUGAACUUUCUGGGCUUCCGUUUGUAUCGCGCCUUGCCAUUUUUAUAUGAAUUGCGAUGUGUACUUGAUUGGUCCUGUACAACUACAUCACUAACAAUGUAUGAUUGGCUGAAGGUACGGCUUUAGUACUUUUUUUUCCCUAUAUAUAUUGAAGAAUUUAUUUCAGUUCAUUAAAUUGGACCUUAAUAUCUUAAAGAUGCCAUUAUUAUAAACUUCAGGAAUUCAUCUUGAAAGUAAAUUAGAUGUCUCCUCUUGACAUUAUUCAAGCUAUAGAAUGAAUGUCAGUUUUGACAUGUAUAUUCUCUCUUUAUACUUCCCGUCCUUUUGGAAAAACCAAAUAUUUAUUAAUGAAACCUUUUAUUUAAUUACUAGAACUUGUAGAAUAACAGGCAUAUAUUUCUUGAUGUUCUUAUAUGGUCAUCAUUCUUCUAGCAGAUACUUUUAUUUUCUGCAUUUCUUAGAGUUUCCUGAAUUCCGUACUAUUGCUACGUUUUGUCCUGAUAUUUUUUCUUCUUUCUGUGAUCAUUCCAUAUAAACCUCCAAUCUUUUGUGCUUUCGUUUAUUUCCAUUAUUUUAUUAUAAAAAUGCGAUAUUGUUACCCAACUGUCUCUGUUAUUGUUAGCUAUACGAUGUUCUGUUACCUCGCUAAUGAAUAGGUCAGUUUAAAAUGGGCAGUUUGAUCUUUUACUUUCCUGAAGUCCACACAAAUAAUUCAAUAUAAAAAAUAUUCUCAAACAUGUGGAAUUAUCAUAUAGUCAUCUUCAGUUUAUUUAGAGUACUGUAUUCUUAGUUUUGUUCUUACGAUCAUCUGUAUUCUUAGUUUUGUUCUUACGAUCAUCUGAUAAGUUCUUAUUUUCCUGCAUAGUUGGAGGACAUCUAUGCAAGUUUGUUUCUUGUCAAAUGCGAUGCAGUUUUAAACAGGGCAAAACAUCAACCAGGACAAAAACAAAGUAAAAUGACCAAAUUCUGUAGCGGAAUUUGCUUAUUCUUUAUACUGAUAUGUGUUAUCUGGGCACCUAUGUUGGUAAGUGAUUUGGUAUAUAUCAGCUUUUUAUUAUUUUUUGUUAGCUAUAUACAUAAAUGUAUUAUUCCUUGUAAUUUUAGGAUAGUGUUAAAAGGGAUAAAUAUUUUGUGUUGGAAUAACUCAAUUCUAGGAUGGAGAGGAAUAGAAGGAAUUUUGUGUUUGGCUUGACAUUUUGUUAUUCCCUAGGCUAGCCAAAAUCAUGCUUGGCUAUUUUUUUAAAGAAUAGUGGAGAAUGGUGCAGAAAAGAAAUAAGUGUGGCAUGGUGAAUGAGGCAGUUCAAUACCCUUAAGCCCUUGGAAGGAUGGUAGGUGAGAGUGGAGUAAAGUGCAGUGCAGAGAAUGAGGCGAAGGGUAAAUCGGAGAAUAGCCCUAUUCCAAGGGUGGGGAGGAAUACUUUUAGGCCCUCUUUAGAUGUUUGAGUAAGUUAUCCAGUGUUAUUCUAUAUGUGAUGCGGAUUUUUUAUUUUAAUGGGAAGCUAGGAAUGUGGCCAAUUGUCUAGAAUGGAAUAGCAUAUUCGACUCUGUAAGUUAUUUUUGAGAAUAAAAUAAAAUCACCUUGUAGGUGAUACGCUAUGCUACCAAAUCUUGGAUGCAAAAGGCCCAAAGCCUUUCAAGGAGCAAAAAAUAAACUCCUACCUUUCAAGUACACAAGAAAAUCAGUUAGUUAUCAUCGUAUAACUCAGGCCUACAUCCAAACAAGGCCUUAAUGAGUAAUUUAAGAAUGAUCUGGAAUAACCUACUUUGAGCAAAAUUAUUAUUCUUGUCAAAUUUUGUUGUGUUUGGUAGAGUACAUGGGAUAAAAUGGCUUAUCCCCCAGUUAUUCUCUUACCAAAAGCAGCCACACAGUUCUGAACUUAUUAUGCAAUCAAUACUCUUAAAGUGCCAUAUUUGUGAAAUGAAUGAUUAAAAUGCUGAGGCACGGGUGUGCCAAGGCCAGGUAGUAUGAUUGGCAUGGGCACGUUGUUGUGCUACCUGUGGUAUUCUGGCAUGCCUACGGACACAAAGGGCCUUCAACUUGCAUGGAUGGACUGCUUUGGGACAGUCUUAUUAUGGUUUCCGUGGUCUGAAUAACAUCUUGUAUUAUUGAUUUGUGGGUUGUUUUUUGGCAUUAACACAAUCCUUAGGUCCUUUCUUAUUUUGCGUUAGUAGUGGUAGGCUAUAUUGUUAUACAUAAAACACUUUUAUCCCUUCAUUUUUCUUCGACUCGCAACCAACUUAGUGUUCUUACUGUUUAAAAUCUCAAAUAAUGAACACAAAUCCUUUGUUCACAGAUAAGACACGUUAUUCUUGCCUUUAACAUUCCAACAGAGUUAUUUACAUUCCUGUCUUCCUAUUUUUAUGUCAGAUUUAUUACAUCUUAUCAUUUCUGACCAAGAAAUCCCAGAUUUUGUAAUCAUAUCAGAUGACAAAGAUGACUGCUGCUCUAUAAUAUUUUAAAAGCCAGUUAAUAUUGUACAUCUCUAACAUAUUAUUUAUACAGAUUGACAAAAUUAAUUAUGUUUGAAUUCUUCAAUAUAAUAGAACAUUUUUGAGAGGAAUCCUUGAUUCUUAGAAGUUUCUUGGAAAACACAUCUCGCUAUUGUUUUUAUAAUAUUCAGUUUUUUUUAAGAUCAUAGAAAAUCUGGUAUAAUGAAUCUUUAAAUCUUCAACCAGGAAGGAUGAGAGAGAGAGAUUUCUUCAUCUGUUAUUGUUAUGGCCCUUUUGGAGUGUCAUGAGUGUAUGAAGGAAAGUGAUGAAAAGAGAUGGAGAGAAAGCUGGGGAAGGAAAGGAGGAGCAAUAUCGUACAUGCUCGACAUGUAGCUUGAUACACCGAAUAUAUAGAAAUUUCUCAGUUGCUAUUCUCAUGUGUGCCAAGGCACAGUGGCAGUUUCGAUACUCAGUUUCGAUAUUCUUUAUGUGCCCAUAAGUCAUUCACACAGUAUGGCAUGCUCGAUACGCCUUGAUAUGCUCCCUGAUUCCCUGUUUGAAUCAUCAAAAGCUAAGCAUAAUUUAUCUUCUAAACCACGAGAAAAAGCAUUUUGCAUUUCCCAUAAGCCAAUAACUAUUAAUGUAAUUAAUGCCAAAGAACUAGGAAAAUAUUAUCGCCAGUAAUAGGUUUUUGGACACGACACUUAUUAUUUUAAAUUUUCUUCUAGAUGACAAGCUAGAAUUAUUUAUAUCCUUUCAUAUUCAUGUGUGCUGAAGAUUUUGGAAGUUUUGAUAUCCUAAUCUCGUCAACUGUCUUUUAACAGAUCUACAGCAGUGGUAACCCAACAAACAUUGCGAACCCUGUUAUAGAUGUGAGUGUUCAGGUUGAUAUUAAAGCAAUCGGUGGGAGGCUCACACUUUUCCAAACUACUUUAUGUGAUAUUUUCCCUUGGAAAAGUUUAGCAUCCUUAGACAUUCUGGAUCCACAAAAUUAUCUAGAUGCGUACAAUGCUGAGGACAUUCAGUUGAUCUGCUGCCAACCUGAUGCUAGUACUUUGUGGCUGGUUCCUCCUGUUGCUCAAAACAGAUAUAUAAGAUCCCUUGGGCAGAUGGAAUUAAUGCUAACAUGGAUUUUUCUAAGAGCGAGACCAAAAGGAAAAGAAUCUGUGAAAUAUGAAUCUCCUGUUGAUAAUUGUCCCAGUAUGGAUGAUGUUGCACAAGUGCUCAAUGGGACAGCUAAUAGCUUUAGGAUAAUUGAUGCGUAUCCAAGGUACUUCAGGGUCACUGGCUCUGGUGAAGUGCGACGUCUAGAUACAACGGUAUACAGCAGAAUCCCUAUGAUUGCCUUCAAUUAUUACUAUCACUUUAAAUGGUUUUCCUAUUUUACUUAACAUUUUUAGCAAUAUGUGUAAUUUUAUUUAUUAGGUUAUCAUUCAACAUGCAGGUAGAUUCAGUUAGCGGCAACCUUGUUAUGAACAAUGGGACUCCUCCAUGGUGGUCAUUCCAUGAUCUCAAUCCAUUAGAUUUGACAGGGUGUCAAGGGCUGUCUGGACCACUGGCUAUUGUCGUAUCUGAGGAGACACCGCGUAUGUAACUGUAAUUGUAUUUUCUUGCAUGCGUGUGAGAAGUUUUAACAAAUAAUCAAAUUGACCUAUUCUUGAUUGUCAGAGUAUAAUGUUCCAAUAUAUAAGGGGUAUUUGUUCUAUCAUUUUUCCACCAUAUGCAUGAAGCAUAAUUAUGCAAGCUUUAGGUGCUGAUAAUUUAUGGUAUAACUAUAUUAGAUAAUUGCUCAAUCAGAACAGAACAUGAAAAUACUAUUAGAAAUCAAUUCUGCAUGAGCCUAGCUUAUCCAAAAAUAACAUGACAUAACAGAUUAGCAGCCAGAUUAGCAGCCAACUUGCUUUUUUGAGAAUCUAAGUCAAAGGCGUAGGCAUUUAGACUUGGCACAAACGACCCUACUGUCUAGCAUGAACACAACCACGAAGCGCAACUUUCUCUCUUAAUGAGGUCAUGGAAUCAAUUAACAGUUAGAUAGGUCAGAUUGUUUAAAUUCUCAUAGGCUCCAAUAUAUCCAACUUUGUCAUGUGGACUUGUCGACUUGUUUCCUAUUGAUCGGUGGGUUAGAGAGUUCCUUCUUAAUACUUUCUCCUUCCUGAUUAGGCCCUGGACUGUUUUGAUUAAGCGUGAGAAAAUCAUCAGUUGGCAUGAUUGAGCCUCCACUUCGAGACAAUUGUGACUUAAAAAGAAGAUAAAGUGACUACCCAACCCGAUACUCAGCUGCCCUGUAUUUCUAUAUGUUCACCUAUGGUUACUAAUAAAGUGAUGUUCCAUUAGCCAGCUGCAUAGCUGAAUAUAAUACUAUCUAACGGAAAUAAAAAAACCCUCUCAAAUAAUGAGCUGCUGGUUUACUGGGCAUGUGUGUUCGUGUUGAUCUUCCCGUUAUUUGUUCCUGGUAUACAGAAUUUUAUCUGCAGUUUAGAAACAAAUCCUAUCAUGUGAGAUAGAACCUUGCAUUUUAUGUGAUCUACAACAGUUGAAUUAUGUGCAUGUGCAUGAUUGUAUGCCCAUUUCAGCAGUAACGACGUAAAUCUUCUACAAAGUGAUGUGUGUAGUUGGAGGGUACUUCAUGUAUUGGAUGUUAUGAGCCUAAAACAAGUGUUUUUUUUUUUUUUAUUCUUUUAGUACUGUUGCUUUUACUUUUCGUACCUAUCAUUAAUGCUUUUGUUAAAUUGCAGAGGGUAUUCUUGGUGAAACUCUCAGCAAGUUUAGCAUUUGGAGUUUGUACAUUACUUUUGUAUUAGCUGUUGCCCGAUUUAUUAGACUACAAUGCUCAGAUUUGAGAAUGCGAAUACCAUAUGAGAAUCUUCCUACUUGUGACAGGUAUGCAAAAAUAUUCUGCUACUUUGGGCUUACUUUUGAUGAUAUUGGAGACAAUAGUUUUCAAGUUAAAUAUAAUUUUUCAUAUUAAUGCCAAUAUAUAUUCCUGUGUAAUAAACUGCAGAUGAACUCCUUAUUUAUUUUUGCUGUGUACAGCAUUCCUUUUCAUGCUCCCACUGGUUGCUAUUUUGGACAUAUCAUAGAAACUAAAAUCAUGUUACUAAUUGUUGGUUGCAUAAUGAUUGUAAACCAAUAGACAGUGUAUAACAAUAAUAGUGCAUGAAAAUAAAUUGAUAAUCUACGAAAUAAAUUCCUUGCAUUUCUACCGGAUCUUGCAUCGUUCUCAUUUAUUUCUACAAUAUCCUAGAACUAUUGCAUGGAAUCAACAAUUGAUUGUCUUCUCUGCAUCAACGUAAGUGAGAACAUGGUCAUCAUCGAGGGAUCUAAGCUGUGAAAUAAACCUUAUUAUUGAUAAUAUACUAAAUUGUUUUAUACUAAUUUCAGAAAAAAUUGUUACACCUUUUUUUGUUACAUCUCUUUUAUUCUAACAAGCUUUUCUUUUGUCAAAAUUGUACAAUGCUGUUUAACACUAACAAGUAAGAAAGGAUUGCAAGAAGUGUUUUUUUUUUUCCUUCCUUUUUUUGUGGUGUGUUUUUUUUGUUUUGUUUUUUUUUUUUUUUUGGGGGGGGGGAGAGAAUGUGCAAGUGGGAGCGUGUUUCAUAUUUGGUCUAGGUGGCAUGAUAUGAUGUUAUCAGGCCGAACACAACCUGACCUGACAAAUUUACGACUGUGAACAGUUGGUUCAAAUUCAACUUACGGACUAAUAAUAAGUCAAUCCAAUCAAUAUGCUGGCUAGAUUGCUUCCACUUUACCUUGAUAAAAAAUAGUCAUGAGACUCCUAACCAAAACAAUAAAUGGGAAAAGUGAAAUUCCAAGAAAGCAAGCGGAAGAUAGUUUGUAAUGGAGUUGGAAACUGGGUUAGGUAUUUCAAUAGGAUAAUGUCCUAUUUAAACUUUCCAAAGAGGAAAUCUAAGGAAAACAGUUUGGUGCAUUUACCUAGUGGAUCCAGAGCCCCCAAUUGGAACCCUAGUCAACCAGGCAGCGAGUCAAACGGCCAUGGAUAUUACUAUGGUCUGACUUAUAAUUAACAUGGGAUGAGAAUUAGAUGAAACUUGAUCUAUUAUGUGGUUUAUUUUUGUUAGUCUUGUUGAGUUAGCUGCAAAUCUCAACUGAGUUUUCCCGCAUUUGACCCUUUGCCAAUGCUGAGCUUUGAUUGAAUUCUCUUUCUACCCUCAAAAGUUUUGGCUCUUAGUUUGAUGCUCUAUAAAAAGCCAGAGAAAAAGUUUUCAUACUUCUCCUUACAAGGGUAGACGAACUGUCUAUCUUUCAUCUGCUCUACUUCACUCACAAGGUUCAAUUACAAUUUUCUUGUAAAGAAGAUGAGAAAUUCUUCUUCUCAGAUUAAGAUGUGGUUUCCUUUGGUUUAUCCUUCUUUUUUAACCAAUAUAAGACAGACAUAAAUGGAGAACUGUUUUCUCUAUUUUACAUGGCAUACCCCCUCUGCUUGAUGAUUUGCUUAUGAGAUAAAUUUCAGUUGAAGUGCAUUAUUUUGUUUUGCAUGAUAUGAUGACCGAAGUCUGCAUUUGAUUUAUUUGCAUACUUGUUUUAAUAGUUAAAAUAGUUAUAUUUGUUCAUACUAAAAUAUAAAUAAAACUUAUAAAUAUGAGUAACAUUUCUAACAAAACUAUGCACAUGCAUUUAUAUAUUUUUCUAGUAAAUUAAUUUAUCAUGUAAAAAUCAACCAUCCCACUUGGACUAGCAGUUUUAUAGGUUUCAUCCACAGGGACGAAGUGCUUUAGGUCAAGUUGCUAGCACUUGUAAGCUUGUCCUUGCAUCCCAAAGUGUAAUCUCUACAUCAUCCAUGGGAAUUUCUAGGCAAUAGUGUCCCUCAAAGUGACUUGGACAUCUUAUAUGCAGCAAAAUAUCCAGUUAGCACUUGCAACAUGAUGAUGUUGAUCUAUAGGGCCCAGAAAUGCUUAAACCCAAGUUGCUAAUACUACCAUGCUAAUCCUUUAAGCCCAAAUUCAUAUUUGUAGUCUGCUAUACUACAUUUUUCAUUUUAGGGCCUAUUUUAAUGCAUAACAUCUUGUUUGGCACAUCUUUCAUUUACUCAAGGAGCAUGGUGAAAUUGAUAGACGAGGAAUGUACACAGAGUAUACUAAUGUCUAAAAAGGCAUAAUAUAUUUGAGCUUCAAACUUUCUUUUUCUCAAAAUAAGAUAAAUCACCAUGUAGGUGUAAUAAAUUAUCCUGAAAAUUAAUGACUGCUAGCACCUCUUAAGGGGACUAAAGCUAGCUUCUGAAAUCCAAUCACAGAGAGAGAGAGAGAGAGAGGCCUAAUAGCGCACAAGUUAUCAAAGGAUAACUUGUUCCAACAUGUUAGAACAAAGUUGUUGAAUAAUAAAUUAUGUGCUUGCGGGAGAUUUUCUUUUGUGGUUGCAACCUAGGUCACUUAGUUCUUGCUUUGCAAGCACCUGAAAGCAAGCAAACUUUUAGAUUGCAAUCACACAUGGAAAUCCUUAUAGCUUACCAGUUAUCAAUGGAUAACUUGUCCUUACAGGAAAAUUUUGUUUUUUGUUUUUUUUUUUUUUGUUUUUUGUUUUUGGUUUUUUUUUUGUGACUAGGUGUUCGUUUUAAGCAGUUGCACCUUGCAAGGGGCUAAAAGCAAGCUUCUAGAUUCUAAUCACCAAAGAAGAUCCUUAUAGUGUACAAGUUAUCAACGGAUAAUUCGUCCAACAUUGUGUUAGAAUUAAGUUAUCCGGUGAUAACUAAUGAGUUUUUGGGAGAUUUUCUUUUGUGAUUGGAACCUAGGACCUUGCGGUCCUAGCAUUCAUGAUUUUUGGGAUAUAUCAUUGCACGUUCAUGGUGAUUUUUCUCAUUCUAAGAAACUGACUUGUAGUUGUACAAGCUAUAUGUCAUUGUAGACAUCUAAGUAUACUCAUCUAUCAAUUAUUCCUUGAGUAAACAAAAGUGUGUACUAACGAGGAUACUCAGGCAAACAAAGCAGACCCUAGGUAUUGUUUGGUUCAGAUAUAAAUUGUUCUUGUUUAUUAUUUGUAAUGGUGUAACUCCUAAUAUUAGCAUAAUGGUAUAACUCCUAAUAUUAGCAGGAACUAGGCCAAUAUUGUGUUUAGAUGAGAAUUGAGUUAUUUCCAGGAAUAAGAAAAAUAACGUUUGGAUAAUAAAAUGGUAUGGUGGGGAAUAGGGAUAAUUAUAAUUUUAAAAUAAACCAUUUUACCUAAUUAAUAAAUAUUUAAGUUUUAAUAAAAUAAUAAUUUAAUAAAUGGAUCAUGAAUAUUGUAUAAGAUAAUGGAGAAGCACAUUAGCUAGUUAAUAAAAUAUGAAAAAUGAGUUAAUAUGUUAGUUAAUUAAUUAUUAUUGAAUUAGUUAGACAAUUAGCUAGUAAAUAAAUUAGAUUAGUCAAUUAUUAGUAAUUUAAAUGAAUAAUAGUUAGUAGGUAAUAUCAUAAUAUAAUUGAUUAGUUAAUUGGCUAGUUAAUUAUGAAUAAAAAAUUAGUUGCUCUAGUACUUAAAUUAAUAAUUAUUAACUAAUAAGUUAAGAGUGGUUAGUUAGUUAGCUAAUUAGUAAAUGAGUUAUUAUAUAUUAAUUAACAAUAUUUUAUAAUUAUUUAUUACUUAAUUAUUAAUUUUAAUUGAAGAAUUGGAGAGGAGAAUAGUAGUUCCAUACAAAAGGGUGGAACUACUAUUCCACCGUCUCAACGGGUUAUCCUUAUCUAGGAUAACCCUUUAAGAGGGUAAUAAGUUAUUACCCCAUGGUUUUUGGAUGAAUAAGGGAAGUUAGCUCCCUUAUUUCCCCCUUAUACUCUAUCCAGACGCUACCUGAAGUACUUGAGACAAUUGCGAGUUCUAGUUACCUCUCACAUCUUACUGCUAUCCAUAGUAGAAAGAGUUUAACCCUGCAGUGUGGAUUGCCGAUGUGUAAGAAAGUGGAAUGAAAAUCGCUGGAAACAAAUCAACCUUUCUCUAUAAUUGGGAAACAAGUUAAUUGUGCUUUGUUAUAAUUCAAUCCUUUUCCUCCGUUUCUUUUCCUGAUAUCUCUUGAAAGAUUCAUGAGGAUCUUAAUUUGAUUUACUGUAGGCUGAUAGCUAUUUGUGAAGGCAUAUAUGCUGCUCGAGCGGAAGGUGAGUUGAAAGUGGAAGACGUCCUCUACCAGACAUUAGUGAGUAUCUACAGGUCGCCACACAUGCUUCUAGAGUAUACCAAGCCUGACUGAAAAUUUUCCUCCUCGUCUGAAGAGAAUCAUAGAAUUAGUGCAAAUGCUGCUCUGCAUUUCACUCGAAUACCAAGGGAAAAUGCUCAAGAAAAAUAAACAGUUGAUACAUGGGUUAUCUUCUGGUAAUGCCUAUAGUUCUUCACAACCUAGGCAUGUCGUUGGGGCUUGCUAUUUUUUUGCGGCUCGUUCUUUUAACUAACGAGUCCAUUGUACAUAAACAAGAAUUAAUAUAUUUCCCGAAACAAUUACUACAGCGGUAACCUUCGGUGAUCCUUACAUGUGCCGAGAGCUUGUAAUUCAACUUUGCAGAGAAAGCAAAUAUCCCUUUUCCAAGCUGAUAGUUGUUCAGCUAGUAGCAAUUAAAACUGAAUUCAUUGAUGUUUCACCUGUAGAUCCAAGCAGUUUGUAUUUUUAUUUGUUGGAUGGUUUUCUAAUUAAUUCUCUUUAUUUGUUGGAUGGUUUUCUAAUUAAUUCUCAUCCAGAGCAUUCGGGCCAGCCGCUUGGUUUGUAUGUUGUUGUCAACUUGGAAAGAGUAUCAGUAGUUGUCGACUUGGAAAGAGUAUCAAUACUGCCCCUCAAGAUUUUUUUUUUCUUUCUUUUUUUUUUUAAAAAAAAAACUGUGGAUGCAUUGUGUGCGACUCGGUACAUGAUGACCAAGGGUUGUUUGCAGUGAAGGUGACCGAUUGGUUUCUCAAACUUUAAUGUGCACCUUAUAGAGGGUUUAGGGUUUAGGGUCUAGUGUUUCUGCUUGGUUUCUGAAAGCUAAAAACAUCGGUAUAACAGUUUGUGCUUGUAAAGUUUAGAAGGUAGUGAUCUUUCAUCAACAACUAUGUUGAUUAAGAAAUUAGUUAAUAAUUUAUCCAUGGUGAUAAGCAAUGUACUCUUCGAUUGUACGUUUGUUAGUGUUUGUAUUAUUAUUAUUAUUAUUAUUAUUAUUAUUAUUAUUAUUUAAAAAAAGCUCUAUUGCCGUUAUCUGUUUGUUUGUUUGUUGUUGGUUGGAUGAUCUCUCAUCAUCCUCAUGACCAGUUGCAACCUGGGUGCAGGUGGUCACCUGGUACCAGGAUGGCGGCGUAAAGUAGUAUUUUAAGAAACUGGUUUAAACAUUGAACUAGAAAUGUGGGCUGCUCAAGGUUUUACUGUUUAAAUCAGUUCAACUAGUGACAUCAGUAUGUGCCGUAAAUUAUUAAUUCAUAUGCAUAUUAAAAUGAUAGGUAGUACAAGAUUAACAAUAAAAUAACAAAAUAUAAUGGACUCUUUUACAGAAUAAUCUUCUCAAAUUUUAAAAUUUGUGAAAUAACUCUCCCAAAAUUGUAUUUGGAAAAUUAACCAUCGAUUCGCCACGUAGGCGCCAGGUCAGCUAUUUUCUAUAAAGGCGGUGAAUGAUUCACCGCCUUUAGUGCAAACAGUCAAAUUUCAGAGAAGUUUUUUUUCUAUGUCCUCGACUCUGGCAUUGAAAUAUAGAUAAGACGGUGAAUGGUUCACCGCCUUCGCUAAGGCGGUUAAGGCUGUGAACCAUUCACCGCCUUAAGUGCAACCCUACAAAUUUCAGAGAAGAUUUUCUCGAAGUCCUCGACCCUGUCAUUGAAACAUAGAUAAGACGGUGAAUCAUUCACCAUCUUCAUGAAGACGGUGAACCAUUCAUCGUUUUUUAUGAAGAAGAUGAAUGGUUCACCACCUUCAAUGCAAACUGAUCCAACCCUUUUUUUUUCUCAGGUCUUUAACAAUAAUUUUUGCAAGUUUGGAGCAAGAUUUUUCACGAGAUAAAAAAUUUCAAUAAGAAAAACAACAAGACAAGAACAACAUGAUAUAACUAAUAGCAUAGGAAUUUCAACAAAAACACAAAGUUAUAGAAAUAUGAACUAAAUAAAGAGAUAUAUAAUAUUGACAUGUUAUACAACGUGUUCAAUCUACAUUAUAUAAACGUCAAUCUCGAGAUCUUCCUCUCCCUCGACGUCCUCGGCCACGUCCGCGUGCAUGCCCAUGUCUACAUCUACGCCCACAAUCAACAUUGAGCUUAACAGGAGGUACGCUAUCAAGUGGCUCGAUACCUGCCAUCUGGUUGAGAUUCUUGAUAAUGAUGCCCUCAUGAUGCUUCGCAAUCGCCUGAAACUCCUCUGGCACAGGUCAAUCACCCUUGAUAGCGGCUGGUGUAGAUGCUGGGCGGUACUGUGAUGAUGACGGGCCACAAUGAUGAGAAUACAUGGAUCUAAAAUACGCACGCGACACUGGUGGUGGAAGUUAGUCAAACAUCAAAGGAAAUGUUGAAGAGGCAUCGGGCAUAGCUCCAAUGCUAGUGGGAGAUGGAGACCAUGACACUUGCUUGCUCGAUAUCGAAUGAGAUCCAAUAGGAGACAGAGACUGUCACAUCUAUUAACUCGCUGUCAAGGCGUGAGCAAAAUCUCGACCCCCUGUAUCUCUGAUAAUUGGUAUAGCAAGAACAUGCUCUGGUACGAGGAACUGCUUCAAUCUCAAAGGCACCUUACAUGAUGACUUUAGCAGAGUUGCAGAAAUUGAAAGCACAACUGCAAGAUUUGUUGGAAAAAGAAAAUAUUCGACCUAGUAUGUCACCUUGGGGAGCACCAAUGUUAUUUGUGAAUAAGAGAGAUCGGUCACUAAGAUUAUAUGUAAAUUAUCGAGAAUUGAAUAAGGUGAUUGUUAAGAAUAAGUUGUUAGAUAAUUGCGUGCGAUUAAGCAUAGUAAAAAAAGAAAAAUCAAACAAAUUUGAUUUUUAAAACUCGAGAUACGAUUUUUAAAACCACGCUAAUAGGAUCCGUCAUGUUGUUUAAGAUUAAAGAAGAAAAAGUAAGAUAUAAUCUUCACCUUUGCACGAAUGGAUCUUCACCGCAAUCUGAUGACCGUGGAAUUUGGUUCUUUUGAAGCCGCACACGCGUUCGACCUCUAUAAGUAUCCACAUGAGAUUAGUGAUCUGAUCGAUGUCCUCACGGGGGUGCUAGCUCCCUUGCAAAGGGCAUCUUUCUUGCUAGAGGUUCAAAGAGAAGAAGAGAGAAAGAGAGCGAUGAUGGAUGAUGACUAGAAUUUUCUAAAAACUCCUGUAUCUUGUAAAGAGAGACAUAAUUCCUUUUAUAAUAAUAUAAUAACCACUAAGGAUAAAAAUAAAUCUAGGUUUAAUUUUAUCCUUUUCUUAAUUAGUUCCAUAGAUUAAAUCCUAAUUUAAAUUGAAUUGGAACUCAAUACAAAUUUGAUCAUAUCAAAUUAAUAAUGUGAUAUUUGCACAUAAGUCCUCUCACAAUUUACUAAUUGUUAGGAAGUCCUCUCUUACAACAUUUGCACUUUAAUAUCACUAAUUUGUUAUAAUUAUAAAUUAGUUCAGUUAUCAAUAUAUUGACAAUUAGUUCUCCGACGAUUCAAAAAUCACGAUCCAGAUAUCCUAUCAGUCACAACUUCUUAUAUAUGUUACCUAUAGGUUCUAUUUUAUUUAGUAGUGAGAUAUAUUCUAAUCACUAUUAACAAUAUCUGUAACACACUGGAUCUGUGCAAAUUGCGAGGUUCGAGUGUUUGAUUUGAGUUCCCAGCUUUUCCACACCUUGUGGAGGGUCGUAGAUGGUGUUCCGACCCAUAGUUCGAAAUUCUGGAUUUUUGGCUUAGUCCUGAGAGUUUCACUCUCGGGGACUGGUCCCUGGUGGGAGAGACUGGUCCCCUUGAGGCAACCGGUCCCCCGGGUCAGAGAGACCGGUUCCUGAACGCUUGGCUGCGGGAGAGUCCUGAGGGACCGGUCCCAUGUGGGGAGGGACCGGUCCCUCCACCCGAAAUUUGCCCAGACCUGGCUGUGUGCAGGUUGCAAAGUUGAGGGGGUUUUCUGGAUUUUGUUGCAUUAGAGGGCCUAUAUGGCUUUUCCUCUCUCUUUCUCUCAUUUCUUUCCCUCACACUCUAUCACGCCCCGGGACCCAGCGGAAGCCCGCCUGGUGCGUGCCCAGACCCGCCAUAUGUCUAUAACAUACAAGGUGUCUAAAACAAAACGAUAAAUAAAGUAGUAGAACAAAGGGAUCUAAUGAUAUCAGAGCAAAGUAAAUAAUUAAGUUCUACAACAGAGGGAUAAGUAUAAAACUGAAAUUCAUUAAUAAAACCAUAAAGUAGUACAAUGGAAAUCCUAAACACAAAAGCAAAACAUAAGGAGUACAUAGGUGGUUUCUUUAUACAUGGUACUCAAAAUCUCUCUCUUUCACUACAACAAAAGAAAGAAAGAAGAAACAACCACCUAGGAGCGAAACAAGCUCAUCUCUAUCUAGCUAGGCGACACCCUUACCGCGAUCCCAUAUCUCCGCCAGUGCCGAAGGCUUUGAAAGAAACCAUAAAACAGAGGGCGUGAGAACUAUUAAAUAAUAGUUCCUAGUGGGCAAUUACUGACUUCAGUGAAAUGCGCCACUAGGCCCAAAAGCUACAAAAGAGGGUCAAUACAAGUAUAAAUGAAGGCGAAAUAAUGAACAAGUAUGUAACCAUGAGUACUAUUCUACCAUGAUAUCUCUACUUAGUAUGAACUGCAUAAGUAAUAAAGCAAUUACAACAAGUAUGUACAUGAGUGUGACUAACAUGUGUAAGCAUGAGUAUGCAACCAAACGAUGUCCUCGAUGCAAAUAGUAAAGAUGUCAUUAUUUACUAUUCUAGUCAAUAUCCACUUGUCACUUUAACUGUUAAAAGUUUAAUCUUAUAAGACCCACCCGAAGGCUGUCUAGCAUGAAGACCCACCCGAAGACUGUCUGGCCUGUAAGACCCACCCGAAGACUGUCUGGCCUGUAAGACCCACCUGUAGGCUGUCUGGCCGGUACCGUGCCUAAUGGCCCCGUGGUAGUCAACAUCCCCACUCUAGGAAUGAGCCUUUCCCACGGCAAUCCACUUCGGCGCCCAAUCCCGCACGGCAAUUAUCUAUCGCGAUGGCUAACUCAGGAGUGCAGACUUGUAGGGAGCGACCCUCACAAGCAUGUGCGAAUGAGUACAAUGGCAAGCAUGCGUAUAAGUCUAUCUCAAGUCUCAAGUCCUCAUGUUUAAAAAAAAUAUGAAAUAUAUCGAAUGUCACAAAGGCCUAUCACUAUGUCAUCAUGUCUAUAACACGGAAUAUAGUAUAUGUCCAAUGGCUUAUCACUAUGUCUCUAUGUUGCAAUUUCAUAGUUUUCUAUGUCAAGUCCCCCUUUAUGACACUUUGUUCCACUAAGUCCAGUCAUAGUGUAGUGUUUACAAUUACACAAUUAUGAGCUAAUAUAGCAUACGAGGCAUGAUUCCCACUUGUUAUCUCGAACACUUCUCACAUGCAUGAAAAUAACCCUGAUUGCUCUACUAUUUAGAGUGAAAUUUAUCUUACACAUAGCACAUACAUUUUAAGUGUUCUAAAAUUCUCAUAAAUCCUAUCUAGUAUGGAUUUGCAUUCAAAAAGAAUUUACAACAAGUAUAGAGAGCACAUGUAACGCACUGGACCUUGCAAAUUGCUGGGUUCGAGUGAUUGAAUGGGUUAUAAGCUUUUCCAGACUUUUUGGUGGGUCGUCGACAGUGUUCCAACCUAUGGUUUGAGUUCCGAGAAUGGUGGUUUAAAACCUUGCGUCAAAAUCCAAAAAGUUGGAUUUUUGGCUAGCUCUCGGGUAGCCUUCAGAGGGCAGUGUACCGAUACGGGCUUGAUGGCUGUACCGGUACGCGGUGAUGGUUGUACCGGUACGCGGGCCCGUGUACCGGUACACAGGCUAUGUCCCAGCAAACCCGAGGCUCGGGUUGGCUUUUCGUGGGUGGUGUACCGGUACACAAACCCGUGUACCGGUACACAGUGCAGUCUGGGCUGCAGUUCGGGCAGGGGGGUGUUUGCAAUUGUUACAACAUUUAUAUAUGUCACCCCANUUGCCUAGGUGGUUUACUCUUUCUUUUUGUAGUUGAGAGAGUGAGAGGUUUUUGUAUCCAUGUAUAGAGACCACCUAUAUAUCUACCUAUAGCACUUGUAUCUGGAAUUUCCUUGUAUCACUUUAUGUUUUAUUUAGUGGAUUUACAGUUUUAUCCUUAUCCCUUGUUGUAGCAUUUAGACAUUUAUUAUGCUCUGAUACUCCUAGAUGUCUUUUAUUAUUACUUUUAUUAUUGUUGUUUUUAGACGCCUUAUAUGUUUUAGACGUAUGGCGGAUCUGGGCACGUGCCGGGCGGGCUUCCGCUGGGUCCCGGGGCGUGACAGCACAUGGGCCAUUUGCCACGUUUCCAUGAAGCCAAACCCACCAAAAAUCGAAACUCUUCGUUUCGCCGAACGGAGAUGUCCACUAGUCUCCUAGCACCCUAAAGAUGUAGGAACAAGAAUUACACAAUCGAAAUGAAUAUCGAAAGCUCAAAUUCUAACCAACAAGGCAUAGAGGGCUAAACUCUCACCUAGUGUAGAGAUUCUUCUUCAAAGCUCAAGCGGAAGUUAAAUCCCAUCCAAGGCAAUCUAAACCAAGGUUCUAAUCUCACUAGAUUAGCCCCAAAAGCCACCAAACAAAAAGCCCCAAAAUAAACCCUAAAAUCCAAAUCUAGGGUUUCAUCUCCCAAUAUCCACAAAAAAUAGAUUCAGAGGGGAGAAACAAGCAACUAACCUUCUUGGUAGCUCCAAACCAAGCUCAAAAUGCUCUAGGGUUGAAGAUUGACCCUCUAUCAAGUUCCUAGCCCAAGCUCUAAGCCUCCAAUGGUGAGCAAAGGGAGAGGAAGAUGCUCCAAAGCCUCAAGAUCUUGCUCUCCUCCAACUCCUUUUUCUUCCUCUUCUUCCUCUUCUCUUUUUCUCUCUAAGGUGCAAAGGAGAGUGUGAAAUGAGGGAGGGAGAGAGGUGAAAUGGCCAUAUAGGUCAUCUAUUGUAACAAAAUCCAGAAAAACCCCUCAACAAUGCAUCUAAUGCACUGCCAGAACUGGGCAAUUUUCGGACUGAGGGACCGGUCUUCCCGACCUGGGACCGGUCUCUCAGCCUGCCCCGAAAAUCCAACGUUCGGGAACGGAUCUCUCCCCGCAUGGGACCGGUCUUUCCUCGCGUAGUCACGCUCGGGGACCGGUCUCACCCGCCAGGAACCGGUUGCCUCAAGUCCUGCCGCAGCACUGUUCUGAGGGGACCGGUCUCUCCUAUCAGGGACCGGUCCCCGAGAGUGAAAACUCUCAGGACAAAGCCAAAACUUCAGGAAUCGAACUUUUAGGUCGGAAUACCAUCUAGGACCUUCCACCAAGUGUGGAAAAGUUUGGAAUCCAACCAAACACUCGAACCUUGCAAUUUAUAAAGGUCCAGUGUGCUACAUUCACCCCUCCUAAAAAGGAGUUUCGUCCGCGAAACUCAAAAGCAAACACAUACCUCAAAGCUCCAUCUGAAAAAGAUAGGGAUAGCGCUCCCGCAAUGCGCUCUCUAGCUCCCACGUGGCCUCCCGCUCCCCGUGGUUGCUCCAAAGCACCUUCACGUAAGGAAUUUCUCGGUUCCGCAAUCUUUUCACCUCACGAGCCAAAAUCCUCAAGGGUUGCUCCUCAAAGCUCAAAUCCUCCCGCAGCUCUAUAGGUGUAGCAUCCAACACAUGAGUCGGGUCGAAAACGUACUUCUGAAGGACCGAUACAUGAAAGACGUUGUGCAUGCCCGAUAGGUUCGGUGGUAGAGCAAGUCGAUACGCUACCGGACCUACACGUUCCAAAAUCUCGUACGGUCCAAUGAAACGAGGGCUCAACUUACCCCGAAUCCCGAAUCUCUUGAUCCCUCUAGUCGGCGAGACCUUUAAGAAAACAUGGUCUCCAACUUGGAACUCCAAGUCUCGCCGUCGUCGAUCGGCGUAGCUCCUCUGUCUACUCUGUGCCGUCAAAAGUCGCUCCCGAGCAAUUCAAACUUUGUCCGAUACUUCCUGGAGCACAUCAGGGCCUAAAGCCAAUCUCUCGUCAACUUCACUCCAAUGAAGUGGCGAUCUACACUUUCGUCCUGUCACGCCCCAGGACCUAGCGGAAGCCCGCCCGGCGCGUGCCCAGACCCGCCAUAUGUCUACAACAUAUAAGGCGUCUAAAACAACAAUAAUAAAAGCAAUAAUACAAGACGUCUAGUAGUAUCAGAGCAUAAUAAAAGUCUAAAUGCUACAACAAGGGAUACAAUUAAAACUGUAAAUCCACUAAAUAAAACAUAAAGUAAAUACAAUAGGAAAUUCCAAAUACAAGUGCUAUAGGUAGGUACAUAGGUGGUCUCUAUACAUGGAUACAAAACCUCUCACUCUCUCAACUACAAAAGAAAGAGUAAACCACCUAGGCAAGUACCGCUCCUCGCUAGCUAGCUAAGCGAUUCCCUUGCCGCGAUCCCGUGACUCUGAAAAGGAAACCAUAAAACAGGGGCGUGAGAACUAUUAAAAAUAGUUCCCAGUGGGCAAUUACUAACUUCAGUGAAUGCACCACAAGGCCCAAAGCUACAAAAGAUAUUAGUGACUAUAAAUGUAGAAAAGCGAAAGGUAAGUAAAAUGUAACUUACUACAACAUGAUAUCUCUACUUAGCAUAAAUAGCAUAAGUAUGAAGCAACUAUGCAUGAAGUAAAAGUCUCCAACUAUCAUAAUGUUCACAAUGCGAAAUCUUCUCGUCCCUUCGAUACUCUUCCUACGACUUCAUAGAUGAGAGAAAGGGAAGCGAGAAAGAAGGAGUCAAGAAAGAAAGGAGCUUGAUAGAGGCCAUUGGAGCAUGCAUCUUCUUCCUCAUUUUCUCACCUUUGUGCUUUGAACUUGCGGUUGGAGCUUUGUGAAGGAUCAACCUCAACGCCUCACUUGCUUUGAGCUUGGUAUUGGAGCUUCGCUUGAGGUGUUAGCUUAUAAUCCCCGAUUUAAAUACUUUUUCUGCUGAGGUUUUUCUAGAUGAAGACCCUAGAAUUUUGGGAUUAGGGUUAUUUGGGUUUUUUCGGUGAUUUGUAAUUGGUUAUUAAUAGACUCUUAAUGUGAUUGGGUUGUUUAUGGUUUGCGUUUUUUGGAACCUUUGUUUAGGUGAUUGGAAGACUUCUAAACUCCCAUUUGAGAUCGUAGAGCCUCUUCGCAAUCGGUAAGUUUUGUCUCCAACCUCUAGCUUGAGGAGCUAAUGAGUUGAGUAUUUGCUCUUUCGUUUCGUUUGGGUGACCCUAUUUUUUGAUGAGUUUCUAGGGUACUAUGAGCUUGUGGAUAUGCUUCGUUCGCGAACGAAGAAGUCGAUUUUGGCUGUUUUGACUUCAUGAAAAUGGGGCAACAUAAUUGCCCCCAUGCCUUCUAAAGCUUUUAUAGAAGUAUUUUUGAAUGCAAAUUCAUGCUAAGACAAUCGAUUAUAUGAAUUAGGACGACUUAAGACAUGCAUGCCUCAUGUAUCGUAAAAAAUUUGUACUCGCAUAUAGUAGAGCUAUAUGUGUAGAUUGCAUGCAUUGUGGACAGAGGCUUGGAUUUCGCAGUUGAGAACACUGUCUGCCUCCUGCAGAAAUUGAGGGAAACAUGCAUCAUGAACAUAUUAAUGCCAUGCUGGGACUCGUUGAGACAAAAGUGUCGAUAAAGAGGCACUUGGAAUUAUAACUAUAAAAAUGCAAUUAAGAGACAUGAUGACAUAGAGAUAUGGCUUUGAGACAUUCGGAUUACAUUCCAUGUUAUUAGAUCAUGAGGACUUGGUACUUGCGAAGAUCGUGUUGAGCUACUGCAUGUGCUCUAUUCGCCACAUGCUUGUGGGUCGCUCCCUCAAGCCGGUCACUCGAGAUAAGCCAUCCGAUACAUAUUCCCGUGCGGAUUGGGCGCCGAAGUGAUUCCGGGGCCAGGCUCAUCCUGAGUUGAGGAUGUUUGACUACCACGGGCCAUUAGCUCGCACCGGCCAGACAGCCUCCGGUGGCGUUCAGGGCCUAUAGACAAGCCCUUACGGUGGGUCCUCAAUUUACUUAAGUGUUCAUGUAUGAUAUUGACAUGGAGUGAUGACUUAGGUGUACUACAUUGACAUUCGACUAAGAUAGUAAUGACGGAAUUUACUAUUUGCGCAUUGUGACAACAUUAUGAUACGUUGAAAGACUUUUUACUCAUCAUGAGUUUGUUUCAUACUUAUGACCAAUUAGGCUCCAGUAGAGAUAUCAUGUUGUAGUGUUACAUUUUUUGCUUAACCUUCGCUUUUCACUGUACUGGCAUCUUUUUGUAGCUUUGGCCUUGUUGCAAUUCACUAAGUCAGUAAUUCCCCACUAACUAUUUUUAACAUAGUCCACGCCCGACUGUUUGUAGUGGUAUUUUCCAGAGGCCUUCGCACCGGGAGGACGGACGCCAAGGGGAUCGCGUUAGCUAGCUAGCGAGGAGCGGUCUUUGCCUAAGGUGGUUUACUCCUUCUUUUUGGGUAGUUGAAUGUGAGAUUUGUAUCGAUGUAUACAGACCAACUAGUAUCUACGUAUAGCAUUGCAUCUGGGAUAUUCUUGACCACUUUAUGUUUUAAAUUUAGUGGAUUUACAGUUGUCACUUUACCGGCCUGGUUUAGCAUUUUAGACAUUUAUUAUGUGUCGAUGACCCAGAUGUCUUGUAUUAUUGGCUUUUAUUAUGUUGUUUUUAGACGCCUUAUAUUGUUGUGACAUAUGCGCGUCUGGCACUCCGCCGGGCGCUCCGCUGGUCCUCGGGCGUGGACAACAGACCGUAGCCGAGUACGAAGGGAUUUUCGACUUCUGCAUUGCGGUGCCCUCGUCUGCGAUGACGACGAGGACAAGCCUGCAUCUUCGAGCGAGGGUUAAGGACCAUUCGAUGCUUCCGGUUUUGGUGCAAUCCUCUCAACCUCCAAACCUACCGGAGGUUGUGAAUCGCGCGCCUCAAUCGUGGAGAGCGGCGCGACAGAGGUCCAGUAAGAGAGCAUGCGUGAGGCUAGGACAAAGGUAAGGCCAAAGGCCUUCGGCUGAGGGUGUCGAGUCAGACGCCAUCUAGGAGGCCGCCGAAUCAUUUGAGGAGCACACGAAAUGUCGGCUCAGAGCGCAUCGUGAGGAUCCGAUCGCGCCCGGCUUCACUUGUGUGAUCUGCGGGUGUCCGCUUAUUACGCCACCGCAGUGUCCACAGCGGGCGGGCACGUGUCUUUUAGUGUGGCCAGGAGCCAACGGUGCUACAAGAGUGCCGAGAGGUCUUCACAUGUCACACCGUGCCGAGGUGCAUCCGGCAUCCGGCUCUACAAGCCGCCGCCAGGAGACUCCCAUCGCACAGUAUCAGCCUGGCGCCCACACCCGUCCAGCGCCAAGAUGCGAGGGAUCUUUCGACCAGGCCCCGAGUGGGCGCAUGUACGCCGCUGCCGGACCGAGAGGUGGCAGGCACCGAGAUUGGUGUCCGGUAUCAUUUACUGUCGAUGCAGAUUAAGGAGUUCGUGGCUUUAUUCUAUACCGGGUGUUCGCAUUCCAAUGUCAUAAGAUCGGCUGUUUGCGAUUGCAUGGCAAUCUCAUUGUGGUUCCUUUAUGUGCUUAUGGACAUGUGUUGGUCACCCGAUCACAUGUCUGGAUAUAGAGAGUAUAGCCCCAGUUGCCCUGUGCGGGCUAGGAGAUUGGAUCAUGCCCUAUGAAGAUUUGUCUAGCUUUGCGCGCAAGCUGGGAUUUUGACGUGGUCUUGGGCUGAUUGGUUCGCAGCCAAGGUAUUAUGCCUACGAUUGAUUGUACAGAAUCUGCAACGUUAACCUUUAAGAGAACCGGGGCAAGACCGAGGUUGGUAUUUAUUGGAAUGCCGUGAGCUAACCUUUUGCGAUGACGAUCAGCUCGUCUCGAGCUAAAGGCAGCUGAUGCAGCAGAGGCUGUGUGGCCUAUUUGGCUAGUGUUGUCCUGAGGGGGCGGGAGUGACACCCCUGGAUUGAGGAUAUUCCCGGUGUGUGCGGAGAUUUUUCAGGAUGUGUUCCAGCUACUACAAUCUACCGGGUAUGCUCUCUGAUAGGGAGAUUGAGUUUGUGAGAUCUCGUCCCUGGGGAACUAACCCAGUUCAAAAGGCACCCAUCGGGAUGGCACGGCAGAGCUGAGGAGCUGAGGGCACAGUUGAGGAUUUGGCAGAUAAAAGCGUUCAUUCGAUCGAGCGUUUCACGCCUGGGAGCACUGCCGUUCUGUCGUCAAGGAAAAAGACGUGAUUCACUUCGCCUUUUGUGUGAUUAUCGUGACUCAAUAGGUCACGAUCAGAACAAGUAUCCUUCCGUGAGAAUCGACGACUUGUUUGAUCAUCUUCAGGGAGUCGUGUGUUAUAUUCAAGAUAGGACUUACAAGUCGGAUAGCCACCCAUAUGAAGAUCAACCGAGGAUGUAUCGAAGACGGCUUUUAGAACACGGUGAUGGACAUUACGAGUCUCAAGUUAGCCUUUCGGCUUACAAUGCCCCAGCAUGCUUUUAUGGUCUAAUAACGCGUGUUUUCAAGCCUUAUGCUACGACGGUUCGUCGUGGUGUUCAUCGCGACAAUUUUGUCUAACUCUCGAAGUGAUUGCAGAAUCACGGAAGAGGUAUUUGAGGAUGUACUCGAAAGUACUUCGGAGAGGAGCUUAUGCCACAGUGAAGAAAUGUGAAUUUGGCUCCGAGAGGUAUCUUUCCUGGACAUUGAUUUCGGGAUCGGUAUUAGCGCGUGGAUUCCAAGAAGAUUGAAGCAAAUCAAGGAUUGGCGAGACCCGACGAGGUCACGGAAUACGUACUCUUGGUUGCCGGUUACUACCGCAGAUUUGUAGACGGGGCUUUGCUAAGCUCGUCAACUGCCCCUCACGAGGCUCACGCACAAAGGAGUCAAGUUCAAUUUGGAAUGAACGCGUGCAGGCCGGAAGCUUCAAGAGUUUGAAGCAGAGGAUUGACGACCGCCCCGAUCUUGACCUAUCUCAGUAGCUGGGCGGGUAGUGGUUUUAUAGUGACUUCACUAAUGAAUUGGGCCUGUGUAUUGAUGGGCGAGGAAUGGCAAGGUGAUCCGCGUAUACUGUCGCGCAUCCCCGACUAAAGAAUAUGAGAAGAACUACCACCCGACACGCAUGAUUUGGAGUUGGGGAGCCGUAGUGUUCGCAUUGAAGCGAUGCGUACUAUCUUUAUGGCGAGCGAUGGGAAAUAUACACGGAUCACAAGAACUUAAAGUCCUGUUUUACUGGUCAUAAGGAAAGAUUGAACCUGAGACACGCAGAUGGUUGGGAGCUGCGCAGGAUAGAUCUGACGAUUACAUUUAGCGCACCCGGGCAAGGCUAACGUGGUGGCAGAUCGCUAAGUAGGAAAUCGAUGAAAACUUAAGCGAUGCAUGUCUGUGACUCAACCAGCAGUUGAUCGAGCAGGAUGAAAGGCGUUUGGAGUGGAGGUGUGACUCCUGACACAGCCCUUGGAGAUUGGAUGACUUUGGUAGUGGCAACCUACGGCUUUGGAUAGAAUUAAAAAGAGAAGCAAGUCUCCUGAUGUGAGGUGCAAAAGGAUUCGGAUGUAAAAUGGUUGAUGGUAUGAAGGCGACUUCCUUUGGAUGAUCACGGGAUUGGAUGCGUUUCGGUGGCGAUUGUAUACCCGCGGAUUCGGGAUUAAAGAAGAUUCUUCAAGAAGCGGCACCGAGCCGCGGUAUGCUAUUACAAUCCGGAGCACAAAUGUAAAGAUCGUAAGCUUGCUUUAUUGUGGCUCCGGUAUUGAAAUAAGGACGUUUGGGCGAGUAGUUGUGUUGUACUCUUGUUUUUUGCUAUAUCUUUAUAUAGAAUUUUUUAUUCUUUUUGUUCUUUUUUUGUAUUCCGCGGGAAAACUCAGAGUUUGCCUAUUUCCAUUUGAAAUGAAGAAAUUACCCUGGCUUUGUGACGAUUGCCACGCUCACAGCGGGGCAUGACCUAUUGGGUGAUCAGUGAUAGAGUUGACGAAGUCGCGAGCACUUGCAUACCUAUUCAUCGACGACUUGGAUCGGAAUAAGGCUCGCGCAAGUUACUUUGAUGGAGAUUGUGCGGGCUUAAUGGAGUGCUACAAUCGAUUGUUAUCAGAUGACGACACCACGGUUUGUGUCUCCUUUUGAGGGAGUGCUGGCAGGAGCCCUGGGCACUUCGAUUGACUGUUCAGCGAGGGCUGGGCUUUCCACCGCGCAGAAGCGAUGCAGUCGAGCGCUACUAUACAGGACCUUAGAGGAUAUGCUCAGCGGACAUGCUUGAUAGAACUUCGCAAAGGAGGAUAUGGUCGCAGCAUCUACCGUAUGGCGAGUUUGCUUAUAAACAGUUUUCAAGCAAAGCAUCAGAUGGCGGCCCUUCAAAGCACUUAUGGAUGGAAGUGGUAGACGCCACUUCAUUGGAGUGAAGUCGCGAGAGAUUGCUUAGGGCCCUAUGUGCUCUCAGGAAAGCUGAGGCAAGGGUCGGAAUGCUCAGUAGCGAACUGUGACGGGCAGAGUAGACAGAGGAGCUACGCUGAUCGACGGCCCCCGGCGAGACUAAUGCGAGUUCCAAGUUGGUAGACCACGUCUUCUUGAAGGUCUCGCGGCAACUAGGAGGAAUCAGAGAUUCGGUGAUCGGGAAGUUGAGGCCCCGUUUCAUUGGACCGUAUGAGAUCUUGGAGCGUGUAGGGUCGGUAGCAGUAUGGACUUGCCUCUAAGCCACCGAACUAUCGGGCCUGCACAAGUCUUUCAUGUAUCGGUCCUUCGGAGGUAGCAUUCAUGAUGACCAAACUCAGUUCUGGAAGCUUACCAGUGAGCGCGCGAGUAAUUUGAGCUUGAGGAGCAUACCCUGAAGAAUCUUGAGCUCGCGAGGUUGAAAAAGCUGCGGAAUCGAUAUUCCGUAUGUGAGGUUCUUUUGGAGCCAACACGAACACAACACAAGCGGAGCGCGAGCUACUGGGAGAUAGAGAGCGCUUUUGCAGGAGCGCUAUCCCCAUCUUUUUCAGAUGAGCCGUGGUAGUCUUUUCCUUUUCGAGUUUCGCGACGAACUCUUUUUAGAGGGUGAAUGUAACGCAACUGGACCUUGCAAAUGCUGGGUUCGAGUGAUUGAAUGGUUACCUUUUCCAGACUUUCUGGUGGGUCGUCGACGAGGUGUUCCGACCUAUGGUUCGAGUCUCGAGAAUGGUGUUUAAAGAUCUUGCGUCAAAAUCCACCCAAGUUGAUUUGGCUAGCUCUCUGUGAGCCUUAAGGGGCAGUGUACGCGGUAGCGGGCUUGAUGCUGUACCGGUACGCGGUGAUGGUUGUACUGGUACGCCGCCUGUGUACGGCGUAACAGGCUUAUGUCCCCACGCAAACCCGAACCGGGUUGGCUUUCGUGGUGUGUGCCGACACAAGACGCCGUGUAACCGGUAGCACGUGCAUCUGGUCUGGGCAGUUGCGGGCAGGGGCUGUUUGCAAUUGUACACACAUUAUAUAUGUCACCCAGCUCCUUUUGUGACUCCUUUGAGCCAUAGACCAGUGGGAGAGCAGGUGAGAACUCCUCCCCUAUGUUUUCUCCAUUUUGUUGAUUUUUGCUAGUAUGUUGAUCGUCUUUCUCUCUCUCUUCGUUACUUUUUGUGGUUUUUCCCCAUGGAGAAGUGGCGAUCUUGGUUGAGCUUGUUUUGAGGAUCAACCUUACAACCGCUAGAGGACUUUGGGGCUUGGUUUGGAGCUUCUAAGGAGUUAGUAAUUAUUUUCUCUCUGCUCUAGAUUCGGAUUUUGUUGAUUACUAGAUUAAACCUAGAUUUUUGGUUUUAAGGGUUAGAUUGGAUUUUUCGUUUGAGGGUUUUGGGACCCUAAUUGAUGGGUCUAGAACUUUGUUUAGGUUUCGAUUGGAAGGACUCUAAUCUCCUAUUUGGAGAUUGAGAAAGCUUUCCUUCGCAAUCGUGAGUUUUCUCAACCCUAAACUCUGAAAUGGUUAAUGAUUGCAAGCAAUCCGUUAUUCGUUUUGUUGGGUAACACUUGUUCCUAACAUCCCUUCAGGGUCUAGAGGCUAGUGCAUCACUUUCGUCGGCGAAACGAAGAGUUUCCGAAAAUUGGUUGAGUUGCUCUCGUGGAAAUAAGGGAGCGAAAUGGGACCCUAUUCUCUUCUAUUUGUUGUAAAUAUUUUUAGAAUUCAUUUCAUAUGGUCUAAAUAAAAUUAGUAUAAAUUUGAGCACUUAAAAUACAUACCUUGUUUUGAAAUUCAACUAUAUAGUAGAGCUAUAUGAGUAGAAUGCAUUACAUAUGGAAAAAGUGUUUAUCUGCAUAGUGAAAAAUACAUCACAUUUUUAUGUGUUUUGACUUGGAAUAUGUACUUUGAACAUCGUUCUAUGCUCGGCAUCAGAGAAGCAAGAGUUCAUCAAGGGCACUGAAAGCUAGUAAAAUUAUGAAACUGCAACGUAGGAAAGACAUUGAUAGGGCCACUACAUAUCUGGCUAUAUCCAUGUUAGCAGAACAUGUAUGACAUAGGGAUAGGCCAUUGAGAUACUUGACACAUUCUGUUUUAGACAUGAGGACUUGGUCCUUGCGAUCAUAUGUUGAAUCUACUGCCAUUGGCUCACUGUCGCACAUGCUUGUGAGGUCGCUCCUACAAGCCGCACUCCGGAGAAUACAAUCGCGAUUCAUAUUCGCCGUGCGGGAAUGGCGCCGAAGUGGAAUGGUGGACAGGCUUUCAUUCCUAGGUGGGGAUGAUGAUACCAUGGGUGCCAUUAGGCGUCGCACGCGGCCCACAGCACUACGGUGGGUCUUCAGGGACACAGACAGCUUCGGGUGGUCUCUCAAGAUUUGACUUCUGAGUUAUUCAUUAUUACAUGUGGCAGAUCGAUGCCAGUAGUGUACUACUUGGACUUGACUAAAUAGCAAACAACGGAACUUUACUAUUUCGGCAUUGUUACAUUAUGAUAGUUGGGAGACUUUUAUUUCAUGCUAGUUGCUUCAUACUUAGGCUAAUUAUGCUAAGUAGAGAGAUCAUUGUUGUAGUAAGUUACAUUUUUAGCUUAGCCUUAUCUUUUUUUCUAGACUUUAUAGUCACUGACCAAUCUUUUGUAGCUAAUGGCCCUCGUGUGCAUUCACUGAAGUGAGUAAUUGCCUACUCGGGGAACUAUUUUAAUAGUUCUCACGCCUCCUGUUUUAAUAGUCAUGAAAAUCAGCGCAUGGGGAUGCUUAGCUACUAGCGAGGAGCGUACUUUGCCUAAGUGUUUAUCUUUCUUUUGUAGUUAGAGAUGAGAAGUUUUUGUAUUCCAUGUAUACCGAGACACACUAUUAAUAUCUACGCUAUAGCUACUUGUAUCUGGAAUUUCACUGAUCACUUGAUGUUUAUUUAGUGGAUUUACAAGUUUUAUCUUAUCCUGUUGUAGCAUUUAGACAUUUAUUAUGCUCUGAUCUCCUAGAGUCUUUAUUAUUACUUUUUAUUUUGUUGUUUUCAGACCCUUAUAUUUUUAGACGUAUGGCGGAUCUGGCGUGCCGGGCGCUUGCACCAGUUGUGGACGUUGCACCGAGAGCGCCGUCCCCCGCGCCCAGUUCUUCGCGUGCGGCGCCUGCGGCCGCACCGCAGGAGGAGGUUUUGGUGGCAUCACCUGUGCAGAGGCCCCCGGUUGGAGCAGCAUUCCCUACUUUGGUUGAGGGGGCGGAGCGAGACAGACUGAUGGAGCGCCUCAAUGAGUUCAGGAGGUGCAGCCCCCGAGUCUUCGACGGCGAGAAGGUCGACCACUGGAUCGUGGAGAAGUGGUUGAUGCAUAUGGAGAAGCUCUUCCGCGACACCUUCGUGGAGGAGAGGGACAGAGUUUGGCUCGCCACUCACCAUUUGGACGGCGAGGCCUACCGCUGGUGGUUGGAUCUCCAGGAGAACCCCCGCACAGACUUGGCAGCUAUUACUUGGACGAGGUUCAAGGGGCUUCUUCUGGCGCACUACUUCCCAACCAGCGUCAAGAGGAAGAUGGAGCAGGAUUUGCGCAGCUUGCGCCAGGGAGACAGGUGUAGCACACUGGACCUUUGCAAAUUGCGAGGUUCGAGUGUUCGAUUGGUAUUCCGAACUUUUCCACACUUGGUGGAGGGCCGUCGAUGGUAUACCGGCCUAAAAGUUCGAUCUCGAGAGUUUUGGCAGAGUCCUGAGAGUUUUUACUCUCGGGGACCGGUCCCUGAUAGGAGAGACCGGUCCCCCAGUGAACAGUGCUGCGUAGCCGGCGAGGCAACCGGUCCCUAGCAGUUGAGACCUGUCCCCGAGCGCGUUUGCGCGGGGAGAGACCGGUUCCCGAACGUUGGAUUUUCGGGGGCUGGCUGAGAGACCGGUCGCAGGUCGGGGAGACCGGUCCCUAUGGGCGAAAACUGCCCAGUCCGGGCUGAUGUAAAUUUGAGUUUUUGUGGGGCCUGGCUGGAUUUUGUUACCUUAGAGGCUAUAAGCAGCCUCUCCUCCCCUCUCACUCUCAUUUUUCUCUCCCUCAAGAGGAGAAGAAGAGGAAGAAGAGGAAGGGAAAGAGAGAGAUCUUCACAUCCUUCUCAUNNNNNNNNNNNNNNNNNNNNNNNNNNNNNNNNNNNNNNNNNNNNNNNNNNNNNNNNNNNNNNNNNNNNNNNNNNNNNNNNNNNNNNNNNNNNNNNNNNNNNNNNNNNNNNNNNNNNNNNNNNNNNNNNNNNNNNNNNNNNNNNNNNNNNNNNNNNNNNNNNNNNNNNNNNNNNNNNNNNNNNNNNNNNNNNNNNNNNNNNNNNNNNNNNNNNNNNNNNNNNNNNNNNNNNNNNNNNNNNNNNNNNNNNNNNNNNNNNNNNNNNNNNNNNNNNNNNNNNNNNNNNNNNNNNNNNNNNNNNNNNNNNNNNNNNNNNNNNNNNNNNNNNNNNNNNNNNNNNNNNNNNNNNNNNNNNNNNNNNNNNNNNNNNNNNNNNNNNNNNNNNNNNNNNNNNNNNNNNNNNNNNNNNNNNNNNNNNNNNNNNNNNNNNNNNNNNNNNNNNNNNNNNNNNNNNNNNNNNNNNNNNNNNNNNNNNNNNNNNNNNNNNNNNNNNNNNNNNNNNNNNNNNNNNNNNNNNNNNNNNNNNNNNNNNNNNNNNNNNNNNNNNNNNNNNNNNNNNNNNNNNNNNNNNNNNNNNNNNNNNNNNNNNNNNNNNNNNNNNNNNNNNNNNNNNNNNNNNNNNNNNNNNNNNNNNNNNNNNNNNNNNNNNNNNNNNNNNNNNNNNNNNNNNNNNNNNNNNNNNNNNNNNNNNNNNNNNNNNNNNNNNNNNNNNNNNNNNNNNNNNNNNNNNNNNNNNNNNNNNNNNNNNNNNNNNNNNNNNNNNNNNNNNNNNNNNNNNNNNNNNNNNNNNNNNNNNNNNNNNNNNNNNNNNNNNNNNNNNNNNNNNNNNNNNNNNNNNNNNNNNNNNNNNNNNNNNNNNNNNNNNNNNNNNNNNNNNNNNNNNNNNNNNNNNNNNNNNNNNNNNNNNNNNNNNNNNNNNNNNNNNNNNNNNNNNNNNNNNNNNNNNNNNNNNNNNNNNNNNNNNNNNNNNNNNNNNNNNNNNNNNNNNNNNNNNNNNNNNNNNNNNNNNNNNNNNNNNNNNNNNNNNNNNNNNNNNNNNNNNNNNNNNNNNNNNNNNNNNNNNNNNNNNNNNNNNNNNNNNNNNNNNNNNNNNNNNNNNNNNNNNNNNNNNNNNNNNNNNNNNNNNNNNNNNNNNNNNNNNNNNNNNNNNNNNNNNNNNNNNNNNNNNNNNNNNNNNNNNNNNNNNNNNNNNNNNNNNNNNNNNNNNNNNNNNNNNNNNNNNNNNNNNNNNNNNNNNNNNNNNNNNNNNNNNNNNNNNNNNNNNNNNNNNNNNNNNNNNNNNNNNNNNNNNNNNNNNNNNNNNNNNNNNNNNNNNNNNNNNNNNNNNNNNNNNNNNNNNNNNNNNNNNNNNNNNNNNNNNNNNNNNNNNNNNNNNNNNNNNNNNNNNNNNNNNNNNNNNNNNNNNNNNNNNNNNNNNNNNNNNNNNNNNNNNNNNNNNNNNNNNNNNNNNNNNNNNNNNNNNNNNNNNNNNNNNNNNNNNNNNNNNNNNNNNNNNNNNNNNNNNNNNNNNNNNNNNNNNNNNNNNNNNNNNNNNNNNNNNNNNNNNNNNNNNNNNNNNNNNNNNNNNNNNNNNNNNNNNNNNNNNNNNNNNNNNNNNNNNNNNNNNNNNNNNNNNNNNNNNNNNNNNNNNNNNNNNNNNNNNNNNNNNNNNNNNNNNNNNNNNNNNNNNNNNNNNNNNNNNNNNNNNNNNNNNNNNNNNNNNNNNNNNNNNNNNNNNNNNNNNNNNNNNNNNNNNNNNNNNNNNNNNNNNNNNNNNNNNNNNNNNNUUCCGGUUUGUGCAAUCCUCUAACCUCCAAACCUACCGGGAGGUGGUGGAUCGCGCGCUCAUCGUGGAGAGCGGCGCGACAGAGGUCCAGGAGCAGCGUGAGGCUAGGGACAAAGGUAAGGCCAAGAGGCCUGCGGCUGAGGGUGCGAGUCAGACGCAUUCUAGGAGGCCGCCGAAGCAUUUGAGGAGCCAGCAGCGAGAAUGCGGCUCAGCAGCGCAUCGAGGAGGAUCCGAUCGGCGCCGGCCUUCCCCUUGUGUGAUCUGCGGUGGUCCCCAUUACCCACCGCAGUGUCCACAGCGGGCGGGCACGUGUUUUUAGUGUGGCCAGGAGGGCCACGUGCGUACCGAGUGCCCGAGAGGUUCUUCACCAGCACCGUCGAGUGCAUCGGCACCGGCUCUACAAGCCGCCGGCCAGAGGACUCCAUCGGCACAGUAUCAGCCUGGGCGCCCACCCGUCCAGCGCCAGAGCGAGGGAUCUCGACAGGCCCCGAGUGGGCGCAUGUACGCCGCUCAGACCGAGGAGGUGGCAGCAGCCGAGGAUGUGGUUGUAGGUAUCAUUUUACUUGAUGGCAUUAGAGUUCGUGCUUUAUUUAAUACCGGUGUAUCGCAUUCAUUCAUAGAUCGGCUGUUUGCCGAGUUGCAUGGCAUCCCAUUGGUUCCUUUAUUGCUUAUGGGACAUGUUGUUGUACCCGACCACGUUCUGGAUAUUAGAGAGUAUAGCCCCAGUUGCCCUGUGCGGGUAGGAGAUUGGAUCAUGCCUAUAGAUUUGCUAGCUUUGCGCAAGCUGGGGGAUUUUGACGUGGUCUUGGGCAUGGAUUGGUUGACCAAGUAUUAUGCCACGAUUGAUUGUAAGAAUCGCACGGUUACCUUUAGAGAACCGGGGCAGACCGAGGUGGUAUUUAUUGGAUGCCGGAGUAACCUUUUUGCGAUGACGAUCAGCUCGUCUCGAGCUAGGCAGCUGAUCAGCAGAGGCUGUGUGGCCUAUUUGGCUAGUGUUGUGCUGAGGGGCGGGAGUGACACCCCUAGGAUUGAGGAUAUUCCGGUGGUGCGGGAGUUUCAGGAUGUGUUUCCAGCUGAGCUACCGGGUAUGCCUCCUGAUAGGGAGAUUGAGUUUGUGGUAGAUCUCGUCCCUGGGACUACCCCAAUCUCAAAGGCACCCUAUCGGAUGGCACCGGCAGAGCUGAGGGAGCUGAGGGCACAGUUGCAGGAUUUGCCAGAUAAAGGCUUCAUUCGACCGAGCGUUUCACCCUGGGGAGCACCCGUUCUGUUCGUCAAGGAAAAAGACGGAUCACUUCGCCUUUGUGUGGAUUAUCGUGAACUCAAUAAGGUCACGAUCAAGAACAAGUAUCCGUUGCCGAGAAUCGACGACUUGUUUGAUCAUCUUCAGGGAUCGUGUGUAUAUUCCAAGAUAGACUUACAGUCGGGAUACCACCAAUUGAAGAUCAAACCCGAGGAUGUAUCGAAGACGGCUUUUAGAACACGGUAUGGACAUUACGAGUUCACAGUUAUGCCGUUCGGGCUUACUAAUGCCCCAGCAGCUUUUAUGGAUCUAAUGAACCGUGUUUUCAAGCCUUAUCUAGACAGGUUCGUCGUGGUGUUCAUCGACGACAUUUUGGUCUACUCUCGAAGUGAUGCAGAUCACGAGGAGUAUUUGAGGAUUGUACUCCAAGUACUUCGGGAGAAGGAGCUUUAUGCCAAGUUGAAGAAAUGUGAAUUUUGGCUCCGAGAGGUAGCUUUCCUUGGACAUUUGAUUUCGGGAUCGGGUAUAGCCGUGGAUCCCAAGAAGAUUGAAGCAAUCAAGGAUUGGCGGAGACCGACGAGCGUCACGGAGAUACGGAGCUUCCUUGGAUUGGCCGGUUACUACCGGAGAUUUGUAGAGGGGUUUGCUAAGCUGUCUACUCCCCUCACGAGGCUCACGCACAAAGGAGUCAAGUUCAUUUGGAAUGACGCGUGCGAGCGAAGCUUCCAAGAGUUGAAGCAGAGAUUGACGACCGCCCCGAUCUUGACCCUACCAGUAGCUGGAGCAGGGUAUGUGGUUUANNNNNNNNNNNNNNNNNNNNNNNNNNNNNNNNNNNNNNNNNNNNNNNNNNNNNNNNNNNNNNNNNNNNNNNNNNNNNNNNNNNNNNNNNNNNNNNNNNNNAUUUCGUUUCGCGCCCAAUUUGCGCCGACACACUUAUUUCUCUUUGGAACUCAUUCCAACGCAUCACAAAUCCCUCGGGGAUGAUGUCCAACUAGCUCAAUCCUCACUUUGACCCUCUAGGUCAAGGUUGACAUCGCAACUCCAAGUUUCCAUAUGUUACAUAGUUGCUUCAUACUUAUGCUAAUUACGCUAAGUAGAGAUAUCAUGUUGUAGUAAGUUACAUUAUUUUUACUUACCUUUCGCUUUUCUACUGUUAAUGUCACUGACAUCUUUUGUAGCUUUGGGCCUUGUGGUGCAUUCACUGAAGUCAGUAAUUGCCCACUGGGAACUAUUUUUAAUAGUUCUCACGCCCCUGUUUUAUGGUUUACUUUUCAGAGCCUUCGGCACCGGCGGAGGCACGGGAUCGUAGCAAGGGGGUUGCUUAGCUAGCUAGCGAGGAGCGGUACUUUGCCUAGGUGGUUCACUCUUUCUUUUUGUAGUUGAGAAAGUGAGAGGUUUUUGUAUCCAUGUUUAGAGACCACCUAUGUAUCUACCUAUAGCACUUGUAUCUGGGAUUUCCUUGCAUUACUUUAUAUUUUAUUUAGUGGAUUUACAGUUUUAUCCUUAUCCCUUGUUGUAGCAUUUAGACAUUUAUUAUGCUCUGAUACUCCUAGAUGUCUUUUAUUAUUGCUUUUAUUAUUGUUGUUUUUAGACGCCUUAUAUGUUUUAGACGUACGGCGGGUCUGGGCACGUGCCGUGCGGGCUUCCGCUGGGUCCCCGGGCGUGACAUCCACAUUACUUGGUCGGGCGACAGGUUAGCACAGUUAUAUCUUAAUGAAGUGAUGAGAUUGCAUGGGGUCCCGAAGUCAAUCGUGUCAGAUCGAGACCCCCGAUUUACGUCACACUUUUGGAAAAGCCUGCAGGGAGCACUCGACAUACGACUCGAUUUCAGCACUGCGUUUCAUCCUCAAAUAGAUGGCCAAUAGGAGAGGACCAUACGGAUUUUGAAGGAUAUGUUGCGGGCGUGUACCAUUGAUUACAAGGGGAGUUGGUGUAAGCACCUGCGGAUGGCCGAGUUCGCCUACAACAAUAGUUACCAAGCAAGUAUAGGGAUGGCACCAUUCGAGGCUCUCUACGGGAGGAAGUGCCUAUCUCCUAUACACUGGAGUGACUUGGGCGAACGGGCGGUAUUAUGCCCGGAUGUCUUGCGAGAGGCAGAAGAAAAGGUCCGCCUUGCUCGCCGGAGAUUGCGCCGUAGACAAAAGAGUUACUCGGAUAAGCACUGUCGAGACUUGGAGUUCACAGUAGGAGACCGCGUCUUCUUGAAGGUUUCACCCAUGAGGGGUGUGAAGCGCUUUGGGGUUCGGGGAAAGUUGAGUUCCCGAUACAUUGGACCUUACGAGGUGCUAGAGCGCAUUGGUGCGGUAGCUUACAGGCUUGCGUUGCCACCAAAGCUUGCGGAUGUUCACAACGUAUUCCACGUCUCCAACCUCCGCAAGUAUAUUCAUGAUCCCAAGCAUGCUUUGCUGUAUGAUCCCCGGAAUUGCAAAAGAAUAUGUCCUAUGAAGAGUUUCCGGUGUUGCUUAUUGCUCGAGAAGUGCGAAAGUUGAGAAGUCGCGAGAUUCCCUACAUUAAGGUUCGGUGGAGCAAUCACGAUGAUCGCGAAGCCACGUGGGAACUUGAGGACAUGAUGAAAGCGCAUUAUCCUGAUCUCUUUGAGGAGUGAGUCGAGGUAUGAAUUUAUGUUUAAGUUGAGUUAGAUUCGAGGACGAAACUCCUUUUAAGGAAGGGAGGAUGUAAGAUAUCGAAUCCUCAUUUUAAUAAUCCACUUUUGGUCAAAGUAACCAAAGUGUGGCGAGAUGAAUACUUGGACAUACUCCACUUGACAUUCCAAAGGUGUUGGAAGGGUCAAAGUUGAGUUCUAAGAGAGUUAACUGAGUUUUAGCAUUGCUCGGCAUAAAACAGAAGUCGAACAAGUGCUAAAACUGCAGUUUGGGCAAUUGGUACCGGUACAACAUCAGGGUGGUACUGGUACCAUGUAUUAAACCAAGAGCAGCAACUCUCGGGUUGGCCUUUGCGUAAUCGUGUAACCGGUGACAAAAUCCCUAGUACCGGUACCACCAGUAGAAAACUGCAGAAUGCAGUAUGUUGUGGAUGGCAUUUGUUAAGGGGCUUUUAUGCAAUUGUGGCAGUCUAUAAAUAGACCCCACCUCCCUCUCAUCUGUACACAGCCAGGGAAUACCCCUCUCAUCUCUUUUUCUUCUCUUUAUCUCUCUAGAAGCUCUCUAGAGGGUUGAGGCUUGAGGAAGGAUUAGUGGAGAUUGAAGCGGGAAGUGAGAUCUUCGUUUUCCUCAUCAUCUUCCUCGCUAUCGAAGCGCAUUUUUUAGGUAAGCUUCGAAGAGCUUUGAUGGUAGAAUUCUAGAGUGCGAAUCUUUUUCUCUAGAAAUGGCUUUAGUAGGUGCCUUGGACACUAGAUAGAUGUUAAUCGCUUGAAUCGAGGCUUUUGCGGUCGAUUCUCGCAAGAUUAAAGAUCUAGGGUUCUGAAAGAGGGUUUUGAGAAAUAGAGAUCUAAACUGAGGAUUGAUCUCUUUUAUACCUAUUUGCUAGGUAGUCGAGCACGUCGGUGAACUCGGUUCGGUGAUCCGACCAGUUGGCGCGAAGAUAUUGACGAAAAGCCUAUUUUUUGCUUCGUUUGCCGCGGUCGAGAGCGAUAGGCAGCGGAAAAUUACGAAAGUUGGAGCUAGCUUCACGACAUCAUCAGAAGGUGGGGGGUGUCCAUCCCGAAGCAGUCGGGCUUCUUUCUAUGUCCGAGUAUUUCAUUAUUGUAGCAUAUGUUCAUAUCUUGUUAGUAUGCAUUAUAGGUUGUUUGCACUUCAAUUCCUUGCAUGUUUCCAUUGUAGAAAUCACUUAGUGAGUUGAGUACUUGAUUUAGUGGACACAUGAGGAUUGGGUCUUGACAUGGAAUCCUAUAGUGCCGAGGAACAAAAGAUGGACUUGGACAUGUAAAUAAACUCACAGAGUGGCAUUUGGACUAGUGUAGUAGAGACACUAUGACAUGAACUUAAGGUAGAGAAUGAUCUCCUAAGUAGUGGCAUGUAAACCAAAGAUUGACAUUUGGACUAGUGUAGUGAAACACUUACAGCUUGAUACAUGAACUUAGAAUAGAUAUUGAUUUCCUGAGUAGUAGCAUGUGAACUAGUGCAAGAGGCACUAACUAUCCUCGAGUGAGAGUGUCACGCCCCGCGACCACCCGCCUAUUUGGCCGGGUCGCGGCGUCGCCGACAGAUCGCCGAACGGACAGGGUUUCCCCUGUACUGCGGACAGAGUCUCCCCUGUACGUUCAAGGCAUAGCAAUCAAUACAAGUACAAUGAGUUCCAACCAGGAACACAUUUCAAUCAAGAUUGCAUAAUGGAAGGUAUCAAACAACAUAACACAUCCUAUGUUAUUACAUGCAUUCACAUUCAUACAUUUUACAUCCCAAAUACUUAUUACAUUUAACUUCCAAAUACAAUCCGAUUUAACAUGAUUAUUACAAUCUUAUUCCUUUUUUUUUCUUACAUCCCUAAGUAAAGGCCGACUCAGGGUACCGCUAUCUCUGGUCUCGGUGGUAAGGCGCUAACUAUGGAGCUACGCCCUCGCUUCGCGCCGCCGCGCCGCUCACGUGUGAACCUGUAAACACCCCAAAACCACGUGGGGUGAGAACCAACUCCAUGGUUCCCAGUGGGUACGGCCACCCAAGGGAAAAGCUCGACCAAUAGGUCCAAGGGAGGCAACUGCAAGUUAGUUCAAUAAACAGAUAGAUAUAUAUCUUUAUUAUGCAACUAAUAAAACCAUGCUUUGCCUCACGAAUGCAAUAAUGCCAUGCUAUAUGCGAAUCAUGCAACUAUACAAGUAGAAUAAAUGAUUUUACUUUGUAUCAUGCUAUCCAUAGCUUUUUCAUAAUUUAUACAUCUUAUCACUUUACAUCAUUGGUUAUUUGCUCCUAAGGUUUUCCUCUACCCUAGCCAAGCUAACCACCCGACUCGGUCUCGAGUCAAUCAACUGCGGAAUACCGCACCAAAACUAGGCUCGAGGUGAUGGACGUCUCACAUACACCUCAGCCCUAAAUCCUCUCAACUGGGAUACCAAACCCGUAACACAUAAUGCUAUACAUUCACUUGGCUUUGACCCAAUCUUACCGGUUAACCAUGUUAACCCCAAUGACUCACAACCCAAAAUCCCUUAAUAACGGGGGACUCGAACCUCCCUAGGGACCGUCUUCUGGGGGGACUUUACCACGCCCAGUGGUGACCAACUCCGGAGCGCACCGCCCGAGGGGGAGCUACCUCCCUCAAGCCAAGACUUAUCGUGAGUAUCGAUCAAUCCUCAACUUGAGGAUUCAUAGCCACUAGUCACAAUGCCAAUGUCACAAUAGGUUUCUACCUAUUUAAUCAUGCUACUCUAUGUCAAAUGGUCCAAUGCCACUCUUGGUUAAACUAUGUUUAACAACUAUAUCCUCUAUGCAUAUCAAUGUCUCUAUUGUCAAUGUUGCCUUU
This 309494-nucleotide long non-coding RNA is filed under the name Ananas comosus (pineapple). Its description in RNAcentral is "long non-coding RNA (ACOM_LNC021271)". The stretch from base 92155 to 92376 matches the Rfam family "Bacterial large subunit ribosomal RNA", at positions 629 to 852 of the family's 2925-position model. The record is from RNAcentral. Lineage: Eukaryota; Viridiplantae; Streptophyta; Magnoliopsida; Poales; Bromeliaceae.